This 226346-nucleotide long non-coding RNA is filed under the name Citrus maxima (pomelo). RNAcentral describes it as "long non-coding RNA (CMAX_LNC001461)". Lineage: Eukaryota; Viridiplantae; Streptophyta; Magnoliopsida; Sapindales; Rutaceae. The record is from RNAcentral.
CAGCUACAAUAUCUCAAAAGCUCAGCCAUGAUAGCAAAACCACACCAGAUGCUGAGAAUAUGAUUCCAAUCAAAGGAGUCCCAUAUCAAGACCUCUUAGCAAAAAACUCAGGUAGCAUUCCACGCUCAGCCAUCCCCAAAAGUUGGAAGAGUCGCUGCUCAUCUCAGCCACAAACAUGCCCAUAUUGGACAUUGCUGCAGCCCCCUGGAUGCACCAUCUCAACCAAACUCCUCCAAGCACUUUAGCGAUAUCUGAAAAGUAACCAUCGGUCCACAAGUCGCGAUCUAAUGGAAUAGCUCCAGUUCCAACUAGAAGGGGAAAGAAAUAUCCAAAAACGACCAAGAUCAAAGCAUAAAACAAAGCCUUUGGAAGAGUCUUCUUUGGGUUAUCCACCUCUCCAGCUAGUGUACUUAUUGAGUCCCAGUAGUUGGAGAUUCCAAAACAGGGUGUUCAAAUACAAAUUCCAGUCCACUUCACCUAAAUUUACUACAAGCCAUCUUGAAGGCUCUAACUUGGGAAGGGACACAAGUCCCAUAACCGCAAAAGGAAGGAAUGAGAAAAUCCCUAAAAGAACAGCAGCCCAUCCCACAAUGGUUAGACCCCUAUAGUUCAUGAAAGUGAGAACAAAAGUCAAAGCUAACGCCGCAAAGGCUCUAGGUAACCCAUCGCCCAAAGCAGGGAUACCAGACUUCAAGUAGUCAAGAAACAGAACUGGGUAUAAAGCAUUAUCAAUAACCCCACUAAGCCAUUUCAUCCAAACUUGCUGAAAACCCCAAUAUGGGCCUAAGGCAGAUGAAACCCAAACCACAUAACCACAAUUUUCAGGAAACACGGUACCCAUCUCGGCAGUAAUUAAAGCUUCAGGGACACUCCAUAUAAUCGGAAACACCAAGAAACCAAGAAGUGCUAAAAGAGGACCAGCUGCCUUUACACUAUCCUCAACACCAAACGGCCCCCCAGAAACCUCAUAGAAUAUAAGGAAAAUAAGUGGCAAGAUUGAUACUUUUUUAGCGCCAUGGACUCUAGGAGAAGAUGGUUGGUCAUUGAUAUUAACAUAUUCAACAGCAUCAGACUGCCCCAUUUCUACUGAAAGUUGCCUAUUCACAGUGUUCCUCAAUUUCUGCAUCAAGUUUAAGCAUAACUAUCAAAAGGGUAUCGGCAUCUAAAUUAUGAAACAAAAUGAGCAUUUACUUAUUAAAAAAAAUCAAAAAAACAGAAAUGGAUUUCACAGAACACAUGAAUUUAAGUUCAACAUUAAACAGGCGCUUAAGAAAACAAAAGGGUCUGGUCGUAAAGCCAUCAGAUUGCAAGAUUGAACAACAUUAACGGAAUCAAUAGAAUCGAUGUAAAGAGAUCUGAAAAGAAAAUAAAAUAAAAGAUGAAGAGAGAUAAAACGACCCAUCAAAUAAGUGCAUGCAGAGCAGAGAGGCAGAUACUAGAGAAGCUCCGUCAUGUUAGAGAGAGCCUAAAUCAAUCAGAGCUCACUGAGUUUCUUUUCAACUGACCGGCAAAUUUGGAGUAGCAUGACAUAAUAUUUUUGCUUUUAAUUUUCGGAACACUUUUGAAUGGAAUUUUUUGUUUUUCAAAACUAACGAAAUCGUAAAAAUAAAUAAACACGUGUUUGGUUUUGGGCUUCUUCUUUUGUUCAUUUAAUAUCAUUUGGUUCCCUGAUUUUUGACUAAUUAUCAACGGUAUCCUGUUAGUUUCCAAAUUGAAAUAAUAUUAGGUCAUGAGAUUAUUUACUCCAUUUAGCACUGUAGACUUAAUAGUAUAUUGAAAAAGCUUUGUCAAAUAGUAGUAAUAGGGGCAUAAGAAAUAAGUUCUUCAGAAUUUAGAUAAUAUACUUGGCUCUAGGAAGAUUCCCCUCUUAUCGCUCAAGUUAGGCUUUUACCUUAGAGUUGAGUAAAUCAUUAAAAUAAAUUAUAGCUAUCACAAAUUCGUCAGGGGACUUUCAAUUUUUUUCCAUCAAAUGGAAAUGAGGCAAAAUUACCUCAGCUUAUAUUGCAAAACUAAUACUUCAAAUUCUGACAAUAAAUUUGAUGACAGUCGAUUUUAUGUAUAGUAAUUUUGACUCUUUUGUUUGGUCUAAAAGUAGUUAUUUAAAAUGGCAAUGAUGACUUAUUUAGAAGAAAUGAUAAACUUAUAGUUCGUAAUAUUAUUUACGCAACUAAUAAAGACUAAUUUGAUAAUAAUCUUUCAAAUAAUAAUGAAGUGUUAAUUACUAUUUAAUAUUUUUUAUUAAUUUCUAAAUUUAAAACAAAUAUGAAAGUUGAUUGCUUCGAAGGUUGGAUCGUGACAAAUUGACAAAUGAAAAGAGAAGUAGAGAAUAUAUAUUCUGAUGAAAGGGACAAGAUUAAGCAAGGGGACAAUAUUCUCUAUUGGACCGACAAAUGGGGGAAAAGAAUAUAUAUAUAUAUAAUUUCUUAUUUGUGGAUUGGCCAACACGUGUAACAAAUAUGAAAAGAUAAAAUUUGGCGUGGUUUUAACCGAUAUAAGACAAGAAGAACAAAGCAAAGCCCAUGAAAAUUCACCUUUCAUGUGGGUUGGAUCGGAUAAAAUCAAUAUCUUGAAUCAAACAAAAUGUUUGGUACAUAAAGUUUUUUUUUUUUUUUUUACAUGAUAUUCGAUUUUUAUCCCUCGAAUUUUUACAUGAUAUUAGAUUUUUAACCCUCACUAAUAAUCGAGAGAUGUCUACUCCUCAUUUUUGGGUAAGGGAGAAAACUACAUUCACUUAAUUAUAAUUGAGGAAGGAAAUACCCCCCAUUACACUUGUGGGGGUUCAAACUGUUGCCCUCCAACUUGGAGUGCAGCAGCACUGACCACUCGGCCAAAGUCUGAGUGGCUGGUACAUGAAGGUUUUGAGUGUGUGUAAUGAGCAAGAAUUUACAUAACGAUAUUUUAGUAAAUAUAAGAAAAAAAGGCUCAGGGAAUGGCCUAUAGAUAGAAGCACGCAGCCCAUGAGUGAUGAGAAUACAAUUUAACUGUUCAAACUAAUUAGAAGCAAAUUCUUUCAUAUCUUUCUUUAAUUUUUCCGCUUAGUUCCUUAGCAUCCAAUCAAGUUCAAGUUAAAACACUGUUGAGACAACAAUAUGCAGGCAUCAAUAAGCAUAGUAGUUUUUUAUAUGUAUUCUAUACGAUAUUUGAGGGAUGUCAAUUGUAGAACAUUUUGCAGCAACUUUUUUACAUUAACUAAUGUUUGAAGAACUUGUUAAAAAAAAUGGUAAUUUUAUAAUUUUGAAAAAAAAAGAGUGAAAGUGACGUUACCUCAUUGUCAUUAGAGACUUGUUGCAAUGAUAGCUCAAAAUUAAAAUUUUUGAAGAAUUAGUAGACAACGAUGACGUAAUAUUUAUACAGUCACCAACAUGUUGAUUUUUGUUUAAUGUUUGAUCGAUAGAAAUGUUUGUCGUCGUUGCUGUUGUUGAAUUCAUACUUAGAACACAGAAGAGAAGAAGGGAAGAAAGGGAAGAGAAGAAGAGAGAAGUGGCAUAUAGCAAAUAUGAUAUGCUAGCUACAUACCAGCCUUAGAGAGAUUUUUUUUAAUAUUUAUUAUAUUUUUGUUUUUGUUAUUGGUUUGUCAUAUGCUUCCAGGGAAGCAAUACGUUACAUCAUAAAUUGCACCUUUUAGGGGAGGUGGUAAAAAACGUGAGAGCACUACGCUCCAGCGCAUACAUAUAGAAAGAGUUUCCGAAUUUUAAAAAGUUUCUUUAUUUCUUCCAUGUUUUUGUGCUUAAAAUAAAAUUUAAUUGUAUUUUGCAUUAACUUAGAAAAGAAAAGCCAAUUCUAUAUAUAAACUCAUGCAUUAAUUAGAAGAGUUGAACUAUUGGCACCCCUCUAUUAUCUUUAUAAAAUUCCUCUCCUAUUGUAAUUACAUUAAAGGACAAAAUAAAUCUAAUUAUAUCAUUAUAUUUCUCUUUUCAACUCUUUACACCCGUGCAACUACACCAAAGUCUUUUACAAUUUUUGUUUCCUCACAAACAUUAUUUAAAAGGUAGAAAGAUGGUUAGUGCACAAUCAAAUUUUAAGCCGCUACCUCCUCGGCCCAAAAUUCAAACUUAGAUGAUAAGCCAAAUAAAAUUAUUUGAAAAUCAUUCAAUCAGGUUCCCGGGGCAAAAAUACAAGAUCCUUAUUUGCAUGAUAUAUAUGAAUUAAUGUAAUUUAUUUGAAUUAUCCAAAUUCAUUAGAGAUAAAACUAUAAAAUAUACCAAAAAAGUUAGAAGGAAGGAUGUGUUGGGAUAUUUUACAAACUAUAGGAAUCUGGUGAGAUUUUGAGCCAAACUGUAGGGAGUUGAAGGCAUUUGCCCAAUAUGUUUAGACGUACACUAACCGUUAUUUGCUCUUGUUGUUGGUCCCGGAUGAGCUGUAGUCUUAUUUUAAUUUUAUUUAAACUCACCAUAAGAUUCGCGGAGCUCCUAACUAACUUAAAUGACUCUGCAGAGCAUGUCAACACAUAGCAUGUUUAACCGUUUUAUUUGUAGAAGAAUUUAUGAUUUCCCAUUAGCAUUAUUAUUAAAGAAGUGGGGCGGGUCAAAUCUCAAUUGCUUGAAAAUUUUAUUUAUUAUUAUUAGUCUUGAAGUGGGGUGGGUAACGGUUCGCUCAAUUUGAUUUGAGGGAAUCAAAUAUAUCAUCCAAGGUAGAAUUGUGGAAAAUUAAAGCAAAAUAAGAAAUAUGGAAAGAAAAGAAGAAAGUUAAUGCAUGAAAGACAUAUACAGUUGAAAUUGAUAAUCAUGUUUCUAUUUUGUUAACUAAUCAAAUGGAAAGCUGAACUGUAAACAAACAUUAAAACGUGUGGACCAAGCUAGCUGCCCUACAAGUUUACAAUAAUAAUUGAGUACUUUGAUUCAUCCUUCUAUGAAUUUCUACCCAUAUUGACUCCACCGAAAUUUCCACAAAAUAAAAAAAAAAAAAAACUGAAUUUCCACAAAAUGCAAAACCCGUAGAACUUAAUUUUUGGUCAUGUGAACUAAGAUGUAAAUUAAAGAAAAAGUAUAAAAUUAAAAAAGAUAAGAUUUCUAAAAUGUGUGGAAGGUGAUUCAUGAUUCACUGAAAUUACUUACCCCAGAUAUAAAUGUAAACCUAUCUAAUUUCAUUAAAAAUAGUUGGAAAAAAUUAACUAAUAGAAAGCUACGGAAAUUAACCCCCCACAAAAAUGACUUUUUAUAGAAGAAUUUAUGUUUUUUAAAAUAUGUUAUCAAAGUGUAUUUGAUCAAAUCUCAAUUGCUUAGUAUGGUUAGGAUUUUGUGAACAUCACUAAAAAGUGAAAACUAUGAAUGAUAGGGGUGAUGCUUGCAAUAUGAAUAAAUAAUGGACUGAUUCAAUUGAUGAUUACAUUUAUAUAUUAUUGAUUAUUUAUGAAUUUUCAGAUUUUCGAGUGAUCAACUUAAAUCUAUAUGAAUUUAUUGUCAAAGAUGGUGAUCAUGAUGGGCAUGUGAAUAUGUUAGAAAAAACUUGCACUUGUCGGGAAUUCCAACUUGAACAAUUACCAUGUGUACAUGUUGUGGCGGUGUGUAGGCAUCGAGAUUUUUCAAUCUAUGAUUACUGCUCCUAUUACUAUUCAAGUGAUGCAUGGGUGUUAGCAUAUUCUGAGACUAUUUAUCCUGUUGGUCCUCAAGAGGGGUGGGAUGUUUCUAGUGAUGUAUGUGCCCGCGAAGUACAUCCUCCUCUAGAAAAGCGGUCAAGUGGGCGUCCAAAAAAUAAUAGAAUACCAUCUAGGGGUAAGGAAAAGGUGCCUCGUAAAUGCAGUCGGUGUGGUGGUCGUGGACACAAUCGACUCAAAUGCAUGACGCCAAUGCCGUUACAUGAGUGAUACCUUGUUUUAAAUUUAUAUGCAAUGUAAGUGUCUCAAUUCUUGGUAUUCAUUUAUGUUUUAUUUAUUUCGUUAAUGCUGUUUAAAUAUGUACUAAAUUUAACACUAUGUGUACAAGGCUUGACGGAGGAUUUAGCUUGUAUGUUGUCUUUAAAUGGUGGCAUCGUAGAUUUUUGGGUUAUGGCUUGAGUUCUUGGAGCAAUUAAAGGACUAUGCUAAGUCAUUGUAUAAGGAUUUUCGUAUUGAAAUUGCAUAAGGAUGAAUUUACUAGUUGCUAUUUAAUGUUUCUUGGAUAAGGAUCAAUUUACUAGUUGCUAUUUACUAGUUGAAAUUAUAUAAGGAUGAAAUAGAAUUGUAUUUAAUGUUUCCUGGAUAAUUUAAAGUUGUUGCAUAAAAAAGUCGAGUGUUUCCUGUUAUUUACCCGACUGCACUGAAAAAAGUCGAGUAUUUCCCGUUAUUUACUCAACUUCGAUGAAAAUAAUCUACAUUUACCCAACUUCGAGGAGAUGAGAAUUUUUGUUCAAUAUUUUGCAAGGUCACAUCAAAGUCGAGUAUUCUCGACCUCAUACCCGACUUGGAUGAGUCGAGAAUUUUCAUUUAAUCUGACGCAAUGUUACAUUAAAGCCGAGUAUUCUCGACCUCAUACCCGACUUUGGUGAGAGGAGAAUUUUCGUUCAAUGUUAGAGAAGAUUGCAAUAUAAGUCGAGUUUUCUCAACUGUUUACCUGACUUCAAUGUGGAGAAAUUUUAUUUAAUGUUAGGCAAUAUUACAUUAAAAGUCGAGUUUUCUCGACUGUUUAAGUCGAGUUUUCUCGACUGUUUAAGUCGAGUUUUCUCGACUGUUUACCCGACUUCGAUGAGGAGAAAUUUUGUUCAGUGUUAGGCAAGAUUACAUUAAAAGUCGAGUAUUCCUGACUAUUUUCCUAACUUUGCUUAAGGAAGUCGAGAGUUAAGUCAAUCAGAGGAGAAUUUUUUAGGCAAGCGUACAUUGAAGUAUGGGAAUCAAAAUACCAGACUUUGAUGAAAUAAUAACAAAAACCAAAAUAUUUAACUUAUUCACACAUUUACAACAAUACAAGUCAGUUCAUAAGGUUUUGAUUAACAUUAUCCCAAAAGUUAAACUACAAACUAAUACGAAGUCGAGUAUUCUUGAUUAUCCAAAACAAUGAACUUCUUGUCAUCAUCAAUCGUACUCCUCUAUCAACUUCUUGUCAGAAAACAACCUUGUUGCCACUUGUUUUCGGUAUGAGUUAAUGCCUGCUUGUGUACGAACGUCAUAUGGAAUGUCUAGACCAUAUACAAGUGCCUCCAAAUAAAACAUAACAAAAACCCCACAAUCAUUGCUGCAAGAGAAAAAUAGAAAGUGAUAGUUAUUUGAUAUUACAUAACUCAAGGGAUAAUAUAAGAGAGGCAACACUAUUUCUUACUUGUUUUUUUGUUGUGGGAUGUCUGAAACUCGCACAGCCUUCCACUUACGAGUUAGAGAAUUAUCAUAAGAAUGUGAAGUAUACCAUGAUAUCCUAUCUAGAAUCAAUGGCAUCAUAACUACAAACGGCAACAAUUCCUUCUCAAAUGCACUGUCAUUCAUAUAAUCUAACAUGGAGUCAUACACAAAAAUUAUCUCCUUUUGAAGGUCAAACUGUGCUAGUGCCCAAUGAUCUUGCUUAGGAUGAAGCGGAAUAUAUACCUACAGAAAAAACCAUGUAAACCACUAAAUGGAGAAAAAAAAUUAUAGUCAACAUGUCAAAUAAAUAUAAGCAACUUACUUUGGAAACAUCUUUCCAAUGAACAACACAUUUAAGUUUUUCACCCUUGGCAUAAUCAACGACAUAAUUAGUAGCAUUAUUUGUCCAUACUUUUUCAGGGUUGAUCACGUAAACUGAAUACAGAUGCUCUAACUUUCGCUAUCAUUACAAAAAACAAAAGUGUAAGUGUCUUAUAUAUUUUAUAUUUUCCUAUAUGUUUUAUAAAUGUAAUAACAAACUUACUUGAUAUAUAGUGUCCAUUAUGGCACAUCGUUGCAUACUACAAGAUGGGGAGUUGACCAAGAUGUGUCGUACAACAUAAAAAAAAGAGUCCAAGUGUUGUAUAUAAUAAACAAUAGUUAUUAUAUGCAUUGUUUAACAUAUUCAUUAAAGUACCUAACAAAAAUUAUUACUAAACAAUAUGUUUAUAACAAAAUUCAAAACAAUAUAUAGAUUCUUACACUACAAUCCUUAAUUUCAUAAAUUUACAGAACAAUAUGUUUAUAACAAAAUUCAAAACAAUAAUCAAUAAAAGGCAAAUCCAAUGAACACAAUCAAAUAACCUUUAAAAUUGAAUCAUAAUGUUUCAAAACUAAACACAUCAUUUCUCCAACCGCAAAGCCAAAAUUGGGAAAACUAACCCACAUGAUUCUUUAAUCAACUUUUCUUUAACCACAUUGUUGCCAAAUCUUAAUUGUUGCACUCAAACAAAAAUAAGAAUACAAAAUCCAUAGAGGAAAUAAAAUAAAUUUGAAGUUCUUCAAAUAAAAAUAUGCUGUCUAACAUUUGUUUUUGUAUGUCUCUUCGUGAUAUAUUGUAUUACAUUGUUCAUGUUAUACUUCUAAUUCUUUUCAUUUUCAGUAAUCCCAUAAAUUAUACCCAAUUCACUAAAUCACUUACCAUUUUCAAGCAAAACCCUAAAAUUUUUCUUUGAAUAUUUGUAGGAGAAAGAAGAAAAUGAAAAUUACUUACCUAGUAACCAAUGACGGAGGCAAGACAAGGUGGUGGUGACACGGCUGAGGCAAUGGUGAUAGCUGAAGUGCAGAAUGGGCAGGGAGCCGCUUGUUCUUCAAGGAGUUUUCUCUCUUAUUUUGUUUACUCGACUUUGUGAUUUUGGGUGGGAAUCGAUUCUGUUUUGUUGGCUUUUAUUAAGGUUAUUUUUGUAUUUUCCAUGAUCUUUUUAAGUAUAUAUGUGUAAAGUUAGUAAUUUUAAUAUAUAGAGGUAUAUUUUAGGUAUUUUGAGGAAACCAGGUAUAUCCCACGCAAUUCGGGGUUUUUUUAUUUAAAUAUCCUCAAUUUACCCUUAAAUGCCAAAUUUAUACCCUAUUACAUACAUAUACCUUAUGAAGAUAGGAAAAGUCAAAAAUAACCUUAAAAAAACUAAGAAUUCACAUCUCUCUUCUCCCAUUGCUUCUCUUUUUCGGGCUUCUCUCACCAUUCUCUAUUUUUCUUAUAAGUGUAUUUCCUAAUGAUUUAUGAAUUUUAGUAGUACAUUAUUCAUUUUUUGUGCUUGCACACACACACACUAUUUCAAUGUAGGGAUUUAAGACUACAUUUAAGUUACGAGUGAUUGAAGAAUCAGUGCAGGAAGAAGUCGGGUACGAAGUCAGGUAAAUCGAGAAUUUAGUCGAGUAAGAAUUAGAGAUAAGUAAGUCGAGUAUAUGGUCGGGUAAGAAGUCGAGUAAGCAUAUUAAAUAAGUCGAGUAUAUGGUCGGGUAAGAAGUCGAGUAAGAAAAUUAAAUGAGUCGAGUAAGCAUAUUAAAGAAGUCGAGUAUAUGGUCGGGUAAGAAGUCGAGUAAGAAUAUUAAAUGAGUCGAGUAAGCAUAUUAAAUAAGUCGAGUAUAUGGUCGAGUAAGAAGUCGAGUAAGAAUAUUAAAUGAGUCGAGUAAGCAUAUUAAAUAAGUUGAGUAUAUGGUCGGGUUCAAGAAGUUGAGUAAGAAUAUUAAAUAAGUCGAGUAAGCAUAUUAAAUAAGUCGAGUAAGCAUAUUAACUAAGUCGAGUAUAUGGUCCGGUAAGAAGUCGAGUACGAAUAUUAAAUGAGUCGAGUAAGCAUAUUAAAUAAGUAGAAUAUAUGAUCGGGUAAGAAGUCGAGUAAAAAUAUUAAAUGAGUCGAGUAAGCAUAUUAAAUAAGUCGAGUAUAUGGUCGGGUAAGAAGUCGAGUAAGAAUAUUAAAUGAGUCGAGUAAGCAUAUUAAAUAAACCGAGUAUAUGGUCGGGUAAAAAGUCGAGUAAGAAUAUUAAAUAAGUCGAGUAAGCAUAUUAACUAAGUCGAGUAUAUGGUCCGGUAAGAAGUCGGGUAAGAAUAUUAAAUGAGUCGAGUAAGUAUAUUAAAUAAGUCGAGUAUUUUUAUUAAGGUUAUUUUUGUAUUUUCUCUGAUCUUUUUAAGUAUAUAUGUGUAAAGUUAGCAAUUUUAAUAUAUGGAGGUAUAUUUUGGGUAUUUUGAGGGAAAACAGGUAUAUCCCACGCAAUUCGCUCCGCAAUUCGCUCCCAUCUCAUCAUCUUCUUCAGUUGUACUAACAUUAAAUUCUUCUUAUUCCCUUUCUCAACUGUCAUACCCUAUCCCUAUUCCCUGUGUCCCCACUAAACCACGCUCAAUUCAGUCCAUCAGAUUCUCUCGGAACCACAUUAAUCCAACGGCUCACAAUGACCGACAGCCUCUGCAUCUCCAUUUCAAGCUCCCUCUUCAACUGGCCUCUGCUUCCGUUGUACUCUUUCUCGGAUUCUCGGUGGUCCCACACAGCUCCAUCUCGCUCCAAUUGUCACCCAACAAGACCAAUUGCUUAAUCAAGUCACAGAACAAAAAGAGGAUGAGAAAUUGGAACAAGAAUUUGAGAAUUGGAAAUCGAAAAUGUACAAAUUGACCGUGCCUUUGAGAGUUGUUUCUCUUCAGAAUUCAAUACCUCAAUCUUGGAUUAAGGAUUUUAUGCGAAGUCAAGGAAAGAUAUUGAAUUUUCAGAUGAAUUUGUGUGCUAGCAUUGAUGGGAUCUCAACAAUUUAUCUGUGCCUUUUAACAAAGUUAAGGCUAAAUCAGCUCUUAUAUGGGUGCUGAUUUGGUUAGUGUUGGUGAUUCAUGUCUCAGUUUUGCGAUUAAAAAGAGAUUGAUUGAACCAAUAGUUGGAGCUGAAGAUGAAGAUUGGUUCAAAUGCUUAAGUCACAAAUGGAAGGUAACAUCUUUAUCAUUGUCCAGAUAUUUUUUAAUCAUUGUCCCGAUAUGUUUUAUUGUCUUACAUUGAAGUUUGGUAAUGUAAUUUGUUCUCUAUCUGUGUUCCCUUUGUAGUCAUUUUAUUUAUUUUUUUGUUUGCAUUUAUUUGCACUUACGAAGUCUCAGGUAUAUCUAUGCAGGAAUGAUGCAGAAGAAAUUGAUCCUUGAGGUAAAAUAUGCGCAGCACCAUAUCAGUGGGGCACAGUGGUGAUAGCUUACAAGAAAAGUAAAUUUUGAAAGCAUAAUUUGGCUCCGAUUGAGGUAAUAAUUGUCUUUAAACUCAUUUAGUUUUAUAUCAAACAAAAUCAAGACUGCCCUUCUCUUCAAUAUUUUUUAUGAUAAUAUCUUUAGAAGCAGCUAAUUGACGGGUAAUCAAGGUAUUCCUUAAAGGGUCUACAAACUCAAUGAUAUUAUCUUCUGCAAAUGGUUCAUUAGACCUCUUAGUUGUAGUCAAAUGUCCACUAAGGACAGCAAGAAGCUAUGCCACUGUAGCAUGGUAAUGAUGGCCCUCAAUAAGUGAGUUGGUAGGAUGUGAAGCAGAAAAAUUAAUUAAUGUCUCCCUGGCUAUGCCAGCUCAUAAGUUAGGGUUAAUAUUAGAGCUUGAGUAACUAUAACCUUGAGAAGCUAUUGACUGCAAAUUAAAAUAUCCAUUAAAAUGUUUAGGGAGUUAUGAAGGUGGAAGUAUCUUCCAAUUUCUAAGGCCAUAUUGUAGACAUCAUCCAGGAUCCUAUUAAAGUGCAGUUAGCCUCCUGCUUGAUGCUAAUGUCAAACAAUUAAUAAAUUUGGUCAAUGUAACUGAAACUUGCUAACUGACAUCAGAUUGCAACUUAAAAUGGGAUAGAUGAUUAGUAGCACUGAAUUCUUCUUGCCUAAGAUUGAGCAAUUGUUCUAACUACUAUCUCCUAUUGUAGGUUGAUUAUUAUGUUCUAAUUAGGUCCAUUUUGACCCAAAAAAUUACAUAAUCUUGAUCUGCAUAUUGUCACUGAACAGUGUCAAUAUCGUUCACCAACUAACUUGAGUUUGAUAUAACAAACACACGGUGUGUCUCUCAUGUCUCACCAUGAUGGAGAAUUUUUCUAAUGCAUGAAGUAAGCUUCGAUAUGUGGGUUAGCUUGGAGAAGAUAUCUCAAAAUGAAGAAUAUGGGGAGUUAAUGGGAAGAAACAGUUCAUUAGUUGAUAAUUCUGUCAUCGAGCUGUAUCUCUAACAUGGUCAAAUUUUAUGUGAAUAAGGACAGGGAAUCUUCAUUCCUCUUUUCCUUUCUAUACCCAGAUAUCUCUCAACCUUUAUAUGUUGCCCACUGGAGAUCUGCUUCUAAUAACUAAAAUAAAAAUUUCAUCCACUCAAUAAAUGCUGACCAACCUUUCACAAGAAAAAGUAACAUCUUUAGUGAAGUAAUUUACAGUUCCUUAUCAUCUUCGUGUGAGUCUAUCAGUAUGAUCCAAAAACAUAAUACAUCUUGUUAGAUCUUGUUUAUUGAUGUUUAAAUGUUGUUCAUUGUGAAAUGUAGAAAUGAUGACGUGAAGUUUCUUUGGUCAUCAGUUAGUGAGAUCUUGUCUGAAGUUGUUUUCUGAAAUGAACUGCCAAAUGGUAGUUUUUUUUUUUGGGUGCAUUUGAUGGCUCUUUUCUCCUCAUUUUAAGUGGGUGCCUGCUUGGAAUGGGAAGGAAUAGGCUUCAGAGUUGUUAUAUAUGUUGACAUGCUCUAGUCUUUACACAAUAUGUUCAAAUUGGAAAUUAGAAUGAGAUAUUUGUCGAUGCUUUUUGAGAGAUCUGCAUUCUAAGCACCAUAACAUGAUUAAUGAAAACGGGUUUAAAGACUGGAAAGAUCUGUGGCGGCCCGAGCUUGCAGGAAGGAUUUCAAUGGUUAAUUCUCUCAGAGAGGUUAUUGGUACAGUUUUGAAGUAUAUGGGAGCAUCAUACAAUUGAAACGACAUUGAUUAGCAAGUUGCUGCUGGGAGGAUUGCUGUUCAGCAGAAUCUGGCAUUACUGGGAAACCAGGUACUCUUAACGAAACGAUAUCUGGUCAAUGCAUAUUAUUGCCUGACAGCUGAUUUUGUUUGUAAAGUCUGCCUUUUCAUACAUAUGAAUGCAUAUGUUAGUGUUUUACGAAUGCAUAUGUUGGUUUUAUUUUCUGAGAUGGAUGCAAAUAAAGGCUUUUUCUUCUAAAUUUAGCUGAAGAAAUGGCAAGGAAUGUGAGAUUAUAUCUCAUUAAAUUAUCAAAACCCAAAACAAUGAAAACUCAUAUUAAUGUGAUGUGGAUAAAUUGGCAACAUUUGGCUUGUUUCCUCCACGCGAAUUAGCAAGCAAUAGAGACUAAAAAAAUGGAGUGAUAAUAACAAGUCAUUGUCGUUUGAUGAAUGCAUUUUUAAGCAAAAAUAGGAUUGUAACUGAACAAAUUUUUCUGGCAUGCCAAUUUCAAAAAAUUAAAUUAUGUGGUUAUUAGUAAUGAAGGGGAAUUGUAGGUGCAAUCAGGUCAAUCCAGUAAAGUUCAACAAAGUUCUGGUUUGGUGUAGUGAAAUUGGUUUAUGCAACUUGAGUCUUUCAGAUGAACAAUGAUGAGUUUUCAUUUAAAAAUGUUAUAAAUCUGCUGUGCAUAGUAUUCUAGUGGAAUCAUCUAUAAAUUCAAGUUAUUGAAAUUGUCUAUUUUGUCUGGUCUGAGUUAAGGAGGCAUGUAAUUUAUGAAAAAUAGUUGUCGAAUAUUGUAGGUUACCUAACAUUUGAUCAAUCCUGUGGUGAGGGCUUUAAGAUGUCUAACAGCAUGUAGAAUGCCCCUGCUCCCCUCACAUUGUUUAUCUUAUACAAUAAUCCAUUAUAGAUGCUAAUAUCUUUGUCAAUACCUAAAACAGUAUUACAAAAUCUGAGUUUAUUGGGUUUUAUAUAGGUUCAACUGUUUGACAGUACACACUAUCUGAAGGCAUUUGGAAUUGGAGAUGUCUGGGUUGCUGUUGGGUGGAGUAGCGAUGUUCUUCCUGCUGUCAAACGUAUGUCUAAUGUUGCAGUUGUUGUUCCCAAGUCAGGUGCUAGCUUAUGGGCUGAUCUUUGGGUAUGCCCAUGCUUACCAUUCUACUUUGAUAUUCACUUUGUUAUCUCCAUCAUAGUAAUGAUCAGUAAAUACGAGAAUGUGUGACUGAUAAGUUUGUAUUCUCUUUUUAGGCAAUCCCUGCUGCGUCAAGACUUGAAACAAACCAAAUUGGAGGGUGAGUCAGAGGUCCAUCUCCAUUAAUCCAUCAAUGGAUAGUGUUCUGCUUGCAAACAGCAAGAGCAUUGCCUUUCAAACAAGAGGUUAUCCCUGGCGUACUGAGAUGGCUAAAGUUCUUGAAGUUUUGUUAGAAAUGAAAGAUGAGUGGUUGUUUGAAUAAAGUUGUGGCCAAUCUCGCAAAGGUUAAAAAGGAACAUCACGGAGCUAAUGCCACCGAUUUCUUCAUCAUUGUAGCCUCUAUAGUUGAAGUUUCCUCAUUUGAAGCUCUUUAUGCAUUAUCCCUGCUCAAGUACAAUUGAAGAACUAACCAGAUGUGAUAUGCUGAAAGAGGGAAGUUUUCUUCCUUGAAUGUGGCCUUGUGAUUUGUCAGGGAAUAGGAUGAUCACUAGCAAGAACCCUGUCAAGGUAGAUUUUAUGAUAUUAACAUAUUAUUAAGCAUUUGCCACUUUAGCAACGAUACAUUCAUAGCGUGAAAGUGUUCAAAUUUAACCUAAUGAUCCUGAUUAAUCAAUUAAUUUUCAUGAGUUGUAACCGGAGUUAAAGCUAAGUACAAUCAUCGUUAACAAAGACUGAAAUUUUGGGUAAAUAUGAUCUUAUAUUGAAUCAUUUGAUGACACAACUCACAUUGGAAAUUACUUAUUGCGUGGGGAUGGCGAUGUUUACUGUUGUAUUGCGAUAUAAAAUAUGUGCAAGGUAUUGUCGACUGCUUUUUGGGUUAUGGUGUGAUAGCUGCUGAUUAGUGAUAAAACAAGAAAAAUUAAUUAAACUCAGGCCUACAUGCUAAAUGUGUAUGUUAUCCUAACUUUCACUACAAGAAAAUGUCCUUAACCUGACCGUGUUAGAUGAUUGUAAGUAGCAGUGUUCGUACAAGUUUUUUUUCCUUCAUGGUAUUUACAAUUUCUUAGGAACAUCUAAAAUCUGAAAAUCCUCAUUUACUAAAAAUUAAGUUAUCAUUUACUGGCUGGCAACUUAAAGAUAAGAAUAAAUUCAAGAGCUCAUCAACCAAGUAGAGUUUUCUCAAUAGACGCCGUAGUUAAUUUCUCUCUUCAAUCUUGAUUAUGAAUGAUUGUUUUGUUGCUUUUUAAAGCGCUUUUAAAGUUUUAUUUUGCUCAUGUCUGAUAUUUAAUUACCUGAAGAAGCCUGAUGAUUUCUUGAUAUGAUUGCUCUGCCAAGCUAUCUAAGAAAUAGCUAUAGAAAUCCCUUCAUUACAUUAGAUAAUCUUCAUUAUCUGUGCAAUUUGGUGUUUUGUCUUUGAAGCCAGCCGUUUGCUUUUGAUAGAUUCCAUCUCGUAUUUAUUCCUUUUCUAUAGAUUUUGCAGGAUUGAAGCUAUAUUUCUUCUCUGUAUAUGUGAUUGAUAUUAAGAGUAUGUUUUUGUGUUGUCUCUGUUUUUUCUAUUUGAUCUAGAUUUAAUACCUGAAAGGUUACUAACAAAUUAUCUUAGGUCAAAUUCUCUUUUACGAGACUUUUUUUGCUAAAUUCUUGGAAUUAUAUAAUUAACUAAAUCUUUAGUACAAGGAGGAGUUUGCCCCUAACUUUGCUUUCUUUCUAUAAUCGCAUUAAUAAUCAAUCCCCUGCAUGUUGGUCGCAUUAAUAACCAAAUGUGCCUUUGACAUGCAACUAUACAAUCACAAACCAUCAUAGGCCAAGAUUGGUUCAAAUGCUUAAGUCACAAAUGGAAGGUAACAUCUUUGUCUUUGACCCGAUAAUUUUUAUUGUCUUACAUUGAAAUUUGGUAAUGUAAUUUGUUCUCUAUCUGUAUUACCCUUUGUAGUCGUUUUAUUUAUUUGUUUAUUUAUUUGCUUUUAUUUGCACUAACGAAGUCUCAGGUAUAUCUACGCUGGAAUGAUGCAGGAGAAAUUGAUCCUCGAGGUGCAAUAUGGGCGGCACCAUACAGGUGGGGCACAAUGGUGAUAGCCUACAAGAGAAGUAAAUUUCAAAAGCAUAAUUUGGCUCCGAUUGAGGUAAUAAUUGUCUUUAAACUCAUUUAGUUUUAGUCAAAUGUACACUAAGAACAAUUAGAAGCUAUGCCACUGUAGCAUGUAGUGAUGGCCCUUAAUAAGUGAGUUGCUAGGAUGUGAACUAGAAAAAUUAAAUAUUGUUUCCUUGGGUAUACUAGCUCGUAAGUCAGGGUAAAUAUUAGAACGUAAGAUACUAUAACCAUGGGAAGCUAUUGACAGCCAAUUAAAAUAUCCUUUAAAAUGUCUAGGAAGUUAUGAAGGUGGAGGUAUCGUCCGAUUUCUAAGGCCACAUGGUAGACAUCAUCUAGGAUCCUAGGAAAAUGCAGUUAAACUCCUGCUCAAUGCAAUUAAUAAAUUUGGUCAUUGCCACUGAAACCUGCUAACUAACGUUACAAUGCGACAUGAGCACUUCAAAAUGGGACAGACGGUCAGUAGCACUAAAUUUUUCUUGCCUAAGAUUGAGCAAUUGGCUAACUACUAACCCCUAUUGUAGAUUGAUCAUUAUUUUUUCAAUUUUGUUCAGUUUGACCCAAAAAGUUACAGAAUCUUGAUCUGAAUAUUGUCACUGAACACUGUCAAUGUCGUUUAGCAUAGCCAACUAACUUGAGUUUGGUAAAACAAACACACAGUGUGUCUCAUGUCUCACAAUUCAAAUUAUCAUCUGUAAUGAUGGGGAAUUUUUCCAAUGUAUAAAGUAUGCUUUGAUACGUGGGUUAACUUGGAGAAGAUAUCUCAAAAUAACGAAUAUGGGGAGAAAACAGUUCAGUAGUUUAUUAUUCUGUAGUCAAGUUUUGUCUCAAAAAUGGUCAAAAUUUAAAUGAAUAAGGACAGGGGAUCUUCAUUCUUUUUUCUCUUUUUAUACCAAGAUAUCUCUCAACCUUUAUAUAAUCCCCACUGGAUAUCUGCUUUUAAUAAUUAAAAUAAAAAUUUCACCCCCACAAAUAAAUACUGACCAAGCUCUAACAAUAAAAAGUAACGUCUUUAGUCAAGUAAUUUACAGUUCCUCAUCAUCUUAGUGUGAGACUAUCAGUACGUUCCAAAAACAUAAUAAAACUGGUUUGAUCCUGUUUAUUGAUUUUUAAAUGUUGUUCAUUGUGACAUGUAGAAAUGAUGAGGCGAAGUUUAUUUGGUCAUCAAUUAGUAAGAUCUUGCUUGAAGCUGUUUUACGAAAUGAACUUGCCAAGUGGUAGUUUUUUGGGGGCAUUUGAUGGCUCUUUUUUCCUCAUUUUAAACAUGUGCCUCCGUGGAACGGGAAGGAUUAGGCUGCAGAGUUGUUAGAUAUUUUGACAUGCUCUGGUCAUUGCACAAUUUGUUCACACUGGAAAUUAGAAUGAGAAAUUUGUUGAUGCUGUUCUGAGAGAUCUGCAUUCUAUGCACAAAAACAUGACUAAUGAAAAUGGAUUGUAGGACUGGAAAGAUCUGUGGCAGCUUGAGCUCGCAGGAAGAAUUUCAAUGGUUAAUUCUCCCCGAGAGGUUAUUGGUUUGGUUUUGAAGUAUAUGGGAGCAUCAUACAAUUCAAAUGAUAUUGAUUCGCAAGUUGCUGGUGGGAAGAUUGCUGUUCAGCAGAAUCUGGCAUUACUGGCAAGCCAGGUACUCUUAAAGAAGUGCUAUCUGGUCAUUGCAUGUUAUUGCCUGACAACUGAUUUUGUUUGUAAAAGUCUGCUUCUUCAUACAUAUGGAUGCAUAUGUUAGUGUUUUCUUCUCCUUUUCAUACAUAUGAAUGCAUAUGUUAGUGUUGUCUUUUCCUUUUCAUACAUAUUAAUACAUAUGUUGGUGUUCUCUCCUGAGAUGGACGCAAUAAAGGCUUUUGCUCCUAAAUUUAGGUGAAGAAAUGGUAAGGGAUGUGAGAUUCUGUCUCAUUAAAUUAACAAAACCCCAAAACAAUGAAAACCCAUAAUAAUGUGGUGUGGGUAAAUUGGCGCCAUUUGGUUCGUUUCCUUAAUGUGAAUACACGAGCAAUAGAGACUAACAAAUUGAAGUGACAAGAACAAGUCACUGUCCUUUGAUGGAUGCAGUUUUAGGCAGAAAUAGGUUUGUAAUUGACCAAAUUUGCCUGGCAUGCCAAUAUCAAAAAAAUUAAAUUAUGUGGUUAUUAGCUGUAAUGAAGGGGGAUAGUAGGUGCAAUCAGGUGGAUCCAGGAAAGUUCAACAAAGUUCUGGAAUUGCGUAGUGAAAUUGGUUUGUGCAACUCAAGAGUCUUUCAGGUGAACAAUGAUGGGUUUUGAUUUAUAAAUGUUAUAAAUCUACUGUGCAUAGUAUUCUAGUAGAAUCAUCUAUAAGUUCUAGUUAUUGAAGUUGUCUACUUUGUCCAGUUUGGUCAAUUACCUAACAUUUGAUCAAUCCUAUUAUGAGGGCUUCAAGAUGUCUAACAAUAUGUGGGAUGCCCAUGCUCCUCCCCAUUGUUUAUCUUAUACAAUAAUUUGUUUUCGAUGCUAGUAUCUCUUUCGAUACCGGUAACAAUAUUACAAUAUCUGUGUUUAUUGGGUUUUACAUAGGUUCGAAUGUUUGACAGUACACACUAUCUGAAGGCAUUUGGAAUUGGAGAUGUAUGGGUUGCUGUUGGGUGGAGUAGUGAUGUUCUUGCUGCUGUCAAACGAAUGUCUAAUGUUGCAGUUGUUGUUCCCAAGACUGGUGCUAGCUUAUGGGCCGAUCUUUGGGUAUACCCAUGCCUGCCAUUCUACUUCGAUAUUCACAUUGUUAUCUCCUUCAUAUUAGCGAUCAGUAAACACAAUAAUGUGAGAAAUAAGUUUGUAUUCUCUUUAUAGGCAAUCCCUGCUGCCUCAAGACUUGAAACAAAACAAAUUGGAGGGCGAGUCAGAGGUCCAUCUCCAUUAAUCCAUCAAUGGAUAGAGUUCUGCUUGCAAAUAGCGAGAGCAUUGCCUUUCAAGCAAGAGGUUAUCCCAGGCGCAUCUCCCUCUGCUCUUGAAAGUACUCUGGUUAAGUUGCCUGAAGAACUUCUGAAGGGUAAACCAAGUCUGGAUACUAACUUAAUUUCUGGAGUACCCCGGGCUGAAAUUCUGGCCAGAUGUGAGUUUUUGGAGCCAUUAUCUGAAGCUACUUUGUCAGAUUAUGAGUGGCUGGUUGGUAAUCUGCAAAAAACCUGCUCCUGUCUUGGUGAAAAGGGGGCAAAAUUACUUGUCAUCAUUAAUCCAAAGCUUUCUAGCAAAAGCUGCAUUGAAACGUUAAUGGCACUGCAUGCCAGUCAUUAUAAUGCAGUCAGGGCAAUUGGGUCAGGGCAAUUAGGUCAGGGCAUAACUUCAUCAGGAAAAGAGGCUUCAGCUACGUUAAAUAUUACAGUAUGUACUAAGAUGGCUGAAGUUCUUGAGGUUUUAGGAGAAACGAAAGAUGAGUCUUUGUUUGAACAAAGUUGUUGCCAAUCUUUCAGAGUUCGAGAAGAAAGAUCACGGAGCGAUGCCGCUGAUUUCUUCAUCAUUGUAGCCUCCAUAGUUGAAGUUUCCUCAUUUGAAGCUGUUUAUGCAUAUGCUUUUUCCCUGCUCAAGUACAGGAAAUUGGAGAAUUAACCAGCUGUGAUAUGCUGAAAAAGGGAAGUUUUCUUACGUGAAUGUGGCCUUGUGAUUUGUCUUGAAGGAAUAGGAUGAUCACUGGCAAGAACCCUAUGAAGGUAGAUUUUAUGAUGUUAACAUAUUAGUAAGCAUUUUGUUACAUCAGCGAUGAUGCUUUCAUUGCAUGAAAGUGUCUAAAUUUAACUGAAUGAUCUUGAUUAAUCAAUUAUGAGUUUUAAUCGAGUAAAAACUAAAUUCAAUCAUCGUUAACAAAUACUGAAAUUGGGUAAAUAUGAUCUUGAUAUUGAGGAAUUUGAAAUCACAACCCGCACAGGAAAUCACCCUUCGCGGGGGGAUGGAGAUGUUUACUGCAGCGAUAAUGAAUAUGUGCAAGGUGUUGUCCACUGCUCUUUGGGUUAUGGUGUGACUUGCGAUUUCAAGGUUGCCCUGAAACAAUGGAAAAUAUUAACAUAUCCUCCAAUGAAUAAAAACGGCUGGACUAAUUCAAAUUACUCAGCAUCAGGUGGCAAUAAUAACAGUCCAUUUACUUUUCCAGGAUCAGAUGUUGAUAAUAAUAGUUUAUUAAAUGACAAAUCAUUGUUCUUGGGGGUUAGUUGUAUACGUCCUUACUACUUCAAGGAGAAGAAAAAGGUUGUGCAGGUGAUUUCAGAAAUAAAAUACAUUCUGAGAGAUGAUGGUCCACUACUGCAUGCCCCCCAGAUUUAAGAAUCAUCACUUUUCCUUUAAAAAACUGCUACGCUUUGAUUUUAGUGCUGAAUAUUUAUUGAACUCUGAUAGAAGGAGUUUGAAGUCAAACUCGUAAUUACAGGUUAUCUAAUUGCUGAGUUGUUGUCCAUAGCUGCUGAUUUGUAGUGAUUAUCUAAUUGACUGAGGUAACAACAAUUUUUUUUUUUUAAUUUUCAAUAGCACAAUGUCGAAUUCAAUAAUUAAAUUCUCCUAUUUAAUUUGUUUCAAGUUAAAUUAUUAAUUACUUAAACUAUGUUUUAAGUCUUUAAUUUUAUGUCUUGGCGUAUAUGCAGAAUUGGAUUCUUGAGCGUGUUGGACACGACCAACAAUGAAAUUGACAGUAAACAAACAUUACAACGUGUGGACUCCGGUAGCUGCCCUACAAGUCUACAACUUCACAAAUAAUAAUUGAGUAAGCACCUUUGAUUCUCGUAACCCUUCAAUGAAUUUCUAGCCCCAUUGACUCCACUAACAAAAGUUUUGUAAAAUAAAAAAAAUACAUAAAAUUCCACCAAAUACAAAACGCGUGGAAUUUAAUUUUCGGCCGUGUGGACCAAAACAUAAUUUAACGAAAAAAGAAAAAAAUGAUAAGAUUUCUAAAAUGUGUGGAAGGUGAUUCAUAUUUUACUGAAACGACUUGUUAAAUUUUUCAAGGAUUUAGAAUAUUUGGUCGUAAAUUAGGUGCAUGUUAAUUUUUCCGCCAUUGACUAUCAUAUUCUAAACUUAAUGGUACCUUUCUUGAUGAAGGGUACUUAGUCUCCCUUCUCCUCUUAUAAAAAUUAUAUUAAUUGAUUUCUUAUUAUAGUUAAUAGUCUUUAAGAACGGAUAGCUUUAUUGUUUUCAUAACCAAAUUAUGCCUGCCUAAGAUUGCGACUAUUAAUAAAAUUAAUAUUCAAUGUUUAUGUUAAAAGAUAUAAGAUUAAUUUAUGCGUUCAUUAAUUGUUAUUAGCUAAAGGAUGAAUUAUUUUUUCAACCCAAUCAGUUGAUGCAUCUGCAAGAGUUUUUUCUUUUAGUGACCAUAAUUAUAUUCCGGGUACAAUAAAUUGUCUUUGGUGCUUGGAAAAUAUGACUUCUUACUUCAAGUUUUUGAUAUGUCUCUCUCCAUAAACUUACUGGAAAUAUAUCCUCAUCUACUGUCAUUUAUCUAAUAUCAAUUGAAAAUCUCACUUUUCCAAACUAUCACUUCCAAGUCUAAUUGUCACUUGCCAUUCUUGGACCAUUCAAAACCAAUCAAGUGUUGAAAUAAUCAAAUAUAUGCAAAAUUAGAGUCACGAUUUUUGGUCCCCCAAAUUCUAAUUAUAUAACUUCUAUGUAUCUCAUUGUCAGGUCACGAACUUGUUGGCACAUUUUCCAAAUUCCUCUUCCAUCAGCUCUCACAUGUUAACUUGAGUGUAAAGUUUCCAAGUUGAUUGCUAGAAAGCAACGCAAAAUCAGACACACUUGACCCGUCCCAUAAUUAUCUUUUCUACGUUGAAAAAGAAAAAAAAAAAGAAAAAAGAAAAUAUAUCUAUGUAAAAAUAAAUAAUAAAUUGAGUAAAAGCACAUUUGUUUAAUUAACAUCUGAUCGGGGCAUUUUUGGUGUAAUUUAGUGCUGUGUAACCCACAACUAAAAUCAAACAGCCCCUUAGCAUACUUCUUCCAUUUUAUCUGCUACUUUUGUGGAUCUGAUAGGGUGGGCAUGUGGACAGAAUUUAAAAGUUUUAAUAGUCUCAAAGAAUAAGAUAUGUUAAAGCUAAAGUUGUUGCACCUUCUUAUUAAAUAAAGUUGCACAAUUUCACCAACUUGGAAGAAUUGACAUCAAUGGACUGGUCCCUCUCCAUAUAUGAAGCCUUCUUAAAAGUAAUUUUUAUUUCAGAAAAAAAAGUUUAAGUUACAUAUAUUACAGUAAGAUUUUUUGAGACCAAAUCCCUUCAAAUAAUAAUGGAAAAGUAUUAAUUUAAAAACAAAAUGAAUAUGUAUUGAUUAUAUCCGGAUUUUCAUAGAUUAUAGUGAGAGUUUCUCCAAAUCAAUUCCCUUAUUCAAAUAAUACAGAAAAAAUAGUAAUUUAAUAGUAAAAUAAACAGGUGUUGAUUGUAUAUCCUUAGUUUCAUCGAUUAUGUGAUCAAAGUGGCAUUGAUGAUUUAUUUCUUGUUCAAUGUUAAUUUUUAGGUUAUCUAAAUUUUAAGGAUUUAAAAUCUUUGGUCAUGGAUUGCAUGCUUGUCAAUUUUUCUGUCAUUGACUGUCAUAUUCUAGACUUAAUGGUACCUUUCUUGAUCAAGGGUAAUUAUUCUCUCUCCUCCUCUUAUAAAUUCCUCUUCCAUUAACAUCACUAGGAGUUUGUUGAUCUCUAAGACGUUAACUUGAGUGGAGAGUUUCCAAAUUGAUCGUUACAAAACAGUACAAAAACUAGACACACUUGAUCUGUCUAAUAAUUCUCUUUUGGUAAAAUUAAUUAAUUUUAGGAGAAUAUUCGGCCAACCUCUAUAAUUUCAGAUUGAUCACUAAUUAAUUAAACGAUACAAAUUGCUAAAGUGAUUAGAUGUUUGCUGACAAUACAAGUUCAUGGUUUGAAAUUUGAUCUCUAUCGAUUGGUUUACAAUGGACGUACUUGUGCCUUUGUGGCGAUAAUUGAACCAGAGAUGUGAAGCUGUAAAGAUUUGGCAGUAGUAAAUUGUUAUAAAGACAUAAUGACAAGUUCCCAUGAUUAUUAUUUUUUCCAAAAACUUUUUUACAACAAAUUCAUCUCGCCCAAAAAUUCUAUUUUUCUAACCAACAAUAAUUGAGUACUUGGCCGUAUUGACUCCACGUCUCCACCUGCUUUCUAAGUAAAAACAUGGAAAUGUACUUUCCACAAAAUGCCAAAUGUGUGGAAUUUAAUUUUUGGUCUUGUGGACCAAAAUACAAAUGAAAGAAAGAAGAAAAAAAAGGCCCAAAGACUUCUAAAAGGUGUAGAAGUCUUUGGACCUUUUUACAAUAGUGGAUUUUUUAAAAGGAAAAAAUAACAACACUUUUAUGAUUUGUUUUGAUAAUCAUAUUUACAUAUACUCUCUAAUUUUCAAAAUGGACACAUAAUUUUUUUUUUUACAAAUAUACGUUAUUCGUAUUUUUUAUUAUUUUUAUUAUCGUAUUUUUAUUUAUUAUAAAUAUUUAAAGUAAAUUUUUAGGUUGAAAUAUAUUAAAAGGAUAUAAUCGUUCUCUUAUUAAACACACAUACUUUUAGUUUCUAUCCAUUUGUCAUCUCAAUCUCUCUCAAUUAUUGUUUAUUGCUAGCUCAAAGCGCGUUGCUGUGGAAAAUUGUAGCAAAAUGAAAAAUUGGAAAGAAAGGGAAGAAGAUUAAUGGGUGAAAGAAUUGGAGAAAACAACCAAAUAAGUCAACUGCUCUUUAGUGAGAACAUUUUACAAAAGGAUUGGAUCGAGUUUUUGUUUGAUAUUGAAGGACCUGCGUCCCUGUCGCGAUGUAGAAUAUGUGCAAGGAGUUGUCUACUGCUCUUUAGGCCAUAAUAAUGUGACUGGUGCAUUCCACGUUGCCCUCAAACAGUGGUCUGAAGUCAAAAGCAAUUAGUUACAUAACAAAUCAUUGUUCUUGGGUUAUACCUCGUCAUGUCUUCAAGUGCGAAGAUGAAGAUUAUGCAAGUGAAUUCAGGAAUACAAUACAUCAUUUCCAGCUCUUUGGGUUAUGGUGUGACUUGCGAUUCCCUCCAAUGAAUGAAAACGGGUGGACUAAUUCUGAUUACCUAAUUGACUCAGGAUCGGCUGGCAAUAAUAACAGUUUAUGAACAAUGCACAGUCCUAGUACUUUUCCAGGAUCUGAUACGACGUUGUCUAAUGUUGAUAAUAAUAGUUUAUUAAAUGACAAAUCAUUGAUCUUGGGUGUUGAUUUCAGAAAUAAAAUACAUUCUGAGAGAUGCUGGUCUACUGUUGCAAGCCCCCAGAUUUAAGAAUCUUCUGAUGAUAAUUUAUCACCUGCAACCGUGCCGGAAGAUUCAACUAGCACUGAAAAAGAUGAUAAUUUAAUUGAUAUGGACAGUUUCCAUAUCACUUUUAAAUCAUCCUAUGUAAUUGUGAUGUUAGGAAGCAUUAGUGAUCUAUAUGUGAACUAUUAUUGGUGCCAUUGGUGGUUUUAUCUUGUUAAAAUAUGGAUGACUUCCAGUUACUAUUUUGUAGUAUACAAUUUUAUUCAAUUAACAUAUAGCUUAAAACCAUUAUGUAUGUGCUUUAUUAAGAUUCUCAAGUACCAAUCACGUUUGCUUAAGAAAUAAAAUUUUACCAUUAAAAGCGUAGUAAUAUUUCCAAGCGCUUCGCAUUUAUCUCAACAUUUUGAAGGAAUUUUGAGAAAUACACGUGUCCAAAAGUCUAGUCAUCAUCCUUAUUUUUCUAUCGUUCUUUUGGGUUUGCAGUUGGUGGUGCUUUCAAUGUUUCCCUGAAACAUAGCAAAAGAAGGUACAUAUUCUUGGUAUGAGUUAGAUUUUUAGUGAUUAUCUAAUUGACUGGGGUGACAACAGUAGCACAACGUAGAAUUCAAUAAUAAAAUUCUCCUGUUUAAUUUGUUUUAAGUUAAAUAAUUAAUUACUUAAAACUCUGUUUUAAGUCUUUAAUUUUAUGUCUUGGCGUUUAUGCAGAGUUGGAUUCUUGAGUGAGUUGGACAUGACCUACAAUGAGAAUGACAGUAAACAAACAUUAAAACGUGUGGACUCCGGUGGCUGCCCUGCAAGUCUACAACUCUACAAGAAUAAUUUCUAGUCCCGUUGACUCCACUAACUAAAGUUUUUUAAAAUUUAAAAAGGUACAUAGAAUUCCAUGACAAGCAAAACGUGUGGAAUUUAAUUUUUUGCCGUGUGGAAAAAAAUACAAUUUAGCAAAAAAGGACAAGAAAAAUGGUAAGAUUUCUAAAAUGAGUGGAAGGUGAUCCAUAUUUUACUGAAACGACUUGUUCCGAACAUCACGACGUGAUUUUUUUUAUUUUUUAUUUUUGAAUAACAUCAACUUCCAUAUCUGUCUAACCCCCAGAAUAUGCUCACGUUCAAGUCUAUCUUGCUAAUUUAAAAAAAGAAAAUCAAAUCAACAUCUUCAGGAAGAUUUUCCUCAAUUUGCUCCAGAAGAGUUGGAGCUGUGGUUCUGAUAAACCAAAGAAUUAGUAGCAAUAUUAAUAUUGCCCACCCAAGAAAUAUGAGUGAAUUAAAGUAUUGACAAGACUUCGCUCAGAGGAGCAUUUAAACCACUUCCUUAUCAGUUGCGGCAGCCGUCUAUUAACUAAAACGCCAAUCUAAUACAAGAAGAAAGAACAUUUACAGACUUGGCAAUUGAGUUUAUUAAGAAGUAGCAUCGCAUUCGGGUGAUGAGUUUCCUUUUGUUAAUAAUUUUAGUCUAAUUUCAAUUGUACUGUGAUGGCUUCUCAAGGUAAGUGAAAGUUACAGAUGUGGCAAAAUAAAUAAUUAAAUUAACAAAAUGCUAACUGAUUUUCCUAAACACCUAGGGUUGUACAAUUUCACCAACCUGGAAGAAUUGACAUUAAUGGACUGGUCUCCUCCCCAUAUAAUUAUAAUCCUUCUAGAAAGCUAAUUUUUAUAAUUUCAAUUAAAAAAUGUUUUAAGUUAUAUAUACUCUAAUGAGAUUCUGAAUUCCUUUAUUCCAAUAAUAAUGAAAACGUAUUAAAUUAGAAAUGAAAAAAUGGGUGUUGAUGAUUCAUCCUGAUUUGGAUAGAUUACGUGAAUAAAAUUGAAAUUUUAAUAAAAAAACAAGGAAAGGUUUUUCCGAGUCAUCCAUUAUUUGAUUACCGUCAAUCAAGAAAACGACCAAAUUAAUUUCUCUCCAAAAUUUCCAAAAGCUAGAAAAUUUUGUUAUUUGAAAAUAACAUCAUUAAUUAUAGAGUGGAUCAAACCGCGUUAUUGUCUUUCAUAAAAUUGAUGUCUUUUUAAGAGUCAAUACUUUUUAUUUACGCAAACCAGUCGACAUCAACUUAAACUUCCAUAUUUUUAUUAUUAUGUUAUUGAUUUUAAUCCCUGAUUAUUUGAUUAGCCACUAUAUAUAUCAAGAAAGCGACAAAAUUUAUUUCUCAUGACUUUCAAAAACUAGAAAACAACAUCAUUUAUUAUUUUUUUGCAACCCUAAUUGACAUCAACUUUAACUUUAUUAUGUUAUUAUUUCAAUCCCCCAUUAUGACCUUUCUAAUCCUCCAUUAUGCAUCUUUUAUAGUGCAAAUUUAAUUGCACAUCUAAAUAAAUUGAUUAUUGUCACUCCACCACCAAUAUUUCAAAUAGUCACUAUACCAUUUCUGCCUUUAAUUUUCCCUUAAGUUUAACUAUUGACUGUUUUUAGCAUCUUAAAAUAUACAUUUAUUCCUUGAUUAUGUGAUAAAAUUAUGAAAAUAUCCAUUUUAGCUUAAAUUAAUUGGAAUAACCAUAAACAUAACUUAAAUUUAUAGAACAAAAUUAUCAAGUGUAUGUUCUAUCUUACUUUUUGAAGAAUUUAACAUAUAUAAUGCUAUACUAUUAAUAAAUUUAUCAUUUAAUAUAUAUUUUCAAAUAUUUUAUAUAUUUAUUAAUUGUUAUAUAGUCAAAGGAUGAAUGAUUUUUCUGGUCUACAUGAGUUGGUGCAUCUGCAAGACUCAAUUUUGACAACAAUGAUCUAAGGGGUAAUUUACCUUGGUGUUUGACAAAUUUAACCUCUCUUCAAGAUUUACUUCCAAUCUACUUACUGUAAAUAUAUCCUCAUCUCCUCUCAUUUAUAUGAUAACCCUUGAAGAUCUCACAUGUUCAAACAAUCAUAUUAGGAUUUUUAUUAUUAGCAUCAUUGUGUCAAUAAUAUAUGUUGCAGUAAGAUUUUUUCAGACCAAUUCCCUUCUUCAAAUAAUAAUGGAAAAGUAUUAAUUUAAAAAUAAAAUGAAUAUGCAUUGAUUAUAUCCUGAUUUUCAUCGAUUAUAGCGAGAGUUUCUCCAAAUCAACGCCCUUAUUCAAAUAAUACAGAAAAAAUAGUAAUUUAAUAGUAAAAUUAACAAGUGUUGAUUAUAUAUCCUAAGUUUCAUCGAUUAUGUGAUCAAAGUGGCAUUGUUGAUUUAUUUCUUGUUCAAUGUUAAUUUUUAGGUUAUCUAAAUUUCAAGGAUUUAAAAUCUUUGUUCAUGGAUUACAAGCUUAUUAAUUUUUUUGCCAUUGACUGUCAUAUUCUAGACUUACUGGUACCUUCCUUGAUCAAGGAUAAUUACUCUCUGUUCUCCUCUUAUAAAUUCCUCUUCCAUUAACAUCACUAGGAGUAUGUUGAUCUCUCAGACGUAAACUUCAGUGGAGAGUUUCCAAAUUGAUUGUUACAAAACAACACAAAAACUAGACACACUUGAUCUGUCUAAUAAUUCUCUUUCGGUAAAAUUAAUUAAUUUUAGGGGAAUAUUCGACAAAUCUAUAUAAUUUUAGAUUGAUCAUUAAUUAAUUAGACGAAAAACGUACUUGUGCUUUGUGCCGACAAUUGAACCAGAGAAGUGAAGCUGUAAAGAUUUGGCAGUAGUAAACUGUUAGAAAGACAUAAAGACAAGUUCCCAUUUUAUAAUUUUUUCAAAAAACGUUUUUACAACACAUGCACCUGGCCAAAAAUUUUAUUUUGCUAACUAACAAUAACUGAGUAGCUGACCGUACUGACUCCGCCUACUUGCUAAAGUAAAAAAAUAGAAAUAGAAUUUCCACAAAAUGUCAAACAUGUAAAAUCUAAUAUUUGGCCGUGUGGAACAAAAUACAAAUGAAAAAAAAAUAGAAAAAAGGCCUAAAGACUUUUAAAAUGUGUGGAAGUCUUUCGGCCCUUUUAUAAUGGUGUGUUUUUCAAAGGAACAAAUAAUAAUAAUGACACUUCUACGGUUUGUUUUGAUAAUCACACAUAUACUCUUUAAUUUGAUAAAUGGUUACACAAAUUUUGUUUACAAAAAUAUAUUAUUCAUGUUCUGUAUUAUUUUUUAACAUCAUAUUUUUAUUUAUUAUAAUUGUUUAAAGUUAAUUGUUAGGUUGAUAUAUAAUAAAAACGUAUAAUCCUUCUCUUACUAAACACACAUACUCGUAGUUUCUGUUCAUUUGUCAUCUCAAUCUCUCUCAUUUAUCCUUUAUUGAUAGCUCAAAAUGCGUCACUGUGGAAAAUUAUAGCAAAACGACAAAUAUGGAAAGAAUGGGAAGAAAAUUAAUGCAUGAAAGAGUUGCAGAAGACAACCAAAUAAGUCAACUAUACGCUAGCUGGGUGUAUAAAUUGUUAGAUGUGUUAUAAACAAAUAGCAUAGAGCCCUUUGGUUGGUUACAGAGAUAGAAAGAGUGUGUGUGUUUUUUAGAACUUAAAGAUACAGUUAGAAUGGGUGGUUCAAAAUCAAAAAUGGUGAUAAUGUUUGUUCUGUUAUUAAUAAUAUUAGAAGGUGGGGGGAGUGAGGGAUGUUUAGAUCAUGAGAGAUUUGCUCUUUUACGACUCAAACUUUUCUUUGAUGAUACUUAUAAUUAUCUUCACGAUUGGAUAGAUGAUGAGGGAGUUACUGAUUGUUGUCAGUGGGAAAGGGUUGAGUGCAGCAACACCACAGGCCGAGUGAUAGCGCUAGACCUUUCUGACACGUAUUCGGGAGAGUACAACUGGUAUAUGAAUGCUUCUUUUUUUACUCCCUUCCAACAACUUGAGUCACUUGAUUUACAUGGCAACAACAUAGCUGGUUGUGUUGAGAAUGAAGGUGCUUCGUCUAAUUCAAUUAAAUUACAUUUCGCUCUCCUAAUUUAAGUCGAAUAUCAAGACUGAGUAGCUAUAUGCAUAUUCAUUCAAUUGACAAUUUUUACAUAUUUUUUAAAAUGUUUAAUUUUGAAAUUACACCAAACAUCAUAUGUGAUCUUUGUUUUGAUUUUACUUGCAGGUCUAGAAAGAUUGAGCAACUUGAAGAGGCUUGAUUUAAGUUUUAACUUGUUCAACAAUAGCAUCUUAUCAUCUGUGGCUCAUCUUUCAUCACUAACAUCAUUAGAUUUAUCUGAAAAUAGAUUGGAAGGAAGUAUUAAUGUUAAAGGUACGUAAUUAAAACGUCAUCGCUUCUCCCAACUCUUGCAUUAACAUGCUAAAAUAAGAUUCAAGGCUUUGAAUUCAUUUUUUUUAUGAGUAAAUAUUAGAAAAAUAGUUUUAAGCAAUUCAUAAAUACAAUUUUCAAUGUUUCUCAUAAUUUCAUCUUGUACUUUUGUAUGUCUUGACUUUAAGAUUAAAAAAAAAAAUUACUCUAACUGUGAAGCAAAUACCCCAUGACUAAUUUAUCAUUUUGUCCAGUUAAAAAUGAUAAAAUUUAUCAUUUGUUUAUAUUGAUUAAUUAACUCUAUUUUAAGUCUUAAGUCUUGGCGUCUUGGCAUGUUUGCAGAAUUUGAUUCCUUGAGCAACUUAGAGGAGUUGGACAUGAGCGACAAUGAAAUAGACAAUUUAGAGGUUCCUCAAGGUAAACAAUUAAAAUAUUAUUCAAUUACAUUAAUUUAAUUCGUUUGAUUAGGGAAGACCCAAAAGGUACAAAAUAUAAUAAUAAUAAUAAUAAUAAUAAAAGAAACAGAGAAUCUAUAUUAUUUCAAAAAAUAAAACGUAAUACUAUUAUUUCAAAAAUAGAUUGUAAUAAAGAUUUGAUUCCGGUUCUUUAAUCUUUACAGCAAUUGAAAAACGAUGUUGCUCUUUUCCUAAAGCAUAAAAUAUGAAAUGACUCCCAAUAGAAUUAAUCAUUUAUUUCGUUUACUCUAAAUUUAAACAAUGAAUCUUGAUUUUCUUCAAUCAUAUCCUUAUUAUUAUUGUUAAACAGGUUACAGAGGUUUGAGGAAGUUGAAAAGCCUCUAUCUAUCGAAAGCUAAAAUUAGAGAUGGAAGCAAGUUGUUACAGUCAAUGGGAUCAUUCCCAUCCCUCAACACUCUUUACCUGAAGGAUAAUAAUUUUACCGAUAUAGCGACAACUACUACUCAAGGUAAGUAAAAGGUACAGAUGUGGCCAAAUUUACAAAUAAAUUGUUAAUUAAUUAAUUUUUCCGUAUUAUUAAUAAAGCUAAAUUCGUCGCUCCUUCCUUCUAAUUCUAAACAGAGUUGGCAAUUUCACCAACUUGGAGUAUUUGACAUUGGACUUGUCCUCGCUCCAUUUAAGCCUUCUACAAUUGCUUGAAGAAAGAAUUUAUUUAUUUAUUUAUUAUUGUUGUUGUUGUUGUUGUUGUUGAAGUGAGGUGGGCAAAGCGUUCACUCAAUUAAUAUGUGGGGAAUUAAUAAUUACAAUCCAAGGUAGAAUUGUGGAAAAUUAAAGCAAAAUGAGAAAUAUGGAAAGAAAGGAAGAAAAUUAAGGGCAUGAAAGACUGGGAGAAGACUAAAGACCACCAAAUAAGUCAACUGAAAACUAGCUGAGAGACAGAGAGUGUGCAUUUUGUUAAUUAAAUAUAUAUAUAUAAAAUGGGUGGUUCAAAAUCCAAAAAUGGUGAUAAUGUUAGUUUUGUUAGUAUUAAUAAUAUUAGAAGGGAGGUGGCGUGAGGGAUGUUUGGUGCAUGAGAGAUUUGGUCUUUCGAGACUUAAAACAUUUCUUCAAUUCUCCUUAUAAUUUUUGUCACGACUGACCGUUGUCAAUGGGAUGGGGCUGGGUGCAGGGUUGAUUUACGUUAGAAUAAUAUAGCCGGUAGUGUUGAGAAUGAAGGUGUUUCAUUUAAUUUAAUUAAUUUAUUUUCUCCCUCCUAAUUUAAGUGGAAUAUCAAGAUUGAACAAUUAUAUGCAUCUUCGUUCAGUUGACAAUUUUGACAUAUUUUUUAAGUGAUUAAUUUUGAAAUUACACCAAACAUUAUUUGUGAUCUCUGUUUUGACUUUACUUGCAGGUCUAGAAAGAUUGAGCAACUUGAAGAGGCUUGAUUUAAGUUAUAACUUGUUCAAUAAUAGCAUCUUGUCAUUUGUUGCUCGUCUUUCAUCAUUAACAUCAUUAGACUUAUCUUACAAUGGAUUGGAAGGAAGUAUUAAUAUUAAAGGUACGUAAUUAAAACGUCAUCGCUUCUCCCAACUCUUGCAUUAACAUGCUAAAAUAAGAUUCAAGGUUUGAAUUCAAUUUUUUUUAUGAGUAAUAUUAGAAAAAUAGUUUUAAGCAAUUCAUAAAUACACUUUUCAAUGUUUCUCAUAAUUUCAUCUUGUACUUUUGUAUGUCUUGACUUUAAGAUUAAAAAAAAAUUACUCUAACUGUGAAGCAACUACCCCAUGACUAAUUUACAAUUUUGUCCAGUUAAAAAUGAUAAAAUUUAUCAUUUGUUUAUAUUGAUUUAUUAACUCUAUUUUAAGUCUUAAGUCUUGGCGUCUUGGCAUGUUUGCAGAAUUUGAUUCCUUGAGCAACUUAGAGGAGUUGGACAUGAGCGGCAAUGAAAUAGACAAUUUCGAGGUUCCUCAAGGUACACAAUUAAAAUAUUAUUUAAUUACAUUAAUUUAAUUCGUUUGAUUAGGGAAGGCCCAAAAUGUACAAAAACAUAAUUAGAAAAAAUAAAGAAACAGAGAAUUCAUAUUAUUUCAAAUAACAAAAGGUAAUACUAUUAUUUCAAAAACAGAUUGUAAUAAAGAUUUGAUUCCAAUUCUUUAAUCUUUACAGUGAUUGAAAAACGAUACUACUUCCCAAAGCAUAAAAUACGAAUUGACUCUCAAUUAAAUUAAUCAUUUAUUUCGUUUAGGUCUAAAUUUAGAAAAAUGAAUUUUGAUUCUCUUGAAUCAUUUCCUAAUUAUUAUUAUUCAACAGGUUACAGAGGUUUGAGGAAGCUGAAAAGCCUGCAUCUAUCGGGAGUUGGAAUUAGAGAUGGAAGCAAGUUGUUACAGUCAAUGGGAUCAUUUCCAUCCCUCAACGCUCUUUACCUGAGCUAUAAUAAUUUUACCGGUACAACGUCAACUACUCAAGGUAAGUAAAAGGUACAGAUGUGGCCAAAUUUAUAAAUAAACUGUUAAUUAAUUAAUUUUCUGUAUUAUUAAUAAAGCUAAAUUUUUUGCUCAUUCCUUCUAAUUCUAAACAGAGUUGCACAAUUUCACCAACUUGGAAUAUUUGACAUUGGACGAUUCCUCUCUCCAUAUAAGCCUUCUGCAAAGCAUUGCAUCAAUAUUCCCUUCGUUGAAAAAACUGUCGAUGUCUUAUUGUGAAGUCAAUGGUGUCGUACAUGGUCAAGGUAAAAGAAAAGUGUUGGUUGUGCACUCACUCAGUGGUGUCCUACGUGUUCAAUAUUUUUAUUUAUUUAUUUUAUUGUUUAAUGAGAUGCUUCCACCCUCCCCUUUAAAUCUAUAAUAUUAAUUUUCGAUAAAUAUAUAAUUAUAGAAACCAAUCACUUAUAAAAGAAUGCUAUGCAUUUGCCAAUUUUUUUAUAUUUUACUGAUUGAUGAAUUAAUAAAUUUUCAGGCCUCUGUUCGUUGGUGCAUCUACAAGAGUUGUACAUUGCAACUCUUGUAGUAAUUAAUUAAUUAAGUAUUAGUUAAUUAAUUAAUUAAUUAAUUUUCUGUAUUAUUAAUAAAGCUAAUUUUUUUGCUCAUUCCUUCUAAUUCUGAACAGAGUUGCACAAUUUCACCAACUUGGAAUAUUUGGCAUUGGACUCUUCCUCUCUCCAUAUAAGCCUUCUGCAAAGCAUUGCAUCAUUAUUCCCUUCAUUAAAAAAUCUGUCGAUGUCUAGUUGUGAAGUCAAUGGUGUCGUACGCAGUCAAGGUAAAAGAAAAGGGUUGAAUGUGAACUCACUCAAUGGUGUCCUACGUGUUCAACAUUUUUAUUUAUUUAUUUUAUUGUUUAAUCUUUCUGCUAGGUUUUCCUCAUUUCAAGAGUUUGGAACAUUUUGACAUGGAUUUCACGCGCAUUGCACUCAACACUAGCUUUAUUGCACUCAACACUAGCUUUCUUCAAAUCAGCAGUGAAUCGAUGCCUUCUCUUAAGUACUUAUCACUAUCAUAUUAUACUCUUGGAACUAAUAGCAGCGGGACUCUUGAUCAAGGUUAACGAGAUGCUCCCACCCUCCCCUCCUAAUCUAUAAUAUUAAUUUUUUAUUUAAUAUAAUGACACAAACGAAUCACUUAUAAAAGAAUGAUAUGCAUUUGUUAAUUUUUUUAUUGUACUGAUGGAUGAAUUAAUAAAUUUUCAGGCCUCUGUUCGUUGGUGCAUCUACAAGAGUUGUACAUUGCAAGCAAUGAUUUAAGAGGUAGCUUGCCUUGGUGCAUGGCAAAUAUGACAUCCCUCAGAAUAUUAGAUGUUUCUUCUAAUCAACUUACUGGAAGCAUCUCCUCAUCUCCCCUCGUUCAUUUGACAUCCAUUGAAGAGCUGAUGCUUUCAAACAAUUACUUCCAGAUCCCAAUUUCACUUGAACCACUUUUCAAUUACUCAAGACUCAAGAUUUUCAAUGCUGAGAACAACGAAAUAAAAGCUGAAAUAACUGAGUCACAUUCUUUGAUCGCCCCAAAAUUCCAAUUAAAUACUCUCUCAUUGUCUUCCAAUUACGGAGACGGUUUCAUAUUCCCCAAAUUCCUUUACCAUCAACAUGACCUGGAGUAUGUUGAUCUCUCACACAUAAAGAUGAAUGGAGAAUUUCCAAAUUGGUUGUUGGAAAACAACACAAAAUUAGAAACUCUUUUUCUGGUUAAUGAUUCUCUUGCAGGACCUUUUCGGUUGCCAAUUCAUUCACACAAGCGGUUAAGACAGUUGGAUGUCUCCAACAACAACAUUCGAGGCCACAUUCCAGUAAAAAUUGGAGAUGUUUUACCAAGUUUAUACGUUUUCAACAAUUCCAUGAAUGCUUUAGACGGUAGCAUUCCCUCUUCAUUUGGUAAUAUGAAAUUCCUCCAAAUUCUGGACUUAUCCAACAAUCACUUGACUGGUGAAAUCCCCGAGCACUUGGCCGUGGGUUGCGUCAACUUGCAGUUUCUUGCAUUAUCAAAUAACAACCUACAAGGUCAUUUGUUCUCUAGAAAUUUUAACUUGACAAACUUGCAAUGGUUACAAUUGGAGGGCAAUCGCUUCGUAGGUGAGAUCCCACAAAGUUUGUCUAAAUGCUCCUCACUAGAAGGAUUGUACCUUAACAAUAAUAGUCUUUUAGGUAAGAUUCCACGAUGGUUGGGUAAUCUGACACGGUUACAAUAUAUUAUAAUGCCCAAUAAUCAUCUUGAAGGCCCUAUUCCAGUGGAGUUUUGCCAGCUUGAUUCGCUUCAGAUUUUGGACAUUUCAGACAACAACAUAUCUGGAAGUUUACCAUCUUGUUUCCAUCCUCUCUCUAUCAAACAAGUUCAUCUUUCAAAAAAUAUGUUACAUGGACAGCUAAAAAGAGGUACAUUCUUUAAUUGCUCUUCCCUUGUGACAUUAGAUCUUAGCUAUAACCGCUUGAAUGGCAGCAUUCCGGAUUGGGUUGAUGGGCUUUCUCAGUUAAGCCACCUUAUCUUAGGUCACAAUAAUCUUGAAGGUGAAGUGUCAGUUCAAUUGUGCGAAUUGAACCAACUACAAUUGUUAGAUCUUUCUAAUAAUAAUCUUCACGGUCCUAUUCCUCCUUGCUUUGAUAACACCACACUUCAUGAAAGUUACAGCAAUAGUUCUAGUCCUGAUGAGCAAUUUGAAAUAUUUUUUUCCAUCGAAGGCCAUCAGGGAUUUUUAGAAAAGCAAAACCAUGAAAUUUUUGAGUUCACAACAAAGAACAUUGCGUACAUUUACCAAGGAAAAGUGCUUAGCCUCCUAUCAGGACUUGAUCUUUCUUGCAACAAGCUAAUUGGUCAUAUUCCUCCUCAAAUUGGAAAUUUGACAAGGAUUCAAACAUUGAAUCUAUCACACAACAACUUGACAGGAUUGAUCCCAUCAACAUUUUCAAACUUGAAGCAUGUCGAAAGUUUGGAUCUUUCCAACAACAAAUUGAAUGGGAAAAUCCCUCAUCAACUAGUGGAGUUAAAGACAUUGGAGGUUUUCAGUGUGGCAUACAAUAACUUAUCAGGCGAAAUUCCAGAAUGGAAAGCACAAUUUGCAACCUUCAACGAGAGUAGCUAUGAGGGAAAUACUUUUCUUUGUGGACUGCCAUUGCCCAUUUGCAGAUCACCAGCAACUAUGCCGGAGGCUUCAAUUGGCAAUGAACAAGAUGAUAAUUUAAUUGAUAUGGACAGUUUCUUUAUCACAUUUACAACAUCGUACGUAAUUGUGAUAUUCGGAAUUGUUAUUGUUUUAUAUGUAAAUUCUUAUUGGCGACGUAGAUGGUUUUACUUUGUUGAAAUGUGGAUAACUUAAUGUUACUAUUUUGUUGUAAACAAUCUUAUUGCAACAAGAUAUUGUCAUUGAAAUUAAUUAGCAGUUUAAUUACGAUUCUUUAAGUUCUAAUCAAGUUUGCUUAGGAAAUAAUUUUUUUUUAUUUUUUUAUUAAAAUUGUAGUAGUAUUUAGCGCUAUAUAGCUUCCAACUUGGUAGAAAGCUCCAUUUUUUGUUGGCUACAGUAAAAGCAUGUUGUUUUAUUCUUCUUAUACUUUACGCCUGCAUCAGCUUAAAUCACUUCUUAAACGCUUGCUUUAACUGCACCGCUUCGUACUGCUCUAUAUAUGUAACGGUUAUGCGGUUGUAGCUCACGGCUCAAGCUACGCGUUUGUUUGACGUGGUAGUUACGUUACGAUGUUUCGAGUCUGUUAAACAUUCGGUGAUAAGAUUAGUUACAACAAACCUACUAGUUUUAUAAAAUUCAAGUGAGAUGGAAUAAAAUAAAAAAUAAAUAUAAAAUUGGCUUUUAUUUUUUAGGUUAACCAUAUUUUGUGUUCUCUUCGGGCACUACUACAAUUGUUCCCUAUACAUCAGUUACACUCACGUAUCAUCGACACGAAAAAUGAAAUCUAAUAUCACCUGUUUAGUUAAAGAAUCACUCAUGAAAAAAAAUUACCAUUUUGAUUUGAAGAUCCAUAUUUUGAACUACCAAUUAAUGUUCAUCAAGAACAGAGUGUGGCCGUUAAGUAGAAAAACUAUUUUUGGACAAAUUAUUAAAUUCCAAUAUUGUAUCCAUAUGCAAACGAUGCCUGAAGCAGAGCCUCCAAACAAUGACCAGGGCACAAAACAAGAGUGUAGUAAUCAAGUGUAUUGUCUCAUAAUCAAUUAAAAGCAGAUAUACAGGAUACCAUAUUCAAUUCCAAAAUAACAAAAGCAUAAUGAGGAUGAGAAGAACAAUGAUCACUCAAAUAUUUCUUCACUUUGGUUGUCAAUUAUCUAUUCAAAUUAAUCAGUGUCAUUAUGGACUUAUUUAUUUAGAAGAGCGGGUGAUAAAUAUAUUCAAUAAUGUGAACAAGAAGUUGAUUAACUUUUAUGAUCAUUUGGAAGGUCGGCGUGUCAUCACUCGUCAAACACAUUGCAUCGAUCCACCAGCAUGAACCGACCGGAUUAUGCCCAAAAGUUGAAAUAUCAAUAAAAAAAACAAUUAAUUAAAGGUCGAAGAUGGGUCCUUUACAUAUGUUUUUGUUUUCGUAUUAGGUAGGAGGUUAUUAUAUUAUAUCAUGUAAUUAAUUUAUUAUUACUCAACACUAAGUAAUAACUUAACUAUAUAAAGACAACAAGAAGAUAAAAUGAUAUAUAAAAAAAAAAAGAAUUUCAAAGAGAUAGCAACAUACAAUAGACUGAAGCCAUUUGAUCUGCUCAUUGAUUUCAGCCUUAAACUUGUAAAUAGUUACUGUCAAAUAUUCUAUUCAUACGAAAAAAAUGUUUAGAUAUCUUACUAUAAAUAUAGCCGUUUGACUGUCUUAAUAAAGUCACACACAACCAUUCUUAUUAAAUUAGCAAGAUCAAACACUGCCCUGGAUCUUGAACAGAUCAACACAAGAUGCACAACUUAUGAUUGAACCCAGAAACAAUCAAAUCUUUAGCAAGAACAAUUAAUCAGAGUCAAGAAACAAGUUUAAUGAAUAUAAACCUAUAAUUGAAACAAACAUAGCCAAGAAAAAAAUACAGAUUUUACACGGUUCAGUUGUACCUAGGAUGGCACAACCUACACCACGAGAGAAGCUUUCUGGUGAGAUUUUAUUGAUGAUCAAAGAAGAAUCUUUUGACAAAGCUAAUAAUAGAGAUUUCAGAGAAUAAGCUGUAACCCUCUCUCCCUCUUCAAUCUCUCUCUAUUUUGUUCCCAUUGAUGACCCCAAUCUGCUUAGUUAUCCAGCUUUAUAUCUGCAUCAGUAACAAACCAGCAAACCCAGAUUGAGCAGAUUGACGACACGUGGAUAACGGCUUUAACGAACCUGGUUAAGAACUGCUCACAUGUUCGUCACGCGUGCUGCUUAAAUGAUGGCCAAAACGACUUCAAACAAAUGUCGUUUUGAGGCUUAUGAAUUACAAGUGAUAACACGAGCUUGUCUCAUGACUUUUAAAUGCAACAGCGUGCCCAAAACGCCGUCGUUUUACUCUGUUGAGUUUGAUUCAUUACUAAGCUUUACGACUGGCACUGGAGAAGAUGAUAAUUUAAUUUACAUGGACAGUUUUUAUAUCACUUUUACAACAUCCUAUGCAAUUGUAAUAUUGGGAAUUAUUGAUGUUUUAUUCUGUGAAUCCUCAUUGGCAAAAACUAGUGGUUUUAUCUUUGUUGAAAUGUAAAUGACCUCUCGUUACUAUUUUAUUAUAAACAUAUAGUUUCGUAAGUGAAACUACAUGUUUAUAAUAAAAUUAACAUAUAGUUUCGUUACAUUUCUGCCUCAUUAAGAUUCUCAAAUACCAGUCAGGUUUGCUUAAGAAAUAAAAUUUUUCCAUUAAAAUUGCAGUAGUAUUUCCAAGCAUAUCGCAUUUUCUAUGAUUUUUCAUAAAUUAAUUAAUCUGCGGUGCCAAUAUCAGAUUUAGUUUUUCAAACUAAAUAAUCAAGAAAGCAAACAUACAAAUAUACAGUUUAGAGGGGUAAACUAGGUAGGUGGUUUAGAUUUUAGAACUAAGCCAGCUACCUCACUAAAUUCCGAUUCGUACAGUGAACUGCAAGAAAUUGAGAAAACAAUGAAUUUAUAAUUUAAUAGAAUCAUAAGAAAACAAUGUAGUCAUUGCUCCAUAUAAGAUGAUGAUUUCGGAGAGGCACAUUGUUUUCAAGUUAAUUUGAUCCGUUUAUAAGAGAUGAAGUGGAAUCAAGUUGAAAGUUUAAAUAACAAAUCCUUGUUCUUGAGUUUUACGACGUCGUUACUCCUUCAAGUGGCAGAUUAUGCAAGUGAAUGCAGAAACACAAUGCAUCAUCCGCGGGGAUGAUACAUCAAAAGGCGGGAUUUGUUUAUGCCUGCAGAUUAGCAAUUUCACUCAUAUAGAAAAUUAAUUUUUUAUAUAUACUAAUCAACACUAAAUUGAUUAUGUGUUGUAUGUUUAUAUGCUAAUCAACACGAAAUUAUAUUGAAUUAUUAACAUUCAUAUUCCUAAUAAAAAUUAUUUUCCAUCAGUAUUCAAAAUUUUCACUUAUGGAAAAUGCGUUUUAUGUGAAUACUAGUUAUUGUGUAAAUUUGAAUGAUAGCGAAAAAUAAACCUAUUUGAAAACUGUAAGGGUGUGUUGGGAUAUUUUACAACUGUCGGAAUCUGGUAGGAUAUUGCACCAUUUGCCCAAUAUUUUUAGACGUACUCUAACCGGUAUUCAAGAUAAGUAAAAGUUACAAGCGUGGCAAAAUAAAAAAAUAAAAUUUGUAAUUUGUAAACGAAUUUUCCUGACAUGUAUAGUAGAUGAAGUUGUUGAUCCUUUCUUUGGAUUAUUUCAGCUCUGGUUGUUGGUCACCGAUGAGCCGAAGUCUUAUUUUAAUUUUAUUUAAACUCAUCAUAAGAUUCGUGGAGCACCUAACUAACUUAACUGACUGUGCAGAGCAUCUCAACAUGGCAUAUUUAACCAUCAUUCAAGUGAUGGGUUUAAUAAGACUGCUUUUGUUCUAUCAACUAUCAAGUUCCUCUGCCUCUAAGCAGAAUUACUAUUGAAGGGCCAAAAGGAAAAUGAAAACGUGUGAGCUCCAACAACCACCCCACAAAUUCAAUGACGAUGCUCGGAGAGGGUUAGGUUGGGCCUCUGAGAAAAAAAAAAUUAUUUAGUUAAAAAGUUACCCUUAUUGAAACCUGUAUAAAAAUUUUAUAUUAAUUAGUUAUGUUGCCUCUUCAACUAUGAUCAAAUUUUUAUCCGAGCUCAUCAUUUAAUGAGUAAACAUGUAUUUUAAUGAUCUCAAUUAAUAUUUAGAACAAAUAUUUUAAGAAGUAAAGCUCAUUAUAUCUUCCAUUAUUAUGUAUUUCUUUAAUUUCUUAUUUACAUAAUUAUAUUGUACAUUAAAAAUGUAUUGAAUUUGAAGAAAAAAAAAUUCAACUCACUCAAAAAAAAAAAAAAAUGCUGGUAGCUUCGUAAUAAUUACUGUAUUGACUGCACCAGAUAAAGUUUUGUAAAAUAAUAAGUUCUCAUUAGUGGUUUUUAAUUUUUUUAAUUUUUUUUUCCGGCACACCUGAUCAAGAAUUCUAUUUUGUUAACUAAUCAAUUGCAAAGCAUAAGUGUUGAACGGCAAAAAAAUUUAAAAAAACACUUAAAACGUGGGGAAAUGAGAAAUAUAGAAAGAAAGGAAGAAAGUUGAGACAUGAAACUGAUCUGCAGUGAAAUUGAUAAUCAUGUUUCUAUUUCGUUAACUAAUCAAACGGAAAACUGAAACUGUAAACAAACAUUAACACGUGUGGACUCUGCUAGCUGCCCUACAAGUCUACAAUAGUAAUUGAGUACCUUUGAUUCAUCCUUCUAUGAAUUUCUAGCUGUAUUGACCCCAACUGCUAAAGUUUUGUAAAAAAUAAAAAUAAAAAUAAAAAAACUGGAAUUUCAACAAAAUUCAAAACGUGUGAAAUUCAAAAAUGGACUUUGGCCAUGUGGAACAAAAUGUAAAUUAAGGAAAAAGUAUAAAUCUCAAUUGCUUAGUAUGGUUAGGAUUUUGUGAGCAUCACUAAAAAGUGAAAACUAUGAAUGAUAGAGGUGAUGUUUGCAACAUGAAUAAAUGAUGAACUGAAUCAAUUGAUGAUCGUAAUUACAUAAUGAACAAAAUUUACAAAAUCAACAAAAGUUAAUAAAAAUUUAUUCAAAUAAUAAAAAAUCAAUAAAAACUUAUUAUUUAACGGCGCUCAAACCAUGGAGUACCAUAAUCAUAAUCUUCUUUUAAGAAAAUUAUAACUUAUUAUUUUACAGGUUUGAUCCAUUUGGAAUGAAGUGGUCUCAAGUUGAAAGUAAUUAAUUUAUUGAAUAACUUUCGACUUAUUAAUAGUUAUAUCAACGGGUGUUUUACCUCAUCAUGUCUUCAAGUGGAAGAUGAAGACUAUGCAAGUGAAUUCAGGAAUAUUGCAUGCCUGUUGUCUAAAGCAUUACCUCACAAGGUUUCAUGAGAAACGAAAGAUGUGUUUGCUUUGAACAAUUAAAGUUACUGCUACGAACCUCCCCAAAGGUCAAGAAGACAGAACAGGAAGCUAAUGCCAUCAAUGUCUUGUUCAUUAUAGCUGCUGGGUAGUUAGGUGUAGUUUCCUCAUUUGAAGCUGUCUAUACAUAGGCAUUUCCCCUGCUUAUGUACAAAUAAAUGAACAACCUUGAAGCUUUAUUAUUCGCAACAAAAAGGGAUUACUAAUUGGAGAAGACUAUACAGAGUUUUCUCUCACACUUGCUCUCUGUCAAUUUCAUCCAGAAGUCCCUCUGAAAGCUUCUCCCAAAACAGUUAGUCAUCUUUUAUGCUCUGUUUUCUGAAAACAGAGUCCUAACUAAAUUAAUUGACUGUACAGUGCAUUUCAACAUAGCAUAUUUAACCGUUUUAACAGUUAUUUGGACCGUCUUCAGAGGUAACAUCAACAAACUCAUUCAUAUGCUUAAUAAUGAACGAAUAGUCUUGGAUUGAUGUUUUGCAGCAAGAGCAACACGACACAAUCUGGAUUCAACCUCCUCCUUUCUAACAGGGGAUUUCGAUUUGAGUUACUUUGUGCUCAAGCAAAUUCACAUCAUAGUUUUGAUUCUUUAGAUAUGAAUUCAUCUCAUUACAUAUAUCAGAUUAAGUGUAACAAAAUUUGUAAUUUACUGCGAAAAGAAUAUGCACUAAAAAAUGAUUUCAAGACUAUUUGACUACAAAAAGCAGCUGUCAGAGUGCACUAAAAAUUUCUGUAGGAUAUUUUGUAGCUGUUUAAUAUGUUAUGAUGGGCAUAUAAUUCUCAAAUUUUGAUGCCUCUCAGCGAAAAAUAUAUCAAAGUUACGGAUGAUAUCACGUAAAACAUGCAUGGCUCAGGCUCAGGCUCAGGUAAGAAAGCCACAGAAAUGGAAAAUCUCACUGUCACGACUCACGUCACGCAUCAUUCAAGUGAUGGAUUUAACAAGACUGCUUAUGUUCUAUCAAAUUCCUCUGCCUCUCAGAAGAUAACUUUUCUGGGCCAAAUUUCUCAUCUAAAGCAUAUUAUGCCCCAAAGUCACAGAUAACAAAAUGGGGCACUACCGAUUAUGAAAGAGAACUAGUAGUUGUCAGAAGCCUAAGCCAAAUUCCGGUAGUAAGAAGAGGCCUUUCUUGAGUUUAGAUUAUGUGUUCGAGUUUUAAUAAAUGCCUAAGUUAAUAAUAAUAACAACAGUAAUAAUAAACUAAAAAGCAUAAUUACUAUUGAAUGGUAAAAAAAAAAAUGAAAAUGUGUGAACUCCAAUAACCACCCCAGUGGCGAAUUUUGGAGAGGGCUAGGCCGGGCUUCUUAGAAAUUAUUUUUAUUUAAUUACAAAAUCACCUUUACUGAAACCUAUAUAAAAUUUUUUAUAUUAAUUAAUUAUGUUGCCUCUUCAAUUAUCAUUAAAUUCUUGUCCGUUCAUAAUUUGAUGGAUAAAUGUGUAUUUCAAUAAUUUCAAAUAAUGUCUAGAACAAAUAUUUUGAAUUAUAAAACUCAUUAUGUCCUGCAUUACUAGAUGUAUCUAUAAUUUAUUAUUUACAAAUUAUAUUGUAUGAUAAAAAUGUAUUGAAUUUUUGUUUAAAAAAAAGUUCGGCUCACUCAGAAAAAAAUGUUAUUAGCUUCGCCACUGCACAAAUCUAGAAUAAUAAUUAUUCCUUAUUAUAUUGACUGCACCAAGCAAUAAACUAAUAAGUUCUCAUCAGUGGUUUUUAAUCUUUUUAAUUCUUUUUACCGCACACCUGAUCAAGAAUUUUAUUUUGUUAACUAAUCAAUUGCAAAGCAUAUAUAAGUGUUGAACGGUACACAAGAUUGGAAAAAAAAAAUCUUAAAAAACGUGCGGAUUCGGGUGGCCACACCAGAAAUCUAUUACAAUAAUUAGCUUUGAUGCUGGGAAUCUUUUAAUUUCUGGCCGUAUUGAAGUUUUUAAAAUAAUAAGUUCCCCUUCUCGUUUUUUUUUUUUUUUAAAUAUAUAUGCUUAUAACAAUUUUAGAAUAAUGAUUCAUUUGUAGAAGAACUUAUGAUUUCCCAUUAAUAUUAAUAUUGAAGUGGGGUGGGUCAAAUCUCAAUUGCUUGAAGAAUUUAUGUAUUAUUAAAUAUUACCAUCCAAGGUAGAAUUGUGGAAAAUUAAAGCAAAAUGACAAGUAUGGAAAGGAAGGCUGAAAGUAAGGCAUGACGAAAGGCUUUGAGAAGGCUGAAGACUACCAAAGAAGUCAACUGAAAACUAGCUGGGGCCUGAGUGUAUAAAUUGUUAGAUGCGUUUGUUAUAAAUAACAUAGAGCCCUUUUGUUAUUUAUAGUUAUAGAGAAAGAGAGAAUGUGUGUUUUUUAAUAGUUAGAGAUAUAGCUAGAAUGGGUUGCUCAAAAUCCAAAAUAGUGACAAUGUUAGUUCUCGUAUUGAUAAUAUUGGGGGGGGGGGGGGGGGGGGGGGGGGGGGGGGGGGGGGGGGGGGGGGGGGGGUGUUGGGAGGUCGAGUGAGGGAUGUUUGGAGCAUGAGCAAUUUGAUCUUUUGCGGCUUAAACAUUUCUUCAAUUAAUAUCGAUCUGGGAGAGUGGUAUCUGAAUGCUUCUCUAUUUACUUCCUUUCAACAACUUGGUAACAAAAUAGCCGGCUGCAUGCGUUGAGAAUGAAGGUGCUUCAUUUAAUUUAAUUUACUUAAUUUCUCCCUCCUAAUUAAUGUCUAUAAUCAUUAGGAGGAACAAGGGAUUUUAUUAACUCAAAUAUAUCUAAUGGAUCUCAUUCUUUGGUUUUACUUGCAGGGCUAGAAGCAGGUGUCAUCUAACAGCUGCUUUGAUAAUUUCCCUCCCCUUCAUCUUUGAUGGAAAGAUGAAAUAAAAACAAAUUGGUGAAAAUGGUAUUGGUACCUGAGGCUAUGUAAUCUAAUUCAAAAACUGCACCAUCAAAACGAUUACAUAAGUCUCAGAAGAAUCAAAUAUCAGUUUGCAAAAUAUCAAUUGCUGGAGGUUUGAUUCUAACUUCCGCUCUUCAUUUUAUGGGCAUAUUGUGUUGUACUUGCAUCCGAAAAUCAUAUUUUAGUUUACUUGCACUCAAUGCUUGGAUUAAAGUUUUUUGGGGGGGGGGGGGGGGGGAUUGAAGAAGACUAAAAUUACACCAAAAAAGAGUUGAGCGAGAGCGGGUUUUGUCUUCAUUUAAGGAGCUCUUUAUAAAUUUUGGGAUUUUUUUUCCUGAGAAAAUUUAUGCCAACUCAUUCUUUGCUUCUUUUCUGAAGGACACAUGCAACCGAAAGUAUAUUCUUGAAUUCUCCAGGAUAAGAGACAUACGUUUAGAUUCUGGAGCAUUUAAAACAAUGUCAAAUUUUAGAUUGCUGAAAUUUUAUAUAUCCGAGUAUGAUGGUGUUCCAAUUAUAAGCUCCAGGGUGCAACUUCACUGAGGUUUAGAAUGCCUUCCUAUAGAAUUGAGAAAUCUCCAUUGGCAUAAAUAUCUUUUGAAAAUACUGACAUCAGAUUUUGAAUUGGAGAACCUGAUUGGACUCAGCUUGCCCUGUAGUAAGGUUAAGCAAAUUUGGAAAAGAGAAAAGGUAUAAUGUAUUACUAUUACCAAAGUAUCUAUUUUUCUUUCUUUAAGUAUUUUAUAAUGAAUAACUUUGAAAUUCAAUGAUGCUCAUUUAGUAUAGUUAUGUAUCUUUGGUUAUAGGAAGCUGUCAAGUUAAAAUCUAUAGACCUUCACCACCCCUUUAUCUCAAUAGGAUCCCAGAAAUACUAAAUCUUAAAAAAAUAAAUCUUUCAAAUUGUGAAAGCAUGCUUACGUUACCCCCGUAUAUCCACAAUUUCAACUAGCUGAGUAUGUUGUGUUUCAGGGAUGCAAAAUUCAUUUUGUUUCUCAUGAAAGGAUUGACUUGUCCGGAUGUAUUAGGGUUAGUAACCAACUAAUCCCAUAAUUUGUUGAUGUAGGGUCCUAACAAAUUAUCUGCAGUAGAUUGUAGAUCACGUACACUAUUCGAAAACGUAUUUGAUCCACACAGUGAAGUGGAUAUUGGACCAAUUUGAUGAUAAUGAAUUUCUUUCAAUCUCAAUCUUUUUUCUUUUUAGCAACAUGACUAGUCAUUGUGCAAAUUCAAAACUCUGACAAUAAUUUCUCAAUCGGUUUCUAAGAUGAUGACCAUGCAUGUAUAUGUAUAUGCGUGUGUAUAUGUGUGUGUGUGUAGAGAGAGAGAGAGAGAUCACACGUGUGUGAUUUCCUUUUUGCCAAUAGGAUAUGCAGAGAGCUUGAUCUUACCCAAUAGCGAAACAAACUUCCUAAUAAGUGAAGGUAUAGUAUAAAUACUUAUACUUUCAUGUUAUUUUGUUCAUCAGUAGCUUGAUUAUUUUAUAUGCGUCUUCGAUUUUAAUUUUCUUUCCCUAUAAUCGCUAUUAUCUUUGAACUGGUCAUAAUUUGCCCAUAAGAUUUCUCAUGUUGUUUUGAGGUGCAACGGAUUUUGAAUUUAGUGACAAGCAGUGGAAGCCAGAAGGCAAAUUAUGAAAAUGGAUAAAGAUCUAUAAUUAGCUGUUAUGGGAUGUCACAUAUCAUAUUGAUGGUAACGUUAUAUAUAUGUACAUAUAAUUAAUGGGGUUGGCUCACGAGCCCAUUAAUAAUGGUAUAUUAGCUUAUAUACUUCAAACAAUGUACUAUGAAGCAAUUUCACAAAUACUUGUUAGCUUAUGUUGAGCUUUAUUGAAUCAGUAGUUCACAGUUCAAUAAAAUGCAGGUUUGCUAUUUGAAGUACAUGGUUAUGGUGCGUACAUUCUUCAUAAGGCUAACUACUAAUUUAUCAUUGAAACUUGAAAAAUGUGAUAGAGAGAUGUAGAUAACAGCCGCAAAACACUGAGAUUGAAAAUCAGGGCUACUAAAUUCUAUUAAAAGUCCUUAAAAUAGACAGCGAUCACCCUGAAAUGUAUAUACUGAAACUAAGAAAUAUUAAUCGCAAAGUUAUGCAUUAAUAGAACUAUUGACUACUUAUCUUUAGCAUAAAGUAUAUUUUUAACUACAGCUUUCUGCUUUGUUCUAAGAACUAGGCAAAAGUGGUGUAUCUUCAAUCCAAUCAACAUAUAUACCACUUAUCUUCCUCUUCACUUCUGUCUAUUUUGAUUUGCACUUCAUAUCCUGCACUUGCUGCUUAGAAAUAGUCUUUAUUCUGGACAUUGAAAGUAGAAAAAGUACUUGAAACAAUCAUUGGCACAGCCCGAGAUUCCAUUGAAUCGUGGACUCCAAGCUUUCAUAGUUCUAUAAAGAAGAUGACAAAACUUCAUACAACUGGCAUUCUGCUUUUAACAUUUGCACAACCUGAGCGAGUUAGCAAGCCCCUUGUUGCGUUCCCAUUGAAUAGACCUACUUCUGUUAUCCGCAGAAGAUCCACCACUCAAAAUGUUUAUCACCAGGCUAUUCUUAAACUGAGCCUAAACUGAGUAGAAACUUCCGCACAUCUCUCAGCAUUUACAUGAAGAAAUCGACAACUAUCCUCAUCUCUCAGCAUUCUACAAAGUUGCAUUUCACUAAGCAAUCUAUCCUCUCCAUUCCUAGCAAAGUGACAUUGAUUCCCGUAUUUGUAAUCGCCUAACUUGGGUUUUGGCAUAGCGUGGUCUUAAAAAUUACCACCCAAUACUUUGUUCAGUGCCACUGGCAUCCACAAGCUCUAGCCCUGUUAGUUGAAUCAUAUUCAAUGGGACAGUGAGGCAGCAUUUCACUAACAUAUUCAAUUUGACUACUUAUAUUGACGCAAAUAUUAGAAUUUGAAAUCACUUCUUUUAUUGGAAUAUUAUAUUAAUAUGACCCCAAAUGAAAGUUCUUGAAUGGAAAUGAUUUUUAUUUACUUUUCGAACAGAUUCAAGAAAACCCAGAGAACACAAAAUUUACACAGUAAUAUGAUUAAGAGCUGAGAACGUAUAUGUAGUAAAUGUCUAUCAAAAAACACCCAAGGGUUUCUUUAAAAUUAGUAACUAGUAAACAAAAGAAAGAAUCAUUUUACAUUUUUAGCAACUUUGGGGUGAGUGAGUGAGUGAGAAAUUGAAACCCUCAAGUGAUGACAACAGUAAGAUUCAGUAUGAAGUGAAACCCCAAUUUGAAAUGUAGGCAUGAGUUGCUGAGUCAGUAGAUGAAGCUAUAAAUAGGCAUUCGGUUUCCUUCUUUUCGGUUUGGAGGCCAUGGAAUAGUGUAUUGGAGUGGGCUCCAAGUAAUAGCCUCUAUCACUGGAACGACACAUCUAUAAAAUGUGAUACAUGGGGAAGGAUUGGGCAUUUUAUUCUUAGAUUAGCCCUUAUUUAGGGUGUAUAUUAAGCAGAUUAUAUAUUACAUGGAGAUGGAGUUUAAAUAGAUUAAAAAGAAAAGGAAAUUUUGGUGCCUAAAGUUUGCCACUUGGAAUAUUUCGGUGUCUAAAAAUUCACUCACCACUUAUUUCAUGUUUGAUUAUAUGUUGAAAAGAUAUUAAAAUAGUAUAAUGCUAUUAAGGCUUAACGUAUAUUUUUUAUUAGUAGAGUGUAGAAUUUUUAAGAAAUAAAUUAUUAAAUUAUUAUAACUAACAUAUUAUUUUAAAGUUGUGUUAUGAAAAAAAUGAAAUAAAAAUGUACAGUAAAUAAGAAUAUUUUAAAACUUUUAUCUUUUUAAAAUUAGUUUUUAACAUAAGGUGAACUAUUUUUUUUUUAAAAUCACAUAUUCUAGUUAAAAUCAAAUAUGUAUUUAUCGAAGCUUGUAAAUUUUUUUUUUUAGUACUGAUAUUUGAAUAUUAUCAAUAAAAAAAAGGGUAAUGUUCAUGCUGCAUUAUUUUUGUAGCACACAAAAGGACAACACCGUUUAUGUUAUAAUACUAUCGCUUCUGUUAUGAUAAUUUUUUUUGUGGCCAAAUAUCUUUUUUUUUUUUAAGUAAAAAAAGUGGACAAAAUGCAAAUCAGUUUUUAAUCCUCAAUCUCUCCCAAAAAUAUAUAUUUCGGUGUCUAAAAAUUCACUCACAAAACUAUAGCUGACAAAAAGUUACUAACAAAAAGUUAGGUCCAUGGGUUGUUAAAACUAUAGCUGACAAAAAGUUACUAACAAAAACAGAAUGUCCAUUUUAUAACUUUCUUAAAAAACUUUCCUUAACUUUUUUAAACAAAAAGUUAUUUCCAAUUUUUAUUUUGUUAUAAUGUUUAUAACAAAAUUCGUAGUUAACUAAACUCUUCUUAUACCCUUUCUCAACUGCCAUACCCUAACCCACUAAACCACGCUCAAUUAAGGCCAUCAGAUUCUCCGGGCCCACAUUAAUCCAACUGCUCACAGAGACCGACAGCCUCUCUAUCUCCAUUUCAAGCUCCCUCUUCAACUGGCUUCUGCUACCGUCCUACUCUUUCUCGGCUUCGGAGUCCGUAUUUGCUCGGCCUGUCCCACGAAGCUCCCUCUCACUCCAAUUGUCGCCCCACAAGACCAAUUGCUUAAUCAAGACACCGAACAAGAAAGGAUGAGAAGUUGAAACAAGAAUUUGAGAAUUGGAAAUAAAAACGUACGCAUUGACCGUGCCUUUGAGAGUCGUUUCUCUUCAGAACUCAGUGCCUCAAUCUUGGGUUAAGGAUUUUAUGCGAAGUCAGGGAAAGAGAUUGAAGUUUCAGAUGAAUUUGUGUGCUAGCAUUGAUGGGAUCUUUAACAAUUUAUCUGUGCCCUUUAACAAAGUUAAGGCUAAGUCAGCUUCUUAUAUGGCUGCUGAUUUGGUUAGUGUUGGUGAUUCAUGGCUUAGUUUUGCCAUUAAAAAGAGAUUGAUUGAGCCAAUGGCUGGAGCUGAAGACCAAGAUUGGUUCAAAUGCUUAAGUCACAAAUGGAAGGUAACAUCUUUGUCUUUGAUCCUCGAGGUAAAAUAUGGGCGGCACCGUACAGGUGGGGCACAACGGUGAUAGCCUACAAGAAAAGUAAAUUUCGAAAGCAUAAUUUGGCUCCGAUUGAGGUAAUAAUUUUCUUUAAACUCAUUUAGUUUUAUAUCAAACAAAAUCAAGACUGCCUUUCUCUUCAAUAUUUUUUAUGAUAAUAUCUUUAGAAGCAUCUCAUUGACGGGUAACAAUGGCAUCCUGGUUAAGGAUUUUAUGCGAAGUCAGGGAAAGAGAUUGAAGUUUCAGAUGAAUUUGUGUGCUAGCAUUGAUGGGAUCUUUAACAAUUUAUCUGUGCCCUUUAACAAAGUUAAGGCUAAGUCAGCUUCUUAUAUGGCUGCUGAUUUGGUUAGUGUUGGUGAUUCAUGGCUUAGUUUUGCCAUUAAAAAGAGAUUGAUUGAGCCAAUGGCUGGAGCUGAAGACCAAGAUUGGUUCAAAUGCUUAAGUCACAAAUGAAGGUAACAUCUUUGUCUUUGAUCCUCGAGGUAAAAUAUGGGCGGCACCGUACAGGUGGGGCACAACGGUGAUAGCCUACAAGAAAAGUAAAUUUCGAAAGCAUAAUUUGGCUCCGAUUGAGGUAAUAAUUUCUUUAAACUCAUUUAGUUUUAUAUCAAACAAAAUCAAGACUGCCUUUCUCUUCAAUAUUUUUUAUGAUAAUAUCUUUAGAAGCAUCUCAUUGACGGGUAACAAUGGCAUCCCUGAAAGAGUCUAUAAACUCAAUGAUAUUAUCUUCUACAAAUGGUUCAUUAAACUUUGUCGUUGUACUCAAAUGUACACUCAGAUCAAUGAGAAGCUAUGCUACGUUAGCAUGUAGUGAUGGCACUUAAUAAGUGAGUUGCUAGGAUGUGAACUAGAAAAAUUAAAUAUUGUCUCCUUGGGUAUGCUAGCUGGUAAGUCAGGGUUAAUAUCAGAGCUUAAGAUAGUAUAACCGUGAGAACCUAUUGACUGCCAAUUAAAAUAUCCAUUGAAAUGUCUAGGGAGUUAUGAAGGUGGAGGUAACUUCCAAUUUCUAAGGCCACAGAGUAGACAUCAUCCAGGAUCCUAGGAAAGUCCAGUUAACCUCCUGCUCGAUGCAAUUAAUAAAUUUGGUCAAUGCCACUGAAACCUGCUAACUGACGUCACAAUGCGACAUGAGCACUUCAAAAUGGGACAGACGGUCAGUAGCACUAAAUUUUUCUUGCCAAGAUUGAGCAAUUGGUCUAACUACUAAUCCCUAUUGUAGUUGAUCAUUAUUUUUUCAAUUAUGUUCAGUUUGACCCAAAAAGUUGCAGAAUCUUGAGCUAAAUAUUGUCACUGAACACUGUCAAUGUCAUUUAGCAUAGCCAACUAACUUGAUGUUAAAACAAACACACAGUGUGUCUCAUGUCUCACAAUUCAAAUUAUCAUCUGUAAUGUUGGAGAAUUUUUCCAAUGUAUGAAGUAUGCUUUGAUACGUGGGUUACCUUGGAGAAGAUAUCUCAAAAUAAAGAAUAUGGGGAGAAAACAGUUCAGUAGUUUAUUAUUCGUAGUCAAGUUUUGUCUCGAAAAUGGUCAAAAUUUAAAUGAAUAAGGACAGGGGAUCUUCAUUCUUUUUUCCCUUUUUAUACCAAGAUAUCUCUCAACCUUUAUAUAAUCCCCACUGGAUAUCUGCUUCUAAUAAUUAAAAUAAAAAUUUCACCGCUCUAACAAUAAAAAGUAACAUCUUUCCUCAAAUAAUUUACAGUUCCUCAUCAUCUUAGUGUGAGAAUAUCAGUACAUUCCAAACAUAAUAAAACUGGUUUGAUCCUGUUUAUUGAUGUUUAAAUGUUGUUCAUUGUGACAGGUAGAAAUGAUGAGGCGAAGUUUAUUUGGACAUCAAUUAGUAAGAUCUUGUUUGAAGUUGUUUUCUGAAAUGAACUGCCAAAUGGUAGUUUUUGGGGGCAUUUGAUGGCUCUUUUUUUUUCCUCAUUUUCAACAUGUGCCUGCUUGGAACAUGAAGGAUUAGGCUGCAGAGUUGUUAUAUAUUUUGAGAUGCUCUGGUCAUUGCACAAUUUGUUCACACUGGAAAUUAGAAUGAGAAAUUUGUUGAUGCUGUUUUGAGAGAUCUGCAUUCUAUGCACAAUAACAUGAUUAAUGAAAAUGCAUUGUAGGACUGGAAAGAUCUGUGGCAGCCUGAGCUCGCAGGAAGAAUUUCAAUGGUUAAUUCUCCCCGAGAGGUUAUUGGUUCAGUUUUGAAGUAUAGGGGAACAUCAUACAAUUCAAACUAUAUUGAUUCGCAAGUUGCUGGUGGAAGAUUGCUGUUCAGCAGAAUCUGGCAUUACUGGCAAACCAGGUACUCUUACAGAAAUCAUAUCUGGUCAUUGCAUGUUAUUGCCUGACAACUGAUUUUGUUUGUAAAAGUCUGCUUCUUCAUACAUAUGAAUGCAUAUGUUAGUGUUUUCUUCUCCUUUUCAUACAUAUAAAUGCAUAUGUUAGUGUUGUCUUUUCCUUUUCACACAUAUUAAUACAUAUGUUGGUGUUCUCUCCUGAGAUGGAUGCAAUAAAGGCUUUUGCUCCUAAAUUUAGCUGAAGAAAUGGCAAGGGAUGUGAGAUUCUGUCUCAUUAAAUUAACAAAAACCCAAAACAAUGAAAAUCCAUAAUAAUGUGGUGUGGGUAAAUUGGCUCCAUUUGGUUCGUUUCCUUAAUGUGAAUGCGAGCAAUAGAGACUAACAAAAUGAAGUGACAACAAGAAGUCAGUGUCCUUUGAUGGAUGCAUUUUUAGCAGAAAUAUGUUUGUAAUUGACCAAAUUUGUCUGGCAUGCCAAUUUCAAAAAAAUUAAAUUAUGUGGUUAUUAGCUGUAAUGAAGGGGAUAGUAGGUGCAAUCAGGUGUAUCCAGGAAAGUUCAACAAAGUUUUGGUAUGGCGUAGUGAAAUUGGUUUGUGCAACUCAGGAGUCUUUCAGGUGAACGAUGAUAGGUUUUGAUUUAUGAAUAUUAUAAAUCUACUGUGCAUAGUAUUCUAGUAGAAUCAUCUAUAAGUUCUAGUUAUUGUAUACUUUGCCUGGUUUGAGUUAAGGGCACAUGUAAUAUGAAAGAUAGUUGUCGCAUCUUUUAGGUUACCUAACAUUUGAUCAAUCCUAUUAUGGGGGCUUCAAGAUGUCUAACAAUAUGUAGAAUGCCCAUGCUCCUCCCCAUUGUUUAUCUUCUACAAUAAUUUGUUUUAGAUGCUAAUAUCUUUGUCGAUACCGGUAACAAUAUUACAAUAUCUGCGUUUAUUGGGUUUUACAUAGGUUCGACUGUUUGACAGUACACACUAUCUGAAGGCAUUUGCAAUUGGAGAUGUAUGGGUUGCUGUUGGGUGGAUUAGUGAUGUUCUUCCUGCUGUCAAACAUAUGUCUAAUGUUGCUGUUGUUGUUCCCAAGUCUGGUGCUAGCUUAUGGGCUGAUCUUUGGGUAUACCCAUGCCUGCCAUUCUACUUCAAUAUUCACAUUGUUAUCUCCUUCAUAUUAGUGAUCAGUAAACACGAUAAUGUGACUAAUAAGUUCGUAUUCUCUUUAUAGGCAAUCCCUGCUGCCUCAAGACUUGAAACAAAACAAAUUGGAGGGCGAGUCAGAGGUGCAUUUCCAUUAAUCCAUCAAUGGAUAGAAUUCUGCUUGCAAACAGCGAGAGCAUUGCCUUUCAAGCAAGAGGUUAUCCCGAGCGCAUCUCCCUCUGCCCUUGAGUACUCUGGUUAAGUUGCCUGAAGAACUUUUCAAGGGUAAACCAAGUCUGGAUACUAACUUAAUUGCUGGAGUACCCCCGACUGAAAUUCUGGCCAGAUGUGAGUUUUGGAGCCUUUAUUUGAAGCUACAUUGUCGGAUUAUGAGUGGCUGGUUACUAAUCUGCAAAAAUCCACUCCUGUACUGAUCAACAAGAUGCAACAUUACAUGUCAUCAUUGAUCUUUAGCUAAAGGUACAUUGAAAAGUUAAUGGCACUGCAUACCAGUCAUUAUAAUUGGGUCAGGGCAAUUAGGUCAGAGCAUAACUUCAUUAGGAAAAGAUGCUUCAGCUACGUUAAAUAUUACAGGAUGUACUGAGAUGGCUGAAGCUGUUGAGGUUUUACGAGAAUCGAAAGAUAGUGUUUGUUUGAACAAAGUUGUUGCCAAUCUUGCAGAGUUCGAGAAGAAAGAUCACGAAGUGAAUGCCACCGAUUUCUUCAUCAUUGUAGCCUCCAUAGUUGAAGUUUCCUCAUUUGAAGCUGUUUAUGCAUACGAUUUUCCCCUGCUCAAGUACAGGAAAUUGAAGAAUUAACCAGAUGUGAUAUGCUGAAAGAGGGAAGUUUUCUUCCUUGAAUGUGGUCUUUGUGAUUUGUCUUGAAGGAAUAGGGUGAUCACUGGCAAGAACCCUAUCAAGGUAGAUUUUAUGAUGUUAACAUAUCAUUAAGCAUUUUGUUACAUCAGCAAUGAUGCUUUCAUAGCAGCAUGAAAGUGUUUAAAUUUUAACUGAAUGAUCUUGAUUGAUCAAUUAUGAGUUUUAAUCGAGUAAAAACUAAAUACAAUAAUCGUUAACAAAUAUUGAAAUUGGGUAAAUAUGAUCUUGAUAUUGAAGAAUUUGAAAUCACAACCCACACAGGAAAUCACCCUUCGCGUGGGGAUGGAGAUGUUACUGCAGCGAUAUUGAAUAUGUCCACCGCUCUUUGGGUUAUGGUGCGACUUGCCCUGAAACAAUGGAAAAGAAUAAUUAUAAUUUAACGCCAAGACAUAAAAUUAAAACGUGUGGACUCCGGUAGCUGCCCUACAAGUCUACAACUCUACAAACAUUAACUCUACAAACAUUAAACGUGUGGACUCCGGUAGCUGCCCUACAAGUCUACAACUCUACAAGAAUAAUUUCUAGCCCUGUUGACUCCACUAACUAAAGAAAUUUCAAAAACGUACAUAGAAUUCCACAACAAGCAAAACGUAUGGAAUUUAAUUUUUUGCCGUGUGGAACAAAAUACAAUUUAACAAAAAAGGAUAGAAAAAUGGUAAGAUUUCUAAAAUGAGUGGAAGGUGAUUCAUAUUUUACUGAAAUGACUUGUCCUGAACAUUAAGACGAUUGAUUUUUUUUUUUUAAUAACAUCAACUUCCAUAUCUUUCUAACCCCUAGAAUAUGCUCACGUUCAAGUCUAUCUUGGUAAUUUGAAAAAGAAAAUCAAAUCAAAUCAACACCAAAACAAUGAAAAGUAAAACUUUUGAAUUUCAACUUUAAACUUUUGUUAACCCUAGAAUAUUCAGCGUUUUCAAAUUCUUCCGAUUGCAUAUCUUCUUCCUCCAUCAAUGCAAUAUUUGAACGAUUAUGAAAGAGUUUAAGAACAUAAAAAAUCUCCAAGGUUUAUACGGUAUAACAAAUUUAAAUUCUCAAUUACAAUAGAUAAUAAUUAAACUAAUAAUUUUUUAUGUACUUAUUUUAGUAAUUUCACCUAAGAAUAAUAUUGUAAUUAGAAAAAAAAAUCUAAUAAGUAGGGUGGUCUUAUACAAAAUCAACUGUACUGUGAUGAGUUUCCUUUUGUUAAUAAUUUUAGUCUAAUUUCAAUUGUACUGUGAUCGCUUCUCAAGGUAAGUGAAAGUUACAGAUGGCAAAAUAAAUAAUUAAGUUAACAAAAUGCUAACUAAUUUUCCUCAAUACCUAGGGUUGUACAAUUUCACCAACCUGGAAGAAUUGACAUUAAUGGACUGGUCUCCUCCCAUAUAAUUAUAAUCCUUCUAGAAAGCUAUUUUUAUUAAAUAUUUGCUUUUAAGUUAAUUUCAAUUAAAAAUGUUUUAAGUUAAUAUAUACUCUAAUGAGAUUCUGAAUUCCUUAUUCAAUAAUAAUGAAAACGUAUUAAAUUAGAAAUGAAAAAAUUGGUGUUGAUGAUUCAACCUAUUUGGAUAGAUUACGUGAAUAAAAUUUAAAAUUUUGAUUUAAUUUUGUUUAUUGUUAAUUCUCAGGCUAUCUUUAAUUUCAAGAAUUUAGAAUGUUAAUUUGGUCAUGGAUUUCAACCCGUGAGUGUCAUAUUCUAGACUUAAUGGUACCAUUCUUUGAUUGAGGGCAAUGACUCUCACUCCUCUUGUAAAAAAAUAUUUUCAACUAUUUUGAUGACUUAAAAAUUGAUAGAUUUAUUGUUGUCAUGACCAAAUUAUUCAUUUUAAUGAAAUAUAAUUAAUGCAUCAAAGUUACAGGUUAUGUCUAUCUUAAUGCGCUUUUUUUUUUUCAGUUAUAGCUUCUGCUUACGUCUGUUUCAUUUUUUUUAAAUAAAAAAACAAGGGAAGGUUUUCCGAGUCAUCCAUUAUUUGAUUUCCGUCAAUCAAGAAAACGACCAAAUUAAUUUCUCUCCAAAAUUUCCAAAAGCUAGAAAAUUUUGUUAUUUGAAAAUAACAUGAAUUAAUUAUAGAGUGGAUCAAACCGCGUUAUUGUCUUUCAUAAAAUUGAUGUCUUUUAAGAGUCAAUACUUUUUUAUUUACGCAAACCAGUCGACAUCAAUUUAAACUUCCAUAUUUUAUUAUUAUUAUGUUAUUUAUUUUAAUCGCCGAUUAUUUGAUUAGCCACUAUAUAUAUCAAGAAAGCGACAAAAUUUAUUUCUCAUGACUUCCAAAAACAGAAAAACAACAUCAUUUAUUAUUUUUUUGCAACCUAAUUGACAUCACUUUAACUUAUUAUGUUAUUAUUUCAAUCCCCCAUUAUGACCUUUCUAAUCCUUCCAUUAUGCAUCUUUUAUAGUGCAAAUUGUAAUUGCACAUCUAAAUAAAUUGAAUAUUGUUACUCCACACCCAAUAUUUCAAAUAGUCACUAGACCAUUUCUGCCUUUAAUUUCCCUUAACUAUUGACUGUUUUUAGCAUCUUAAAAUAUACAUUUAUUCUUGAUUAUGUGAUAAAAUUAUGAAAUAUUCCAUUUUAGCUUAAAUUAAUUGGAAUAACCAUAAGCGUAACAUAAAUUAAUAGAACAAAAUUAUCAAGUGUAUGUUCUAUCUUACUUUUUGAAGAAUUUAACAUAUAUAAUGCUAUACUAUUAAUAAAUUUUUCAUUUACUAUAUAUGUUCAAUAUUUUAUAUAUUUAUUAAUUGUUAUAUAGUCACAGGAUGAAUGAUUUUUUCAGGUCUACAUGAGUUGGUGCACAUGCAAGACUCAAUUUUGACAACAAUGAUCUAAGGGGUAAUUUACCUUGGUGUUUGACAAACAUAACCUUCUUCAUGAUUUACUUCCAAUCUACUUACUGUAAAUAUCUCCUCAUCUCCUCUCAUUUAUAUGAUAAGUGAUAACCCUUGAAGAUCUCACAUUUUCAAACGAUCAUAUUAGGGUUUUUAUUAUUAGCAUCAUUGUGUCAACAAAAUAUAUGUUGCAGUAAGAUUUUUUUCAGACCAAUUCCCUUCUUCAAAUAAUUAAUGGAAAAGUAUUAAUUUAAAAAUAAAAUGAAUAUGCAUUGAUUAUAUCCUGAUUUCCAUCGAUUAUAGCGAGAGGUUCUCCGAAUCAACUCCCUUAUUCAAAUAAUACAGAAAAAAUAGUAAUUUAAUAGUAAAAUUAGCAAGUGUUGAUUAUAUAUCCUAAGUUUCAUCGAUUAUGUGAUCAAAGUGGCAUUGUUGAUUUAUUUUCUUGUUCAAUGUUAUUUUUAGGUUAUCUAAAUUUCAAAAGGAUUUAAAAUCUUUGUUCAUGGAUUACAACGCUUAUUAAUUUUUCUGCCAUUGACUGUCAUAUUCUAGACUUAAGGUACCUUCCUUGAUCAAGGAUAAUUACUCUAUGUUCCCUCUUAUAAAUUCCUCUUCAUUAACAUCACUAAGGAGUAUGUUGAUCUCUCAGACGUUAACUUUAGUGGAGAGUUUCCAAAUUGAUUGUUACAAAACAACACAAAAACUAGACACACUUGAUCUGUCUAAUAAUUCUCUUUCGAUAAAAUUAAUUAAUUUUAGGGGAAUAUUCGACCAACCUCUAUAAUUUCAUAUUGAUCAUUAAUUAAUUAGACGAAAAAAGUACUUGUGCUUUUGUGGCGACAAUUGAACUAGAGAAGUGAAGCUGUAAAGAUUUGGCAGUAGUAAAUUGUAGAAGACAUAAAGACAAUUUCCCAUUUUAUAAUUUUUUCAAAAAACUUUUUUACAACACAUGCACCUGGCCAAAAUUUUAUUUUGCUAACUAACAAUAAUUGAGUAGCUGACCGUAUUGACUCCGCCUACUUGCUAAAGUAAAAAAAUAGAAAUAGAAUUUCCACAAAAUGUCAAACAUGUAAAAUCUAAUAUUUGGCCAUGUGGAACAAAUACAAAUGAAAAAAAAAAUAGAAAAAAGGCCUAAAGACUUUUAAAAUUGUGUGGAAAUCUUUCGGCCCUUUUAUAAUGGUGUGUUUUUCAAAGGAACAACUAAUAAUAAUGACACUUCUACGGUUUGUUUUGAUAAUUACACAUAUACUCUUUAAUUUGAUAAAUGGUUACACAAAUUUUGUUUACAAAAAUAUAUUAUUCAUGUUCUGUAUUAUUUUUUAACAUCAUAUUUUUAUUUAUUAUAAUUGUUUAAAGUUAAUUGUUAGGUUGAUAUAUAAUAAAACGUAUAAUCGUUCUCUUACUAAACACACAAUACUCGUAGUUUCUAUCCAUUUGUCAUCUCAAUCUCUCUCAUUUAUCCUUUCUUGAUAGCUCAAAACGCGUCACUGUGGAAAAUAAUAGCAAAACGACAAAUAUGGAAGAAUGGGAAGAAAAUUAAUGCAUGAAAGAGUUGCAGAAGACAACCAAAUAAGUCAACUAUACGCUAGUUGGGUGUAUAAAUUGUUAGAUGUGUUAUAAACAAAUAGCAUAGAGCCUUGGUUGGUUACAGAGAUAGAAAAACUGUGUGUGUUUUUUAGAACUUAAAGAUACAGUUAGAAUGGGUGGUUCAAAAUCAAAAUGGUGAUAAUGUUUGUUCUGUUAUUAAUAAUAUUAGAAGGUGGGUGGAGUGAAGGAUGUUUGGAUCAUGAGAGAUUUGCUCUUUUGCGACUCAAACAUUUCUUCGAUGAUACUGGUAGUUAUUUUUACUACUGGGCAGAUGGUGAGGGAGCUACUGAUUGUUGUCAGUGGGAAAGGGUUGAGUGCAGCAACACCACAGGCAAGUGAUAGUGCUAGACCUUUUUUGAAACGUAUUUGGGAGAGUACAGCUGGUAUCUGAAUGCUUCUUUGUUUACUCCCUUUCAACAACUUGAGUCACUUGAUUUAUAUGGCAACAAAAUAGUCGGUUUUGUUGAGAAUGAAGGUACUUCGUCUAAUUCAAUUAAUUUACAUUUCGCUCUCCUAAUUUAAGUCGAAUAUCAAGACUGAGCAGCUAUAUGCAUAUUCAUUCAAUUGACAAUUUUUACAUAUUUUUUAAAAUGUUUAAUUUUGAAAUUACACCAAACAUCAUAUGUGGUUUUGAUUUUACUUGCAGGUCUAGAAAGAUUGAACAACUUGAAGAGGCUUGAUUUAAGUUAUAACUUGUUCAACAAUAGCAUCUUAUCAUCUGUGGCUCAUCUUUCUUCACUAACAUCAUUAGAUUUAUCUGGAAAUAGAUUGGAAGGAAGUAUUAAUGUUAAAGGUACGUAAUUAAAACGUCAUCGCUUCUCUCAACUCUUUCAUUAACAUGCUAAAAUAAGAUUCAAGGCUUUGAAUUCAUUUUUUUUUAUGAGUAAAUAUUAGAAAAAUAGUUUUAAGCAAUUCAUAAAUACAAUUUUCAAUGUUUCUCAUAAUUUCAUCUUGUACUUUCGUAUGUCUUGACUUUAAGAUUAAAAAAAAAAAUUACUCUAACUGUGAAGCAAAUACCCCAUGACUAAUUUAUCAUUUCGUCCAGUUAAAAAUGAUAAAAUUUAUCAUUUGUUUAUAUUGAUUAAUUAACUCUAUUUUAAGUCUUAAGUCUUGGCGUCUUGGCAUAUUUGCAGAAUUUGAUUCCUUGAGCAACUUAGAGGAGUUGGACAUGAGCGACAAUGAAAUAGACAAUUUAGAGGUUCCUCAAGGUAAACAAUUAAAAUAUAUUCAAUUACAUUAAUUUAAUUCGUUUGAUUAGGGAAGACCCAAAAGGUACAAAAUAUAAUAAUAAUAAUAAAGAAACAGAGAAUCUAUAUUAUUUCAAAAAAUAAAACGUAAUACUAUUAUUUCAAAAAUAGAUUGUAAUAAAGAUUUGAUUCCGGUUCUUUAAUCUUUACAGCAAUUGAAAAACGAUGUUGCUCUUUUCCUGAAGCAUAAAAUAUGAAAUGACUCCAAUACAAUUAAUCAUUUAUUUCGUUUACUCUAAAAUUAGACAAUGAAUCUUUAUUUUCUUCAGUCUUAUCCUAAUUAUUAUUAAUAAACAGGUUACAAAGGUUUGAGGAAGUUGAAUUAUCUUGAUCUAUCGAAUGUUGGAGUUAGAGAUGGAAGCAAGUUGUUACAGUCAAUGGGAUCAUUCCCAUCCCUCAACACUCUUUACCUGAAGGAUAAUAAUUUUACCGAUAUAGCGACAACUACUACUCAAGGUAAGUAAAAGAUACAGAUGUGGCCAAAUUUACAAAUAAAUUGUUAAUUAAUUAAUUUUUCCGUAUUAUUAAUAAAGCUAAAUUCGUCGCUCCUUCCUUCUAAUUCUAAACAGAGUUGGCAAUUUCACCAACUUGGAGUAUUUGACAUUGGACUUGUCCUCGCUCCAUUUAAGCCUUCUACAAUUACUUGAAGAAUGAAUUUAUUUAUUAUUAUUAUUGUUGUUGUUGUUGUUGUUGAAGUGAGGUGGGCAAGCGUUCACUCAAUUAAUAUGUGAGGAAUUAAUAAUUACAAUCCAAGGUAGAAUUGUGGAAAAUUAAAGCAAAAUGAGAAAUAUGGAAAGAAAGGAAGAAAGUUAAGGGCAUGAAAGACUAGGAGAAGACUAAAGACCACCAAAUAAGUCAACUGAAAACUAGCUGGGGCCUGGGUGUACAAAUUGUUAGAUGUGUUUGUUAUAAAUAACAUAGAGCCAUCUUGUUGGUUGCAGAGGCAGAGAGACACAGAGUGUGCAUUUUGUUAAUUAAAAAUAUAUAUAAAAUGGGUGGUUCAAAAUCCAAAAUGGUGAUAAUGUUAGUUUUGUUAGUAUUAAUAAUAUUAGAAGGGAGGUGGCGUGAGGGAUGUUUGGUGCAUGAGAGAUUUGGUCUUUCGAGACUUAAAACAUUUCUUCAAUUCUCCUUAUAAUUUUUGUCACGACUGACCGUUGUCAAUGGGAUGGGGCUGGGUGCAGGGUUGAUUUACGUUAGAACAAUAUAGCCGGUAGUGUUGAGAAUGAAGGUGUUUCAUUUAAUUUAAUUAAUUUACUUUCUCCCUCCUAAUUUAAGUGGAAUAUCAAGACUGAACAAUUAUAUGCAUCUUCGUUCAGUUGACAAUUUUGACAUUUUUUUUAAGUGAUUAAUUUUGAAAUUACACCAAACAUUAUUUGUGAUCUCUGUUUGACUUUACUUGCAGCGCUAGAGACGUUAUCAAGAUUGAGCAACUUGACGAUACUUGAUUUAAGUUAUAACUUGUUCAAUAAUAGCAUCUUGUCAUUUGUUGCCCGUCUUUCAUCAUUAACAUCAUUAGAUUUAUCUUACAAUGGAUUGGAAGGAAGUAUUAAUGUUAAAGGUACGUAAUUAAAACGUCAUCGCUUCUCCAACUCUUCCAUUAACAUGCUAAAAUAAGAUUCAAGGCUUUGAAUUCAAUUUUUUUUUAUGAGUAAUAUUAGAAAAAUAGUUUUAAGCAAUUCAUAAAUACAAUUUUCAAUGUUUCUCAUAAUUUCAUCUUGUACUUUUGUAUGUCUUGACUUUAAGAUUAAAAAAAAAUUACUCUAACUGUGAAGCAAAUACCCAUGACUAAUUUACAAUUUUGUCCAGUUAAAAAUGAUAAAAUUUAGGGAAAUUAUCAUUUGUAUACCCUUAGUUUACUCUAUUAUCAAAAAUACUACAACACUUUGAGGGUGUAUCAAUCGUCCACCCUAAGUUGACAAAAUGUAUUAGCCAACCACCAAACCGUUAGUUGCCGUUUAAAUAUGAUAACAUCAUAAGGGUAAUCUGGUCUUUUCAUAUGAUACAAGUGAUAAUUUAAGGGUAUACAAGUGAUAAAAAGAGAGUUUAAGGGGAUACAAGUGAUAAUUUUCAAGGUAAAAUCGUCAAUUUACUGUAAUUCCGUUAACUUUCAAACGGCAAUUAACAGUUUGGUGGUCGGUUGAUACAUUUCAUCAACUUAGGGUGGACGAUUGAUACACCCUUAAAGUGUUGUAGUAUUUUUGAUAAUAAAGCAAAUAUAGGGUAUACGAAUGAUAAUUUCCCUAAAAUUUAUCAUUUGUUUAUAUUGAUUUAUUAACUCUAUUUUAAGUCUUAAGUCUUAAGUCUUGGCAUGUUUGCAGAAUUUGAUUCCUUGAGCAACUUAGAGGAGUUGGACAUGAGCGGCAAUGAAAUAGACAAUUUCAAGGUUCCUCAAGGUACACAAUUAAAAUAUUAUUUAAUUACAUUAAUUUAAUUCGUUUGAUUAGGGAAGACCCAAAAUGUACAAAAACAUAAUUAAAAAAAAAUAAAGAAACAGAGAAUUCAUAUUAUUUCAAAAAACAAAAGGUAAUACUAUUAUUUCAAAAAAAGAAUGUAAUAAAGAUUUGAUUCCGGUUCUUUAAUCUUUAUAGCAAUUGAAAAACAAUGUUGCUCUUUUCCUAAAGCAUAAAAUAUGAAAUGAGUCAUAAUUGAAUUAGUCAUUUAUUUUGUUUAGAUCUAAAUUUAGACAAUAAAUUUUGAUUUUUUUUUCAAUUCUAUCCUUAUUAUUAUUGUUAAACAGGUUACAGAGGUUUGAGGAAGUUGAAAAGCCUCUAUCUAUCGAAUGUUGGAGUUAGAGAUGGAAGCAAGUUGUUACAGUCUAUGGGAUCAUUCCCAUCCCUCAACACUCUUUACCUGAAGGAUAAUAAUUUUACCGAUAUAGCGACAACUACUACUCAAGGUAAGUAAAAGGUACAGAUGUGGCCAAAUUUAUAAAUAAACUGUUAAUUAAUUAAUUUUCUGUAUUAUUAAUAAAGCUAAAUUUUUGCUCAUUCCCUCUAAUUCUAAACAGAGUUGCACAAUUUCACCAACUUGGAAUAUUUGACAUUGCACGGUUCCUCUCUCCAUAUAAGCCUUCUGCAAAGCAUUGCAUCAAUAUUCCCUUCGUUAAAAAAUCUGUCGAUAUCUUAUUGUGAAGUCAAUGGUGUCGUACAUGGUCAAGGUAAAAGAAAAGUGUUGGUUGUGCACUCACUGAGUGUUGUCCUACGUAUUCAAUAUUUUUAUUUAUUUAUUUUAUUGUUUAAUGUUUCUGCUAGGUUUUCCUCAUUUCAAGAGUUUGGAACAUUUGGGCAUGAUGUCCACGCGCAUUGCACUCAACACCAACUUUCUUCAAGUCAUCAGUGAAUCGAUGCCUUCUCUUAAGUACUUAUCACUGUCAUAUUCUACUCUUGGCACUAACAGCAGCAGGAUUCUUGAUCGAGGUUAAUCAGAUGCUCCCACCCUCCAUUCUUAAUCUAUAAUAUUAAUUUUCAGUUAAAUAUUUAAUUACACAAACCAAUCACUUAUUAUAAAAGAACAAUACGCAUUCAUUAAUUUUUAUAUUAUAUUAAUUGAUGAAUUUAAUAAAUUCCAGGCCUCUGUUCGCCGGUGCAUCUGCAAGAGUUAUACAUUGGUUCUAACGAUUUAAGAGGUAGCUUGCCUUGGUGCAUGACAAAUUUGACAUCCCUCCGAAUAUUAGAUGUUUCUUCCAAUCAACUUACUGGAAGCAUCUCCUCGUCUCCCCUCAUUCAUUUGACAUCCAUUGAAAAGCUGUAUCUUUCAAACAAUCACUUCCAGAUCCCAAUUUCACUUGAACCACUUUUCAAUCAUUCAAGACUCAAGACUUUUUAUGCUGACAACAACGAACUAAAUGCAGAAAUAACUCAGUCACAUUCUUUGACCGCCCCAAACUUCCAAUUAUCACGUCUCUCAUUGUCUUCCGGUUAUGAAGAUGGCGUCACAUUCCCCAAAUUCCUUUACCAUCAACAUGAUCUGGAGACUGUUGAGCUCUCACAUAUAAAGAUGAAUGGAGAAUUUCCAACUUGGUUGUUGGAAAACAACACAAAAUUGAGACAACUUUCUCUCGUCAAUGAUUCUCUUGGAGGACCUUUCCGGUUGCCAAUUCAUUCACACAAGCGGUUAGGAAUGUUGGAUAUAUCCAACAACAACUUCCGAGGCCACAUUCCAAUAGAAAUUGGAGAUGUUUUACCAAGUCUAUACCUUUUCAACAAUUCCAUGAAUGCUUUAGACGGUAGCAUUCCCUCUUCAUUUGGUAAUAUGAAAUUCCUCCAAAUUCUGGACUUAUCCAACAAUCACUUGACUGGUGAAAUCCCCGAGCACUUGGCCGUUGGUUGCGUCAACUUGCAGUCUCUUGCAUUAUCAAAUAACAACCUACAAGGUCACAUGUUCUCUAGAAAUUUUAACUUGAUAAACUUGAAAUGGUUACAAUUGGAGGGCAAUCGCUUCAUAGGUGAGAUCCCACAAAGUUUGUCUAAAUGCUCCUCACUAGAAGGAUUGUAUCUUAACAAUAAUAGUCUUUCGGGUAAGAUUCCACGAUGGUUGGGUAAUCUCACAUGGUUACAAUAUAUUAUAAUGCCCAAUAAUCAUCUUGAAGGCCCUAUUCCAGUGGAGUUUUGUCAGCUUGAUUUGCUUCAGAUUUUGGACAUUUCAGACAACAACAUAUCUGGAAGUUUACCAUCUUGUUUCCAUCCUCUCUCUAUCAAACAAGUUCAUCUUUCAAAAAAUAUGUUACAUGGACAGCUAAAAAGAGGUACAUUCUUUAAUUGCUCUUCCCUUGUGACAUUAGAUCUUAGCUAUAAUCGCUUGAAUGGCAGCAUUCCGGAUUGGGUUGAUGGGCUUUCUCAGUUAAGCCACCUUAUCUUAGGUCAUAAUAAUCUUGAAGGUGAAGUGCUAGUUCAAUUGUGCGAAUUGAACCAACUACAAUUGUUAGAUCUUUCUAAUAAUAAUCUUCACGGUCCUAUUCCUCCUUGCUUUGAUAACACCACACUUUAUGAAAGUUACAGCAAUAGUUCUAGUCUUGAUGAGCAAUUUGAAAUAUUUUUUUCCAUCGAAAGCCCUCAGGGAAAUGUAGAAAAGCAAAUCCAUGAAAUUUUUGAGUUCACAACAAAGAACAUUGUGUACAUUUACCAAGGAAAAGUGCUUAGCCUCCUAUCAGGACUUGAUCUUUCUUGCAACAAGCUAAUUGGUCCUAUUCCUCCUCAAAUUGGAAAUUUGACAAGGAUUCAAACAUUGAAUCUAUCACACAACGACUUGAUAGGAUUGAUCCCAUCAACAUUUUCAAACUUGAAGCAUGUCGAAAGUUUGGAUCUUUCCAACAACAAAUUGAAUGGGAAAAUCCCUCAUCAACUAGUGGAGUUAAAGACAUUGGAGGUUUUCAGUGUGGCAUACAAUAACUUAUCAGGCGAAAUUCCAGAAUGGACUGCACAAUUUGCAACCUUCAAUGAGAGUAGCUAUGAGGGAAAUACUUUUCUUUGUGGAUUGCCAUUGCCCAUUUGCAGAUCACCAGCAACUAUGUCGGAGGCUUCAAUUGGCAAUGAACGAGAUGAUAAUUUAAUUGACAUGGACAGUUUCUUUAUCACAUUUACAACAUCGUACGUAAUUGUGAUAUUUGCAAUUGUUAUUAUUUUAUAUGUAAAUUCUUAUUGGCGACGUAGAUGGUUUUACUUUGUUGAAAUGUGGAUAACUUCAUCUUACUAUUUUGUUGUAGACAAUCUUAUUCCAACAAGAUUUUAUCAUUGAAAUUAAUUAGUAGUUUAAUUACGAUUCUUUAAGUACUAAUCAAGUUUGUUUAGGAAAUAUUUUUUUAUUAAAAUUGUAGUAGUAUUUAGCAUUAUAUAGCUUCCAACUUCCAAGCACUUCACAUUUGUCUCUACACUUAAAAAACUGAGUGAUCAUGUUUUGCAGAUCUGGAUUUGGAGCAGGAUGGAUCCAAACCCAUAUCUGUCCACCGUAACUUAUAGCUUCCCUAUACUGUGCAGCAUACUUAAAUAAGAGAACCAUCUCCAAUGUUAAAAGCAUUCACUCUAUAACAUUCAUUUAGAAACUAUAUUCAGAAUAAUUUUAUAAUUAAACACAAGAAAUGAAACACACAGAUACACUUGAUCGCCUAUUUUACUCUAAAAAAGAACGAUUAUUGUGCUAUCAUCAUCUUCUUCACUAGCAACAUUAACACCAAAUCGAUGGACCCAUACAUUUCAUCAAGAAAGGUCUAUAUCCAAUAAAGUUGAAGCCUAACAAAAAAUUCAAGAAGAUUCAUGCCUCGCCACAACAAGGGGCACAACAACAUCAAAGUAGAGAUUAAGCAGUAUUCUCAAAGCUAAAACUCUCAAAUCCACCCACCAGAAUUUCAUAUCUCCUCAACAAUUUUAAGAACUAAAGAUAAUUAGGAUUUAACAUUAGUUUUUUAUAUAUUAGUUUCAUAAUUUACAAAUCAAUGAAGAUGAAGAUUAUGCUAAUAAAUUCAAAUUAUACCAUACAUUCUCUAGAUGUUACCAAAAAUUUCUAAGUCAAUCCCACAUAUUUCAUAAUUUUAAGACUAGAAAAUUUCACUAGUUAGAAGUUUCAUUACCUUCAAGUGGAAGAUGAAGAACAUUAUACAAGUGAUUCAGAUUAUAUCAUACAUACUCCAAAUGCAACUAGAAAUUAACAAGUUCAUGCACACAUAUUUCAUAACAUUAUGAUUGAAAAGUUUCACAGAGAAAUUCUAAAUUCAAUCUCUUGCAUGAAGGCAAUUUGAUUGAUUUGAGUUACUUUCUUAUCAAGCUACUAAUAUAACAUUCAAGUCAGGGAGAAAAUAAAUUAAAACUGGGAAGAAAUAACAGUAAAAAUUUGUUGCUCAACAUGAUGUGUAUUUUUUUUCAAGGCAAUUUGGAAACACAAUUGUUACCACAGAUAUUCUUCUCAACUUGGAGAUAAAUACAAAUAUUAAAAUGCAUAUGAUCGCACAUAUUACUUCGAGUUUAGUAAGAUUUCAUUAAAAGAAGCAAUCAAACCACUUAUCAAUUGUCGCAGUCGUUCUAUAAACUAAAAUAGCAAUAUAAUACAAGAAAAAGAACAUAUAGAUACUUGGCAAGAGUUCAUUAAGAAGUCACAUCACAUUCAGGUGAGGAGUUUGCUUCUGAUAUCUUGCUAGCUGGGGCUUUUUCUUGUCUUUCUACGUAUGCCGAGGGAAACCAACCAGCUUGGCCCUUGCAUUCACCUUCCGACCAUCCAAUAGGAGCCACCUUGAGAAGUUAUAACUAAAAUGGUGAAUUAAACAAAAGUUGACCGUUCAAAGACCUAAGGGGAAAACUAAUUCUUUUACGUAGGAGGAGUGAAUUAGUUGUGAUCACUGAAAUAACAGCAUAACUAUGGAAGCAUAACAAGAUAUAAAUUCACACGUCUAUAAGGGUAAACUGGGUGGUUGAGAACUGAGCUAGCAACCCUACUAUAUUCUGAUUUGCACUUCAAUGUAAAAGGGAAUAUAUGGUAGGAAGAAAGAAAACCAACCAUCAUUUGUUAACUCAUUGCUUUUCAAUCAAAAUUUUAAGAACAAAAUGCCAUGUGCUUUGAACAUCAAAUAAGUAUAAGCAUUAGUUCUAAAUUCCACAUAUCAUAAGUUGUUAGAAGGAUAAGUUAAUAGCAGAGUAGAAAAAUCUAUGUGUUGGUAUUUAGAGGGGAAAGUACCUGGCGAACCACAACAUAAUCAUCAAUUGAAAGACUUAGCUCUCCAUUUGCUUGAGCAUCAAAUGGAUGUAUAACCUGCAAGAUAAUGGGAUAAAUAGAACUUAAAAAAAGCAUAACAAAAGCGGCAACAGUAGCAGCAACGUUCAUUGUAACCACUAUGAUCAUGGCCAACAAAGAUAUAUUAGAAACAAAAUUCCAUUUUUACUACGACAUUAAUAUGUACUAUACGAUAUCAUGACGAUUGGGUUACUAAGAGCUAUCAAAGUCUAAUAAGUUCUGUAUAACUUUAUGUAGUUAUUUAAAUUAUGGAUCAGAUUUUAAAUUUGAAAUUUUGACUGCUCUCCACAAAACAUGGCCUAUGCACAAGAAAGUCAUAGAUAAUGAGGAUUACAAGUGUCCGACAUCUUUUGAGUGAUGGAUUUAACAUGAGAGCUUAUGGUCAGUCAAUUUCCUCUGCCUAGCAAUAUAAGCUUUCUCGGCCAGAUUUAUCAUCAAAUACAUAGAUUGCCCCCAAGUCACAUCCAUAUAAACAUAGUUUUUCUAGGUAAACCAAGUAAGGAGUAUCAUAAUUCAGACAUAAUCAUAAAAAGGCCCAUCUAACUUAAGAGAAAAUCUCAAAAAGAGGGAUGCUGAGCUAUCAGUCUUGUAUCUAUAAGCAAUAUCAAGACUUUACGUCACCUGCUACAUCGUGAGUGGCUACACAACUUUCAGUGGUUUGUCUUUCUUUGGCACGCCUAACUCAGCUUUCAUGUUGCUGAGAUAUUGAUAGUAGAGACACAUGAUACUUCUAGCUCAUGCAUUCUAUCUAACUCAUCCAACAACUAUCUCUUUUUUAAUUCAUUAGUGUUUGCUAAACCUCAUGCUUAAAAGUCCUGUUCUCCUAAACAAAGUUUCCUAAGAAUGACUUCCUUAGCACCACAGUUGGACACUUUUAGAGCAAUUUUAUUUGGGGGAAAAGAAUUUUCAAGGUGUUAACUAAUAAAUUUUAAAAAAUAAUUACAAUUUGUCCUACGAUCAUAUGACAAUUUAUCUGGGAUGAAAGGAUACAGAUAGACAUCUUCCACUUUCAAGACUAAUCACUACUUCCGUAGAUGUUGUGCAAUAAUACAAAUACUUGACCAGAUGGUAGUGAUGGUAGAAAAAAAUUUUAUUGCUCCAAAAUUAAAAUAAGAAUGCAAUAUGUUAAGCAAAAGGCUGUGCAACAUCAAAUUAAUUGAUAAGUUUGUAAUUCAGUAAAUUAACAACUUUCAUGGUAAAAUACAACAAAUUUCUUUUGAAAAAAAAUAAAUAAAUCUUAAAAGACAACAUUCAAUUUUGUGCACAUCUUAUUUCUUAAGAUUUUUCAGGAGGAGGGCAAUAGAGGGACUUUCACCUAUGCAAGAGAGCAGAAGCCUUACUUUCCCUAUAAAGUAGACGUCAUUCUGAUUAAUAUGCGUUUGCAAAUCAGCUCCGUUUGAAUCAGUAUUCUGAUAGACACACGAGGAAUUUACAUCCAUUUCCAAAGUCACAUGUUGCGAGGAGGACUCAUUUGAUUGCUCCUAUACGAUCAUCUAAUUCAAGUAGCAAGGGUUGGAAGAGAAUAAAAAGUCACAAUUAUUCUUUUGCAUAAGUGAGACGAAAAUGAUAAAUGCAAUAUUAUCAGCAGUAAACAAGAAGAGAACGCUCCAAGAAAUAGAUAGAUGCAGACAAGCAAGUUAAAAUGCAUAGUCCCAAACCUCCGCAUACAACUUCUCUAAAAUAGCAAUAACGUGUUGAUGCUAUGUUUUCUCAGCAUCUACCUGCAAAGGCCCGAGACCAGGAAAACAACAAUAAAACCACUAGCUGAAGGAGAAAGCAAAGAAAGAAAUACACUUGACAUAAAUCUUGACAAGAAGCACAAAUUAAGACAUAACAAACCCCAAUCAUAUUGUUUAGAACUACCAUUCGUUAUUUCGUUAUUGUAACAUUUCGAACAAGUGUUGACUUAAUUCAACAUUGUUGGAAAGAUAGGCUUUUAGAAGCAGAAGAAAGCCUCUCAAACCAAAGUGCUGGUCCUUGUAUUGAUCAAGGGAUGUAAACAUAUUACAUUUGCAGGAUGAGAUUUAAUCACUCCCCUGAUUUAUUCGGGUUGCAGUAAAACUAAGCGAGCAACUGUUUGACUUUCAAGCAACAGCUAAAUCAGCUAUUAAAAUUCAAAUAAAAUCAUAAUAGAAUAAUAACAGGCCAUCUUGCAUCAAAAAUUAAGUUUAAUUUGUGAAUUGUUUUCUAUAGACAUGUCAGUUUCUGCUAUUGAAAUGUUAAAAGCAUUGAAAAAUUAUUCAAUAAAUUAUGCAAGCAUUAAAAUAGAGGACAUAUUAAAAAGUUUCUAAUUACAAUGUUAAUAUUUCCUAUAUUUUAGCAUUUGCAUAUUUUAAUUUAUUUAAAAGCUACGUUGAUCAACUUUGGGCAUGAAGAUUUUAGCUUAUACGAGACUUGAUUGGAAUAUGCAUAAGAGUGUUAAAAUAUGAUGCAUCCAAUGAAAGACAAACCACGUGUAGUCUUUUAAUUAAGCCAAAGUAGCAGCUCAAACAAAUGACACUUGGACCAACAUGCAAUCAUGAAGUGGCCGGAAAAAGGACAAAUGCAACUUUGGCUUAAAUAAAAAAUAACAUGUGACUCGACUUUUGCUGGACAUGCAUCAUGUUAUCACAAGACAACAGAAAUCAGUAUGAUAGUACUAAAAGUUGACAAUAACAUGAAGAUAAGAGGCAGAAUGUCAACACAUGCAUAGGCACACACAAGAAAGUAUUAACUUAUAUACCAUAGCAAAAAGUCUUUGAUAUGUCAUCUGUUGCUGCUGUGAUUCAACUGACAGCAUGGCAGCUGUUGCUUCUCUACCAAGAGCCAUUAUUGUAGAUUUAAGCUCGGUCAAUCUUGCUUCUGCAUUUCGAAGCUUCACAGCACUCUCUGCUGAUAUAUCAGAUUCCCUAAUCUUUGAUCGGCGCCUAAAUACUUCAGCUGCCUGGUGAAAAUAUUCAAUAUAAAUCUAACAUAAUUCUCAUCUUGCCUUAUACAUGCAUAUGUUAACUCAAAGCUUACCUGGGCUUCAACUUCAUGUCGAAGUUUGUCAUAACGAUGAGUCAGGUGUCGAGCAUCUUCCAAAGGUGCUCCGUUGAUUAACGCCCGUAGUGGCUCAGAUACCUACAUGUCCAAAAACCUGUAACAUAGUUAGAAAAAUGAAAAGAAAGAGCGAAACCUCAAUUAAAAAGUUCCUCCAACAUAAUCAUGGAAUUUGGGCCUACUUCAAGGAUAUAUAUAAGGAUAAUUUCUGCAAUUUUGGGUCUUAGGAUGAUUGAUAUUAGGUUAUUGUUCUUCUCUUCUGUAUUUAAGGUUAAAAUAGAAAUAAACCUAUGCAAAUAUCUAAAUUAGGCCUGUAAGACAUCCACAUGCAUCCUUCAGCCUCAUGGAUUUGAUUUUACUAUAGAUGCAAGUGUCUUUAUCGAAAAUGCUUGGAGUCAAUUGAGAGAACUCAUGGCCAAUAACUUGUCACACGCUAGUGUUUGCUAGUGAUGUAAGAAGUCACAAGGUCUCUUCAACAUUUGAACCAAUAAAAUUAUUAAGUCAUGGAUGUCACUAGCAAUGAUUUUAAUAUAAAACAUUAAAUAUUUCAGAGUUGUAACUUUAAAAUGGAUUCUUUUAUUCAAUAUCAUAGAACUAAGUUUCCUUAUGAGAAGAUAAUAGUUUCGAUAAUAAUUUUACAUAUAAUUUUCUAUAUUUGAAUUAUUUUCUAGUUAGGGAUGAACUAACCUGAUCACGAAGAAUCCCGAGCAAAGUUUCCCUCUCAUUUUCCAUCAAAUCAUGUGAAGUGCCAAAUUGAAGAGCAGCUCUUGCAACGCAAGAAUUGUCACUUUGAUUCUCUGCUCCAUACUUGCAACAAUCUUCCGCCAACUUUCUCGCUACAAUAUUUGUACACAAGAACUAGUCAAGAAAAUAAAAAAAAAAAUCAAAUAUUAUAAAGAAAGCAAGAGCAAACAAACAACUUAUUUCCAUUUGGUUCAAGCUUACUGCAACAAACCCUUCAACGCCACGGACAAUAUUCCUCUGAAAAUGCUGUGCUACAGAGCAUAUAUUCCAAAUUAUUGUUCAGAUAAAACCAUAGAAACCAUCAUAAUUAUUCAACAUACAUUAAGCUCCGUUUGGUAAAUACUUGCAACUUCAGUCUAGAAAAUACAGUUAAUUUUUAUUUAAAAAACAUCAUAAUUAUCAACAUACAUAUUUGACAAAAUUAUUAUUUAAAAAUCAUAUCAAAUUAAUUACCAAAAGCCACAAUAAAUCAAUAUCAAACAGAGUCUUAUUAUUAGCUAAAGGAGGAUAGUACCUUAGCUGCCCUGGUGGAAUUGUAUAGAUUUUGAAGUUGUUGGUGACACUCAAUUUCAGCUUCAUCAACCACAACAUUUUCAAUACCAAGAUGGAGCAGAUGCUUCAAUACUGCCUGUACAAAUCAUAAAAAACGAAUAAAAAUAAAUAAAAUCGAGAUAUUUCACUAACUAAGAGUCUAAAUAUAAUUUUUUUAAAAAGAAAAGAAACGGACUUGCUGCUGCUUGGCGACUUGUUCUCGGAGCUUGAUUGCCUGUUUCUUGAUAGCUUCCAUACUGUUUCUUUCAAAAAGCGACGACGGCUCAGCUCAUGGAGGUGGAAAAAAAAAGUGUGAUCGGGAAAAAUAAAAAGGCAUGAAUAAUUUUUGAAAAAAAGCGAAAAUCAAGGAAAGCCAGCUCUUUCCAGAAAAUAAAAAAAGAAAAAAGAAAAAAGAAAAUUAUAAGGUUGAAAGGAGUAGAUGAUAGUGGAAGUGUGCGGUGUAGCUGCCAGCUACUUGGAUUGUAUUGUCGGGUAAGGUAAUAGUAGAGAAUUUUUUAAGAAGCUAGAACAGAGCAUGACAUUAGACUUUUGUUGACCAAAGGAUGUUGUUUUAUUCUUCUUAUACUUUACGCUUGCAUCAGCCUCAAUCACUUCUUAAUCGCUUGCUUUAACUGCAUCGCUCUCUCUGUGCUCUUCUAUAUAUGUGACGGUUAUGCGGUUGUAGUUCACGGCUGAGGCUACGCGUUGGUUUGACGUGUCAGUUACGUUACAAGGGGAUAAAUAAGAUUGGUUGCAACAAACCCACUAAUUUUAUAAAAUUCGAGUAAUAUAGAAUAAAAUAAAAAAAUAAAUACAAAAUUGGCUUUUAUUUUUUAUGGUUGACUGUAUUUUGUGUUCUCUUCCGGCACUACUACAAUUGUUCCCCAUAUAUCAGUCACACCUAUAUAUCAUUAACAUAAGAAAUGAAAUCUAAUGUCACCUAUUUAGUUAAAGAAUCACUCAUGAAAAUUUUUUACCAUUUUGCUUUGAGGAUCCAUAUUUUGAACUGCAAGCUAAUGUUCAUCAAGAAUCACUAAUGUUCAUAAAAAACAGAACAUGGCCGUUGAGUAGAAAAACUAUUUUUGGACAAAUUAUUUUUGUUGAUAGAAGAAUUUCUUAAGGGACUACUAAAAUUAUUAAUAAAAAUGUAGAACCACCCACAUAUCAUCUACACAAUUGACUUUGAGGAUCCAUGCUUUGAAUUGCCGCCUAAUGUUCAUCAAGAACAGAGUAUGCCUUGUGAGUAGAAAAUUUUAUGAUUUUGGCCCGAAAUAAAAGGAAAUUAAAUUAGAUGAGAAUCUGCCACUUUCUCAUGAAAAAAGGCAUACGGAGCAUACCAUGGUACCAUACGGAGAAUAUUAGAACCACCCUAGAAUAUCUUUACCCUGAUGUUUCUAACAAAAAUCUGCAUGUGGCAGCAAUUACUAGAUCUACAAUUUCCCAAAUAAUAUUUUGUGUUUCUUAAAAAAUUUGAAAUACAUAGUUGCACUUGCACACCGUGAGACAGUGCUACAAUCUACUGAGAUCUAAAUUAUAUGAGACUUUAAGCUACUAAUGUUUGCAUAUUUCUACAUGUCAAAUUAACAUUACCAUCUAUAAUCCGAAACGACAGAUGAUAAACGGCUUUUGGCCACUUAUUACUAGCAUCCACAAUUAAUUUUUGUUCAGCAAUCAGCUUAUUUUAUAGAAAUUGAUUUAGUCAGCAACAAACACUAUAAUUGCUACUAUGUACGAACUGGUCAUGAAUUAUCUAUAAGAUUUUUCAUGUUGCUUUUAGGUGCAUUGGAUUUUUUGAGUUUAGUGCAAGAGUAGAGGAAGGCAAAUUAAGAAAAAGGAUAAAGAUCUAUAAUUAGCUUCUCAUAACAUAUUGAUGGUAACAUUAUACAUAUGUAUAUCUAAAUAAUGGGGUUGGAUCAGGAGCCCAUUAAUAAUCAUAUAUUAGCUCAUAUAGUUAAAAAAAAAAAUGUACCAUAAAGCCAUUUCACCAGCACUUGUUAGCCUAUGUUGAGCUUUAUUAUCAAUACUUCAUAGUUCAUCGGUGCACUGCAGGUUUACUAUUUGAAGUAAAUGUUAUGGUGCGUGCAUUCUUCAUAAGGCCAACUAUUGAAUUUAGCAUUGAAACUUACAAAAUGUAAUAGAAAGAGGUAGAUAACAGCCAUAAAACACUAAGAUUGGAAAUCAGGGCUACUAUACUAUUACAAGCCCUUAGAAAAGACAGUGAUCAUCCUGAAAUGUAUCUACUGAAAGUAAGAAAUAUUAAUCGUAAAGUUAUGUGUCAACAGAACUAUUGACUACUUGUCUCUAGUAGAAAGUAAAUAUUUUUAACUCCAGCUCUCUACUUUGUUUUAAGAGCUAGGCAAAAGAAGAAAAUUUCGAUGUCUAAAGUUUGCCACUUGGAAUAUUUCACUGUCUAAACAUUCACUCACCACUUAUUUCAUCAACGAAUUUUGUCUAAUUAUAUGUUGAUAAAGAUAUUAGAGUAAUAUAAUGCGUUUAAGGCUUAACUUAUAUUUUUUAUUAGUAGAGUGUAGAACUUUUAAGAAAUAAAUUAUUAAAUUACUAUAACUAACAUAUUAUUUUAAAGUUAUGUUAAGGAAAAGAAUGAAACAAAAAUAAAUAAAUAAAUAAGGGUAUUCUAAAACUUUGAUCUUUUUAAAAGUAGAUUUUGACAUAGAUAAAAUAAUUUUUAUAUUUUUUAAAUCACAUACUCUAGUUAAAAUCAAAUUUGUAUUUAUAAAAUUUGUAAAUUUAUUUAUUUUUUUAGCACUGAUAUUUGAACACUAUCAAGAUAAGAAAUAGGGUACUGGUCAUGCUACAACAUUAUCAUAGCACGUAAAAAGACAAUACCAUUUAUUUUAUUGUACUAUCAUUGUUGUUAUAAUAGUAUUUUGUUAGUGGUCAAAUAUUUUUUUUUUAAGUAAAAAAAGUGAACAAUGUAAAUUAACUUUUAAUCUCUCCUAAAAUUCUAAUUCCUAGUUACGAAACAAAAUUGUUUGAAAAUCAUUAGGCUAACUGCAUGGGUUCUUAAAACCAUAGGUGAUAGAAGUUACUAACACAAGCAAAUUUGACGGUCCAUUUUAUAAAAUUUGUUAUUUACCAUUUUACCACCUAUAUAAGGAGUGCCGCAUCGACAUAUCAACUCAUUUGCAGAUUAUUUUAAUUUUGUAAAAUUCAUUUAACCUGCACUUGGUCGCCCCUAUUCUCUGAAUGGUUAUGGCGAUAUCAUCAUUAUCGUUACUUGUACCAACGCUAAACCCUUCUUAUUCCCUUUCUCGCCUGUCAUACCCUAACAUUAUAUCCCGUGUCCACACUAAAGACAAGUAGUCAAUUCAGGCCAUCAGAUUAUAGUGGACCCACAUCAAUCCAACUGCUCACAAUGACCGACAGCCUCUCCAUCUCCAUUUCAGGUUUCCUCUUCAACUGGCUUCUGCUUCCGCCGUAUUUGCUCCAUUUCUUGGAUUCGGAGUCCGUAUUUGGUCGGUCGGUCCCGCACAGCUCCCUCUCACUCCAAUUGUCACCCAACAAGACCAAUUGCUUAAUCAAGGCACAGAACAAGAAGAGGAUGGGAAAUUGAAACAAGAAUUUGAGAAUUGGAAAUCGAAAACGUCCGCAUUGACCGUGCCUUUGAGGGCAAUUACUUUUCUUGAGAAUUGAAGUUUGGUAAUGUAAUUUGUUCUCCAUCUGUGUUCCCUUUGUAGUCAUUUCAUUUAUUUGUUUGUUUGCUUUUAUUUGCAGGAGAAAUUGAUCCUCGAGAUAAAAGUAAAUUGUCUUUAAGCUCAUUUAGUUUUAUAUCAAACAAAAUCAAGACUGCCUUUUUCUUCAAUAGUUUUGAUGAUAAUAUCUUUAGAAGCAUCUCAUUGACAGGUAAUCGUGGUACCCCUUAAAGAGUCUAUAAACUCAAGGAUAUUAUCUUCUGCAAAUGGUUCAUUAAACUUCUUAGAUGUAGUUAAAUGUACACUGAGAACAACGAGAAGCUAUGCCACUGUAGCAUGUAGUGAUGGCACUUAAUGAGUGAGUUGCUAGGAUAUGAACUAGAAAAAUUAAACAUUGUCUCCCUGGGUAUGCUAGCUUGUAAGUCGGUUAAUAUUAGAGCUUGAGAUACUAUAACCAUGAGAAGCUAUUGACCGCCGAUUAAAAUAUCCAUUAAAAUGUCUAGGGAGUUAUGAAGGUGGAGGUGUCUCCCAAUUUCUAAGGCCAUAUAGUAGACAUCAUCCAGGAUCCUAUUAAAGUGCAGUUAGCCUCCUGCUUGAUGCUAAUGUCAAACAAUUAAUAAAUUUGGUCAAUGUAACUGAAACUUGCUAACUGACGUCAGAUUGCGACUUGAGCACCUUAAAAUGGGAUAGACGAUUAGUAGCACUGAAUUCUUCUUGCCUAAGAUUGAGCAAUUGUUCUAACUACUAUCUCCUAUUGUAGGUUGAUUAUUAUGUUCUAAUUAUGUCGAUUUUGACCCAAAAAAUUACAUAAUCUUGAUCUGCAUAAUGUCACUGAACAGUGUCAAUUUCGUUUACCAACUAACUUGAGUUUGAUAUAACAAACACACGGUGUGUCUCUCAUGUCUCACCAUGAUGGAGAAUUUUUCUAAUGCAUGAAGCAAGCUUCGAUAUGUGGGUUAGCUUGGAGAAGAUAUCUUAAAAUGAAGAAUAUGGGGAGUUAAUGGGAAGAAACAGUUCAGUAGUUUAUAAUUCUGUCGUCGAGCUGUAUCUCUAACAUGGUCAAAAUUUAUGUGAAUAAGGACAGGGAAUCUUCAUUCCUCUUUCCCUUUUUAUACCCACAUAUCUCUCAACCUUUAUAUGUUGCUCACUGGAGAUCUGCUUCUGAUAACUAAAAUAAAAAUUUCAUCCACUCAAAUAAAUUCUGACCAAGCUUUCACAAGAAAAAGUAACAUCUUUAGUGAAGUAAUUUACAAGUAAUUUAGAGUUCCUUAUCAUCUUCUUGUGAGUCUAUCAGUAUGAUCCAAAAACAUAAUAAAUCUUGUUAGAUCCUGUUUAUUGAUGUUUAAACGCUGCUCAUUGUGAAAUGUAGAAACAAUGACGUGAAGUUUCUUUGGUCAUCAAUUAGUGAGAUCUUGUUUGAAGUUGUUUUCUGAAAUGAACUGCCAAAUGAUAGUUUUUUUUUUUUUUUCUUUGGACGCAUUUGAUGGCUCUUUUCUCCUCAUUUUAAGCAUGUGCCUGCUUGGUAUGGGAAGGAAUAGGCUUCAGAGUUGUUAUAUAUGUUGACAUGCUCUGGUCAUUACACAAUAUGUUCAAAUUGGAAAUUAGAAUGAGAUAUUUGUCGAUGCUUUUUGAGAGAUCUGCAUUCUAUGCAGCAUAACAUGAUUAAUGAAAAUGGGUUUAAGGACUGGAAAGAUCUGUGGCAGCCCAAGCUUGCAGGAAGGAUUUCAAUGGUUAAUUCUCCCAGAGAGGUUAUUGGUACAGUUUUGAAGUAUAUGGGAGCAUCAUACAAUUCAAACGACAUUAAUUAGCAAGUUGCUGCUGGGAGGAUUGCUGUUCAGCAGAAUCUGGCAUUACUGGGAAACCAGGUACUCUUAAAGAAACGAUAGCUGGUCAAUGCAUAUUAUUGCCUGACGGCUGAUUUUGUUUGUAAAGUGUGCCUUUUCAUACAUAUGAAUGCAUAUGUUAGUGUUGUCUUCUUCUUUCCAUAAAUAUGAAUGCAUAUGUUGGUGUUCUUUUCUGAGAUGGAUGCAAUAAAGGCUUUUUCUUCUAAAUGACGAGUUUUCAUUUAAAAAUGUUAUAAAUCUGCCAUGCAUAGUAUUCUAGUAGAAUCAUCUAUAAAUUCAAGUUAUUGAAAUUGUCUAUUUGUCCAGUUUGAGUUAAGGACGCAUGUAAUAUGAAAAAUAGUUGUCGAAUAUUGUAGGUUAGCUAAUAUUUGAUCAAUCCUAUAGGGAGGGCUUUAAGAUGUCUAACAACAUGUAGAAUGCCCCUGCUUCCCCCACAAUUUUUAUCUUAUACAAUUUUUAUCUAUAAACAGUAUUUGCCAGACCUUAACUGUUCAGAUUCCCCUUCUCGACUAUCAUACCCUACGCCCCGUCUCCGUGUCUCCGAUAAACAGUGCUCAAUUAAGGCCAUCAGAUUAUCCCGGUCCCACAUUGAUCAACGGCUCACAAUGACCGACAACCUCUGUCUCCAUUACAAGCUCCCUCUUCAACUCGCUUCUGCUUCCAUCCUACUCUUUCUCAGAUUCGGAGCCCGUAUAUGCUCGGCUGGUCCCACGAAGCUCCCUCUCACUCCAGCUGUCAACCGACAAGACCAAUUGCCUUAUCAAGACAGAGAACAAAAAGAGGAUGAGAAAUUGAAACAAGAAUUUGAGAAUUGGAAAUCGAAAACGUACUCAUUGACCGUGCCUUUGAGAGUUGUUUCUCUUCAGAAUUCAGUGCCUCAAUCUUGGGUUAAGGAUUUUAUGCGAAGUCAAGGAAAGUGAUUGAAGUUUCAGAUGAAUUUGUGUGCUAGCAUUGGUGGGAUCUUUAACAAUUUAUCUGUGCCCUUUAACAAAGUCAAGGCUAAUUCAGCUUCUUAUAUGGCUGCUGAUUUGGUUAGUGUUGGUGAUUCAUGGCUUAGUUUUGCCAUUAAAGAGAGAUUGAUUGAGCCAAUGGCUGGAGCUGAAGACCAAGAUUGGUUCAAAUGCUUAAGUCACAAAUGGAAGGUAACAUCUUUAUCUUUGGCCCGAUAAUUUUUAUUGUCUUACAUUGAAAUUUGGUAAUGUAAUUUGUUCUCUAUCUGUAUUACCCUUUUUAGUCGUUUUAUUUAUUUGUUUAUUUGCUUUUAUUUGCACUAACGAAGUCUCAGGUAUAUCUAUGCAGAAUGAUGCAGGAGAAAUUGAUCCUCGAUGUGAAAUAUGGGCGGCACCAUACAGGUGGGGCACAAUGGUGAUAGCCUACAAGAAAAGUAAAUUUCGAAAGCAUAAUUUGGCUCCGAUUGAGGUAAUAAUUGUCUUUAAACUCAUUUAGUUUUAUAUCAAACAAAAUCAAGACUGCCUUUCUCUUCAAUAUUUUUGAUGAUAAUAUCUUUAGAAGCAUCUUAUUGAUGGGUAAUAAUUGUAUCCCUGAAACAGUCUAUAAACUCAAUGAUAUUAUCUUCUACAAAUGGCUCAUUAAACUUUGUCGUUGUAGUCAAAUGUACACUCAGAGCAAUGACAAGCUAUGCCACUGUAGCAUGUAGUGAUGGCACUUAAUAAGUGAGUUGCUAGGAUGUGAACUAGAAAAAUUAAAUAUUGUCUCCCUGGGCAUGCUAGCUCAUAAGUCAGGGUUAAUAUUAGAACUCAAGAUACUAUAACCAUGAGAAGCUAUUGACUGCCAAUUAAAAUAUCCUUUAAAAUGUCUAGGAAGUUAUGAAGGUGGAAGUAUCUUCCGAUUUCUGAGGCCACAUGGUAGAUAUCAUCCAGGAUCCUAGUACAGUGCAGUUAACCUCCUGCUUGAUGCAAUUAAUAAAUUUGGUCAAUGCCACUGAAACAUGCUAACUGACGUCGCAAUGCGACAUGAGCACUUCAAAAUGGGACAGACGGUCGGUAGCACUAAAUUUUUCUUGCCUAAGAUGAGCAAUUGGUCUAACUACUAACCCCUUUUGUAGUUGAUCAUUAUUUUUUCAAUUAUUUUCAGUUUGACCCAAAACGUUACAGAAUCUUGAUCUGAAUAUUGUCACUGAACAUUGUCACUGAACAUUGUCAAUGUCGUUUAGCGUAGCCAACUAACUUGAGUUUGGUAAAACAAACACACAGUGUGUCUCAUGUCUCACAAUUCAAAUUAUCAUUUGUAAUGAUGGAGAAUUUUUCCAAUGUAUGAAGUAUGCUUUGAUACGUGGGUUACCUUGGGGAAGGUAUCUCAAAAUAAAGAAUAUGGGGAGAAAACAGUUCAGUAGUUUAUUAUUCUGUAGUCAAGUUUUGUCUCAAAAAUGGUCCAAAUUUAAAUGAAUAAGGACGGGGGAUCUUCAUUCUUUUUUCCCUUUUUUAUACCUAGAUAUCUCUCAACCUUUAUAUAAUCCCCACUGGAUAUCUGCUUCUAAUAAUUAAAAUAAAAAUUUCACCCACACAAAUAAAUACUGACCAAGCUCUAACAAUAAAAAGUAACUUCUUUAGUCAAGUGAUUUACAGUUCCUCAUCACCUUAGUGAGACUAUCAGUGUGUUCCAAAAACAUAAUAAAAUUGGUUUGUUCCUGUUUAUUGAUGUUUAAAUGUUGUUCAUUGUGACAUGUAGAAAUGAUGAGGCGAAGUUUAUUUGGUCAUCAAUUUGUAAGAUCUUGUUUGAAGUUGCUUUCUGAAAUGAACUGCCAAAUGGUAGUUUCUUUGGGCAUUUGAUGGCUCUUUUUUCCUCAUUUUUAAACAUGUGCCUGCUUGGAACAGGAAGGAUUAGGCUGCAGAGUUGUUAUAUAUUUUGACAUGCUCUAGUCAUUGCACAAUUUGUUCACACUGGAAACUAGAAUGAGAAAUUUGUUGCAUUCUAUGCACAAUAACAUGAUUAAUGAAAAUGGAUUGUAGGACUGGAAAGAUCUGUGGCAGCCUGAGCUCGCAGGACGAAUUUCAAUGGUUAAUUCUCCCUGAGAGGUUAUUGGUUUAGUUUUGAAGUAUAUGGGAGCAUCAUACAAUUCAAACGAUAUUGAUUCGCAAGUUGCUGGUGGGAAGAUUGCUGCUCAGCAGAAUCUGGCAUUACUGGCAAACCAGGUACUCUCAAAGAAAUGAUAUCUGGUCAUUGCAUGUUAUUACCUGACAACUGAUUUUGUUUGUAAAAGUCUGCUUCUUCAUACAUAUGAAUGCAUAUGUUAGUGUUUUCUUCUCCUUUUCAUACAUAUGAAUGCAUAUGUUGCUUCUUUUCCUUUCCAUACAUAUUAAUACAUAUGUUGGUGUUCUCUCCUGAGAUGGAUGCAAUAAAGGUUUUUCUGAAGAAAUGGCAAGGGAUGUGAGAUUCUGUCUCAUAAAAUUAACAAAAACCCAAAACAAUGAAAACCCAUAAUAAUGUGGUGUGGGUAAAUUGACGCCAUUUGGUUCGUUUCCUUGAUGUGAAUACGCGGGCAAUAGAGACUAACAAAAUGAAGUGACAACAAGAAGUCAGUGUCCUUUGAUGGAUGCAUUUUUAGGCAGAAAUAGGUUUGUAAUUGACCAAAUUUGUCUGGCAUGCCAAUUUCAAAAAAAAUUAAAUUAUGUGGUUAUUAGCUGUAAUGAAGGGGGAUUGUAGGUCCAAUCAGGUGGAUCCAUGAAAGUUCAACAAAGUUCUGGUAUGGCGUAGAAAUUGGUUUGUGCAACUCAAGAGUCUUUCUGGUGAACGAUGAUGGGUUUUGAUUUAUAAAUGUUAUAAAUCUACUGUGCAUAGUAUUCUAGUAGAAUCAUCUAUAAGUUCUAGUUAUUGAAAUUGUCUACCUUGUUCAGUUUGAGUUAAGGGCACAUGUAAUAUGAAAAAUAGUUGUUGCAUCUUUUAGGUUACCUAACAUUUGAUCAAUCCUAUUAUGAGGGCUUCAAGAUGUCUAACAAUAUGUGGAAUGCCCAUGCUCCUCCCCAUUGUUUAUCUUAUAUAAUAAUUUGUUUUAGAUGCUAAUAUCUUUGUCGAUACCGGUAACAAUAUUACAAUAUCUGCGUUUAUUGGGUUUUACAUAGGUUCGACUGUUUGACAGUACACACUCUCUGAAGGCAUUUGGAAAUGGAGAUGUAUGGAUUGCUGUUGGGUGGAGUAGUGAUGUUCUUCCUGCUGUCAACGUAUGUCUAAUGUUGCAGUUGUUGUUCCCAAGUCUGGUGCUAGCUUAUGGGCUGAUCUUUGGGUAUACCCAUGCCUGCCAUUCUACUUCAAUAUUCACAUUGUUAUCUCCUUCAUAUUAGUGAUCAGUAAACACGAUAAUGUGACUAAUAAGUUCGUAUUCUCUUUAUAGGCAAUCCCUGCUGCCUCAAGACUUGAAACAAAACAAAUUGGAGGGCGAGUCAGAGGUGCAUUUCCAUUAAUCCAUCAAUGGAUAGAAUUCUGCUUGCAAACAGCGAGAGCAUUGCCUUUCAAGCAAGAGGUUAUCCCGAGCGCAUCUCCCUCUGCCCUUGAGAGUACUCUGGUUAAGUUGCCUGAAAACUUUGAAGGGUAAACCAAGUCUGGAUACUAACUUAAUUGCUGGAGUACCCCUGACGGAAAUUCUGGCAGAUGUGAGUUUUUGGAGCCAUUAUCUGAAGCUACAUUGUCGGAUUAUGAGUGGCUGGUUGCUAAUCUGCAAAAAUCCACUCUGUACUGAUCAACAAAGAUGCAACAUUACAUGUCAUCAUUGAUCUUUAGCUAAAGGUACAUUGAAAAGUUAAUGGCACUGCAUACCAGUCAUUAUAAUUGGGUCAGGGCAAUUGGGUCAGGGCAAUUGGGUCAGGGCAAUUAGGUCAGAGCAUAACUUCAUUAGGAAAAGAGGCUUCAGCUACGUUAAAUAUUACAGGAUGUACUGAGAUGGCUGAAGUUGUUGACGUUGUACGAGAAACGAAGAUGAGUGUUUGUUUGAACAAAGUUGUUGCCAAUCUUGCAGAGUUCGAGAAGAAAGAUCACGAAGCAAAUGCCACGAUUUCUUCAUCACUGUAGCCUCCAUAGUUGAAGUUUCCUCAUUUGAAGCUGUUUAUGCAUAUGCUUUUUUUCCCUUCUCAAGUACAGGAAAUUGAAGAAUUAACCAGAUGUGAAUAUGCUGAAAGAGGGAAGUUUUCUCCCUUGAAUGUGGCCUUGUGAUUUGUCUUGAAGGAAUAGGAUGAUCACUGGCAAGAACCCUAUCAAGGUAGAUUUUAUGAUGUUAACAUAUUAUUAAGCAUUUUUGUUACAUCAGCAAUGAUGCUUUCAUAGCAUGAAAGUGUUUAAAUUUAACUGAAUGAUCUUGAUUGAUCAAUUAUGAGUUUUAAUCGAGUAAAAACUAAAUACAUAAUCGUUAACAAUAUUGAAAUUGGGUAAAUAUGAUCUUGAUAUUGAUGAAUUUGAAAUCACAACCCACACAGGAAAUCACCCUCGCGUGGGGAUGGAAAUGUUUACUGCAGCGAUAUUGAAUAUGUCCACUGCUGGACUAAUUCUGAUUACCUAAUUGACUCAGGAUCGGCUGGCAAUAAUAACAGUUUAUUAACAAUGCACAGUCCGAGUACUUUUCCAGGAUCAGAUACGACGUGGUCUAAUGUUGAUAAUAAUAGAUUAUCAAAUGACAAAUCGUUGUUCUACUAUUGCAAGCCCCCAGAUUUAAGAAUCUUUUUCAGAAAUUAAAUACAUUCUGAGAGAUGCUGGUCUACUAUUGCAAGCCCCCAGAUUUAAGAAUCUUUUGACGGUAAUUUAUCACCUGUAACUGUGCCGGAAGAUUCAACUAGCACUGAAAAAGAUGAUAAAUUAAUUGAUAUGGAGAGUUUUCAUAUCACUUUUAAAUCAUCUUAUGUAAUUGUGAUGUUAGGAAGCAUUAGUGAUCUAUAUGUGAAUUAUUAUUGGCGCCAUUGGUGGUUUUAUCUUGUUAAAAUAUGGAUGAAUUCCAGUUACUAUUUUGUUGCAGACAAUCUUCUUCAAUUAACAUAUGGUUUAAAAUCAUUAUGUAAAUCAAUCUAUUAAUUUUCAAGAUAUUUAACUGAGUUAAAACUAAGUGCACUCAAUAAAUCUCUUUUCCUUUAAAAAACUGUUACGCUUUAUUUUAGUGCUUAAUAUUUAUUGAACUCCGAUACAGGGAAUUUGAAAUCAAACUCGUAACUACAUAUUAUCUAAUUGCAAGUUUCUAUCCAUAGCUGCUGAUUUGUAGUGAUUAUCUAAUUGACUGAGGUGACGACAAUUUUUUUUUUUUUAAAUUUUCAAUAGCACAAUGUGGAAUUCAAUAAUUAAAUUCUCCUUUUUAAUUUGUUUCCAGUUAAAUUAUUAAUUACUUAAACUCUGUUUUAAGUCUUUAAGUUUAUGUGUUUAUGCAGAAUUGGAUUCUUGAGCGUGUUGGACACGACCAACAAUGAAAUUGACAGUAAAAAAACAAUACAACGUGUGGACUCCGGUAGAUGCCAUACAAGUCUACAACUUUACAAAUAAUAAUUGAGUAAGCAACUUUGAUUCUCGGGGCCCUUCAAUGAAUUUCUAGCCCCGUUGACUCCGCCAACUAAAGUUUGUAAAAUAAAAAAAUACAUAGAAUUCCACUAAAUGCAAAACGCGUGGAAUUUAAUUUUCGGCCAUGUGGACCAAAACAUAAUUUAAUGAAAAAGGAAAAAAAAUGAUAAGAUUUCUAAAAUAUGUGAAAGAUGAUCCAUAUUUUACUGAAACGACUUAUUAAAUUUUUCAAAGAUUUAGAAUAUUUAGUCAUAAAUUACGUGCAUGUUAAUUUUUCCGCCAUUGACUAUCAUAUUCUAAACUUAAUAGUACAUUUCUUGUUGAAGGGUACUUAGUCUCUCUUCUCCUCUUAUAAAAAUUAUUGAUGGAUUUCUUGUUAUAGUUAAUAGUCUUUAAGAACGGAUAACUUUAUUGUUUUCGUGACCAAAUUAUGUCCGCCUAAGGUUGUGACUAUUAAUAAAAUUAAUAUUUUAAUGUUUAUGUUAAAAGAUAUAAGAUUUUAUGCGUUCAUUAAUUGUUAUUAGCUAAAGGAUGAAUUAUUUUUUCAACCCAAUCAGUUGAUGCAUCUGCAAGAGUUUUUUUCUUUAUUGACCAUAAUUAUGUUCCGGGUACAAUAAAUUGUCUUUGGUGCUUGGAAAAUAUGACUUCUUACUUCAAGUUUGAUAUGUCUCUCUCCAUAAACUUACUGGAAAUAUAUCCUCAUCUACUGUCAUUUAUCUAAUAUCAAUUGAAGAUCUCACUUUUUCAACUAUCACUUCCAAGUCUCAUUGUCACUUGGCCAUUCUUGGACCAUUCAAAACCAAUCAAGUGUUGAAAUAAUCAAAUAUAUGCAAAAUUAGAGUCACGAUUUUUUGGUCCCCCAAAUUCUAAUUAUAUAACUUCUAUAUAUUUCAUUGCCAGGUCACGAACUUGUUGGCACAUUUUCCAAAUUCCUCUUCCAUCAGCUCUCACACGUUAACUUAAGUGGAAAGUUUCCAAGUUGAUUGCUAGAAAGCAACGCAAAAUCAGACACACUUGAUCUGUCCCCUAAUUCUCUUUUCUACGUUGAAAAAGAAAAAAAAAAAAAUACAUAUAUAUAUAUAUAUAUAUAUCUAUGUAAAAAUAAAUAAUAAACUGAGUAAAAGUACAUUUGUUUAAUUAACAUCUGAUCGGGGCAUUUUUGGUGUAAGCCACAACUAAAAUCAAACAGCCCCUUAGCAUACUUCUUCCAUUUUAUCUGCUACUUUUGUGGAUCUUAUAGGGUGGGCAUGUGGACAGAAUUUAAAAGUUUUAAUAGGCUCAAAGAAGAAGAUGUGUUAAAUCUAAAGUUGUUGCACCUUCUGAUUAAAUAAAGUUGUACAAUUUCAUCAACUUGAAAGAAUUGACAUUAAUGAACUGGUCGCCUCUCCAUGUAUGAAGCCUUCUUAAAAGUUAAUUUUUAUUUCAGAAAAAAAAAGUUUAAGUUACAUAUAUUACAGUAAGAUUUUUUUGAGACCAAUUCCCUUCUUGAAAUAUAAUAGAAAAGUAUUAAUUUAAAAAUAAAAUGAAUAUGUAUUGAUUAUAUCCUGAUUUUCAUCGAUUAUAGUUAGAGAGUUUCACCAAAUCAAUUCCUUAUUCAAAUAAUACAGAAAAAAUAGUAAUUUAAUAGUAAAAUAAACAGGUGUUGAUUAUAUAUCCUAAGUUUCAUCGAUUAUGUGAUCAAAGUGGCAUUGUUGAUUUAUUUUUGUUCAAUGUUAAUUUUUAGGUUAUAUAAAUUUCAAGGAUUUAAAAUCUUUGGCCAUGAAUUACACGCUUGUUAAUUUUCCUGCCAUUGACUGUCAUAUUCUAGACUUAAUGAUACCUUUCUUGAUCAAGGGUAAUUACUCUCUCUUCUCCUCUUAUAAAUUCCUCUUCCAUUAACAUCACUAGGAGUAUGUUGAUCUCUCAGACGUUAACUUGAGUGGAGAGUUUCCAAAUUGAUUGUUACAAAACAACACAAAAACUAGACACACUUGAUCUGUCUAAUAAUUCUCUUUCGGUAAAAUUAAAUAAUUUUAGGGGAAUAUUCGGCCAACCUCUAUAAUUUCAGAGUGAUCAUUAAUUAAUUAAUCGAUACAAAUAUCUAAAGUGAUUAAAUGUGACUUGAAAUUUGAUCUCUAUCGAUUGGUUUACAAAUGGACGUACUUGUGCCUUUGUGGCGAUAAUCGAACAAGUACCCAUGAUUAUUAUUUUUUCCAAAAACUUUUUUACAACAAAUUCAUCUCGUCAAAAAUUCUAUGUUGCUAACUAACAAUAAUUGAGCACUUGGCCGCAUUGACUCCACGUCUCACCUCUUUCUAAAUUCUAAGUAAAAACAUGGAAAUGUAAUUUCCACAAAAUGCCAAAUGUGUGGAAUUUAAUUUUUUGCCUUGUGGAUCAAAAUACAAAUGAAAGAAACAGAAGAAAAAAAAGGCCCAAAGACUUCUAAAAGAUGAAGAAGUCUUUGUGCCUUUUUAUAAUGGUGAAUUUUUUAAAAGAAAAAAAAUAACAACAUUUUUAUGGUUUGUUUUGAUAAUCAUAUUUACAUAUACUCUCUAAUUUUCAAAAUGGACACAUAAAUCUUUUUUUUUUACAAAAUAUAUAUUAUUCAUAUUUUUUUUUUAUUUUUUUUUAUCAUAUUUUAUUUAUUAUAAAUGUUUAGAGCAAAUUUUUAGGUUGAAAUAUAAUAAAAAGGUAUAAUUGUUCUCUUAUUAAACACACAUACUUUUAUUAGUUUCUAUCCAUUUGUCAUCUCAAUCUCUCUCAAUUAUUCUUUAUUGCUAGCUCAAAACGCGUUGCUGUUGCAAAUUAUAGCAAAAUGACAAAUAUGGAAAAAAAGGGAAGAAAAUUAAUGCAUGAAAGACUUGGAGAAAACAACAAAAUAAGCCAACUAUGAGCUAGUUGGGUGUAUAAAUUGUUAGAUGUGUAUAUACAAAUAGCGUAGAGCCCUCUAGUUGGUUCCAGAGACAGAAAGAGCGUGUGUGUUUUUUCACAGUUAGAGAUAUAGUUAGAAUGGGUGGUUCAAAAUCAAAAAUGAUGAUAAUGUUUAUUAUGUUAUUAAUAAUAUUUAAAAGUGGGUGGAGUGAGGGAUGUUUGGAUCACGAGAGAUUUGCUUUUUUGAGACUCAAACAUUUCUUCAAUGAUCCUCUUAAUUCUCUUUACGACUGGGUAGAUGGUGAGGGAGCUACUGAUUGUUGUCAGUGGGAAAGGGUUGAGUGCAGCAACACCACAGGCCGAGUGAUAGCACUGGACCUUUCUUAUAUAUAUUCGGGAGAGUACAGCUGGUAUCUGAAUGCUUCUUUAUUUACUCCUUCCAACAACUUGAGUCACUUGAUUUAACUCAAAACAAAAUAGCCGGAUGUGUUGAGAAUGAAGGUACUUUGUUUAAUUUAAUUAAUUUACUUUCUCCCCCCUAAUUUAAGUUGAAUAUCAAGACCGAGCAAUUAUACGCAUAUUCAUUUAGUCGACAAUUUUGACUUUUUUUUAAAUGAUUAAUUUUGAAAUUACACCAGUAUCUAUGAUCUUUUUUAUUUUAUUUUAUUUGCAGGUAUAGAGAGGCUAUCAAGAUUGAACAACUUGAAGAUGCUUAAUUUAAGUGGAAACUCAUUCAAUAAUAGCAUUUUAUCAUCUCUAACUCAUCUUUCAUCAUUAAGAUCAUUAAAUUUAUUGUGGAAUAGAUUGGAAGGAAGUAUUGACGUUAAAGGUACAUAAUUAAAACUUCAAGCUCUUUCAUUAACUUGCUAAAAUAAGAUUCAAGGCUUUGAAUUCAAUUUUUUUAUGAUUAAUAUUAAAAAAACAGUUUUAAGCAAUUUAUAAAUACAAGUUUUAAUGUUUCUUGUAAUUUCAUCUUGUACUUUCAUAUGUCUUGAAUUUAAGAUUAAAAAAAAAACUCUAAUAGCGAACCAAACACCUCCACAACUUAUUAUUAUUUGUGGUGAGGUUUGAAACAUUCAACUCAAUUUGUACUUAUUACAGAAUUUGAUUCUUUGAGAGAUUUAGAGGAGCUAGACAUUGGCGGAACAAGAUUGACAAAUUUGUGGUCUCAAAAGGUACUACAAAUACCAUAAAAAAAUAUGCUAACUUUUACAAAUUAGUUAGAUUCUUUGCCAUUUGGUUUAUUAUUUUACAGGUUUGAGUAAGUUGAAGUCUCUUGGUUUAAGUGGUAUCAAACUCAAUCGUAGCAUCUUAUCUUCUCUGACUGUCUUUCUUCGUUAAGAGAAUUAUAUAAGUGAUACGGGAUUCAAAGGAACAUUCGAUGUUCGAGGUAAGCCUAAACCUUGCUUUCUCAUUUUAUAUAUGCCAACUAGAUUUGUGUAUCAUCGACAUAAUUUAAUAUUUAAUUUGAUAAGUCUGAAUGAAUUACAUGCUAAUUUAACACUUUUAUUUACUUUGUCAAUUAAUUAAUUAAUUAAUUAUACUAUUUGGCUUGGUUUGGACGAAAUUCUCAUGAUGUUUUAAUUUCUUUAAAUUAAUUAAUUAAUUAACUCUGUUUUUAAGUCUUAAGUCUGGGCGUGUUUGCAGAUUUGAUUCCUUCAACGACUUAGAAGUGUUGGAUAUGAGAUACAAUGAAAUCGACAAUCUUGUGGUUCCUCAAGGUAAACAAUUAAAAGGUACAGAUGUGGCCAAAUUUAUAAAUAAAUUGUUAAUUAAUUAAUUUUUUCGUAUUAUUAAUAAAGCUAAAUUCGUUUGCUCCUUCCUUCUAAUUCUAAACAGAGUUGCACAAUUUCACCAACUUGGAAUAUUUGACAUUGGAAUCUUUCCUCUCUCAUAUAAGCCUUCUGCAAAGCAUUGCAUCAAUAUUCCCUUCGUUAAAAAAUCUGUCGAUGUCUUUUUGUGAAGUCAAUGGUGUCGUACGCGGUCAAGGUAAAAGAAAAGCGUUGAUUGUGAACUCACUCAAUGGUGUCCUACGUGUUCAACAUUUUUAUUUAUUUUAUUGUUUAAUGUUUCUGCUAGGUUUUCCUCAUUUCAAGAGUUUGGAACAUUUUGACAUGAGGUUCGCGCGCAUUGCGCUCAACACCAGCUUUCUUCAAAUCAUCGGUGAAUCGAUGCCCUCUCUUAAGUACUUAUUACUGUCAUAUUCUAAUCUCUUGGCACUAACAGCAGCAGGAUUCUUCAUCAAGGUUAAUGAGAUGCUGCCACCCUCCCCUCUUAACCUAUAAUAUUAAUUUUCGAUUAAAUAUUUAAUUACACAAACCAAAUCACUUAUUAUAAAAGAACAAUACGCAUUCAUUAAUUUUUAUAUUGUAUUAAUAAUUGAUGAAUUUAAUAAAUUUUCAGGCCUCUGUUCGUUGGUGCACCUGCAAGAGUUGUACAUUGAUAAUAAUGAUUAAAGAGGUAGCUUGCCUUGGUGCUUGGCAAAUAUGACAUCCUCCGAAUAUUAGAUGUUUCUUCCAAUCAACUUACGGGAAGCAUCUCCUCAUCUCCCCUCGUUCAUUUGACAUCCAUUGAAAAGUUGAUCUUUCAAACAAUCACUUUUGGAUCCCAAUUUCACUUGAACCACUUUUCAAUCACUCACGACUCAAGCUUUCUAUGCUGACAACAAAAAUAAAAGCUGAAAUAACUGAGUCACAUUCUUUGACUGCCCCAAACUUCCAAUUAAAAUAUCUCUCAUUGUCUUCCGGUUACGAAGAUGGUGUCACAUUCCCCAAAUUCCUUUACCAUCAACAUGACCUGGAGUAUGUUGACCUCUCACAUAUAAACAUGAGCGGAGAAUUUUCCAAAUUGGUUGUUGGAAAACAACACAAACUUAGAAUAUAUUUUUUGGUUAAUGAUUCUCUUGCAGGACCUUUCCGGUUGCCAAUUCAUUCACACAAGCGGUUAAGACUGUUGGAUAUAUCCAACAACAACAUCAGAGGCCACAUUCCAGUAGAAAUUGGAGAUGUUUUACCGGGUUUAUUUUCUUUAAACAUUUUCAUGAAUGCUUUAGACGGUUGCAUUCCCUCUUCAUUUGGUAAUAUGAAAUUCCUCCAAUUUCUGGACUUAUCCAACAACCAAUUGACUGGUGAAAUCCUAAGCACUUGGCCGUGGGUUGCGUCAACUUAGAGUCUCUUGCGUUGUCAAACAACAACUUAGAAGGUCAUAUGUUCUCCAGAAACUUCAACCUGACAAACUUGAAAUGGUUACAAUUGGAAAGCAAUCACUUCGUAGGAGAGAUCCCACAAAGUUUGUCUAAAUGCUCCUCACUAAAAGGAUUGUAUCUUAACAAUAAUAGUCUUUCGGGUAAGAUUCCACGAUGGUUGGGUAAUCUCACAUGGUUACAAUAUAUUACAAUGCCCAAUAAUCAUCUUGAAGGUCCUAUUCCAGUGGAGUUUUGUCAGCUUGAAUGGCUUCAGAUUUUGGACAUUUCAGACAACAACAUAUCUGGAAGUUUACCAUCUUGUUUCCAUCUUCUCUCUAUCAAACAAGUUCAUCUUUCAAAAAAUAUGUUACAUGGACAGCUAAAAGAGGUACAUUUCUUUAAUUGCUCUUCCCUUGUGACAUUAGAUCUUAGUUAUAACCGCUUGAAUGGCAGCAUUCCGGAUUGGGUUGAUGGACUUUCUCGUUAAGCCACCUUAUCUUGGCUCACAAUAAUCUUAAAGGUGAAGUGCCAGUUCAAUUGUGCAAAUUGAACCAACUACAAUUGUUAGAUCUUUCUAAUAAUAAUCUUCAUGGUCCUAUUCCUCUUUGCUUUGAUAACACCACACUUCAUGAAAGUUACAGCAAUAGUUCUAGUCCUGAUGAGCAAUUUGAAAUAUAUAUUUUUAUGUCCGCCUAAGGUUGUGACUAUUAAUAAAUUAAUAUUUAAUGUUUAUGUAAAAAUAUAUAAGAUUUUAUGCGUUCAUUAAUUGUUAUUAGCUAAAGGAUGAAUUAUUUUUCAACCCAAUCAGUUGAUGCAUCUGCAAGAGUUUUUUCUUUUAUUGACCAUAAUUAUGUUCCGGGUACAAUAAAUUGUCUUUGGUGCUUGGAAAAUAUGACUUCUUACUUCAAGUUUGAUAUGUCUCUCUCCAUAAACUUACUGGAAAUAUAUCCUCAUCUACUGUCAUUUAUCUAAUAUCAAUUGAAGAUCUCACUUUUUCAAACUAUCACUUCCAAGUCUCAUUGUCACUUGGCCAUUCUUGGACCAUUCAAAACCAAUCAAGUGUUGAAAUAAUCAAAUAUAUGCAAAAUUAGAGUCACGAUUUUGGUCCCCCAAAUUCUAAUUAUAUAACUUCUAUAUAUUUCAUUGCCAGGUCACGAACUUGUUGGCACAUUUUCCAAAUUCCUCUUCCAUCAGCUCUCACACGUUAACUUAAGUGAAAGUUUCCAAGUUGAUUGCUAGAAAGCAACGCAAAAUCAGACACACUUGAUCUGUCCCCUAAUUCUCUUUUCUACGUUGAAAAAAGAAAAAAAAAAAUAAAAUACAUACAUACAUAUAUAUAUAUAUAUAUAUAUAUAUAUAUAUAUAUAUAUAUAUAUAUAUCUAUGUAAAAAUAAAUAAUAAACUGAGUAAAAAGUACAUUUGUUUAAUUAACAUCUGAUCGGGGCAUUUUUGGUGUAAGCCACAACUAAAAUCAAACAGCCCCUUAGCAUACUUCUUCCAUUUUAUCGGCUACUUUUGUGGAUCUUAUAGGGUGGGCAUGUGGACAGAAUUUAAAAGUUUUAAUAGGCUCAAAGAAGAAGAUGUGUUAAAUCUAAAGUUGUUGCACCUUCUGAUUAAAUAAAGUUGUACAAUUUCAUCAACUUGAAAGAAUUGACAUUAAUGAACUGGUCGCCUCUCCAUGUAUGAAGCCUUCUUAAAGUUAAUUUUUAUUUCAGAAAAAAAAGUUUAAGUUACAUAUAUUACAGUAAGAUUUUUUGAGACCAAUUCCCUUCUUGAAAUAAUAAUAGAAAAGUAUUAAUUUAAAAAAUAAAAUGAAUAUGUAUUGAUUAUAUCCUGAUUUUCAUCGAUUAUAGUUAGAGUUUCACCAAAUCAAUUCCCUUAUUCAAAUAAUACAGAAAAAAUAGUAAUUUAAUAGUAAAAUAAACAGGUGUUGAUUAUAUAUCCUAAGUUUCAUCGAUUAUGUGAUCAAAGUGGCAUUGUUGAUUUAUUUUUUGUUCAAUGUUAAUUUUUAGGUUAUAUAAAUUUCAAGGAUUUAAAAUCUUUGGGCCAUGAAUUACACGCUUGUUAAUUUUCCUGCCAUUGACUGUCAUAUUCUAGACUUAAUGAUACCUUUCUUGAUCAAGGGUAAUUACUCUCUCUUCUCCUCUUAUAAAUUCCUCUUCCAUUAACAUCACUAGGAGUAUGUUGAUCUCUCAGACGUUAACUUGAGUGGAGAGUUUCCAAAUUGAUUGUUACAAAACAACACAAAAACUAGACACACUUGAUCUGUCUAAUAAUUCUCUUUCGGUAAAAUUAAAUAAUUUUAGGGGAAUAUUCGGCCAACCUCUAUAAUUUCAUAGUGAUCAUUAAUUAAUUAAUCGAUACAAAUAUCUAAAGUGAUUAAAUGUGACUUGAAAUUUGAUCUCUAUCGAUUGGUUUACAAAUGGACGUACUUGUGCCUUUGUGGCGAUAAUCGAACAAGUACCCAUGAUUAUUAUUUUUUUCCAAAAACUUUUUUACAAACAAAUUCAUCUCGUCAAAAAUUCUAUGUUGCUAACUAAACAAUAAUUGAGCACUUGGCCGCAUUGACUCCACGUCUCCACCUCUUUCUAAAUUUCUAAGUAAAAACAUGGAAAUGUAAUUUCCACAAAAUGCCAAAUGUGUGGAAUUUAAUUUUUUGCCUUGUGGAUCAAAAUACAAAUGAAAGAAACAGAAGAAAAAAAAAGGCCCAAAGACUUCUAAAAGAUGAAGAAGUCUUUUGUGCCUUUUUAUAAUGGUGAAUUUUUUUAAAGAAAAAAAAAUAACAACAUUUUUAUGGUUUGUUUUGAUAAUGCAUAUUUACAUAUACUCUCUAAUUUCAAAAUGGACACAUAAAUCUUUUUUUUUUACAAAAUAUAUAUUAUUCAUAUUUUUUUUAUUUUUUUAUUAUCAUAUUUUUAUUUAUUAUAAAUGUUUAGAGCAAAUUUUUAGGUUUGAAAUAUAAUAAAAAGGUAUAAUUGUUUCUCUUAUUAAACACACAUUACUUUUUAUUAGUUUCUAUCCAUUUGUCAUCUCAAUCUCUCUCAAUUAUUCUUUAUUGCUAGCUCAAAACGCGUUUGCUGUUGCAAAUUAUAGCAAAAUGACAAAUAUGGAAAAAAAGGGAAGAAAAUUAAUGCAUGAAAGACUUGGAGAAAACAACAAAAUAAGCCAACUAUGAGCUAGUUGGGUGUAUAAAUUGUUAGAUGUGUUAUAUACAAAUAGCGUAGAGCCCUCUAGUUGGUUCCAGAGACAGAAAGAGCGUGUGUGUUUUUUCACAGUUAGAGAUAUAGUUAGAAUGGGUGGUUCAAAAUCAAAAAUGAUGAUAAUGUUUAUUAUGUUAUUAAUAAUAUUUAAAAGUGGGUGGAGUGAGGGAUGUUUGGAUCACGAGAGAUUUGCUUUUUUUGAGACUCAAACAUUUCUUCAAUGAUCCUCUUAAUUCUCUUUACGACUGGGUAGAUGGUGAGGGAGCUACUGAUUGUUGUCAGUGGGAAAGGGUUGAGUGCAGGCAACACCCACAGGCCGAGUGAUAGCACUGGGACCUUUUCUUAUAUAUAUUCGGGAGAGUACAGCUGGUAUCUGAAUGCUUCUUUAUUUACUCCCUUCCAACAACUUGAGUCACUUGAUUUAACUCAAAACAAAAAUAGCCGGAUGUGUUGAGAAUGAAGGUACUUUGUUUAAUUUAAUUAAUUUACUUUCUCCCCCCCUAAUUUAAGUUGAAUAUCAAGACCGAGCAAUUAUAUGCAUAUUCAUUUAGUCGACAAUUUUGACUUUUUUUUAAAUGAUUAAUUUUGAAAUUACACCAGUAUCUAUGAUCUUUUUUAUUUUAUUUUAUUUGCAGGUAUAGAGAGGCUAUCAAGAUUGAACAACUUGAAGAUGCUUAAUUUAAGUCGAAACUCAUUCAAUAAUAACAUUUUAUCAUCUCUAACUCAUCUUUCAUCAUUAAGAUCAUUAAAUUUAUUGUGGAAUAGAUUGGAAGGAAGUAUUGACGUUAAAGGUACAUAAUUAAAACUUCAAGCUCUUUCAUUAACUUGCUAAAAUAAGAUUCAAGGCUUUGAAUUCAAUUUUUUUUAUGAUUAAUAUUAAAAAAACAGUUUUAAGCAAUUUAUAAAUACAAGUUUUAAUGUUUCUUGUAAUUUCAUCUUGUACUUUCAUAUGUCUUGAAUUUAAGAUUAAAAAAAAAACUCUAAUAGCGAACCAAACACCUCCACAACUUAUUAUUAUUAUUUUAAUUUGUGGUGAGGUUUGAAACAUUCAACUCAAUUUGUACUUAUUACAGAAUUUGAUUCUUUGAGAGAUUUAGAGGAGCUAGACAUUGGCGGGAACAAGAUUGACAAAUUUGUGGUCUCAAAAGGUACUACAAAUACCAUAAAAAAUAUGCUAACUUUUACAAAUUAGUUAGAUUCUUUGCCAUUUGGUUUAUUAUUUUACAGGUUUGAGUAAGUUGAAGUCUCUUGGUUUAAGUGGUAUCAAACUCAAUCGUAGCAUCUUAUCUUCUCUUUCUUCGUUAAGAGAAUUAGAUAUAAGUCGUACGGGAUUCAAAGGAACAUUUGAUGUUCGAGGUAAGCCUAAACCUUGCUUUUCUCAUUUUAUAUAUGCCAACUAGAUUUGUGUAUCAUCGACAUAAUUUAAUAUUUUAAUUUGAUAAGUCUGAAUGAAUUACAUGCUAAUUUAAACACACUUUUAUUUACUUUGUCAAUUAAUUAAUUAAUUAAUUACUAUUUGGCUUGGUUUGGACGAAAUUCUCAUGAUGUUUUAAUUUCUUUAAAUUAAUUAAUUAAUUAACUCUGUUUUUAAGUCUUAAGUCUGGGCAUGUUUGCAGAAUUUGAUUCCUUCAAUAACUUAGAAAGUGUUGGACAUGAGUUGGAACGAAAUCGACAAUCUUGUGGUUCCUCACGGUAAACAAUUAAAAUGUUAUUCAAUUACAUUAUUUUUAAUUCAUUUGAUUAGGGAAGGCCAAAAAGGUAAAAAAAAUAAUAAUAAAGAAACAGAGAAUUUGUAUUAUUUAAAAAACAGAAUGUAAUAAAGAUUUGAUUCUGGUUCUUUAAUCUUUAAAGUGAUUGAAAAACAAUGUUGCUCUUUUCCCAAAGCAUCAAAUACGAAUUGAAUGCCAAUUAACUUAAUCAUUCAUUUCGUUUAGCUCUAAAUUUAGACAAUGAAUUUUUAUAUUAUUUCAAAAACAUGACGUAAUAGAAUUUUUUUAAAAAACAGAUUCUAAUAAAGAUUUGAUUCCAAUUCUUUAAUCUUUACAGUGAUUGAAAAAACGAUACUACUCUUUUCCCAAAGCAUAAAUACGAAUUGACUCCCAAUCAAAUUAAUCAUUUAUUUCGUUCAUCUCUGAAUUUAAAUAAUGAAUUUUGAUCUUCAAUCGUAUUAUAAUUACUAUUAAAGAACAGGUUACAGAGGUUUGAGGAAGUUGAAUCAUCUUGAUCUAUCGGAGUUGGAAUUAGAGAUGGAAGCAAGUUGUUACAGUCAAUGGGAUCAUUCCCAUCCCUCAACACUCUUUACCUUUCGUGGAAUAAUUUUAUCGAUACAGCGACCGCUACUCAAGGUAAGUAAAAGGUACAAAUGUGGCCAAAUUUAUAAAUAAAUUGUUAAUUAAUUAAUUUUUCCGUAUUAUUAAUUAAGCUAAAUUUGUUGCUCCUUCCUUCUAAAUCUAAACAGAGUUGCACAAUUUCACCAACUUGGAAUAUUUGACAUUGGACUUUUCCUCUCUCCAUAUAAGCCUUCUCCAAAGCAUUGCAUCAUUAUUCCCUUCGUUAAAAAAUCUGUCGAUAUCUCAUUGUGAAGUCAAUGGUGUCCUACGCGGUCAAGGUAAAAGAAAAUCGUUGAUUGUGAACUCACUCAAUGGUGUCCUACGUGUUCAACAUUUUUAUUUAUUUAUUGUUUAAUGUUUCUGCUAGGUUUUCCUCAUUUCAAGAGUUUGGAACAUUUGGAUAUGGAUUACACGCGCAUUGCACUCAACACCGGCUUUCUUCAAAUCAUCGGUGAAUCGAUGCCUUCUCUUAAGUACUUAUCACUGUCAAGGUUAAUCUAUAAAUCGAUGCCUUCUCUUGAUCAAGGUUAAUCAGAUGCUCCCACUCUCCCCUCUUAAUCUAUAAUAUUAAUUUUCAAUUCAAUAUUUAAUUACACAAACGAAUCACUUAUUAUAAAAGAAUAAUACGCAUUCAUUAAUUUUUAUAUUGUAUUAAUAAUUGAUGAAUUUAAUAACUUUUCAGGUCUCUGUUCGUUGGUGCAUCUGCAAGUGUUGAACAUUGCAGGCAAUGAUUUAAGAGGUAGCUUGCCUUGGUGCUUGGCAAAUAUGACAUCCCUCCGAAUAUUAGAUGUUUCUUCCAAUCAACUUACUGGAAGCAUCUCCUCAUCUCCCCUCGUUCAUUUGACAUCCAUUGAAGAGCUGAUGCUUUCAGACAAUCACUUCCAGAUCCCAAUUUCACUUGAACCAUUUUUCAAUCACUCACGACUCAAGAUUUUCCAUGCUUACAACAACGAAAUAAAUGCAGAAAUAACUGAGUCACAUUCUUUGACUGCCCCAAACUUCCAAUUAAAAUAUCUCUCAUUGUCUUCCGGUUACGGAGAUGGUGUCACAUUCCCCAAAUUCCUUUACCAUCAACAUGAUCUGGAGACUGUUGACCUCUCACAUAUAAACAUGAGCGGAGAAUUUCCAAAUUGGUUGUUGGAAAACAACACAAACUUAGAAUAUAUUUUUUUGGUUAAUGAUUCUCUUGCAGGACCUUUCCGGUUGCCAAUUCAUUCACACAAGCGGUUAAGACUGUUGGAUAUAUCCAACAACAACAUCAGAGGCCACAUUCCAGUAGAAAUUGGAGAUGUUUUACCGGGUUUAUUUUCUUUAAACAUUUUCAUGAAUGCUUUAGACGGUUGCAUUCCCUCUUCAUUUGGUAAUAUGAAAUUCCUCCAAUUUCUGGACUUAUCCAACAACCAAUUGACUGGUGAAAUCCCUAAGCACUUGGCCGUGGGUUGCGUCAACUUAGAGUCUCUUGCGUUGUCAAACAACAACUUAGAAGGUCAUAUGUUCUCCAGAAACUUCAACCUGACAAACUUGAAAUGGUUACAAUUGGAAAGCAAUCACUUCGUAGGAGAGAUCCCACAAAGUUUGUCUAAAUGCUCCUCACUAAAAGGAUUGUAUCUUAACAAUAAUAGUCUUUCGGGUAAGAUUCCACGAUGGUUGGGUAAUCUCACAUGGUUACAAUAUAUUACAAUGCCCAAUAAUCAUCUUGAAGGUCCUAUUCCAGUGGAGUUUUGUCAGCUUGAAUGGCUUCAGAUUUUGGACAUUUCAGACAACAACAUAUCUGGAAGUUUACCAUCUUGUUUCCAUCUUCUCUCUAUCAAACAAGUUCAUCUUUCAAAAAAUAUGUUACAUGGACAGCUAAAAAGAGGUACAUUCUUUAAUUGCUCUUCCCUUGUGACAUUAGAUCUUAGUUAUAACCGCUUGAAUGGCAGCAUUCCGGAUUGGGUUGAUGGGCUUUCUCGGUUAAGCCACCUUAUCUUGGCUCACAAUAAUCUUAAAGGUGAAGUGCCAGUUCAAUUGUGCAAAUUGAACCAACUACAAUUGUUAGAUCUUUCUAAUAAUAAUCUUCACGGUCCUAUUCCUCUUUGCUUUGAUAACACCACACUUCAUGAAAGUUACAGCAAUAGUUCUAGUCCUGAUGAGCAAUUUGAAAUAUAUGUUUUCAUCGAAGGCCCUCAGGGAGGUGUAGAAAAGAAAAUCCAUGAAAUUUUUGAGUUCACAACAAAGAACAUUGCGUACAUUUACCAAGGAAAAGUGCUUAGCCUCCUAUCAGGACUUGAUCUUUCUUGCAACAAGCUAAUCGGUAUUAUUCCUCCUCAAAUUGGAAAUUUGACAAGGAUUCAAACAUUGAAUCUAUCGCACAACAACUUGACAGGAUCGAUCCCAUCAACAUUUUCAAACUUGAAGCAUGUCGAAAGUUUGGAUCUUUCCAACAACAAAUUGAAUGGGAAAAUCCCUCAUCAACUAGUGGAGUUAAAGACAUUGGAGGUUUUCAGUGUGGCAUACAAUAACUUAUCAGGCGAAAUUCCAGAAUGGAAAGCACAAUUUGCAACCUUCAACGGGAGUAGCUAUGAAGGAAAUACUUUUCUUUGUGGACUGCUAUUGCCCAUUUGCAGAUCACCAGCAACUACGUCGGAGGGUUCAAUUGGCAAUGAACGAGAUGAUAAUUUAAUUGACAUGGACAAUUUCUUUAUCACAUUUACAACAUCGUACGAAAUUGUGAUAUUCGGAAUUGUUAUUGUUUUAUAUGUAAAUUCUUAUUGGCGACGUAGAUGGUUUUACUUUGUUGAAAUGUGGAUAACUUCAUGUUAUUAUUUUAUUGUAGACAAUCUUAUUACAACAAGAUAUUGUCAUUGAAAUUAAUUAGGAGUUUAAUUACGAUUCUUUAAGUUCUAAUCAAGUUUGCUUAGGAAAUAAAUUUAUUUUUAUUUUUUAUUAAAACUGUAGUAGUAUUUAGCUCUAUAUAGCUUCCAACUUCCAAGCACUUCACAUUUGUCUCUACACUUCCAAACCCAUAUCUAUCCACCAUAACUUAUACUUCCCUAUACUGUGCAGCAUACUUAAAUAAGAGAACCAUCUCCAAUGUUAAAACCAGCCACUCUAUAACAUUCAUUUAGAAUAGUUUUAUUAUCAUACACAAGAAAUGAAACACCUAGAUGCACUUGAUCGCCUAUUUUACUUUAAAAAAUAAUGAUUAUGGUGCUAUCAUCAUCUUCUUCACUAGCAACAUUAACACCAAAUCCAGCGAUGGACCCAGACAUUUUAUCAAGAAAGGUAUAUAUAUAAUAAAGUUGAAGCUUGACAAAAAAUUCAGGAAGAUUAAUGCCUCGCCACAACAAGGGGCACAACAACAUCAAAGUAGAGAUGAAGCAAUAUUUUCAAAUCUAAAACUCUCAAAUCCACCCACCAAAAUUUCAUAUCUCCUCAACAAUUUUAAGAACUAAAGAUAAUUAGGAUCUAACAUUAGUUUUUUAUAUAUUAGUUUCAUAAUUUACAAAUCAAUGAAGAUGAAGAUUAUGCUAAUGAAUUCAAAUUAUACCAUAGAUUCUCGAGAUGUUACCAAAAAUUUCUAAGCCAAUCCCACAUAUUUCAUAAUUUUAAGACUAGAAAAUUUCAUUAGUUAGAAGUUUCAUUACCUUCAAGUGGAAGAUGAAGAACAUUAUACAAUUGAUUCAGAUUAUAUCAUACAUACUCCAAAUGCAACUAGAAAUUAACAAGUUCAUGCGCACAGAUUUCAUAACAUUAUGAUUGGAAAGUUUCACAAAGAGAAAUUCUAAAUUCAAUCUCUUGCAUCAAGGUAGUUUGAUUGAUUUGAGUUACUUUCUCAUCAAGCUACUAAUAUAACAUUCAAGUCAGGGAGAAAGUAAAUUAAAACUGGGAAGAAACAACAGUAAAAAUUUGUUGCUAAACAUGAUGUGUAUUUUUUUUUAAGGCAAUUUGGAAACACAGUUGUUACUACAGAUAUUCUCCUCAACUUAGAGAUAAAUACAAAUAUUAAAAUGCAUAUGAUCGCACAUAUUACUUGGAGCUUAGUAAGAUUUCAUUAAGAGAAGCAAUCAAACCACUUAUCAAUUGUUGCAAUCGUUCUAUAAGCUAAAAUAGCAAUAUAAUACAAGAAAAAGAACAUAUAGAUACUUGGCAAGAGUUCAUUAAGAAGUCGCAUCACAUUCGGGUGAGUUUGCUUCUGAUAUCUUGCUAGCUGGGGCUUUUUCUUGUCUUUCUACGUAUGCCGAGGGAAACCAACCAGCUUGGCCCUUGCAUUCACCUUCCGACCAUCCAGUAGGAGCCACCUUGAGAAGUUAUAACUAAAAGUCUAAAACAAUGAAUUAAACAAAAGUUGACCGUUCAAAGACCUAAGGGGAAAACUAAUUCUUUUACGUAGGAGGAGUGAAUUAGUUGUGAUCACUGAAAUAACAGCAUAACUAUGGAAGCAUAACAAGAUAUAAAUUCACACGUCUAUAAGGGUAAACUGGGUGGUUUAGAACUGAGCUAGCAACCCUACUAUAUUCUGAUUUGCACAUCAAUGUAAAAGGGAAUAUAUGGUAGGAAGAAAGAAAACCAACCAUCAGUUGUUAACUCAUUGCUUUUCAAUCAAAAUUUUAAGAACAAAAUGCCAUGUGCUUUGAACAUCAAAUAAGUAUAAGCAUUAGUUCUAAAUUCCACAUAUCAUAAGUUAGAAGGACAAGUCAAUAGCAUAGUAGAAAAAUCUAUGUGUUGUUAUUUAGAGGGGAAAGUACCUGGCGAACCACAACAUAAUCAUCAAUUGAAAGACUUAGCUCUCCAUUUGCUUGAGCAUCAAAUGGAUGUAUAACCUGCAAGAUAAUGGGAUAAAUAGAACUUAAUCUUAAAAAAAGCAUAACAAAAGCAGCAACAGUAGCAGCAGCGUUCAUUGUAACCACUAUGAUCAUGGCCAAUAAAGAUAUAUUACAAACAAAAUUCCAUUUUUACUACGACAUUAAUAUGUACUAUAUGAUAUCAUGACGAUUGGGUUACCAAGAGCUAUCAAAGUCCAAUAAAUUCUGUAUAACUUUAGGUAGUUAUUCAAAUUAUGGAUCAGAUUUUAAAUCCGAAAUUUUGACUGCUCUCCACAAAACAUGGCCUAUGCACAAGAAAGUCAUAGAUAAUGAGGAUUACAAGUGUCUGACAUCUUUUGAGUGAUGGAUUUAACAUGAGAGCUUAUGGUCAGUCAAUUUCCUCUGCCUAGCAAUAUAAGCUUUCUCGGCCAGAUUUAUCAUCAAAUACAUAGAUUGGCCCCAAGUCACAUCCAAAUAAACAUAGUUUUUCUAGGUAAACCAAGUAAGGAGAAUCAUAAUUCAGACAUAAUCAUAAAAAGGCCCAUCUAACUUAAGAGAAAAUCUCAAAAAGAGGGAUGUUGAGCUAUCAGUCUUGUAUCUAUAAGCAAUAUCAAGACUUUACAUCACCUACUACAUCGUGAGUGGCUACACAACUUUCAGUGGUUUGUCUUUCUUUGGCAUGCCUAACUCAGCUUUGAUGUUGCUGAGAUAUUGAUAGUAAAGACACAUGAUACUUCUAGCCCAUGCAUUCUAUCUAGCUCAUCCGACAACUAUCUCUUUUUUAAUUCAUUAGUGUUUGCUAAACCUCAUGCUUAAAAGUCCUAUUCUCCUAAACAAAGCUUCCUAAGAAUGACUUCCUCAGCACCACAUUUGGACACUUUUAGAGCAAUUUUAUUUGGGGGAAAAGAAUUUUCAAGGUGUUAACUAAUAAAUUUUAAAAAAUAAUUACAAUUUGUCCUACAAUUAUAUGACAAUUUAUCUGGGAUGAAAGGAUACAGACAGACAUCUUCCACUUUCAAGACUAAUCACUACUUCCGUAGAUGUUUUGCAAUAAUACAAAUACUUGACCAGAUGGUAGAAAAAAAUUUUAUUGCUCCAAAAUUAAAAUAAGAAUGCAAUAUGUUAAGCAAAAGACUGUGCAACAUCAAAUUAAUUGAUAAGUUUGUAAUUCAGUAAAUUAACAACUUUCAUGGUAAAAUACAACAAAUUUCUUUUCAAAAAAAAAAAAAAAAAUUAAAAGACGGCAUUCAAUUUUUUGGGCAUCUUAUUUCUUAAGAUUUUCCAGGAGGAGGGCACUAGAGGGACUUUCACCUAUGCAAGAGAGCAGAAGCCUUACUUUCGCUAUAAAGUAGACGUCAUUCUGAUUAAUAUGCGUUUGCAAAUCAGCUCCAUUUGAAUCAGUAUUCUGAUAGACACAUGAGGCAUUUACAUCCAUUUCCAAAGUCACAUGUUGCGAGGAGGACUCAUUUGAUUGCUCCUCUAGGAUCAUCUAAUUCAAGUAGCAAGGGUUGGAAGAGAAUAAAAAGUCACAAUUAUUCUUUUGCAUAAGUGAGACGAAAAUGAUAAAUGCAAUAUUAUCAGCAGUAAACAAGAAGAGAACACUCCAAGGAAUAGAUAGAUGCAGACAAGCAAGUUAAAAUGCACAGUUCCAAACCUCCGCAUACAACUUCUCUAAAAUAGCAAUAACGUGUUGAUGAUAUGUUUUCUCAGCAUCUACCUGCAAAGGCCUGAGACCAGGAAAACAACAAUAAAACCACUAGCUAAAGGAGAAAGUAAAGAAAGAAAUACACUUGACAUAAAUCUUGACAAGAAGCACAAUUUAAGACAUAACAAACCCCAAUCAGAUUGUUUAGAACUACCAUUCGUUAUUUCGUUAUUGUAGCAUUUCGAACAAGUGUUGACUUAAUUCAACAUUGUUGGAAAGAUAGGCUUUUAGAAGCGGAAGAAAGCCACUCAAACCAAAGUGAUUGUCCUUGUAUUGAUCAAGGGAUGUAAACAUAUUACAUUUGCAGGAUGAGUUUUAAUCACUCCCCUGAUUUAUUUGGGUUGCAGUAAAACUAAGCGAGCAACUGUUUGACUUUCAAGCAACAUCUAAAUCAGCUAUUAAAAUUCAAAUAAAAUUAUAAUAGAAUAAUAACAGGCCAUCUUGCAUAAAAAAUUAAGUUUAAUUUGUGAAUUUUUUUCUAUAGACAUGUUAGUUCCUGCUAUUGAAAUGUUAAAAGCAUUGAAAAAUUAUUCAAUAAAUUAUGCAAACAUUAAAAUAGAGGACAUAUUAAAAAGUUUCUAAUUACAAUGUUAAGAUUUCCUAUAUUUUAGCAUUUGCAUAUUUUAAUUUAUUUAAAAGUUACGUCAAUCAACUUUGGGCGUGAAGAUUUUAGCUUCUACGAGACUUGAUUGGAAUAUGCAUAAGGAAGAGUGUUAAAAUAUGAUGCAUCCAACGAAAGACAAACCACGUGUAGUCUUUUAAUUAAGCCAAAGUAGCAGCUCAAACAAAUGACACUUGGACCAACAUGCAAUCAUGAAGUGGCCGGUAAAAGGACAAAUGCAACUUUGGCUUAAAUAAAAAAUAACAUGUGACUUGACUUUUGCUGGACAUGCAUCAUGUUAUUACAAGACAACAGAAAUCAGUAUGAUAGUACUAAAAGUUGACAAUAACAUGAAGAUAAGAGGCAGAAUGUCAACACCUGCAUAGGCACACACAAGAAAGUAUUAACAUAUAUACCAUAGCAAAAAGUCUUUGAUAUGUCAUCUGUUGCUGCUGUGAUUCAACUGACAGCAUGGCAGCUGUCGCUUCUCUACCAAGAGCCAUUAUUGUAGAUUUAAGCUCGGUCAAUCUUGCUUCUGCAUUUCGAAGCUUCACAGCACUCUCUGCUGAUAUAUCAGAUUUCCUUAUCUUUGAUCGGUGCCUAAAUACUUCAGCUGCCUGGUGAAAAUAUUCAAUAUAAAUCUAACAUAAUUCUCAUCUUGCCUUAUACAUGCAUAUGUUACCUCAAAGCUUGCCUGGGCUUCAACUUCAUGUCGAAGUUUGUCAUAACGAUGAGUCAGGUGUCGAGCAUCUUCCAAAGGUGCUCCGUUGAUUAACGCCCGUAGUGGCUCAGAUACCUACAUGUCCAAAAACCUGUAACAUAGUUAGAAAAAUGAAAAGAAAGAGCGAAACCUCAAUUAAAAAGUUCCUCCAACAUAAUCAUGGAAUUUGGGCCUACUUCAAGGAUAUAUAUAAGGAUAAUUUAUGCAAUUUUGGGUCUUAGGAUGAUUCAUAUUAGGUUAGUGUUCUUCUCUUCUGUAUUUAAGGUUAAAAUAGAAAUAAACCUAUGCAAAUAUCUAAAUUAGGGCUGUAAGACUUCCACAUGCAUCCUUCAGUCUCAUGGAUUUGAUUUUACUAUAGAUGCAAGUGUCUUUAUCGAAAAUGCUUGGAGUCAAUUGAGAGAACUCACAGCCAAUAACUUGUCACAUGCUAGUCUUUGCUAGUGAUGCAAGAAGUCACAAGGUCUCUUCAACAUUUGAACCAAUAAAAUUAUUAAGUCAUGGAUGUCACUAGCAAUGAUUUCAAUAUAAAACAUUAAAUAUUUCAAGUUGUAACUUUAAAAUGGAUUCUUUUAUUCAAUAUCUUAGAACUAAGUUUCCUUAUGAGAAGAUAAUAGUUUCAGUAGUAAUUUACAUGAAAUUUUCUAUAUUUGAAUUAUUUUCUAGUUAGGGAUGAACUAACCUGAUCAUGAAGAAUCCCAAGCAAAGUUUUCCUCUCAUUUUCCAUCAAAUCAUGUGAAGUGCCAAAUUGAAGAGCAGCUCUUGCAGCGCAAGAAUUGUCACUUUGAUUCUCCACUCCAUACUUGCAACAAUCUUCAGCCAACUUUCUCACUACAAUAUUUGAAUACAAAAAUAUUGUACACAAGAACCAGUCAAGAAAAUAAAAAAAAAAUCAAAUAUUAUAACGAGAGCAAGAGCAAACAAACAACCUAUUUCCAUUUGUUUCAAGCUUACUGCAACAAACCCUUCAACGCCACGGACAAUAUUCCUCUGAAAAUUCUGUGCUACAGAGCAUAUAUUCCAAAUUAUUGUUCAGAUAAAACCAUAGAAACCAUCAUAAUUAUCAACAUACAUUAAGCUCCGUUUGGUAAAUACUUGCAACUUCAGUCUAGAAAAUACAGUUGUUUGUACCAUAUUUGACAAAAUUAUUAUUUAAAAAUCAUAACUAAUUACCAAAAGCCACAAUAAAUCAAUAUCAAACAGAGUCUUAUUAUUAGCUAAAGGAGGAUGGUGCCUUAGCUGCCCUGGUGGAAUUGUAUAGAUUUUAAAGUUGUUGGUGACACUCAAUUUCAGCUUCAUGAACCGCAAUAUUUUCAAUACCAAGAUGGAGCAGAUGCUUCAAUGCUGCCUGUACAAAUCAUAAAAAACUAAUAAAAAUAAAUAAAAUCGAGAAAUUUCACUAACUAAAAGUCUAAAUAUAAUUUUUGAAAAAAGAAAAGAAACGGACUUGCUGCUGCUUGGCGACUUGUUCUCGGUGCUUGAUUGCCUGUUUCUUGAUAGCUUCCAUACUGUUUCUUUCAAAAAGCAACGACGGCUCAGCUCAUGGAGGUGGAAAAAAAAAGUAUGAUCGAGAAAAAUAAAAAGGCAUGAAUAAUUUUUGACAAAAAGCGAAAAAUAAAAAGGCAUGAAUAAUGAAUAAUUUUUGACAAAAAGCUCUUUCCAGAAAAUAAAAAAAGAAAAAAGAAAAAAGAAAAUUAUAAGUUUGAAAGGAGUAGAUGAUAGUGGAAGUGUGCGGUGUGGCUGCCAGCUACUUGAAUUGUAUUGUCGGGUAAGGUAAUAGUAGAGAAUUUUUUUUUUUGAAGAAAAAUGGGUAAUUUUUAAAAACCUCCCCUGAGGUUUGGGCUUGUUGUAAGUAGAUGGCGAGAAUCCAUUUAUUUGUAAAAAACCCCCUACGUUUUUGCUCCGCUUGGUUGCCGUUUGGGCAAUUGUGGGCAUUGUUGACAUUUCGCAAUAAAACAAAUCUUUUGCAACUUUCGUUUCCUUGAGAACAAUAGCUAGAUUUCUCAAUCUGUUUCAUCCAACACUUCAAAAAUUUCAACUUUUAUGAGUUAUUGCAUUCUCUGGCAAAGUAGACUUCUUCUAAUUUUAUCACAGUGCUUUCAGGAACAAGAAUGGGAUCCAUUAACAUCCCCUCAAAUUUUACAGCUUCCUUACAGCUAUACACUGCUGUAACACGAAGUUUAAUGAUUCCAUCGCCAAAUAGUCCCCAAAAUCUAUUCUUCCCCAUAUUGAACAACUUAAGUUCACAACACUUGCAUUCUAAAGGCUUCCCACUAACAUCUAAUAUCUCAAGACUCAACGUUGCUUUACAAUAAUUGUUAUUACUACCAAACAAACAUGAAGAAACCCCGAUUAUCGGAUAAAUCAACCCAAAAUGAACAAGAGAAGAACCCAAAACAAGUGAAUCGCUAGAGCAAAACCCCCAACCCAUAUCCCUAAUCCCACACUCAAAAAAACCCAAUUUCUCUCCAAAGUCAUUGACACUAGCAUCACUACUAGACUCUAAUUCCAAUCCUAGAUUACAUUUAAUGUUAACCCAACUAAAAUGAAUGUUCUUACUACAAUACGCAUCGUUUACACUCUCAAACAACGCGCUGAACUUACUCUUAAACGAUCCCACAUUGGUCAAACACUCAUCACUCACAUCGACAUCCAAGAAUUCACUCAAAAACUUCAUAGACUCGACAAUUGGAGAAAACAAAACCACUAAACUCAACUUUAUACAAGCAUACCCAUCGAGAAUCUUACCGUCAUUAACCGAAUCACAACAAAUCACCGGGUCCCACGCGCAGUCGUGAACGAGCUUACGCAUGGACGGGGCAACAUUUAACCCCCGCGGCAAAAACGACGAAGCUUUGGAAAAAUUGUGUUUUAGAGCUGGGUUGAGGAGUAGAGAUUGGAGAGAUUGGAAGGUGGAAUCGGGACGGUCAAAGGAUAGAGAGAGAGAAGGGAAGGGGAUCUUUAAAAGAGAAGUGGGGAGAGGGAGGAGAAGAAGGAUUUGAAAGAGAAAAGAGAGGAACGGAGAGGCGGGAAUGAGAUUAAGGUUUUCACUGCAACUAAAAGAGUAAUCAUGUAUGGCUCUUGGUCUUGGAGAUGAAGGAGAGGAUUCAGGUCGAUUAAGAGGACUAUACGCUGCAUUUUGGUGUAGUCUGCCGCCAUUGGUAGAAGUUUCGAAGUGGGUUUCUGUUUAGAUCCGAGUUUGACGAAGAAACGUGGUGGUUGCGCUUGGGACAAUAUUGUUUUUGCACUGGUCAAUGUAGAAAUUAAACGACGGUAGGGUGUUUUUUUAUAAAUAAAUGAAUUCUCGCCAUUUAUAACAAGCCGAAACCUCAAAAGAAGAUUUUAAAAAUUACCCGAAGAUUCGAAAAAUAGUAGAGAAUUUUUUAAAAAGCUAGAACAGAGCAUGCUAGACUUUUGUGGACCAAAUUCAAAAGCCGAAGGGCACGGCCCAAAAGCUUUUGAAUACAAUAACUUACUAGAAAGCUCCAUUUUUUGUUGGCUACAGUAAAAGUAUGUUGUUUUAUGCUUCUUAUAUGUUACGCUUGCAUCAGCCUCAAUCACUUCUUAAUCGCUUGCUUUAACUGCAUCGCUCUCUGUGUACUCUUCUACACAUGUAACGGUUAUGCGGUUGUAGUUCACGGCUGAGGCUACGUGUUGGUUUGACGCGGCAGUUACGUUACGACAUUACGAGUCUGUUAAACAUUCGGUGAUAGAGCAUUAUUAGUUAUUUUAAGGGGACAAAUAAGAUUGGUUGCAAUAAACCCACUAAUUUUAUAAAAUUCGAGUAAUAUAGAAUAAAAUAAAAAAAUAAAUACAAAAUUGGCUUUUAUUUUUUAUGGUUGACUGUAUUUUGUGUUCUCUUCCGGCACUACUACAAUUGUUCCCUAUAUAUCAGUCACACCCAUAUAUCAUCAAUACAAGAAAUGAAAUCUAAUGUCACCUAUUUAGUUAAAGAAUUACUCAUGAAAAAAUUUUACCAUUUUACUUUGAGGAUCCAUAUUUUGAACUGCAAGCUAAUGUUCAUCAAGAAUCACUAAUGUUCAUAAAAAACAGAGCAUGGCCGUUGAGUAGAAAAACUAUUUUUGGACAAAUUAUUUUUGUUGAUAGAAGAAUUUCUUAAGGGGCUCAUAAGGCCAAUGAUGUUUCUACUGCUGGUGGUUUGAUUCGCGAUUAUUCGGGUCGUUGGUUGACUGGUUUUGGGUUGAUGCUUGGUUCCUGUUCUGUUACAAUGGCUGAGCUUAGAGGCAUUUAUCAGGGGCUUAUCUUGGCUUGGAAUUUUGGCAUUCGGUGGCUGCAUGUGGAAACUGAUAGCUUAUGUGCAACUCAAAUGUUGGCUAACCAGGUGGAGACUACUAAUGAAUAUGCGUCCCUCAUUUUUGCCAUCAAGGAGUAUCUCCAGAAAAAGGAUUGGCAGGUUUCUAUUUCUCAUGUGUACAGAGAGGCAAACUCGGCUGCUGAUUUUAUGGCGAACCUUGCUUGUUCUUUGCCUCUUGGGCUUAUGGUGUACCCUAGUCCCCCGCUCGGGUUUUCAUCCAUUCUUUUGUAUGAUUCUUACGGGGUUGCGACUCCGCGUUCGGUUGUUUUUUAGCUCUUAAUUGAGCCCCAAUUGAUCAAAAAAAAAAUAUUAUGAAUAACAAUGUAGAACACACCCACAUAUCAUCAACACAAUUGACUUUAAGGAUCCAUGCUUUGAAUUGCCACCUAAUGUUCAUCAAGAACAGAGUAUGCCUUGUGAGUAGAAAAUUUUAUGAUUUUGGUCCGAAAUAAAAAGAAAUUAAAUUAGAUGAGAAUCUGCCACUUUCUCAUAAAGAAAGGCAUACGGAGCAUACCAUGGUACCAUACAAUACAAAGAGUCUCUAUUCUCUGGUUUUUCAAACUCUGAAGGGGCCAAUAUUCCCGAAUUCCCCCUUGAAAAUUCUGAUUACGACAUUAUUCAAUUCUUGACACAAUCAAAGUAGCGACAAAGUUAAGAAAAAUAUGAGUCCUAAGUAAUGGCUAGGUAGGGUUCUUGAGAGCAAAAUUGUCCUAAGCAUUAUAUGCAUACAUGGUGUGGUACAUAGAGCACGUUGAAUUCCACACUAUAACACAAACCCAGAAAGACAAGUAAUAACUCAACUGAUAUAAAGACAAAAAGAAGAUAAAAUGAUAUAGAAAAAAGAAUUUCAAAGAGACAGCAACAUACGAUAGACUGAAGCCACUUGAUCUGCUCACUGAUUGCAGCCUUAAACUUACAAAUAGUUACUGUACGCUAGUGCUCUAAGAAGUGAAAAUGAUAAGAGACCUGAUUCCCUUUUGACUUCCAUUUACUGUCAAACAUUCUAGUAAUACAAAAAAUUGUUUAGAUAUCUUGCUAUAAAUAUAGUCGUUUGACUGUCAUAAUAAAGUCACAAAUAACCAUUCAUAUUGAUCCACUGUCACACAGCAUGCUUUAUGCAUACAACAUCUGCAUGUAUACCAACUCCUAACCUUAUCAAUACAUUUGGCAAAAACUUAAGAAGAAAACUAUUUCUCCAUCUCUUUUUUGAAAUUUCACAAUAAACCAGCACAUUGUGAAAGCUAUGUUCUAAUCUUAUGAUAAAUGCUCUAGACUCCAAAAGGAUUUUAUAUAUGAGAGUUUGUUGCAGCAGAUAUAUUGACUUAUCAAGUAUGAAUCAUUGUCUGGAUGAACUAUCUUUAAAUAAAAGAAUAUUAGAACCACUGUAGAAUAUCUUUACGCUGCUGGUUCUAACAGGAAUCUGCAUGUGGCAACAAUUGCUAGAUCCACAAUUCCCCAACUUGAAAUACAUAGUUGCACACCGUGAGAUAGUGCUGCAAUCUACUGAGAUCUAACUUAUUUGAUACUUUAAGCUACUAAUGUUUGCAUAUUUCUACAUGUUAAAUUGACACUACCAUCUAUAAUCACCCCAAAACGACAAAUGAUAAGCAGCUUUUGGCCACUUAUUAAUUACUAGCAUCCACAACACAAUUAUAAAUAAGAGAUCAUGGGUUUACUUGUUGCAACUACUUAAUGAUCUGCAUUUGAGACCCUGACGCAAGGUUUAAAUAGUGACUGCUUAGAACCCUUGUAGUUGGAUCUUGACCUCUCCCAUUGUAGCCAAGAUUGGCUACUCUGGUAAUGAAUCAACACUCUCCUGCUUAUUUUUUUGUUUUUAAAAAAUAACGAAAUCAUAAAAUAAAUAAACACGUGUUUGGUUUUGGGCAUUUUCUUUUGUUCAUUUAAUAUCAUCUGGCUCCCUGAUUUUUGACUAAUUAACAACGGAAUCCUGUUAGUUUCUAAAUUGAAAUAAUAAAAGGUCUUGAGAUUAUUUACUCCAUUUAGCACUGUAGACUUAGAGUAUAUUGAAAAAGCUUUGUCAAAUAGUAGUAAUAGGGGCAUAAUAAAUAAGUUUUUCAGAAUUUACAUAAUGUACUUUGCUCUAGGAAGAUUGCCCUCUUAUCACUCAAGUUAGGUUUUGCCUUAGAGUUGAGGUAAAUCAUUAAAAUAAAUUAUAGCUAUCACAAAUUCGUUAGGAGAAUUUCAAUUUUUUUUCCAUUAAAUGGCUAUGAUGCAAAAUUACCUCAGCUUAUAUUGCAACACUAAUACUUCAAAUCCUAACAAUAAAAUUGAUGACAAUGGUUUUUAUGUAUAGUAAUUUUCACUCUUUUGUUUGAUCUAAAAGUAGUUCUUAAAAUGACAAUGAUGACUUAUUUAGAAGAAAUGGCAAACUUAUAGUUUGUAAUAUUGUUUGCACAAACAAUAAAGACUAAUUUGAUAAUAAUGAAGUGUUAAUUACUAUUUAACAUUUUUAAUUAAUUUUUAAAUUUAAAAAAAAAUGAAGGCCGAAACUUGUGCAUUAAAUUUUAAUUAAAAGUUGAUUGCUUCGAAGGUUGGAUCGUGACAAAUUGACAAUUGAAAAAAGAAGUAGGGAAUAUAUAUUCUGAUGAAAGGGACAAGAUUAAGCAAGGGGACAAUAUUGUCUAUUGGACCUACAAAUGGGGGCAAAGAUAUAUAUAUUCCAAAAUUUCUUAUUUGUGGAUUGGCCACCACGUGUAACUAAUAUAAAAAGAGAAAAUUUGGCAUGGUUUUAACCGAUAUAAGGGUCCGUUUGGGAUUGAGGUGCUGUAGCUUUUAAGCUAUAGCUGCUGUGGAAAAAAAAAACUGUAAGUAUUAAAUAAAAGUUAAUAAUAUAUAGUAAAUAUAAAUUUUAAAUAAUAAUUUUGAUGAAAUUAUUAAAGAUAUAAUAGAUUUUCUAUUAUACAAAUGAAAAUUCAUAUCAACAUAGCUUAAAAGUUACAGCAGUUAGUGUUUACCAAACACUUUAGUGCUGUAGCUUUUAAGCUACAGCUGCCCAACCUCAAUCCCAAACGCACCCUAAGAAGAGAAAAUUUUGAGUGUAUAAGAAGAGAAAAUUUUGAGUGCACAACAAGAACAAAGCAAAACCCAUGAAAAUUCACCUUUCAUGUGGGUUGGAUUGGAUAAAAUCAAUAUCUUGAAUCAAACAAAAUGUUUGGUACUUGAAGGUUUUUUUAACAUUUUCAUUUUUUUUUCCAUUUAUGAAGUCCAUUUUUUUUUUAAUUUUGAUUUUUUUGAAUGAUUUUGCAGGUGUUGAUAUAAGGUCAUCAAAAGUUUGUGAACUUGGGGUGUUGAAUUAUAAGGCGAAGCGUGUGUUUUAUCCAUUUGAAGCAAGUAAAUUUCGCUGUCGGUAUGAUUACUAUUGGGCUUCUAUCUUCAAGGUAUUCAUACAUUUUCCCCUGUACUAUAAGCUUCUUAGUGGCGGUCUUGUGAGCGGAAGUGAGCAGUGUGGCUGACAGCUUCUUGAAAAUUAUAAGUUUGAACAGAGCAUGUUAGACUUUUGUUGACCAAAUUCGAAAGCCAAAUGGCACAGCUCAGAAGCUUUUGAAUUGAAUAACUUACUAGAAAGCUCCAAUUUUUUGUUGGCUAUAGUAAAAAGAGGUUGUUUUAUUCUUCUUAUACUUUACACUUGCAUCAGCUUAAAUCACUUCUUAAACGCUUUGCUUUAACUCCACCGCUUCGUACUGUUCUAUAUAUGUAUCGGGUAUGCGGUUGUAGUUCACUGCUGAGACUACGUGUUUGUUUAACGUGGAAGUUACGUUACGAGUCUGUUAAAACAUUCGGUGAUUAAAGUAUUAUCAGUUAUUUCAAAGGGACAAAUAAGAUUAGCUACAACACACACUAGUUUUAUAAAAUUCGAAUGAGAUGGAAUAAAAUAAAUAAGUAAAUUGACUUUUAAUUUAGUGCUUGAAUAUAUUUUGUAUUCUCUUUGGGCACUGCUGUAAUUGUUCCUUAUCACACCCAUAUGUUAUAGACACAAGAAAUGAAAUUUAAGAUCACCUGUUUAAUUAAAGAAUCACUCAUGAAAAAAUUUUGCCAUUUUGAUUUGAGGAUCCACAUUUUGAACAACCAACUUAUGUUCAUUAAGAACAAAGCAUUGCCUGUGAGUAGAAAAAUGAUUUUUGAACAAAUUAUUUUUUGUUUAUAGAAGAAUUUCUCAAGGGACUAUUAAAAUUACUAAUAAAAAUGUCAGACACACCCAUGUACCAUCGACAAAAUUAACUAUGAGGAUCCAUGUUUUGAACUGCCACCGAAUGUUCAUCAAGAACAUAGUAUAACUUGUGACAAGAAAAUUUUUUGAUUUUGGCCUGGAACAAAAUGAAAUUAAAUUGAAGGAGAAUCUACUACUUUCUCAUUAAGAAAGGCAGACGGGGCAUACCAUGGUACCAUACAAUACAAAAAGUUUCUGUUCUCUGGCUUUUCAAACUCUGAAGGGGGCAAUAUUCCCCAAUUGCCUUGUGAAAAUUCUGAUUACGACAUUAUUCAUCGCUUGAUACAUAAGUAAAAGUAGUGAUAAAAUUAGAAAAAAUAUGACUUAUAAGUAAUUACUUGGCAGGGCUCUUGAGAGCAACAUUGUGCUAGGCUUUAUAUGCAUACAUUGUGUGGUACAUUCUACACUAUAACACAAACCCAGAAAGACAAGUAAUAUCUCAACUUAUAUAAAGACAAAAAGAAGAUAAAACGAUACAGAACAAAAAAUUUCAAAGAGACAGCAACAUACAAUAGACUGAAGCCAGUUGAUCUGCUCGUUGAUUGCAGCCUUAAACUUGCAAAUGUUUACUGUAGCCUGGUGCUCUAAGAAGUGAAAGUGAUGCAAACCUUGAUUCCCUGUUUACUUCCAUUUACUGUCAAACAUUCUAUUCAUACGAAAAAAAUUGUUUAGAUAUCUUGCCGUAAAUAUAGCCAUUUGAUUGUCUUAACAAAGCCACACACAACCAUUCAUAUUGAUCCACUGCCCUUGAUCUUGAACAGAUCAAUACAAUACGCACAACUUAUGAUUGAAUCCAGAAACAAUCAAAUCUUUAGCAAGAAAAAUUAAUCAGAAUCAAGAAACAAGUUCAAUGAAUAUAAACCUAUAAUUGGAACAAACACAGCCAAAGAACCCAAGAAUGACACAACCUACACCACGGGAGAAGUUUUCCAGUGAGAUUUUAUUGAUGAUCAAAGAAGAAUCUUUUUACAAAGCUAACAAAAGAGAUUUCAGAGAAUAAGCUAUGACUCUCUCUCUUCAAUCUCUCUCUAGUUUGUUCACAGUGAUGACCCCAAUCUGCUUCGUUAGCCAGCUUCAUAACUGCGUUAGUGACAAACUAGCAAACCCAGAUUGAGCAGAUUACCGACACGUGGAUAACGGCUAUUAAGAACUUAGUUAAAGAACUGCUCACAUAUUCGUCAUGCGUGUUACUUAAAUGAUGGCCAAAACGACUUCAACCAGAUGCCGUUUUGAAGCUUGUGAAUUAUAAUUGAAAACACGUGCUUGUCUCGUGACACUUACAUACAACAACAAGCCCAAAACACUGCCGUUUCACUUUGUUGAGUUUGCCAUCUCUAAGCUUCACAACUAGCAACGGAGAAGAUGAUAAUUAAAUUGACAUGGAGAGUUUUUAUAUCACUUUUACAACAUUCUAUAUAAUUGUGAUAUUGGGAAUCGUCGGUGUUGUAUAUGUGAACUCUCGUUGGCGACACUGGUAGUUUUAUUUUUGUUGAAAUAUGGAUGACAUUUCGUUACUAUUUUAUUGUACACAACAUUUUGUUACUAUUAACAUGUUAGUUUCAUUAGCCACUAGGCCUUUGGCUGAGUCGUUCGGGUGUCUGCCCUCCAACUUGGAGGGCAGCAAUUUGAACCCCCACAAGCGCAAUGUUGGGUAUUUCUUUCUUUAAUCUCUCGAAUAUUAGUGAAUGUUAAAAUCUAGGCAGAACUCCAUAAGUAUUGAUGUAAGUUGGUUUCAGUAAUAGUUUAAUUUGUAAAUAUCAGUUAUAAUCUCAUGUAAGAUGAGUUGUAAUUUGAGCAAUAGUCUCAUAGAAUAAUAAUAAUAAUAAACAUGUUAGCUUCAUUACAUUUUUCUUCAUUAAAAUUCUCAAGUAUUAGUCAGGUUUGCUAAAGUAAUAAAAUUUUGCCAUUAAAAUUGUAGUAGUAUUUCUGAGCACCUCACAUUUUCAAUGAUUUUUCAUAAAUCAAUUAAUCUGUCGUACCGAUAUCAGGUUUAGUUUUUCAUACUAAACAAUCAAGAAAGCAAACAUACAAAUUCACAGUUUAGAGGGGUAAACUAGGUAGGUGGUUUAGAUUUUAGAACUAGGCUAGCUACCCCACUAAAUUCCAAUUUGUAUAGUGAACUACAAGAAAUUGAGAAAACAGUGUAUUUAUAGUUUAAUUGAAUCGUGAGAAAGCAAUGUAGUCAUAGCUCAAUCUGAGAUGAUCACGGAGAGGCAUAUUCUUUUCAAGUUAAUUUGAUCAAUUUAUAAGAGAUGAAGUGGAUUGAAGUUAAAAGUUUAAAUAACAAAUCCUUGUUCUUGAGUUUUACGACGUCGUUACUCCUUCAAGAGGCAGAUUAUUUAUGCAAGUGAAUGCAGAAACGCAAUGCAUCAUCCACGGGGAUGGUACACCAAAAGGCGGGAUCAUAGUCUAUGCCCGCAGAUUAACAAUUUCGCUCAUAUAGAAAAUUAAUUUUUUAUAUAUACUAAUCAAUACUAAAUUGAUUAUGUUUUGUAUGUUUAUAUGCGAAUCAACACUAAAUUAUAUUAAAUGAAGAAAUAAUUCAAUUUUUUCUAAUUUAAUUUAGAAAAUAAAAUUAUUAACAUUAAUAUUCCCAAAAAAAAUUAUUUUCCAUUAGUAUUCAAAGUCUUCACUUAUGGAAAAUGUGUUUUACAUGAAUAUUAGUUACCGUGUAAAUUUGAAUGAUAGUGAAAAAUAAUUUUUUAAUUAUUGUAAAAAUAAUUAACCAUAUCAAAUCCCUUACGUAAAUAAUUUUUAUUUUUCAAAAAGGUAGAAAGAUGGUUAAUGCACAAGCAAAUUUUAAGCCCCUCUCUUCUUGGCCUAAGAUUCAAACUCAGAUGACUAGUUAAAAAAACCUAUGUGAAAAUCAUUCGGCCAGGUCUGCGGGGCAAAAAUACAAGAUCCUUAAUUUCAUAAUAUAUAUGAAUUAAUGUCAUUUACUUGAAUUAUCCAAAUUCAUCAGAGGUUAUCGAAUUUUCCUGACAUGUAGCAGAUGAAGUUGUUGCUUCCUUCUUGGCAUUAUUUCAGCUCUGGUUGUUGGUCCCGAUGAGCUUUAGUCUUAUUUUAAUUUUAUUUAAACUCAUCAUAAGAUUCGUGAAGCACCUAACUGACUUAACUGACUGUGCAGAAAUGUCACAUAGCAUAUUUAACCGUUUUAACAGUAAUUUUGAACGGUCUUCGCAGUUAUCAUCUACAAACUCGUUCGUGUUGGUCCACUAGGUGAAGUUUUUGAAAUAAUAAUAAGCUCCCAUUCUUGAUUUUAAAAAAUGUGCUUAUAAUAAUUUUAGAAUAAUGGCUUAUUUAUAGAACAACUUAUGAUUUCCCAUUAGCAUUAUUAUUGAAGUGGGGUGGGUAACGGUUCACUCAAUUCGUCGGGAAUAAAAAAUUACCAUCCAAGGCAGAAUUGUGGAAAAUUAAAGCGAAAUGAGAAAUAUGGAAAUGAAGGAAGAAAGUUAAGGCAUGAAAGACUUCCAGUUGAAAUUGAUAAUCAUGUUUCUAUUUUGGUAACUAAUCAAAUGGGAAACUGAACCAUAAACAAACAUUAAAACGUGUGGACUCCGCUAGCUGCCUUACAAGCCUACAAUAAUAACUGAGUACCUUUGAUUCAUCCUUCUAUGAAUUUCUAGCCGUAUUGACUCCACCGAAAUUUCCACAAAAAAAAUAAAAAAAGAAUUUCCACAAAAUGCAAAAUGCAUGGCACUUAAUUUUUGGCCCCGUGAUCACUAAGAUACAAUCCUUCUAGGGAAGAGCAAUCAGGCAAAUUUUUUUAAAUCUCUCCGACAAAGUGAUUACCAUCUAAUCGCAACAUUGAAUAAAAAUAAAAAUUUUAAUGGGAGUUUGACCUUAGAUUUAGAAAAUGAAUUUUCACUUUCUUCAAUUAUUAAACAGAUUACAGACAUUUGAGGAAUUUGAAAACACUUUAUCCAUCGAAAGUUAAAAUUAGAGAUGGAAGCUAGGUGCUUCAACUAAUGGGAUCAUUAAUUCCCCUCCCUCAAAUGUGUAGUUGUUCCUCUUUCCACAGCAUAAGCCUUAUAGUUAGAGUUUCUUUUAAAAAAAAUGUUAAACAAUUUCGGUUGAGCAUGGUUUUGGUAGUUGAAUAGACACCUCCGCCGUACCUCAAACAAAACUGUCAUUAUUCGUGUCAUGAAACAUGUUUCGGCCGUCAAAGUCAUGAGUAGGAGUGGGCAUGGGUUGGUUUGGGUUAGGUUUUAAGUCAAUUCAAACCAAAUCAUAAAAAUUUGGGUUAAACCCAAACUAACCCAAAUAUUUUUAACCCAACCCAAACCAACCUAUUUCCUUCUGGUAUCAGAGCCAAGGGGAGGAAAGUGUUUUAUUGUUUUGAGUUUUUGUGUUCUAAAAUCUUGUGUUUUAUUUUGCCACCAGAAAGUAUCCCAUGUUUAUAUCUUGUUAAUCCUACAUUACCUAAAAUUGUUGAGACUGAUGCAUCUGAUUUAGGUUAUGGAGGCAUAUUAAAGCAAAAGGAAAAUGAUAAUGAAUAGAUAGUACAAUAUGUUUCUGCACACUGAAAUUUUGUAAUGCAUAAAACAAUGGAAAGGAUUUCUUUUUUGAUAGUAGAAUAAUUUUUCUGACAAUCAUUCCAGUGUGCAGAAACAUAUUGUACUAUCUGUUCAUUAUCAUUUUCCUUUUGCUUUAAUAUGCCUCCAUAACCUAAAUCAGAUGCAUCAGUCUCAACAAUUUUAGGUAAUGUAGGAUUAGCAAGAUAUAAACAUGGGAUACUUUUUACAGAAUUCUUUAUUAAUCUAACAACUUUUGUAUGUUCAUCUGUCCAAGGAGUAGGUUUCUUUUUUAAUCUGUCAUGCAAAGGCUUAGACAUUCUAUUAAUAUUAGGGCAGAAGUCAAGAACAUAAUUCAAACUGCCAAGAAAUCUCUGUAAUUGGGUUUUGUCAAGAAUUUUAUCAGGAAAUUUAUCGGCAAACAAAAGAGAUCUCUCGAUUGGAGUGAUUGUUCCUUUAGUAAUAUGAUGACCAAGGAAUCUGACUUUUGUUUGAAAUAAAGAAACUUUAGAACUGGAAAUUGCCAAUCCAGCCUUUUUGGUGGCAAAAUAAAAAGUCUUUAAAUGUUUGAAAUGUUGAUCGAUAGAAUUUGAAAAUAUUAAUACGUCAUCAAUAUAAACAAUGCAAAAAUCAGAAUAAGGAUUAUAAAUAUCAUUAAUAAUUUUUUGAAAUUCUGAGGGUGCAUUCUUUAAACCAAAGGGCAUAACAGUCCACUCAUACUGUCCAAAUGGAACAGUAAAAGCAGUUUUGUAACGGUCAUUAGGAUGAAUUUGAAUUUGCCAAAAACCAGAUUUCAUGUCAAAUUUUGAGAAAAUAAGAGCAGAACAUAAUUUUUGAAGCAAAUCCUUUUUAUUAGGUAUGGGAUACCUAAUCCAUUUUAAAGCUUUGUUUAAAGGUUUGUAAUUUAUUACAAGUCUUGGUAUGCCUCUCUCAAGUUCAGAAUUUUUGUUCACAUAAAAAGCAGCACAAGACCACGGGGAUCUAGAUUUUACAAUAAGUCCUUUGGACUCUAAAUCCUUGAUUUCAUUUUUACAAUGUUGUUCCAAUUCCAUGUUCAUUUGGAUUGGACGGGCUUUAGUGGGGAUCUGUCUUUCAUCAAAAGAAUUUUCAUAGGGUAGAUCUACCACGUGUUGUUUUCUGUUCCAAAAUGCAGAAGGUAGAUCAGCACAAAUUUCUUUUUCAAUGAGAAUUUUGAAAUCAGAAAUUUUUCUUUUAAUGAAAUCACUUUGUAAUUGGCUUUCAAUUCUUUGUAGGUUCAAAUCUUUUUGUAAAAACAUUAGAUCACACUGUUUUGAUUUAAGUAAAUUAUUUAUCCUGUUUUGAUAAACAGAACAGGCUUUAACAAUAUUCAAAUUUCUUGUUUUAGGCUUUUCAAUAAAAGGGAAAACAAGUUUCUUGUUUUUUGCUUUGAAGGAUAUACUAUCAUAAUUGACAGUAUAUGGAGUUAUAAGAUUUAUAAAAGGAGUUCCCAAAAUGAUGGCAUGAUGAAUAUCAUUUGUGAGAACAAAAGAAGUUUUAAAAUCAAAACCAUUAUUAUGGAUUGAGGCUUCAACCUUAGAACUGACAUUCAGUUUUGAAUUAUUAGCGGCAGAAAGUCUUUCUUUUGUCUUUUCAUGAAAUCUUUUGGGGACGAUGUCUUCUCUAAUGCAAUUUAAAUCGGCGCCAGUAUCAAAAAGGGCAAUGGCGUCCAUUGCAAAAUCAUCAGAAAAGAUUAAAGUGACUUUAAUCAAAUACUUUCUUGUGGUGAUUUGCUUUAAAACAAAUAGAAAAUCAUUGGGUACAGACUCGAUGUUUUCUACUUUAAUAUCAUCACCAUCAUCAGGAUUAGAUUCAUUGUCUGAAUUAUCCUGCAAUUGUUUUUGUAAAAGAAGUUGGAUAGUAUCAGAAUCACUUUUUUGUUUUUCUUUUAAAUCUCUGAUUUCACAUUUGAUUUCUUUUAUCUCUUUCUGAAGAUCUUGGAUAUUAGGAACCGUCUUCUUUUUUUUCUUUUUAUCCAAAAUUUGAGUAAGAUCAUAAGAAUUCUUUUUAACAAUUGGGACUUUAGAAGUCUCAGCUUUAUUAAAAUCCAAAGUUUUCAAAAGUUUAUCAAGAUAUUCUUUUUGAAGAUUCGGAUCAGAAAUAUGCUUUACAAGUUCAAGAAAAGUUUCUUGGUCUUUAGUCAAAACAUUGAUUUUCUUUAAAAAUGAAUCAGAUUCAGAUUCACUGCUGCUAGAUGCAGAGUCAUCUGAGUCAAUUAGCUCAUCAACUUGAUUAGGGUCACUGUCUCCCGACAUGGAAGACUCAGAAUCAGAAGACUCGAUUAGAAGAGGGGCUAAUUUGGAAAGGAUCUCUUCAUCGAGGUCAAGCUCAUGAAGCUUUUUGUUCAUUCUGCAAUAUUUUGCAGUAUGACCUUUUAUGCCACACUUAUGACAUAUAGCUUCUUUGUAAUUGAAAGGAGUCUUUGGUUUGGCUUUAAACUCUUUUUUAGAGAAUUUGGGUUUCUUAUAAGGCCUCGAAGGUUUCUUAUAAGGAAGUUCUCUAAAAUUACGAAAAGGUUUCCUAAAAUGUUUAGAUUUGUAAUGUUUCCUGCGAGGUUUAGUAGAACACUCACAAUUACAAUCUUUGGAGAUAGAAGUUUUAAAGGGGUCAUAAUUGAAUUGUUUACAGAAACCGCCUAAUUCUUGUUUAGACUUCUUAAGCUCCCACUUAAGUCGUUUCUGUAGUUUCAAAUCUUGACAAAUCUUUAAACCUUCCUUAUUGACAAAACUGACAAGUUCGCCAUAAGUGAGCUCAUCAUAAGGAAUACGGUUAUCAUAAAGGGCUUUAAUAGAAUUUCUUACCUUUUCACCUAGAAGGGUAGGUAAUCCAGCAAAAAAUUUUUCUUUCCAAGUAGUAUGAUUUGCAUCAUCCCUUAGAAAUAGUCUGGUAAGAAAUGAGGUUUUGUAGCUCUGAAAUUCACUAAGUUUCCUACAUCUUAAAUUAUGUAGUAACUCAGCGUUUUUAUCACGAAAGUGUGAAGGGUCACCAAUGAAAUGGAGGGAAAUGGUUAAAAUUAGAGUAGCAACAGCAUCCUGAAUAGGGUUGUUGAACUCAUCAAAAAUAGGGGCUCCAUUUUCAUCGACUUGAAUGGAAUUUAGAAUGUCUAAUUGUUGCUGACUAGUGAGAAGAUGAUCCCACCAACCUUUGAGUUGACCAGUAAAACCGGCAAUGAGGAUUUCUGAUAUGGCACGAUCAGAAGUUCCUGCUUGGGUUUUAUAGGCAUUGGCUGCCAUUGUCAUUUGUUGCAACAAUCCUAGGAUAUUGUAUUCGGACAUACCGUCAAUAUUCCACUCAUAGACUGAAGAUGCAUUAUAUCGGGAUUGAUUUAAUGCACUUGGUCUAUUAUCUAUCGCUAGAUCCGGUGGAGUCUUGACAGUGGGAAGGGCUAAUUCCCAAUGAAUUUUGUUUGCCUUAGGAGUGGGUUCCUCUUGGAAAGCAUCAACGUCCGAAGAGGCUAUAGAAGUUUGGUCAUCUUGUUCUAAUACUCCAAUCUUGCUAGAUUGGGGAGUAUCAGGGGCUAUCUGAAUUUUGCUAGAUGAGGAAGAAGCAGCUUCUAUCCUAUCUAGUUGUUCUCUAAUGGCUUUAGCAAAAUCUGAUUUUGACUCUUGAACAAGCUUUUGGCUAGUUUUCGAAACCUGAAAAGGUUUGAAAAUAGGUUUCUUAAGCUUUUUGUCAGAAUCCGAUUUUGUUGGAAUAGGAGAGAUUGAUGGAACAGUAAUGGUUGACUUCUGGAUUUGGUUUUCUAUCCUAGUCAACUGUUUUCCAAUUGUAUUUAAGUUAGUAUUACAGAAAUUAUUCUGUUGGAUAAUACUACUUAAAUUUGCCUCGGAAUCAUUUGGUUUUGGGAUUUUGUAAGGUGAAGCUCGGAUUUGGACAGGAGGUUCACCGUGAUCAACGGUUAUACUCCGAAGAGGUGGGUGUUCAGACUCUAUAGUUCUAUCACUAUCAAGAAGUUUCCAUUCAGGGACUUUCUUCCUAAUAGUAAUAGGGUUUGACUCUUUAAAAUGAUAAGAGAUGUUGUUAUCGGAAGAAUAUAUCUCAAACCAAUCAAAAAACAAUAUAUGAAUUUUAUGAAAAUUCACAAAUUCAUAGUAAGUUUGUUGGAUUUCUUUUCUUUGGUUUAAAAAGUGUUGAAAAACCAAAGUCUUUUUUCUUUGUUUAAAUCAGAAUAAAAAUCAUUAUGCAGAAAAGUUUUAUCUAAUUCAAAUUCUUUUUCAAUGACAUUAAUGACAUUUUCUGUAACAGCAGAAAAUGUAGGGGAAGUUGGAGGAGAAGGUUCCUUCUCUUCCUGACUUUGUAAAUGUUGAUUACUAGUGUAGAUUGGAUGAGGAACACUAGUGGUGUAAUCAACUGAUCGAAUGGAGGUACCUGUAGCUAAACCAACCUAUUUGGAUUUGGGUUUGGUUUGAAUUUUAUAAUUAAAAUAUUUUUUAUUUUAAUAAAUUUAACUAUAUCAAAUUAUAAUAAUUAUUAAUUAAUAUUAAUUAUUAAAUUAAUAUUAAAAUACGAAAAAAUGUAGUGGAUAAAAAUUAUGAAUAAUGGAUUUUACAAUAACUUUGUUCUUAAAUAUUAACCAUAUUACAACAUAAAUUCUAACAAUGUCAAUACAAAUUAAAGUAAGAUAAGAUAUCUCAACUCAAGCAUCAAAGCAAUCCAUCAAAAUUAAAUUAUUUAAUUUUAUAAAUUUAAAUCUUCCGAGAAAUAAAUCUAAAAUUUAUUGUAAUUAGAAAAAGCGCCAAAAUUUUAAACGCAGUAAGAAAAAUUAGACAUGAAAUCUAAUUAGGUUUAAAUUUAAUUAAAAAAUAACAAUAGAAUCAUAUUUUAUUUGAUAAAAUCUUAAAAUCAAUUGCAUUUUUAAUUUUAGUAAGUUACAAUACAAAUAGGAUUAUAAAAUUAUAUUACAGGAUUUCAUAAAAAUAUUGUUUGAGUAAUUUAUUAAAGGACUCACCUACGUUGCCACAGUUGUAGCUUACCACGCUUUUUGUCUUUUUCCAGUAAAAUCGUAGGAUGCUUUCAAAUUUAAUCUAACGGCUGCAAUUAAUUAUUAGAUAAUUUAAUCAGCCAUUGGCAACCUUUACAACCGGUUAUAUUCUCUCGUUACAUUUAUCGGCUACCAAACAAUCCCCAAGAAAAUGACGAAGUGAGUAACUAAUACACACACCGCAGAGAAAGAUGACAGGAGAAGAGAUGACGGUAGGCCCACCGGCACAAAGGUUCUUCGAUUGCUCUAUUUCUUCGGCGCCGGAUUUAUCUACACAGCUACAAUCGACAAGUGGCGGGAACUCGAGCGGAAGUCAUUGAAAAAGAAACAGCAAGAGAGCAAUCUAUGGACUGAUGAUAACUCAGCAACUACGGUAAAGAAAGCCGUCAAAUGAUCUUUUUAUUUGACUUUUGAUGGAUUUUCAAGAGUUUUGGUAAUAAAAUGUCUCUUAAUUUUUCAUUUCAAUGGCCUAUUGUUUGAGUUAUUAUUAUGCAUAAUUGUUGGAAGAGUUAGGGUUUUACUAUUGGAUUUUGGAAUUUGUAUUUUGGCUUUGAUAUGUUAUUGUUGUGAUGUCGGUCAAGAAAUUUUUGACAACACUCUCCUCGAGUUUGAUACUAUAGCUAAUGAAUUUUUAUGGCAGAUAUAUAUUUUUCUUUGAAAAAAAAAAACACUUUACAACUGGUUAUGCAUUCAUUUAGGAGCUGUUAACUGAGCGUGAGUUCCAUAAUUUUCCAACCAGUGGUUAGGGUUUCACAGAAAAAUGUCGACAUUGAUCUUUAGGCAGCACUUAAGACUGAAAUUGGUUAUAGAGGAUCGAAUUUGGGGAACUAGAAAUUUCUGAUCAUUAAUAAUUGAAAAUGGCCUCUCACUUGUAGGCAGUUGUUGGAUGUAAUGUAUCCAGUUUCUGAAAUCGAAAGUAGAGUGAGUUCUUAAGUUAGAUGUACCUACAUGCAUUAAGGUUCGAAGAUGUGGAAUAGGCCAAUUGUUUGAUGUCAGCUUUGUUGCACAUGUUCUGAAAUUGAUCAUUUAAGAUGGCUUGGAAGCACUCCGUGAUGUGACUAAGAAGAUUCGAGGAAGUAUUAAAUAUGUUGAAAGUUCACAAUUAAUACAAGGUAAGUUCAAUGAGAUCACCCAGCAAGUUGAAAUCAACAGUCAAAAGAGCCUAAAGUGUGAUAUUUUUCUCUUGGAUUGUUUUUUUAUUUUCCAUUUCAAAGCUGAUAGUGUAAAUAUUUUGUUUGCAAAAGUUUCUAAAAAGUACUUGAGUCAAGAUGGUUAGGUAUUUCGUAACUUCCUUUUUACUCUUAACUAGAUUCAUAGAGAGUUAUAACAUUAACAUAAUUUUUUCUUUUAAAAGUGAUCAAUUAGACACUGAUGAGAUAUCUCACUUUUGAAUCAUUUAGCUUUAUGUAAUUUCAUUACUAUUAUAUGCCCCCAGGAAUUGUUGAAGUAUAUAUAUCUUGGCAUUUCUUCACUGACUGAAUUAUCUUUCAUAAUAUUCCAGCUUCAAAUGGGUACACUGCAGAGCCGAUUGGAUGCAGAAUUCCUUCUAGCUCAUAUGUGCUCUGUAAAAUUCAAAGACUGAAUAGUGGUUAUGGCAACUCUUUUUAGAUGAUCUAAGGUAUAAUGCCCAAUUAUUGCUUUUGCUUUAUCUGUUUUACCUUGCAACAUUUUGAAAUUUAUGAGAAGCAUAAAAUUACUGAGCCAAAAUUGAGGAUCUGAACUUUCGUAAAAAUAUUCGUAUUUUUAAAUUAUAAAAUAUUGCAUUUGAUGCUUUAGGUGGAACUUAGUUCACUACAGAAAGGAAAAUUAUGUUGGGCAUAACCAGAUGCUUUUCAAGAGAAAAUUUCACUGAUAUUUUUCUGAGGAUUUUACUUGGCCAUCUUAUUUCAAGCUGCUUGAAUUUUUUCUUUAUAUCAUCUUGGUUGUAUACUAUAACUCGUUGAAUUUGCUAGCACUUUUGCUAGUUGGUUAUUCUAUAUGUGAUUAUGGUGGUAAAGUUUGGAAGCUCAAAAAGUAAUGGAACUUAGGAAGAGUAUGACAUAGAAUGCUGGAUAGAAUUAAAAUAAUCAUUCUUCAGGCAUCCAAAGAUGAUGUAUUCAAAAUAGCUAGUUUUGACUUUUGAGGCCGUAUAAAUAACUAUUAUCUCACAUGGUUACAUUAUGAUAGGUAGGCACUAGCUUAAUAACUCCAAUUAACUUGAAGUUGUUACCUGAUUUAUUAUGACAGUGUGCAUUACGAUAAGUAUCCUUGCAUAUUAAGAUUUUCCUUCCAGAUCUUUGCGGUACUUUUUGAUCUUUUCCGACAUGAUAUGCGAUUAUGGGAAGCAUAUGCCAUCACCUUACAGGUAUUCUCUUAAUUUUUAGAUAGUGCUCAAGAUGACAUUCAAGUUGGCUAUUAUUGGGUGCAAGAUUUACCAUGCUCUUAUUUUGCUUUUUUAGUCUAACCCGAUAUUUGCUUAAUACCAUGAUCUGCUUCAAGCCUUGGAUGAAAAACUUUCAUUUUUUGUAUAUUCUGCAAUGAGAUGAGGGUAGUUUUUCUGAUGAUAUUUGGCAGUAAAUUGGGACUAACUAAAGUAAUUUUCUUAAUGGCAUGUCUACUUCUCAGAUGAAUGACCGUCUGUUCAGACUCCAAGGUGAUGAAUUAACAACCACCGAUCUAUUCUGGGUGAAGAUGAUGACGUUGACACCAAGCCAGUGGAAUGACUAGGACUUCCCUUUUGUUACAAUAAAUUGCGUUCAUUAGACACACGCAGUUAAUUAGUGUAGAUAAAGGAGGUCUAUGCACUAUAGACUGUUUUGUAUUUCGAGAGUCCUUUUUUUGUUUCUUUCAUUCUCCAUUCUUUUGAAAUUAUGUACAAUGGUUAUAUUGUCUGUAUUAUUACGGAUUUAUGAUGGGAGUAUCCCAAGUUUAUGGAAUAAUUAUAAAUAAGGACUUUAAAUUUUUGUUGAAAGAAGUUGAGUGAGAGAAAAGAAGCUAAAGCAGUAAGCAUUUGUUAUACUUCAUUCGAUUGUAUCUAAAUUACAAAGGUUGGUGGCCUUAUUUAUAGUGAAGUUCCCACAGGCCACUUGCACUCAAAACAUUCGAAAUAUGCAAACAUAUUGAUAUAUAAACAUACAGAAUUAAUAUUCUGAAACCUUGUAAGUAAUGCAAAUAAAAGUGAGGUUGGGGCAGCCAAUAUUUACAUCAUGUAUUAAUAGAAAUAAAAUCAAUUAUUUCCAAAUAAAUUCACUUAGUUCAAAGCACGGGCUUCGGUUAAGUUGAACAAGCAAGCCAAUUUUUGUUGUUACUUCAUGAUUGUAGUAAGCUGUGGGUAGUGGAUUGUGUUCCCUAUAAAAAAACAAACAGAAGCAUAAGUUUCUCUCAAUUAAGGCACCUGAAAUGUAUUUCCAUGUCUACUAACCUGGUCAUUCCUCCAUGAACUAAACCCUUCUGAGGAUCUUGAAUAGAUUUAUAGAGAUCUCAGAUAAUUUCCUCAUGGUGUGCCUAAGUAAAGACAAGUCUUAUGUACUUGAUUACUUCUGGCCAAUCCAUCGAGGCCACCACCUGUCUCAGUCAAUUCAAUCUUUUAAUAGAGUGAAUUACUAGAAUAAAAUUUAUUAAAGUUGAUAUAAAAUCUAAAUUAAAAAAAUCAGAUAAGAGAAUGAUCCAAAAUCCAAAAAAUCAGAUAUUUAAGGAGUGGACUUGUGACCCUCUAUAGAAUCCAUGGAAGAGUAACUAAGGGAAAAACAUUAGAGGUACUUUUGGCGAUACUAUUAGUAUUCUUGUGCUGAUCAUAAUCUUGGGGGUAGAUCUAGACUAAUUAGCUAUUCAUUGAACAUUCCAUUUCUCCACAAUUACAUGCAAAAGUGCACCUUGCAGUUGCAGCCUAGACCAUAGAAAUAUAGAAUUCCAAUUAUCAACAUCUAAAGCUACUGUAGUGACUUGCAACCAUGAGAUGAUAUAUACAUAUGCUGAGAUUCAAAUAUUUGAGAAGUUUAAACAUCCUGAUGAAAAAUAGACUAGUUCACAGCUACUUUGGGGAAGUUGAUUUCUAAUAGCAGUAGAAAAUACAAGUUUUUUUAAACAUACCUACUCCAGUAAACUCAAUUAACCAAAACAAAACUCAAAGCAUGAAAAAGAGGGAUUUUAACUAACCUAAUCAUUAUCAUUGAUAUUUUAACAUAUUGAUCUUCACAUGGAGUUAACAAACACAAGACUUAGUGCCUAGUACAUAUGUCUGGGGUUGCACAGUCUGUUCGACAAAUUUAUUGAAACUAUAUCCAUGCUCCUUCUCCAAUAAAUAAAUAUCCUCUUGCUUCUUCCAUCCUACUCUAAUUCUUCCUGGAAAGCAUUCUCCCCUUCUCUAAUUCUUCCGAAAAAACAUAACCGACAAUCCUAAACUAAUUACCACCGUUAAAUCUUUCAAACAAAAUUUACAAUUUCUUAUCAGUAGUUUCCUGCCGCAUCCGAUCGAACGGCUCAUCAACGAAUCAAACAGACUUCUUUCCACCCUUUUUCCAUAUAAUUACAUUUGCCUAAUUCCUAAAGUUUCGGCUCCGCCCAAUGUCGGCCGCAAUUGGCUGCCACAGCGAUAUGUUCAUCUUCAACUUCUCUGCUGCGAUUUCAAAUUUACUUCAGCCUCGUACCACCACACUUCCACUGGCAAUUAAUUUCAUUAUCCGAUUUUACUAUGUGUGGAAUAGAUUUGAGCAAUUUAUGAGUUUUCGCUACGAUUUCGACGAUGUCCUCUCAACACUAAUUUGAUCACCUAAUUUUAACUGUUUUGGGUUAUUUAUUUUUUAUUAUAUUUAUAUACAGUCUCUGCAGGCAACCGACUACUUUACUUAUAUGUGGAACUCAUCUGAGUCAUUAGAUGAAGGCCCUCGAGAUCCUACGGUGAUUAUAUAUGAGGACAAAAUGUGUUGUACGUUGCAACUGUUGCAACGUAGGAGGAUCCUUUAUUAAAAUGUUAAUUUAAUCUUUUAACUCAAGUUGAGACCGUAAAAAAUUGUUAUAUAAUAGUGUACUGUACAACCAAUUGCAUAUGUAUUUAUCCUGUGCAGCACUUCUAUUAUUAUUAUAUAAUAAUAAUUAGUAGUAGUAUAAUUACUAUAUAAUAAUAAUUAUUAAUAGUAUAAUUAUUAUAUAAUAAUAAUUUUAAUAAAAAAUUAUUAUUAAAAUAUUAAUUUAGCCUUUUAUUUUGUUUAAUUUACUUUUCAUUAAUAUGUUAUCUUGAAUUUGUUCAUGACCCAUGGGUAAACUAUACCCAAACUAUUAUAAAAUAAUUUUUUUCAUAAAAAUUCAAAUUUAACCCAUUUCAUGAUUUAUCCAACUCAAACCAUUUAAUUUAAUAGUAGAUAAAGGCCCAAUUUAACCCAUUUCAUUUAAUUUAAUAGUGGAGAUUCGGUAGGGUUUUAUUUCCUUCUCUUUGCUGUCAAACGAAAUUAUGUUACUCGAGUCUUAAUUUGUGUCUCAGUAAUUAAUCUGAUGUGACUAUUAUAACAAGCUGCCACAUCGAUUGAUGGCCAAGUAAUUGGAUAUUUAAUAUUACUCAAUUAAUAAAUUAACAAUAUAUUUGAGUUUUUAAGCUUUUUUCGGGUCAGAUCAUUAAUAACACAGAUUUUGCUGUAAUCUCAGGUUGUGUAAUUGAGUGCAUAAGAAAAAAACAAAACAAAAAACUAUUCAAAAAAAUUAAUUUCAUAUAAUAAAAUUAUACUUUUGUUAUAAUUUAACUUAGUAGUUAUUUUAAUUUUUUCAACAUACACAUAUAUACACAUAAUAAAAUUAAUUUCAUAUAAUAAAAUUAUACUUUUGUUAUAAUUUAACUUAGUUAGGACUCUGUUUUCUAGAAACAGAGUCCUAACUAAAUUAAUUGACUGUACAGUACAUUUCAACAUAGCAUAUUUAACCGUUAACCGUCUUCUGAGUUAUCAUCAACAAAUUCAUUCAUAUUUCUCCAGUCUUACGGACGAUAUCAUAUGUUUAAUAAUGAAUGAAUAGUCUUGGAUCAGUGUUUUGCAGCAAAUUCACAUCAUAGUUUUGAUUCUUUAGAUAUGAAUUCAUCACAUUACCGAAAAGAAUACGCGCUAAAAAAUGAUUCCAAGACUAUUUGACUACCAAAAGCUGCUGUCAGAGUGCACUGAAAGUUUCCGUAGGAUACUUUGCGGUUGUUUAUUAUGUUAUGAUGGGCAUAUAAUUCUCAAAUUUUGACUCCUCUCAGCGAAAAAUAUAUCAAAGUUUAGAUUAUGUGUUCGAGCUUUAAUAAAUGCCUGAGUUAAUAAUAAUAACAACAAUAAUAAUAAACUAAAAAGCAAAAUUACUAUUGAAUGAUCGGAAAAAAAAAAAAAAUUGAAAAUGUGUGAACUCCAAUAACCACCCCACAAAUUUAGUGGCGAAUUUUGGAGAGGGCAAGGCUGGGCUUCUCAGAAAAAAAAUGACGAGUAGAAUUGUGGAAAAUUAAAGCAAAAUGACAAGUAUGGAAAGGAAGGCUGAAAGUAAGGCAUGACGAAAGUCUUUGAGAAGGCUGAAGACUACCAAAGAAGACAACUGAAAGCUAGCUGGGGCGUGAGUGUAUAAAUUGUUAGAUGUGUUUGUUAUAAAUAACAUAGAGCCCUUUUGUUAUUUAUAGUUAUAGAGAAAGAGAGAAUGUGUGUUUUUUAAUAGUUAGAGAUAUAGCUAGAAUGGGUGGUUCAAAAUCCAAAAUGGUGACAAUGUUAGUUCUUAUAUUAAUAAUAUUAGGAAGAAGGGGGGGGGGGGGGGGGGUGUGGAGUGAGGGAUGUUUGGAGCAUGAGGAAUUUGCUCAUUUCUGGCUUAAACAUUUCUUCAAUUCCCCUUAUAGACUUCAAAACUGGGUAGAUGAACAAAGGGAAAGGGUUGAGUGCAGCAACUCCACAGGCCGAGUGGUACAACUACACCUUAGUCUUACUAGGAAUAUCGAUCUGGGAGUGUGGUAUCUGAAUGCUUCUCUAUUUACUUCCUUUCAACAACUUGGUAACAAAAUAGCCGGCUGCAUGCGUUGAGAAUGAAGGUCCUUCAUUUAAUUUAAUUUACUUAAUUUCUCCCUCCUAAUUAAUGUCUAUAACCAUUGGGAGGAACAAGGGAUUUUAUUAACUCAAAUAUAUGUAAUGGAGGAGCUCAUUCUUUGGUUUUACUUGCAGGUCUAGAAGCAGGUGUCAUCUAACAGCUGCUUUGAUAAUUUCCCACCCCUUCAUCUUUGAUGGAAAGAUGAAAUAAAAACAAAAUGGUGAAAAUGGUAUUGGUACCUGAGGCUAUGUAAUCUAAUUCAACAACUGCACCAUCAAAACGAUUACAUAAGUCCCAGAAGAAUCAAACAUUAGUUUGCAAAAUAUCAAUUGCUGGAGGUUAGAUUCUAACUUCCGCUCUUGAUUUUUAUGGGCAUGUUGUAUUGUACUUGCAUACGAAAAUCAUAUUUUAGUUUACUUACACUCAACGCUUGGAUUAAAGUUUUAGGUGGGGAAAAUUGAAGGAGACUAAAAUGACUCAAAAAAAUAGUUGAAUGAGUGAGGGUUUUGUCUUCAUUUAAGGAGCUCUUUAUAAAUUUUAGGAUUUUUUUUCCCUGAGAAAAUUUAUGCCAACUUAUUCUUUGCUUCUUUUCUGAAGGGACAAAUGCAACUAAAAGUGUAUUCUUGAAUUCUCCAGGAUAAGAGACAUAUGUUUAAUUAGAUUCUCGAGCCUUCAAAACAAUAUAAAAUUUUAGAUUGAUAAAAUUUUAUAUAUCUGAGCAUGAUGGUGUUUGACAUGACUUAAAACUGUUUAAUUUACUCUCACAUACAAGAAUGCCUAGUUAUAUUGUAGCUCAGAGUCUGAGGUUAAUUCAUAAAGAAAUGAUUUAAUUUGUUUAUUUAAGAUUAUCCCAAAAAAUAAAAAUAAAAUUUAAAUAUAUGUAAUUUAAUUUGAAAAAAGUUAUGAAAUUAAUUAUUUAGGGUCAUGGAUCCACUCUUAGUAAUAAAUACAAUUUAAUAAAUUCUUUUUAUUUUUAUUUUAUUGCCCAAAAGAUUAAUUAUAUAAAUUAUAAUUAUUUUCCCAUUAAUUUUAUUAUGGAUUAAGUACUUAAUGUGCCAAAACUUAACUUAUCUACAAUAAGUCAAAAUACCAUUUUACCAUAAUUUAUGCAAAGAUAUUAAGAAUUCAUGUGCCAAACUCCCAUGUUUGUCUACAAUAAAUCAAAAUUUCAAAACAUAAAAUAUGGAUCAAAUUAAAUAAAAAAUAAUUUAAUUUAUAUAAUUAAAAAUAGAAUUUGAUUAAAUCAUAUUUUUCUACUCAGAGUUUUACCUCACCCUAACUAUUAGUAUUUAGCUAAACAUAUUUGAAAUAAAUGAAAUUAUUAAAAUUAAAAAAUACAUAAUUAAAAAAAUGGUAUUUGAAAAUUAGAAAUAAAACUAAUUUUAUUUAUUGAAAAUGUAUUACAAAGAGAGAUGAGAAGAAGAAUUUGAGGGGAAAGAAGAGAAGAAAAUGUGUGGAGAGGUGUGUGAAAUUAUAUUGUAAAGAUGUUACACAAACAAAUGAAUAAAAAAAAACUAAAUGAAAAUUACACAAAUUAAAAAGAAAAUGAAAAUUAAAUAAACAAGAUAAAUGUGCAAGAAAAAAAUGCACAAUAAAAAUAAAUAAACUGAAAAGUAAUUAACUAAAAUUAAAAUAACUAAAUAGGCGGUAAACAAAGUAAAUGCCAAAAAUAAAAUAAGUGCGAAAAUUAAAUUACAGAAAUUAAAAGAAGAAAGAAAGAAAAAAUAAUUAUCUCAAAGUGUAAACUCUUUUUCUUUUUCUUUUCAAAUUUUAAAUAUUACCAGCCAAUUAAGUGAUUAAUUCAAAUUAUUAGGCUUUAAUAGUAAUUUUUAAAAUCAAUAUUCAGUUUAUUGAGUCCAAAUAAGGUCCAAAGAAGUUCAAGUUGUUGGUCUAAAAUUAAGAAUUUUGGGAAAUAUUGGCAACGGACCUAUUCAAAAAGUUCUAUAAUUUUAUGGUCAAACUGCAAUUAUGAGAAGAAUGAUCCAAAAAUUAGAAUUUUUGGGGUGAGUGAGAUUUAGAAAAUUUUGUGGAUAUAACAUAAUUUAAGAAAGAAAAAGGAGGUAAAUGAAAAUUUAUACAAAAAGUAAAAAAAGAAAGAAAAAAGAAAACAAAAUAAAUACCUCUCCCGGCAACGGCGGUAAAAACUUAACACGACUUUAAAGUAUUUAAUUUACUCUUAAGUAUAAGAGUAGCUAGUUAUAUUAUAUCGCGAGAAGUCCGAGAUCGAUCUACAGAAAAAUGAUUUAAUUUAUUUAUUUAAGUUUAUCUAAAAAAUAAAAUUAAAAUUAAAUACAUGCAAUUUAAUUUGAGAAAAACUAUGAAAUUGAAGUAGUUAGGAUUAUGGAUCUACUCCUAGUAAUAAAUGUAAUUUAAUAAAUUUUUUAAUUUUAUUUUAUUGACCAAAAGAUUAAUUGUAUAAAUUACAAUUAUUUUCCCAUUAAUUUUAUUAUGGAUUAAGUACUUAAUGUGCAAAAGCUUAACUUGUCUACAAUAAGUCAAAAUACUAUUUUACCAUACUUUAUACUAAGAUAUUAACAAUUCAUUGUGCCAAACUCCCAUGUUUGUCUACAAUAAAUUAAAAUUUCAAAAUAUAAAAUAUAGAUAAAAUUAAAUAAAAAAUAAUUUAAUUUAUAUAAUUAAAAAUAGAAUUUGAUUAAAUCAUAUUUUUCUACUCAGAGUUUUACCUCACCCUAACUAUUAGUAUUUAGCUAAACAUAUUUGAAGUAAAUGAAAUUAUUAAAAUUGAAAAAUACAUAAUUAAAAAAAUGGUAUUUGAAAAUUAGAAAUAAAACUAAUUUUAUUUAUUGAAAAUAUACUACAAAAAGAGAUGAGAAGAAAAAGUUGAGGGGAAUGAAGAGAAAAUAAGGUGUGGAGAGGUGUGUUCCUCCCCCCACCUCUCUAUUUAUACUAAUACGUGAUUAAUCCACACAACACAAAUAAAUAAAACUAAUUACAUCUUAGGCAUACAUUUGUCCUACUAACAAAACAUAAACCUAAGUUAAUCCACUUAAGCACAUCCAACACAUUUCACUAAAAAUUACCACACCUAACAUGAUAAAAACUUAUAAUUUCACAAUUACCACUUUUACUUUUACAACAAAAGCCGCGAAUCUUCUCGACAAUGACCUAAUUUCUCGGACUUUCGGAAUCUAAAAGUUUAAAUAAUAUUAAAUUUAUCUAAUAUAAAUAAAUGUAUUAAAUAAAAUAAUGUUUCAUUUUAUAUUUACCCUCCUUUUAUUAAAUUUCCUAUAAUUAUAUUUAAUAAAAUAAAUAAUAUUAUAUAUUUAAAUAAUAUUAGUUAUAUUUAACUAAAUUAAAGCAAAAUGACAAGUAUGGAAAGGAAGGCUGAAAGUAAGGCAUGACAUAAGGCUUUGAGAAGGCUGAAGACUACCAAAGAAGACAACUGAAAGCUAGCUGGGGCGUGAGUGUAUAAAUUGUUAGAUGUGUUUGUUAUAAAUAACAUAGAGCCCUUUUGUUAUUUAUAAUCAUAGAGAAAGAGAGAAUGUGUGUUUUUUAAUAGUUAGAGAUAUAGCUAGAAUGGGUGGCUCAAAAUCCAAAAUGGUGACAAUGUUAGUUCUCGUAUUGAUAAUAUUGGGGGGGGGGGGGGGGGGGGGAGGUCGAGUGAGGGAUGUUUGGAGCAUGAGAAAUUUGAUCUUUUGCGGCUUAAACAUUUCUUCAAUUCCCCUUAUACACUUCAAAACUGGGUAGGUGAACAAAGGGAAAGGGUUGAGUGCAGCAACUCCACAUGCCAAGUGGUACAACUACACCUUGGCCUUACUAGGAAUAUCGAUCUGGGAGAGUGGUAUCUGAAUGCUUCUCUAUUUACUUCCUUUCAACAACUUGGUAACAAAAUAGCCGGCUGCAUGCGUUGAGAAUGAAGGUCCUUCAUUUAAUUUAAUUUACUUAAUUCCUCCCUCCCAAUUAAUGUCUAAUGGAGCUCAUUCUUUGGUUUUACUUGCAGGUCUAGAAGCAGGUGUCAUCUAACAGCUGCUUUGAUAAUUUCCCACCGCUUCAUCUUUGAUGAAAAGAUGAAAUAAAAACAAAAUGGUGAAAAUGGUAUUGGUACCUGAGGCUAUGUAAUCUAAUUCAAAAACUGCACCAUCAAAACGAUUACAUAAGUCCCAGAAGAAUCAAACAUUAGUUUGCAAAAUAUCAAUUGCUGGAGGUUUGAUUCUAACUUCUGCUCUUCAUUUUUAUGGGCAUAUUGUGUUGUACUUGUUGGAGAAUUAACAAAUAAAACACACACAAAAACACACUAUUUUAUUUCUUCAACAACACUUCUCACUAAUUACAAUUCUUAUUUUUCACUCUCUACACCUGAGAGAUUUUGCUACUUCACUUGAUAUUUAAACCAAAGGGGAGAGGGGGUAUUUAUACAUGAAACAAACUAAUCACAACCAUUCAUUUAUUCAAUUAAUACACAAAUCCUCACCAUCCAUUAAAACCUACCACACCUAACACACCUAACACAAAUAAUUCAAACCUCACCAACCAUACCUACUCAUGGAACCUUCCAUGAGUUGGGCUUGAUUUAUUCAUCUUGGAUCAAGUUUAUGAUCCAACACCUCCCCUUAAACUUGAUCCUGUGACACCAAGCAAACUUCUGAAUCUUACAAAGUCUUCUUGCUUGAGUGGCUUAGUGAAGAUAUCAGCUGCUUGAUCUUGUGAUUUUACAUACUUGAUUUGCACUUCUUUUCUUGCAAUACACUCUCUUAUGAAAUGAUAAUGAGUGUCUAUGUGUUUACUUCGAUCAUGAAAGACUGGAUUCUUGGAUAGGGCAAUUGCUGAUUUGUUAUCAACACAAAUCUCGGUUGGCUCUUCUUGUGCCAAACUCAACUCCUUCAGUAAAUUUCUGAGCCAAAUUGCAUGACAAACACUUGAUGUGCCAGCUACAUAUUCAGCUUCACAGGUGGAUAGCGUGACAAUUGGUUGCUUCUUUGACAUCCAUGUGAAAGCAGUAUCUCCCAUGAAGAACACAAAUCUCGUGGUGCUCUUUCGAUCAUCUACAUCUCCACCCCAAUCGCUAUCGCUAUAUCCAACAAGCUUGUAGUCAUUAGAAAAUGAGUAUAGCAAGCCGAAAUUAGUUGUACCUUUGAUGUAGCGAAGGAUUCUUUUUGCAGCUUUAAAAUGGGUAGUCUUUGGAUUCUCCAUAUAUCGGCUCACAAAUCCAACAGCAUAAAGGAUAUCUGGUCUUAUGCAUGUCAAAUAACGUAGGCUUCCAACCAAACUUUUAAAGAAUGUUGGAUAUAUAUCUUCGCCUUCAUCAUGUUUGGAUAACUUGACUCCGCAUUCCACUGGCGUGCUUAUAGGCUUACAAUCAUUCAUCUUGAACUUCUUGAGAAUCUCCUUUGCAUAGCUUUCUUGGGAGAUAAAUAUGCCUUCUUCCUUUUGCUUGACCUCAAUGCCGAGGUAAUAUGCCAUCAGUCCGAUGUCAGUCAUCUCGAACUCUUUGAUCAUCACUCUCUUGAACUCUUCAAACAAGCUUGGAUUACUUCCAGUGAAGAUGAGAUCAUCCACAUACAGGCACACAAUCAAAAUAUCUCCAUCUUUUUCUUUGACGUAGAGAGCAUGUUCAUAUGGGCAUUUGGUGAAGCAUUUCUCUUGAAAAUACUUGUCAAUUCUGCUAUUCCAUGCCCUUGGUGCUUGCUUUAACCCGUAAAGAGCUUUCUUCAAUCUCAAAACUUUGUCCUCAUGUCCUUUCACCACAUAGCCUAAUGGUUGUUCGAUGUAAACUUCUUCUUCAAGGAAUCCAUUCAAGAAAGCAGACUUCACAUCCAUUUGAAAAAUCUUCCAUUUGUUCUGAGCAGCCAAAGAAAUAAUAAGUCUAAUAGUUUCAAGUCGAGCUACAGGAGCAAAUAUCUCGUCAUAGUCUAUGCCAGCCUUUUGACUAUAGCCUUUUGCAACUAGCCUCGCCUUGUGCCUUUCAAUUUCUCCCUUCGCAUUUUUUUUUGUUUUAUACACCCAUUUGACACCGAUCGCCUAGUGACCUUUUGGAAGAGUAGUAAGCUCCCAAGUAUCAUUCUUCACAAUGGCUUUGAUUUCUUCAUCCAUUGCAAUUCUCCACUUCUCAUCUAGUGCAGCUUCUUGGAAGUUGACUGGCUCACAAUCAGCAAAGAGGCAAAAGAGAGUGAGAUUAUCAUGUCUCUCAGUUACCUCAUAGAGAUCUUGAAGACUCCUUGUACGUUCUUCGGUUCUUUCAUUUAAGAAAGACGGCGGUGAAUCUCCGCAUGUGGUUGAUAAUGGUGAGAUAGGUGGAGUAGCAGGCUCUUGUUGUUCGUCUACUUGUUUUAACUGUGUAUGAUCAUCUUCUUCAAUGGGAAAGAAGUUGAAGUCAUCCACACCAGAGCCAAAAUCCCAUUCUCCUUCUUCAUCAAAAACUACAUCUCGACUGAUCACGAUCUUCCCGUUGUUUGGAUUGUAAAGCUUGUAUCCUUUGGAGUUGUUGUCGUAGCCGAUGAAGAUGAACUUCUCACUUUUGUCAUCCAGCUUGGCUUUACUUUCGUCUGGUAUAUGUACAUGGGCAAUGCUUCCGAAAACUCUUAGAUGGGUGAUGCCGGGUUUUCUUCCACUCCAAGCUUCUUAUGGCGUCUUGCCCCACACGCUUCUUGUUGGAGAUCGAUUGGAUAAGUAGACUGCACAUGCAACUACUUCAGCCCAAAAUUCUUUAGGUAGCCUCUUACUCUUAAGCAUGCUUCUAAAAUUCUUUAGGUAGCCCAAAAUUCUUUACCAGAUAUCCUUUAUGCUGUUGGAUUUGUGAGCCGAUAUAUGGAGAAUCCAAAGACUACCCAUUUUAAAGCUGUAAAAAGAAUCCUUCGCUACAUCAAAGGUACAACUAAUUUCGGCUUGCUAUACUCAUUUUCUAAUGACUACAAGCUUGUUGGAUAUAGCGAUAGCGAUUGGGGUGGAGAUGUAGAUGAUCGAAAGAGCACCACGGGAUUUGUGUUCUUCAUGGGAGAUAUUGCUUUCACAUGGAUGUCAAAGAAGCAACCAAUUGUCAUGCUAUCCACCUGUGAAGCUGAAUAUGUAGCUGGCACAUCAAGUGUUUGUCAUGCAAUUUGGCUCAGAAAUUUACUGAAGGAGUUGAGUUUGGCACAAGAAGAGCCAACCGAGAUUUGUGUUGAUAACAAAUCAGCAAUUGCCCUAUCCAAGAAUCCAGUCUUUCAUGAUCGAAGUAAACACAUAGACACUCGCUAUCAUUUCAUAAGAGAGUGUAUUGCAAGAAAAGAAGUGCAAAUCAAGUAUGUAAAAUCACAAGAUCAAGCAGCUGAUAUCUUCAGUAAGCCACUCAAGCAAGAAGACUUUGUAAGAUUCAGAAGUUUGCUUGGUGUCACAGGAUCAAGUUUAAGGGGAGGUGUUGGAUCAUAAACUUGAUCCAAGAUGAAUAAAUCAAGCCCAACUCAUAGAAGGUUCCAUGAGUAGGUAUGGUUGGUGAGGUUUGAAUUAUUUGUGUUAGGUGUGUUAGGUGUGGUUGGUGAAGUAGGUGAGUGGUAGGUUUUAAUAUAAUCUUUUAAGUGAAUAUCAUAGCCUUUUUCUAAAAGUUGACCUAAACUAAGAAUGUUGCUUUUCAUAUUGGGCACAUAGUAAACAUUCGAAAUUAUUUGGUGGCUACCAUCUUUUGCACGAAAAAGAAUGUUACCUCUACCCUUCACUAGUACUUUUGAAUCAUCUCCAAAAGCGACAUUGUCAUUCACAAAUUCACUUAGUUGCACGAACAUGCUUCUGUUUCCACUCAUAUGAUUGCUAGCACCUGUGUCAAGAUACCAUGUAUUUUCUUGACCUGCACUUGUGUCAUUGCGUGCUAGUAAAAGUGUGCCAUCUUCACCAUUUUUCUCUUCAGCAUAGUUCACUCUCUCCUCAAUUCUGGUGCUUGGAGCUCUGCAUUCUGAAGCAUAAUGCCCAAACUUUUGACAAUUAUAGCAUUGUACUUUGGAUUUGUCAUACCUCGAUCUUGGAUUGCCUCUGCCUCGUCCUCUGGUUGAGCUUUCUCCUUUGUCAUAAUUGGAGUUGUUGUUGUUGAAAUUCCAACCUCGUCCAUGACCACGACCUCUACCUCGUCCUCGACCUCUACCUCGGACAUAGUGCAUUCUCUCGUUGUCGGAGCUUUCUUCUCUUUUCUUUGGAUUGACUUCCAUCUUGAGAAGUUAUUCUUUGAUUCCUUGCUUCUUCUUUUUUUUCUUCAUAGGCUUGCAACCUUCCUUGAAGUUGCUCGAUCGUCAUAUCCUCCAAAUCUCUUGUUUCUUCAAUUGCACAACAAUAUGUUCAAACUUCGACUCUACUGAUCGAAGUAUCUUUUCAAUGAUCCUUACCUCUUUUAACUCCUCGCCAUUUCUUUUUAAUUCAUUGGAAAUGGUUACAACCCGAGUAAAGUAGUCAGAAAUUGACGCCGACGCCUUCAUGUGUAAAGACUCAAAUUCUCCUCGUAAUGUUUGGAGACGAACCUUCUUAACUUGCUCCGCUCCUUUGUAAGAGGUCUCUAGUUUCUCCCAUGCUUCUUUUGAGGAGGUUGUACCAGCAAUCUUUUCAAAAGCAUCUUCAUCUAAUGAUUGAAAGAUGAGAUACUUUGCUUUAUUCUCUUUCUUUUUCAAGUCUUUUAAAUUCUCCUUCUGCGCCGCAGUUAAAGUGGCUUCAUUUUCUGGCACAAUAAAGCCUUUUUCCACGACAUCCCAUACGUCAUGUGCGCCCAAUAGAGCCUUCAUUUUAAUACUCCAAUUGUCAAACUUACUUCCCUUUAAUUGUGGAACUUGAAAUGACAUCAUACCACCGUUUGCCAUAACUCAAAAAUUGAGUGAGAAUUUGGAGAUUCUGAAAGCACAGAUGGAUCCGGCACGUCGAAAAACCUUGGGAAGGACUCGAGUCAACUUUCGGUCAACGGUCAACGCUGGUCAACGGUCAACGUCGGUCAACGGUCAACGUCGGUCAACGGUCAACACCGGCUUGGUAGUCUUGGUUCGGUCCGGAUUGGUUCAGCUCGAGUUGGCUCGGUUCGACUUGAUGCGGUUCAAAUCGGCUCGGCUUGGUUCAGUUCGGCUCAGUUUGGUUCAACUCGGUGAGUCGACUCAGCUUUAGGUUAGAAAACUUUCGGCGGCAAGUGUGGGAGCGUCCGGUCUCAGAUCAGGAUGAUUUGUGCGGCGUCACGUUCCUCUCGUCGAGAUCUUCGAUUUGAUAUGCUAUAUGACCAUAUAUAACAUCACGUACUAGCUCUGAUACCACUUUGUUGGAGAAUUAACAAAUAAAACACACACAAAAACACACUAUUUUAUUUCUUCAACAACACUUCUCACCAAUUACAACUCUUAUUUUUCACUCUCUACACCUGAGAGAUUUUGCUACUUCACUUGAUAUUUAAACCAAAGGGGAGAGGGGGUAUUUAUACAUGAAACAAACUAAUCACAACCAUUCAUUUAUUCAAUUAAUACACAAAUCCUCACCAUCCAUUAAAACCUACCACUCACCUACUUCACCAACCACACCUAACACACCUAACACAAAUAAUUCAAACCUCACCAACCAUACCUACUCAUGGAACAUUCCAUGAGUUGGGCUUGAUUUAUUCAUCUUGGAUCAAGUUUAUGAUCCAACAGUACUUGCAUCCGAAAAUCAUAUUUUAGUUUACUUACACUCAACGCUUGGAUUUAAGUUUUAGGGGGGGGAUUGAAGAAGACUAAAAUGACACAAAAGAGUUGAGCGAGUGCAGGUUUUGUCUUCAUUUAAGGAGCUCUUUGUAAAUUUUAGGAUUUGUUUCCUGAGAAAAUUUAUGCCAACUCAUUCUUUGCUUCUUUUCUGAACGGACAGAUGCAACCGAAAGUAUAUUCUUGAAUUCUUUAGGAUGAGAGACAUACGUUUAGAUUCAUCGAGCCUUUAAAACAAUAUCAAAUUUUAGAUUGCUGAAAUUUUAUAUAUCUGAGUAUGAUGGUGUUCCAAUUAUAAGCUCCAGGGUGCAACUUCACUAAGUUUUAGAAUACCUUCCUAUAGAAUUGAGAAAUCUCCAUUGGCAUAAAUAUCCUUUGAAAAUAUUGCCAUCAGAUUUUGAAUUGGAGAACCUGAUUGAACUCAGCUUGCCUUGUAGUAAGGUUAAGCAAUUUUGGAAAAGAGAAAAUGUAUAAUGUAUUACUAUUACCAAAGUAUCUAUUUUUCUUUCUUUAAGUAUUUAUAAUGAAGGCUGAUUCAUAGGAAGGCUGUAAAACGGUAAUCAACGAAGGUAAAGGGGUUAGACACUUUUACACUAGAACUUAAGAAAUAAGAGCAUUUACGAAAAAAGGAGAGAAACACUCAUAGGUGUUCCACUGCCUAAGAGAUCAUGAGAGAGCCACGAGAUCAGUGGCCAAGUUUCCCAAAAAGUAAACCUAAAUUUCUGACUUGAGCGUAGGAGGAUUUUUCCGGCGUGCUCUGACCAGUUUUUGUGUGCGCAGGAGUCUGCUAAGUCAUACGAGUCAUAGCUCUGCUCGGUUAGAAGAGUUACGUGAAGUAUCCUACGUUGGUCGUGAGUUCGGGCGUUGAGGAGAGAUCCUGGUUGCAGACAAGCAGACACCAGAAUCUCGCAUCAACAGUGAAGAUGAUUCAAUAUUAAGCAUGUCAUAUAAUCUGGAAGUGGAUAUUGGACCAAUUUGAUGAUGAAUUUCUUUCAAUCUCAAUCUUUUUCUUUUUAGCAACAUGACUAGUCAUUGUGCAAAUUUAAACUCUGACAAUGAUUUCUCAAUCGGUUUCUAAAAUGAUGACCAUGCAUGUAUAUGUGUGUGUGUGUAGAGAGAGAGAGAGAGAUCACACGUGCGUGAUUUCCUUUUGCCAAUAGGAUAUGCAGAGAGCUUGAUCUUACCCAAUAGCAAAACAAACUUCCUAACAAGUGAAGGUAUAGUAUAAAUACUUAUACUUUCAUGUUAUUUUGUUCAUCAGUAGCUUGAUUAUUUUAUAUGCGUCUUUGUUUUUAAUUUUCUUUCCUUAUAAUCGCUAUUAUCUUUGAACUGGUCAUGAUUUGCCUAUAAGAUUUCUCAUGUUGUUUUGAGGUGCAAUGGAUUUUGAAUUUAGUGACGAGCAGUGGAAGCCAGAAGGCAAAUUAUGAAAAUGGAUAAAGAUCUAUAAUUAGUUGUUAUGGGAUGUCACAUAUCAUAUUGAUGGUAACAUUAUAUAUGUGUACAUAUAAUUAAUGGGGUUGGCUCACGAGCCCAUUAAUAAUCGUAUAUUAGCUUAUAUACUUCAAACAAUGUACUAUGAAGCAAUUUCACAAAUACUUGUUAGCUUAUGUUGAGCUUUAUUGAAUCAGUAGUUCACAGUUCAAUAAAAUGCAGGUUUGCUAUUUGAAGUACAUGGUUAUGGUGCGUACAUUCUUCAUAAGGCUAACUACUAAUUUAUCAUUGAAACUUGAAAAAUGUGACAGAGAGAUGUAGAUAACAGCCGCAAAACACUGAGAUUGAAAAUCAGGGCUGCUAAAUUCUACUAAAAGCCCUUAAAAUAGACAGCGAUCACCCUGAAAUGUAUAUACUGAAACUAAGAAAUAUUAAUCGCAAAGUUAUGCAUUAAUAGAACUAUUGACUACUUAUCUUUAGCAUAAGGUAUAUUUUUAACUACAGCUUUCUACUUUGUUCUAAGAACUAGGCAAAAAUGGUGUAUCUUCAAUCCAAUCAACAUGUAUACCACUUAUCUUCCUCUUCACUUCUGUCUAUUUUGAUUUGCACUUCAUAUCCUGCACUUGCUGCUUAGAAAUAGUCUUAUUCUGGACAUUGAAAGUAGAAAAAGUGCUUGAAACAAUCAUUGGCAUAGCCCGAGAUUCCAUUGAAUCGUGGACUCCAAGCUUUCAUAGUUCUAUAAAGAAAAUGACAAAACUUCAUACAACUGGCAUUCUGCUUUUAACAUUUGCACAACCUGAGCGAGUUAGCAAGCCCCUUGUUGCGUUCCCAUUGAAUAGACCUACUUUUGUUAUCCACAGAAGAUCCACCACUCAAAAUGUUUAUCACCAGGCUAUUCUUAAACUGAGCCUAAACUGAGUAGAAACUUCUGCACAUCUCUCAGCAUUUACAUGAAGAAAUCGACAACUAUCGUCAUCUCUCAGCACAUCUCUCAGCAUUCUACAAAGUUGCAUUUCACUAAGCAAUCUAUCCUCUCCAUUCCUAACAAAGUGACAUUGAUUCCCUUAUUUGUAAUCGCCUAACUUGGGUUUUGGGAAUAGCGUGGUCUUAAAAUUACCACCCAAUACUUUGUUCAGUGCCACUGGCAUCCACAACCUCUAGCCCUGUUAGCUGAAUCAUAUUCAAUGGGACAGUGAGGCAGCAUUUCACUAACAUAUUCAAUUUGACUACUUAUAUUGACGCAAAUAUUAGAAUUUGAAAUCACUUCUUUUCUUGGAAUAUUAUAUUAAAAUGACCCCAAAUGAAAGUUCUUGAAUGGAAAUGAUUUUUAUUUAAUUUUCCAACAGAUUCAAGAAAAUCCAGAGAACACAAAAUUUACACAGUAAUAUGAUUAAGAGCUGAGAACGUACAUGUAGUAAAUGUCUAUCAAAAAACACCCAAGGGUUUCUUUAAAAUUAGAAACUAGUAAAUAAAAAGAAAGAAUCAUUUUACAUUUUUAGCAACUUUGGGGUGAGUGAGUGAGUGAGAAAUUGAAACCCUAAAGUGAUGACAACAGUAAGAUUCAGUAUGAAGUGAAACCCCAAUUUGAAAUGUAGGCAUGAGUUGCUGAGUCAGUAGAUGAAGCUAUAAAUAGGCAUUCGGUUUCCUUCUUUUCGGUUUGGAGGGCCAUGGAAUAGUGUAUUGGAGUGGGCUCCAAGUAAUAGCCUCUAUCACUAGAACGACAAAUCUAUAAAAUGUGAUACAUGGGGAAGGAUUGGGCAUUAUAUUCUUAGAUUAGCGCCUUAUUUAGGGUGUAUAUUAAGCAGAUUAUAUAUUACAUGGAGAUGGAGUUUAUGAAAUAGAUUAAAAAGAAAAGGAAAUUUUGGUGCCUAAAGUUUGCCACUUGGAAUAUUUCGGUGUCUAAAAAUUCACUCACCACUUAUUUCAUGUUUGAUUAUAUGUUGAAAAGAUAUUAAAAUAGUAUAAUGCUAUUAAGGCUUAACGUAGAUUUUUUAUUAGUAGAGUGUAGAAUUUUUAAGAAAUAAAUUAUUAAAUUAUUAUAACUAACAUAUUAUUUUAAAGUUGUGUUAUGAAAAAAAUGAAAUAAAAAUGUACAGUAAAUAAGAAUAUUUUAAAACUUUUAUCUUUUUAAAAUUAGUUUUUAACAUAAGGUGAACUAUUUUUUCUUUAAAAUCACAUAUUCUAGUUAAAAUCAAAUAUGUAUUUAUAUGAAGCUUGUAAAUUUUUUUUUUUAGUACUGAUAUUUGAAUAUUAUCAAUAAAAAAAAGGGUAAUGUUCAUGCUGCAUUAUUUUUGUAGCACACAAAAGGACAACAAAGUUUAUGUUAUAAUACUAUCGCUUCUGUUAUGAUAAUAAUUUUUUGUGGCCAAAUAUCUUUUUUUUUUAAGUAAAAAAAAGUGGACAAAAUACAAAUCAGUUUUUAAUCCUCAAUCUCUCCCAAAAUAUAAAUUCGUAGGUCCAUGGGUUGUUAAAACUAUAGCUGACAAAAAGUUACUAACAAAAACAGAAUGUCCAUUUUAUAACUUUCUUAAAAAACUUUCCUUAACUUUUUUAAAAAGUUACCAACAAAAAGUUAUUUCUAAUUUUUAUUUUGUUAUAAUUUUUAUAACAAAAUUCGUAGUUAACUAAACUCUUCUUAUUCCCUUUCUCAACUACCCUAACCCUGUUCCCCAUGUCCCCACUAAACCACGCUCAAUUAAGGCCAUCAGAUUCUCCCGGGCCCACAUUAAUCCAACUGCUCACAGAGACCGACAGCCUCUCUAUCUCCAUUUCAAGCUCCCUCUUCAACUGGCUUCUGCUACCGUCCUACUCUUUCUCGGCUUCGGAGUCCGUAUUUGCUCGGCCUGUCCCACGAAACUCCCUCUCACUCCAAUUGUCGCCCCACAAGACCAAUUGCUUAAUCAAGACACCGAACAAGAAGAGGAUGAGAAGUUGAAACAAGAAUUUGAGAAUUGGAAAUAAAAAACGUACGCAUUGACCGUGCCUUUGAGAGUCGUUUCUCUUCAGAACUCAGUGCCUCAAUCUUGGGUUAAGGAUUUUAUGCGAAGUCAGGGAAAGAGAUUGAAGUUUCAGAUGAAUUUGUGUGCUAGCAUUGAUGGGAUCUUUAACAAUUUAUCUGUGCCCUUUAACAAAGUUAAGGCUAAGUCAGCUUCUUAUAUGGCUGCUGAUUUGGUUAGUGUUGGUGAUUCAUGGCUUAGUUUUGCCAUUAAAAAGAGAUUGAUUGAGCCAAUAGCUGGAGCUGAAGACCAAGAUUGGUUCAAAUGCUUAAGUCACAAAUGGAAGGUAACAUCUUUGUCUUUGAUCCUCGAGGUAAAAUAUGGGCGGCACCAUACAGGUGGGGCACAACGGUGAUAGCCUACAAGAAAAGUAAAUUUCGAAAGCAUAAUUUGGCUCCGAUUGAGGUAAUAAUUUUCUUUAAACUCAUUUAGUUUUAUAUCAAACAAAAUCAAGACUGCCUUUCUCUUCAAUAUUUUUUAUGAUAAUAUCUUUAGAAGCAUCUCAUUGACGGGUAACAAUGGCAUCCCUGAAAGAGUCUAUAAACUCAAUGAUAUUAUCUUCUACAAAUGGUUCAUUAAACUUUGUCGUUGUGCUCAAAUGUACACUCAGAGCAAUGAGAAGUUAUGCCACUUUAGCAUGUAGUGAUGGCACUUAAUAAGUGAGUUGCUAGGAUGUGAACUAGAAAAAUUAAAUAUUGUCUCCUUGGGUAUGCUAGCUCGUAAGUCAGGGUUAAUAUCAGAGCUUAAGAUAGUAUAACCGUGAGAACCUAUUGACUGCCAAUUAAAAUAUCCAUUAAAAUGUCUAGGGAGUUAUGAAGGUGGAGGUAACUUCCAAUUUCUAAGGCCACAGAGUAGACAUCAUCCAGGAUCCUAGGAAAGUCCAGUUAACCUCCUGCUCGAUGCAAUUAAUAAAUUUGGUCAAUGCCACUGAAACUUGCUAACUGACGUCACAAUGCGACAUGAGCACUUCAAAAUGGGACAGACGGUCAGUGGCACUAAAUUUUUCUUGCCUAAGAUUGAGCAAUUGGUCUAACUACUAAUCCCCCAGAUUUAAGAAUCUUUUGAUGAUAAUUUAUCACCUGCAGCUGUGCCGGAAGAUUCAAGUAGCACUGAAAAAUAUGAUAAUUUAAUUGAUAUGGACAGUUUCCAUAUCACUUUUAAAUCAUCUUAUGUAAUUGUAAUGUUAGGAAGCAUUAGUGAUCUAAAAGUGAACUAUUAUUGGUGUCAUUGGUGGUUUUAUCUUGUUAAAAUAUGGAUGACUUCCUGUUACUAUUUUAUUGUAGACAAUCUUAUUCAAUUAACAUAAGGUUUAAAACCAUUAUGUUUUAUGUAAAUCAAUCUAUUAAUUUUCAUGAUAUUUAACUGAGUUAAAACCAAGUGCACUCAAUAAAUGUCUUUUCCUUUAAAAAAACUACUACGCUUUGAUUUUAGUGCUUAAUAUUUCGUAACUACAGAUUAUCUAAUUGCGAGUUGCUGUCCAUAGCUGCUAAUUUGUAGUGAUUAUCUAAUUGACUGAGGUGACAAUAAUUCUUUUAUUUUCAAUAGCACAAUGUGGAAUUCAAUAAUUAAAUUCUCCUAUUUAAUUUGUUUCAAGUUAAAUUAUUAAUUACUUAAACUCUGUUUUAAGUCUUUAAUUUUAUGUGUUUAUGCAGAAUUGGAUUCUUGAGCGUGUUGGACACGACCAACAAUGAAAUUGAUAGUAAACAAACAUUACAACGUGUGGACUCCGGUAAGCACCAAUGAAUGUCUAGCCCCGUUGACUCCGCCAACUAAAGUUUUGUAAAAUUAAAAAAAAAAAUACAUAGAAUUCCACCAAAUGCAAAACGCGUGAAAUUUAAUUUUCGACCGUGUGGACCAAAACAUAAUUUAACAAAAAAGGAAAAAAUGAUAAGAUUUUUAAAAUGUGUGGAAGGUGAUCCAUAUUUUACUGAAACGACUUGUUAAAUUUUUCAAGGAUUUAGAAUAUUUGGUCAUAAAUUACGUGCAUGUUAAUUUUUCCGCCAUUGACUAUCAUAUUCUAGACUUAAUGGUACCUUUCUUGAUGAAGGGUACUUAGUCUCUCUUCUCCUCUUAUAAAAAUUAUAUUAAUUGAUUUCUUGUUAUAGUUAAUAGUCUUUAAGAACGGAUAGAUUUAUUGUUUUCAUGACCAAAUUAUGCAUGCCUAAGGUUGUAACUACUAAUAAAAUUAAUAUUUAAUGUUUAUGUUAAAAGAUAUAAGUUUUUAUGCAUUCAUUAAUUGUUAUUAGCUAAAGGAUGAAAUAUUUUUUCCCAAUCAGUUGAUGCAUCUGCAAGAGUUUUUUUUUUUCUUUUAUUGACCAUAAUUAUAUUCCGGGUACAAUAAAUUGUCUUUGGUGCUUGGAAAAUAUGACACCUCUCUGUCAACUUACUGGAAAUAUCUCCUCAUCUACUCUCAUUUAUCUAAUAUGAAUUGAAGAUCUCAUAUUUCCAAACUAUGACUUCCAAAUCUCAUUAUCAUUUGAGCAUUCAAAACUAAUCAAGUGUGGAAAUAAUCAAAUAUAUGCAAAAAUCGAGUCACAAUCUUUGGCCCCUCAAAAUUCUAAUUAUAUAACUUCUAUAUAUCUCAUACAUUUUCCAAAUUCCUCUUCCAUGAACAUCACUAGGAGUAUGUUCAUCUCUCACACAUUAACUUGAGUGAAGAGUUUCCAAAUUGAUUAUUAGAAAACAAUACAAAAGCUAGACACGUUUGAUCUGUCUAAUAAUUCUCUUUCGGUAAAAUUAAUUAAUUUUAGGGGAAUUCAGCCAACCUCUGUAAUUUCAGAGUGAUCAUUAAUUAAUUAAACAAUACAAAUAUCUAAAGUGAUUAGAUGUUUGCCGACAAUACAAGUUCAUGGCUUGAAAUUUGAUCUCUAUCAAUUGGUUUACAAAUGGACUCACUUGUGCCUUUGUGGUGAUAAUUGAACCAGAGAUGUGAAGCUGUAAGGAUUUGGCUGUAGUCAAUUGUUAUAAAGACAUAAAGACAACUUCCCAUGAUUAUUAUUUUUUUCCAAGAACUAUUUUACAACAAAUUCAUCUCGCCAAAAAUUCUAUUUUGCUAACUAACAAUAAUUGAGCACUUGACCGCAUUGACUCCACGUCUCCAGCUACUUUCUAAGUAAAAACAUGGAAAUGUAAUCUCCACAAAAUGCCAAACGUGUGGAAUUUAAUUUUUGGCCUUGUGGACCAAAAUGCAAAUGAAAGAAAAAGAGGGAAAAAAACAAGGCUCAAAGACUUCUAAAAGAUGUAAAAGUCUUUGGGCUUUUUUAUAAUGGUGGAUUUUUUAAAAGGAAAAAAUAACAACACUUCUAUGGUUUGUUUUAAUAAUCACAUUUACAUAUAUUCUCUAAUUUUCAAAAUGGACACAUAAAUCUUUUUUUUUCUACAAAUGUAUAUUAUUCGUAUUUUUUAUUAUUUUUAAUAUCAUAUUGUUAUUUAUUAUAAAUGUUUAAAGUAAAUUUUUAGGUUGAAAUAUAAUAAAAAGGUAUAAUCGUUCUCAUAUUAAACACCCAUACUUUUAGUUUCUAUCCAUUUGUCAUUUCAAUCUCCCUCAAUUAUUCUUUAUUGCUAGCUCAAAACGCAUCGCUGUUGAAAAUUAUAGCAAAAUGACAAAUAUGGAAAAAAAGGGAAGAAAAUUAAUGCAUGAAAGACUUGGAGAAAACAACCAAAUAAGUCAACUAUAAGCAAGCUGGGUGUAUAAAUUGUUAGAUGUGUUAUAAACAAAUACGUAUAAUGUUAAAGAUAUAGUUAGAAUGGGUGGUUCAAAAUCAAAAAUGGUGAUAAUGUUUGUUCUGCUCUUAAUAAUAUUUGAAGGUGGGUGGAGUGAGGGAUGUUUGAAUCAUGAGAGAUUUGCUCUUUUGCAACUUAAACUUUUCUUCACUGAUCCUCAUAAUUAUCUUCUCGAUUGGGUAGAUGAUGAGGGAGCUACUGAUUGUUGUCAGUGGGAAAGGGUUGAGUGCAGCAACACCACAGGUCGAGUGAUAAAACUUGACCUUGCUUUUACAAGGAAUAAUUAUUUGGAAGAGUACAGAGACUUUGUACACAAUCCGGGAGAGUAUCUGAAUGCUUCUUUGUUUACUCCCUUUCAACAACUUGAGUCACUUGAUUUAACUAACAACAACAUAGCCGGUUGUGUUGAGAAUGAAGGUGCUUCGUUUAAUUUAAUUAAUUUACUUUCUCCCCCCUAAUUUAAGUUGACUAUCAAGACCGAGCAAUUAGACGCAUAUUCAUUUAGUCGACAAUUUUCACUUUUUUUAAAUGAUUAAUUUUGAAAUUACACCAGUAUCUAUAAUCAUUUUUUUAUUUUACUUGCAGGUAUAGAGAGGCUAUCAAGAUUGAACAACUUGAAGAUGCUUAAUUUAAGUGAUAACUCGUUCAACAAUAGCAUUUUAUCAUCUCUAACCCGUCUUUCAUCAUUAAGAUCAUUAAAAUUAUCUGACAAUAGAUUGAAAGGAAGUAUUGACUUUAAAGGUACAUAAUUAAAACUUCAUCCCUUCUCCAAGCUCUUUCAUUAACUUGCUAAAAUAAGAUUCAAGGCUUUGAAUUCAAUUUUUUUAUGAUUAGUAUUAAAAAAAACAGUUUUAAGCAAUUUAUAAAUACAAGUUUUAAUGGUUAUCGUAAUUUCAUCUUGUAAUUUCAUGUCUUGAAUUUAAGAUUAAAAAAAUAACACUAACAGCGAACCAAACACCUCCACAACUUAUUAUUAUUAUUAUUAUUAUUAUUAUUAUUAUUAUUAUUAUUAUUAUUAUUAUUUUAAUUUGUUGUGAGGUUUGAAACAUUCAACUCAAUUUGUACUUACUACAGAAUUUGAUUCUUUGAGAGAUUUAGAGGAGCUAGACAUUGGCUGGAACAAGAUUGACAAAUUUGUGGUCUCAAAAGGUACUACAAAUACCAUAUAAAAAUGCUAACUUAUACAAAUUAGUUGGAUUCUUUGCCAUUUGGUUUAUUAUUUUACAGGUUUGAGUAAGUUGAAGUCUCUCGGUUUAAGUGGUAUCAAACUCAACCGUAGCAUCUUAUCUUCUCUUUCUUCAUUAAGAGAAUUAGAUAUAAGUGAUACGGGAUUCAAAGGAACAUUCGAUGUUCGAGGUAAGCCUAAGCCUUGCUUUCUCAUUUUAUAUAUGCCAACUAGAUUUGUGUAUCAUCGACAUAAUUUAAUAGUUAAUUUGAUAAGUCUGAAGGAAUUACAUGCUAAUUUAAACAUACUUUUAUUUACUUUGUCAAUUAAUUAAUUUAUUAAUUACUAUUUGGCUUGGUUUGGACGAAAUUCUCAUGAUGUUUUAAUUUCUUUAAAUUAAUUAAUUAAUUAACUCUGUUUUUAAGUCUUAAGUCUGGGCAUGUUUGCAGAAUUUGAUUCCUUCAAUAACUUAGAAGAAAAAUAGAAAAAGUCGAGCAAGAGACUCUCGCCCUAUUUUAAGAUGAGAGUAGCGAUCACUUACCUGAUCUACGACCUACUAUCUACGCGUACCAGCCUUCCUUUGUUUUGCAUCACGAGAUGGACUCUUCGCCCAUCCCCUAAGGUCUUUCAAAUUAUACCUAAUUGGGGAGAGGACCCACCAGGAGUCCAACUCCAGAUUGGUGGCUAAUGGGCCUCGCGUAUCCUGCCUUUUCGUAGAAUGCAACGCUUAUACGUUCACUGAGGAAUGAAAUCCUAUCUUUUAUCCGAGCUAGGGAUCAGAAAGCAAGAAGGUGGGGGUCAGAAAUGAGUAGCGUAGGUGAUACCGAUAGGGUGGUUGGAUACGCGACAGCAACGGCAAGGCACUCUUGACCCCGUCCGUAGAGGGUCGGUACGAAUGAGACUGUGCUAGAGAUCGCAGUGAGCAAGUAUGCCUUGUUGACUGGGUGUUGGUUUUGAAACAAGGAUGAGUCCCUCAGGGAGUCCGUCCAAGCUUCAGCUACUAAUGCCUGGGCUAACUUCUUGGGGGUGAACAAAGUGCUCUGAGUCUGAGAUCGAUACUGGUUAACGCCACAAGUGCUCUGCCAUUGGUCUACACACAGAGUCAUCAGGUAAAGUCAGAGCUUGGACUGGGAAUGAGAUCAGAAGAGGCUAGGCUACUAGGGAAGAUAGAAGCGAUCCACAAAUCAAACCACUAUCCCAUUGGCCGCUUCAUGCGCCGAACACUCUUAAUAAGAAGCUUUAUUUUAUAAGGUAUGUGUCUAUGCUCUCGAUACACGGCUUGAGAAGGCGGCUCCUUUUUAUUCUUCCUAUAGGAGCUACUCCUGAUUCAGUCAAUCAGAACAAGCCUUCGGACCUACCAACCAAUCAAACUAGCUUGAUGCGGAGGCAAAUACCCAGGGAUACUAUAGCUCAACACACGCCUGGCCGGGGGGAAGGAAGCCCUCGAAGCGAGCUCCGUACCAAAUAGCUGUGGAGAGAGAGAAGCCAAACUCUACCGCACUGAAGAGCGAGAUAAAUAACUGACAUCCUUGGUUGAUGAUCCUCGUCGGUGGAAGGGAAAGCGCGAUGAAAGGCAAGUCGGUAGUAGGUCCAAUGGAGAGAGGAAUUGAGAAGAGAUAGGGUCCGCUUUCUAGGCUGACGUUGGACAGCUGUUGGAUAGCCCCGACCUACACAAGUGGUUUUAGAAUGAACUCACAUUUUGAAAUGUUCUGUUAGGUUCUUAGUAGCAGUCGGCGAUCUUUUCUUCUUUUACUUCACAUAGCUUUUCGUCUCCUUGAUAGCUGGAAGUUCUCCAAAAGUAUGAAAAGCUGGAGGACUUUGUACCAUCCAUUCCGGUGUGGUUGGAUUCUGUUCAACAGCCCAAGGACUUGGAGCACAUCUUUUGUUAUUUCCACUGCUUGAAGUGAUUGUUACGACCACGAAGAAACGACGAAUCCCAACUACGGAUAUAUAAGAGCCAAAACUGCUAAGGGCAUUCCAUCCAGCGUAAGCAUCUGGAUAAUCUGGAAUGCGACGUGGCAUACCCGAAAGCCCUAAGAAAUGCAUGGGAAAGAAGGUCAGAUUAACCCCGAAAAAAGUGAUCCAAAAAUGGAUUUGCCCUAAAGUUUCAGGGUAUGUCCGACCAAAGAUUUUACCACCCAAUAGUGAAAUCCUGCAAAUAAAGCAAAAACGGCUCCCAUAGAAAGUACAUAAUGGAAAUGUGCAACCACAUAAUAAGUAUCAUGUAGAGCAAUGUCUAGCCCAGAAUUUGCCGGGACUAUUCCAGUGAGUCCUCCUAUAGUGAACAAAAAGAUGAACCCUACAGCAAAUAACAUGGGUGUUUUGUAUUGUAUCGAACCCCCCCACAUGGUAGCGAUCCAACUAAAGAUUUUGAUUCCAGUGGGGACAGCUAUGAUCAUGGUAGCUGCGGUGAAGUAGGCACGGGUAUCAACGUCUAAGCCCACAGUAAACAUAUGAUGAGCCCAAACAAGAAAUCCAAGAACACCUAUACUGAUCAUGGCAUAAACCAUGCCUAGAUACCCGAAGACCGGUUUUCCCGAAAAAGUCGAAACGAUAUGACUUAUGAUACCGGAUCCAGGCAGAAUGGGAAUAUACACCUCUGGAUGACCGAAAAACCAAAAGAGAUGCUGGUAUAAUAUGGGGUCUCCCCCUCCAGCGGGAUCAGAAAAGGUUGUAUUAAAGUUUCGAUCGGUUAAUAACAUGGUAAUUGCCCCCGCCAGUACCAGAAGUGAUAAUAAAAGUGGGAAUGCUGUCACUAGAACGGACCACACAAAUAGGGGUGAUCUAUGCAUAGUCAUUCCAGGUCCACGCAUGUUGGAGAUUGUUGUUAUAAAAUUGAUAGAACCUAAAAUGGAUGAAACACCAGAUAGAUGAAGACUAGAAAUUGCUGAAUCAACUGCUCCUCCAGAAUGGCUGGUAAUACCACUUAAGGGCGGAUAGACCGUCCACCCAGUGCCGCUACCCACUUCUACUAAGGCUGAGCUUAAUAGGAGCAAGAGACUUGGUGGCAACAACCAGAAUGAAAUAUUAUUUAAUCGUGGAAAUGCCAUGUCAGGUGCACCUAUCAGAAUCGGAACAGACCAAUUACCAGAUCCACCUAUCAUCGCCGGCAUAACCAUAAAAAAGAUCAUUAAAAAAGCGUGAGCCGUUAUUAAAACAUUAUAAAGUUGAUGAUUCCCACCAAGAAUUUGAUCGCCGGGAUGUGCUAAUUCCAUACGAAUCAAUACUGAGAAGCAUGUGCCCAUCACUCCAGCAAUGGCACCGAAGAUGAAAUAGAGAGUCCCUAUAUCCUUGUGGUUAGUGGAGAACAGCCAUCGAACCGGAUUUGUCAUAAAAUUGAGAUUCUUUCGUUUCCUUCCUUAUCAGAGAGGGGCCCCUUAGGGAGCGGGGCUUCUUUAUUGAAAAAGGGGGAGUGAGGGGGGAAGGAGCGAAGCGAAAGCGGGGGGGUCCGGAAAGCCCUUACUUUAUUGAUGGGACAUUUUGAUCCCCUUUUCCUCUCACCCCCCGUUCUGGUUCAGGAUUCAGGAAAGGGUCAACGCAAGGAUCUUACUUCGAAGCAAUCUCUGGAGUUUUCCCUUAUCCGAACGGGUCUUGCAAGAAAAUAGGAUUUCAUAUUGAGCUCCAAAUAUACGCUAUUGGGAUAGGAUGGCUCCUACUAUAUCUCCCCCCCCCCUAAGAACCGCACGUGCGAGUUCCCCUGCAUACGGCUCAAGUGGCGAAGGCACUUUCCUUCGCGCUUGAUAAGCGCUUCGCUGUAGCCAAGCUUACUGCUAGCCUAUCGGCUAGAGCCAAGCUUCGACCCCGACUGCUCGUCGCUUCUGGCCGCCUUAUUCCGUCACCCGAGAUCCAAGUCAGCACCGGAAAAAAGAUCUUGAUUCCUCGCGGCCGGGCCGGCUUGGAAGCAAGCUACUUGUCGCCUAUCUCACCCCCUUUCUUAUUAUUAGUAAGAUAGGGUGCCCCUUUCUCUAAUAAUAAGGUAAGCUUCUCUGAAUUCCGCUGGGUGAGCCUUCGCUUUUUGGAUCGUCUUCUGCCCAAUGCGGUACCCUCCCGUUUGUUUUUAGGUUCCCAUUGGGUUUACCUUGUUUACAGGUCGAUCCCAUGGCAGCAAGAAAAGGUGAUCUUGUGCUAUACUCCGGUGAUCUCUUUCCUACCGAGGCACGCAAACUCCCAUCGUGUCCCAGAUCAUAUUUCGUGAAUCGAAAGGGGAAGCCUCCUCAUCCAUCAGCUCCUCUCGUAGAUCAGUGCGGUUUUACGAAGCGUCUAAGCACAGUUCACUCGCGUUGAUCAAUCAAGAGCUUUGCCGCCACUCCUUAAGGUUACCUGUUGUAUCAUACACUUCUUGCAUUCUUUCCCACGCUUCAUACCCCCCUCUAGCUUCCGCACGGAGCGGUAAGGUAAAGGGCCAGGCAUGGUGGGGUCGGAGCAUCCUGUCAGCAAUCUUUUUGGCUUGACCAAGAAGUCUUAUGUCCUCCGAGUCGCGCGGCGUUUUAACCGAAAGAACUUCUUGCGCAAUUCAUGCCUUUCUGUUUUUAUGACCAGAAAUUUUUUCUUGAUUUCCAUUUCAAAUUGUUCUCUGGACUUUUUAUCAAUAUGAGGUGAUCGUAACACAGUAUAUAAGACUCGUGAUUCAGGCAAUCCAAUCUUUCGUGUGUAAGGCGGAAGAGCCUGGUUUUCCAAAAAUGGGUGAUCAAAAGAUCGAAUCACUAUGCGUAUCUUGGUGGUCGUUACUUUUGGUGGUCUUUCUUUUCUUUUUGGCUGACUCCUCCUACUCCUCCUUCUCUUAUCCUCUAUAUAGCUCGUCGUUGGUCCUUUUUUUUUACAUAACAUUCUCAGCCGCUCAAGAGUCAAGAGACUGACUAUCUCUCUCUUUACGCAAUUUCAAAAAUGAAGUAGCAGAGUGACUACUGAUUUUGGACGCGCUGAGUUAUUUAAGCAAAGCCUUUUUUGAUCUUGUUAUUCUAAAUUAUUUUAUUGUCUUUGCUCAACUUCGUCGAGCCUUGUACCCAGGUACACGGAACACUAACAGAAUCUCUGUUCAAACAAAAACGACAAGCAAACCCGAAAACUAAAGGGUCACCUUCUCUAGCAAGCAAGUAGACUUUUCUCUGAGCCCCAGGGUAGCAAAGCUAGCUCUUCGUAUCAUUGGCAUUGGGCAGGUGAACGGGAACCUGGCUACACAACUACUCUUACUCUAGCAGAGGAUCUAGUUCCACACCAAUCUGCUUAUCUUAUAUAAGAUAAAAUAGAUAAACUUAGCGUACCUACAACCGCUUGUGCCCUCUUGCUUUAGCUACUUACUCGGGAACUAGCUUCGCACCUCACCCCGGGAACUCAAGGGUGCGUAGCUUGCUUGUUGAAGGGGUGUUUCCGUUCCUCCGUUGUGGGAUAGUUUUUCCCUAGUUCGGUCCUAUAAGAAGAGUUCUCUAGAUAUCAACUCAUGGUACUCCCCGGGCCCCUAACAACAAAACUCAUAGGUUAGCUACAGCAGUUCUAGCAUCAGCUUCUCGAGGGCCUAAAAGAACCUCUUUCGUCAUUCGAAAGUGGCAUUUUAGCUCCUUUUCGUGAAACAGAUCGGAGAUCAGGUCUUAUCGAUUCAUACGAUUUUCAUACGUCUUUUUCCCACAUUAAUAAACCCCUUUUUUCUUUAACACGCUAGUGCCCAGAUCUUCUUCUUUUGUCUUUGAGCCUGCCUUUAGGUAGCGGCAUGGAAGUCCCCCUUCUUCUCAAGCAGGAAGCCCGCGUAUUCUUAUUCUAAUGUCCAUUGGAGCUUCUCUUUUCUUCCCGCUAUCUGGCUGUUCUAUUUAGACGUCUGUUCCCCAGUCUUACUUUCUCAUGCCCGCUUUCGCUUCACUCCUUUCUACUUCUGUUACAGUAGCUAUAGUUGUAAUGGCGGUUAUGCAGGUCCCCUUCUCAUUGAGUAGCCUAUACUCUGGAAUUGAAGUAGCGAAAUCGGCCUUAGCAUAGAACGUUUACCGCUUGCCUUACUAUUACUAAUAAUCGGGAAUCAGAACAGGCAACUAUGAGACUAAUUUAUCAUUGCCCCGAGCAAGUUACUGCGUACCUGAAGUGAGUGUGCCCAUCUUGGUCUCCUUUCUUUUUUCUUUGCAGCUGCCAUAAAAGUAAAGCCUUAGAUUCUAACAGGAAUCUCACCGCCUGCUCCCCUUAUAAUUAUAAGAUACUCGCUACUAAGGUUCUGAAAGAAGGCAGCUAAAUCAGCAAUAGAAGAGAACUCCAGAUCUAUGAAUAGCCAACAAAGAGCCUAGCUUUAUUACUGGAACUAAACAGCAAGCUGCUCCUACCUUACUUAUCGAGAAGGAGUACUUGGACUGAGUAGACUUCUUGUAGUUCUCUUUCCCCUAGCAACCUUUCCUGCUUUCCCGGUUGCAAGGUUUCGAGCUAACUACAGGAUUUGCUUCCUAGCUAAUAAUACUAAUUAGUAGUAUUGAACUUCGAACUAAAGAUUUUUUUUAGUUAACGGGCAGGUAAGGGCAAUGAAGGAAGCCGUUAGGCUUGAGACGAAACGGAUUCUAUGGAUUGAGUCUGGCAGUGAUGUUAGUUAAGUCCACUACCUGGGGCUUGUCUUGCUUGAGAACCCGUUUGGAACAAUCUGGAUUUUCCCCUUGUGAGUCACUCGAAUUCUUCUAUUUAUCAUUCUUUCAUGAAUAGAAAGAGAAAGAUCUCCGCUUCGUCUUUCUUCCAAGAAAAGAUCCCAAGCCAUUGAUAUUGGUCAUGCGUGGGCUUUCACUCAAUCUUUCACUAUGAUAUGAAAGGCAAGCAGGAAUUUCACCACUAAUGGGCCAGCGCUUGGCGCUUACUCUAGCCCGUGUUUCUAGGAUACACCUAUUAAUUAUAUAUAAUAGUUUCCCCGAUAUUCGUGGCUUUCCCCUUACUUAUUACUUAUAAGUAGAUCGGUUGAGAUAAGUAGAUUGGUUGAGGCCCGACCCUUUCCUUUGGGGUUGCCGACCUUGAUGCCAUAGUGUUUAGGGGGCUGAGCGGGAAACCAACACGUUGUGGAAACGGAAUAGAGCUUUUCCCUUGAUGGAUGUUAUCCAAUAAAAGCACACAAUCAGUGAGAUGAGCCUGCCAGCUCAGCCUUGGCCCUAUGCCUUUUGGCCAGCUUGACUUCUGACCGGUCGAUCCCGCCCCCUCUUGCAACGAUUCGGCGCCUCCACUUGAUGCUUGACGCCCACGCUUCGUUCAGGCAGCGCUCCUCGGAUAUGUCUUGCCAAUCGCCAGAGCGGUGCCACUUCCAGGAUUUGGUGCGGCCAGCUCGGGAACCUUCCCUGGAGUGAAAGGGUACAUGGAUCGGUUCCUCCACCAGAGGUCAGCUGAAGCGGAUUGGUCAAAAAGAAAUUUUCUGGCUUUGCCUCAUACCCGGUAUAACUACCAUUUUUACUUUGAUAUGCUUCUUACUUCCUUACAAAGUUGCAAGGAUCCCUUCUUGCAUUCCCUCCUUAUUCAAAAGGAAUUUAUUCGAAUAUCUAGUUGAUAAAUGUUCAUGAGCACGGGGUUGCCUUGCCUGAGACCUCUACUACUGCCGUGGAGGGUAAUUGAUAACAAUGGAAUAUUUUAGGUUAGUAAUGCAGACCCUUAUCCAUUCGAUCCACUUCUGAGGGAAUCACAUAGCCAGCAUGGCAGCUUCCCGGAAUCCCCAGUCAACACUGUCGAACGCUUUCCUCAGGUAAAUUUGCACACACAUCCUGGCUUUCCCUUGCGGAAGGUGGAAUUUUUUUAGCAUAUCGUGACAAAGCAAGAUGUUAUCCUGGAUGCAUCGCCUUUGUUGUUUAUACCUAGCAGGAGCAGCAAAGACGAAGGCUGAAGCAUCACUAGAGGUAUCUAUUGAGCUUUCUCCUCUUUUUGCAUUAGCCCAGUCACUUCCUUUAUGGAAUGGGUUCACCAGCACGCGGAGGUAAGUAGUUUACUGACUCAGUUCUUUUACUAAAAAAGGAGAAGGGAAGGGGGUGCUAUGAAUAGAAAUUUUGAAUUGCAUAUGCUCUCGAUCGACCUAGGCCUAAAAGGAAUCCGGCUACUCAAUCGCCAGAGAUAGAAAUAAAAGAUCUAAGCUUGCUUUAAUCAUUCGAAAGCGAUGCUCAUUCCAGGGUUUCAAGGCUUGGAAAUAGAUCUUAUUUAAGACAAAAAGAAGUGAGCAUAACCAUCUUCAAGCUCCACCCCGGGAUUUUAGGUGUGAACUCACUUUAGGGAAAUGAGGCUUAUAACCAAUCGAUUCUUCACCCACGUAAGCUCGCCCUGUCACCCUCGCUCUGGUUCGAGAAUCAUGUCACCCUCGCUUUCCGCUUCUGGAAGAUCAAUGACUAAUAGAUAAAGGGCUGUGGAACUAUAGACAAUAGGCGGUAACCUCUCUUGAUCCGCGAGUAGAGCACUUGAACUACUCAGAAAGAGCUGGUUGGCUCAAUUCAAAUAGAAAGAAAAAUAGACACCCAUCUUCUUGGCGAGCUAAUCAGGAGACAUACAAAACCAGCAAUCCAAGUUUUGAAGGGAGGCGGCUGCCUGCAGUCACUAAAGGAAGGGGCUUGGUGGUCUUAUUUUAUUAUCUAUAAAAGAUAGCAUCUCUUCCUGCUGUUCGAAUCAAAACGAUUAGGGACAACCGCUCGCUUCGAGGCAGGUUAAAAAGCAUAGGCCAUAGCUUCUACCUCUCCUGGAUCAUUAUGCUCAUCUGGAAGCGGUUUUUGCUAGGAUGAAUGCUACUUCUAUGUAUUUCCCAUCGCAUUUUCAUAAGGUUUCAUAUCCUUCUUUUUCAAUCUUUUAAUGAUGCUUGCCAAUUCUAAUCCAGGGGAGCACUUAGAUCGCAGAUUUUCGCAAAACGACCUCGCGUAGCCAGUUCAGGUAUAAAUUUGAAUAGGUUUACCAAAAGUUUUCCCUAUUUUGAGAAGAACUUCACUGUCGAAGUACUCAAUAGGGAGCUCAGGUAAACGGAUCCAAAGCGCAGUUUUAGUGACCGUUGCCAAGGAAGGCCUAAAAUCAGGGUGCUUCGAAAAGUGAGAUAAUGGUUUGCUAUCAUCCAAGGUCCCCCAGUAAGAGCUCUUUUGUAAUCCUCCCCAUCAGUUAAGGAUGGUCGUGGCCCAGGUCAAUGAAGUCAACUCCCCACUUGGUCUCCACAUUUUAAAAAUUUUCUCAUGGAUAAAUUUGUACUAAACUUUCUUACCCAGAACCUUAACUAUAAGAAAGAGACUUCCUCCAUGGUUGAAAAAUUCUCCUUUUCUUUUAGUUUCCCCAUUACCAUUAAUGUUGAUCACAAGGGGACAAUUCGAAGGGCCCUGGUUAUGGAUUUGCUGCUGCUGCUCAUCUUCUUCCUACUCGUCUGAUUUAAAGCCUUCAGACUCCGGUUCCGAGAUCUCAAGAUAGUAUGAGCCCUUGUGCUGUACCUGCAUGAGAACGAACAUCACGAAAGGACAGUGGUUGAUUACCGUCUUCCUUUGAUCGCUUCCAUGGUCCGGGACUCUUCCCAAGGUCCGGAGGUAGCUCACAAAGGUCGCCAUUAACUGUUUCAGUCGUCACAGAGGUCGCCAUUCCUUAGCCCCUCAUUGGUUGUUAGGCAUUUGUCACUUCUUCUAUUUCAUUUCCAUAGCGAUUCACUCAACAUAGAAAAGCAACUAGAGCAGAGCUCGUAUCCGGCCUAAAGCUCUUGAACUAUAGGAGGGGUCUAGCAUACUGAAACAUAAAUGUAGCUAUAAAGCCUUUUUGAGCAUCUUCCUUGCGAUCUCCUUAUCCUAUAUCAGAACACUUUUUCACUUUUUUUUGCUAUCACAAUAAAUUGCCAUAGAUCGAAAGUGAGUCCAGGCUUAGUGCUUCCGCCUAUCCGGCAGCCGUUACCAGCUGUUCACCACUCCUCCCUUCUAUGCUCCGUGGGUCUUUUGUUACCUAAUUCCCUUAAACACGGAAUUGCUCCUAGUCUUUACCCAAGAGAUGUCCCUGAGACUCAAUAAGAAAAUUGUCUCUUUGCUUAGCUUAAGCACAAGAUUCGACAGUUGUGAUUCCGUCUUGGAUUGAGCUUUCUCACUCUUUCUAUGCCUCUUCCUGAAGUGAACGAAUACAUCUCUUUCUGACGUGAAUGAACGCGAUUCUCUAAUAAGACCCAAUCUUAUUGAGUCAAGUAGAAGAUUCUUGUAGAAAUUUUUUUUGAUUGACUUACUCCAACAUCAAGGUGGAUUUAGCUUGGAUUAAUAGAGAUUAAUAGAACAGACGGGAACUAAACAGAUAGGAAUGCCCGACACAAUGCGGCUACUAGAAAAACGUAUAUUAGAUACACCAUUUCUUUGUCACGUGCAUAGCCCUGCUCCUUGUCUUUGAAAGUCCGUAGCAAUGGACACUAUAUAAUUCCUUGUCGCUCUCGUACGCACCAACCCUUGCCUUGUCUCUCGAACCCUUGCUUCUCUCUUGUGCUCCCUAGAGCUAAGUAAGCAAUUCUCUCUCCUCUCUAGCCGUGGCCGCUAGGAAUUGCUUUCGCUCUUCUCUCUCUGGGGUGCUGGUGGUCGAUAGUUGUAUGUAAUGUUGAGGAAAGAGAUUCGGAUGAAAGAGGUACGACGGGAUAUUCCUCCCCGGUUCGGAACUAAACGUUGAGCGGCGGAUCAAGUAAAAGCUGGCAAUCCUCCACCUAACAACUCCUCCUUUACAGUAUCAGCUGUUAAUAAGCUCUAAUAGACAACCAACCCCAUCUAUUCUUGAUAAACCGGGGCACCUUUCCUAUGUGUCAGUGCCAUUUUUCUCUAAGGCUUAAAGUGAAUCUGUCAUAGCUUGUUGCCAGCAGAGCUGGCCCACGGCUUCCGAAAAGGUUUGAGGUUCCCGCAUGAACACUGGCAAGAAAGGCACGAUCUUUGGGAGAAAACGAGUUAUAGGAUCCAUAGGAUUUUUCAUGCGAGAAGACCUACGUACCUCAGUAGAGGGUAGAUAGGAUCUGGAGACAAGGAAGAUGAUGUAGAGGUAGUAGGUUGGCCAGCCUGAUCCAUCUCAGAUGCCUUGCACUUUUUUAGCGCCUAGUGUAAACCGGAGUGGCAGGUCGGCUAGAAGGAGACGGCUCCUCAGUGGGACCAGAUGAAGAAAGCUCCCCUUACUAGUAAAGGGGGUCCGAGGUUCAGGAUAUGAAAUAAAGCAACUUGACGUAACAGAAAAAAGCGUAAACCGAGUUGAAUCAUAAAAUCAAGUUUCAUCCCCAACUGAGGAAAUGUAAUUGUUAAGGUCGGUAACCUGUGGCUACCUCAGGACUAUCUGACUACACUACUUGCGUUAAGGCGCUGAAGCCGGAGUUUUCUUGGUAGGGGUUAGCUUAUUCCCAGACGAACCAGCCCAGUAAGAGAGAUUCCCCCAGACACCAAUACCUGCGGGAACUAGUAGCCACACUACGGCGUAUGAGAAAUUCCCUGACGGCUUCCCUUAACCGUAGGCCACAGUUGCUUCCUUCGCUCUUGAAUCUAAAACCAUAUCUGGUUUCGCCUCCCCUUGGAGCGACCCUUCCGAAACAGCAUUCUAGCAACUUCGUUUUCAUCCAGCGUUCUCACCAACCAGUGAGCCGUCACAGAGUCUCCCGCUAACUCAUGCCAAACCCUUAUGAAGGUAUCCGACUUUUUCCAAUUCUUUGUGACUUCAUCAGUCUAGCAAUAGCAGCAUGCCAGUAUUUUGCCCUAACUACGAAGCUUGAGUCAUGUCUUCGCCCGUGAACGCAACAGGACGCGGUCGUCUAACUCGACUUCCGCAGCGAGUCUCAUUGCAGCUCUCUCCUGCAGUAGUGAAUUUUUUUUUAUUUUACUUCAAAGAUUUUUUUUCUCACAAGAUGCUUGUUUUGCAGAGGGGUGAAAGUUUUGAAGAAAUAGAAGAAGAAAGAAAGAGUAGUAGCCAUGAUCGAUUUCCUCUGCGCAGGAGCUUGGGAUUUGAGAGUAAGCAUGACUCUGAGAAGAUCUCUGAUUGUGAUCAAUUGGGUCUCACUCAAAUCUUGGUAAUAACGAAUGACUUGCUUGAUUUCUCUGCAUCGGCUCGUGAAAUCUUGGAUGAUCUUAUCAAGUUCAAUUGAACUAAGAAUGUCGAUUGCUCUGUCGUAAUAGUUUGUGGUCACUCCAAAGCUUCCAUGGCGGAAUCAGUACCCCCCUCCACUGAACUACGGAUGCCUGUACGCAACCCCAUGAAGCAACCGAAGAUCCAUUGAUCGCUUUUUCGACACCCGUAAUUUUCCUGUAAAAGAAAGAAAAUCCCGGAAACUCAGAUUCUUCAUUGUUGAAAAAUCUUAUAAAAAUAAGUAAUUUAGGAAUUUUCAUUACUGGGAACACGUCGCUAGCCUAAGGCGGGCUUCGCUAUCCUCCCGAAGCUGGUAUUUUCCAAUGUAAUGGUUUUUGACCACUCACUUAUAUGAGUACAAGGGGCUUGACUAUAUUUUUUUUACUUUAUGUAAUUAAGUUUAGCUGGAGGGUCCAUCUAGCCACCCUAAUUAACCCGGUUGAGGAUAACACAUUAUUAAAUCCGAAUGAUGAUUUCAUAAUCAAUCAUAGAGGUGUGAAAUGGCGUCUUUUCAGAAGUCAGAUAGCCCUUGAAGGUGUUAGCGCACACCCUUUUUCUAUCAUAUAAAUUUAGCUCCGAAGGCAACCCGUCGCGUCCUCGUCACGGCGUUAGCAGCCAUUGACGAUUAUUGAAGACUAAGCUAGUUGGCCUAGAAUGGAGCGCAUACUACUUCUUUGAAAUCGCGAACAUCUUACUCUUACCUUUCUUCUUAGUCUGAUCCGGGAGUGUUGGACAUGAGGUACAAUGAAAUCGACAAUCUUGUGGUUCCUCAAGGUAAACAAUUAAAAUAUUAUUCAAUUACAUUAUUUUAAUUCAUUUGAUUAGGGAAGGCCAAAAAGGUCCAAAAUAAUAAUAAUAAUAAUAAAGAAACAAAUAAUUUGUAUUAUUUAAAAAACAGAAUGUAAUAAAGAUUUGAUUCCAGUUCUUUAAUCUUUAAAGCGAUUGAAAAACAAUGUUGGACUUUUCCCAAAGCAUAAAAUACGAAUUGAAUGCCAAUUAACUUAAUCAUUCAUUUCGUUUAGCUCUAAAUUUAGACAAUGAAUUUUUAUAUUAUUUCAAAAACAGGACGUAAUAGAAUUUUUUUUAAAAACAGAUUGUAAUAAAGAUUUUAUUCCAAUUCUUUAAUCUUUACUGCGAUUGAAAAACGAUACUACUUCCCAAAGCAUAAAAUACGAAUUGACUCCCAAUUAAAUUAAUCAUUUAUUUUGUUUAGGUCUAAAUUUUAGAGGAAUGAAUUUUGAUUCUCUUCAAUCUUUUCUUAAUUAUUAUUAAUAAACAGGUUACAGAGGUUUGAGGAAGCUGAAAAGCCUUGAUCUAUCGGGAGUUGAAAUUAGAGAUGGAAGCAAGUUGUUACAGUCAAUGGGAUCAUUCCCAUCCCUCAACACUCUUUACCUGAAGGAUAAUAAUUUUACCGAUAUAGCGACAACUACUACUCAAGGUAAGUAAAAGGUACAGAUGUGGCCAAAUUUAUAAAUAAAUUGUUAAUUAAUUAAUUUUUCCAUAUUAUUAAUUAAGCUAAAUUUGCUAAAUAUAAACAAACAGAGUUGGACAAUUUCACCAACAUGGAAUAUUUGAGAUUGGACUUUUCCUCUCUCCAUAUAAGCCUUCUGCAAAGCAUUGCAUCAUUAUUCCCUUCGUUAAAAAAUCUGUCGAUGUCUUUCUGUGAAGUCAAUGGUGUCGUACGCGGUCAAGGUAAAAGAAAAGUGUUGAUUGUGAACUCACUCACUGGUGUCCUAUGUGUUCAACAUUUUUAUUUAUUUAUUUUAUUGUUUAAUGUUUCUGCUAGGUUUUCCUUAUUUCAAGAGUUUGGAACAUUUUGACAUGGAUGACACGCCCAUUGCACUCAACACCAGUUUUCUUCAAAUCAUUGGUGUAUCGAUGCCUUCUCUUAAGUACUUAUCACUGUCAGAUUCUACUCUUGGCACUAACAGCAGCAGGAUUCUUGAUCAAGGUUAAUCAGAUGCUCCCACCCUCCCUUCUUAAUCUAUAAUAUUAAUUUUCAAUUAAAUAUUUAAUUACACAAACGAAUCACUUAUUAUAAAAGAAUAAUACUCAUUCAUUAAUUUUUAUAUUGUAUUAAUAAUUGAUGAAUUUAAUAAAUUUUUAGGCCUCUGUUCGUUGAUGCAUCUGCAAGAGUUGUACAUUUAUAAUAAUGAUUUGAGAGGCAGCUUGCCUUGGUGCUUGGCAAAUAUGACAUCCCUCCGAAUAUUAGAUGUUUCUUCCAAUCAACUUACUGGAAGCAUCUCCUCAUCUCCCCUCGUUCAUUUGACAUCCAUUGAAGAGUUGUAUCUUUCAAACAAUCACUUCCAGAUCCCAAUUUCACUUGAACCACUUUUCAAUCAUUCAAGACUCAAGAUUUUUUAUGCUGACAACAACGAACUAAAUGCAGAAAUAACUCAGUCACAUUCUUUGACCGCCCCAAACUUCCAAUUAUCACAUCUCUCAUUGUCUUCCGGUUAUGAAGAUGGCGUCACAUUCCCCAAAUUCCUUGACCAUCAACAUGACCUGGAGUAUGUUGAUCUCUCACACAUAAAGAUGAAUGGAGAAUUUCCAACUUGGUUGUUGGAAAACAACACAAAGUUGAGACAACUUUCUCUCGUCAAUGAUUCUCUUGCAGGACCUUUUCGGUUGCCAAUUCAUUCACACAAAUGGUUAAGAAUGUUGGAUAUAUCCAACAACAACUUCCGAGGCCACAUUCCAGUAGAAAUUGGAGAUGUUUUACCAAGUUUAUACGUUUUCAACAAUUCCAUGAAUGCUUUAGAUGGUAGCAUUCCCUCUUCAUUUGGUAAUAUGAAAUUCCUCCAAAUUCUGGACUUAUCCAACAAUCACUUGACUGGUGAAAUCCCCGAGCACUUGGCCGUCGGUUGCGUCAACUUGAAGUCUAUUGCAUUGUCAAAUAACAACCUACAAGGUCACAUGUUCUCUAGAAAUUUUAACUUGACAAACUUGAAAUGGUUACAAUUGGAGGGCAAUCGCUUCGUAGGUGAGAUCCCACAAAGUUUGUCUAAAUGCUCCUCACUAGAAGGAUUGUAUCUUAAUAAUAAUAGUCUUUCGGGUAAGAUUCCACGAUGGUUGGGUAAUCUCACAUGGUUACAACAUAUUAUAAUGCCCAAUAAUCAUCUUGAAGGCCCUAUUCCAGUGGAGUUUUGUCAGCUUGAUUGGCUUCAGAUUUUGGACAUUUCAGACAACAACAUAUCUGGAAGUUUACCAUCUUGUUUCCAUCCUCUCUAUAUCAAACAAGUUCAUCUUUCAAAAAAUAUGUUACAUGGACAGCUAAAAAGAGGUACAUUCUUUAAUUGCUCUUCCCUUGUGACAUUAGAUCUUAGCUAUAACCGCUUGAAUGGCAGCAUUCCAGAUUGGGUUGAUGGGCUUUCUCAGUUAAGCCACCUUAUCUUAGGUCACAAUAAUCUUAAAGGUGAAGUGCCAGUUCAAUUGUGCGAAUUGAACCAACUACAAUUGUUAGAUCUUUCUAAUAAUAAUCUUCACGGUCCUAUUCCUCCUUGCUUUGAUAACACCACACUUCAUGAAAGUUACAGCAAUAGUUCUAGUCUUGAUGAGCAAUUUGAAAUAUCUUUUUCCAUCAACGGCCCUCAGGGAGGUGUAGAAAAGCAAAUCCGUGAAAAUUUUGAGUUCACAACAAAGAACAUUGCGUACAUUUACCAAGGAAAAGUGCUUAGUCUCCUAUCAGGACUUGAUCUUUCUUGCAACAAGCUAAUUGGUCAUAUUCCCCCUCAAAUUGGAAAUUUGACAAGGAUUCAAACAUUGAAUCUAUCACACAACAACUUGACAGGAUUGAUCCCAUCAACAUUUUCAAACUUGAAGCAAAUCGAAAGUUUGGAUCUUUCCUACAACAAAUUGAAUGGGAAAAUCCCUCAUCAACUUGUGGAGUUAAAGGAAUUAGCUGUUUUCAGUGUGGCAUACAAUAACUUAUCAGGCGAAAUUCCAGAAUGGAAAGCACAAUUUGCAACCUUCAACGAGAAUAGUUAUGAGGGAAAUACUUUUCUUUGUGGACUGCCAUUGCCCAUUUGCAGAUCACGAGCAACUAUGUCGGAGGCGUCAAUCGGCAAUGAACGAGAUGAUAAUUUAAUUGACACGGACAGUUUCUUUAUCACAUUUACAACAUCGUACGUAAUAGUGAUAUUUGGAAUUGUUAUUGUUUUAUAUGUAAAUUCUUAUUGGCGACGUAGAUGGUUUUACUUUGUUGAAAUGUGGAUAACUUCAUGUUAUUAUUUUGUUGUAGACAAUCUUAUUCCAACAAGAUUUUGUCAUUGAAAUUAAUUAGUAGCUUAAUUACGAUUCUUUAAGUACUAAUCAAGUUUGGUUAGGAAAUAAAUUUAUUUUUAUUUUUUAUUAAAAUUGUAGUAGUAUUUAGCGUUAUAUAGCUUCCAACUUCCAAGCACUUCACAUUUGUCUCCACACUUCCAAACCCAUAUCUAUCCACCAUAACUUAUACUUCCCUAUACUGUGCAGCAUACUUAAAUAAGAGAACCAUCUCCAAUUUUAAAAGCAGCCACUCUAUAACAUUCAUUUAGAAACUAUAUUCAGAAUAGUUUUAUAAUCAUACACAAGAAAUGAAACACCUAGAUGCACUUGAUCGCCUAUUUUACUUUAAAAAAUAAUGAUUAUGGUGCUAUCAUCAUCUUCUUCGCUAGCAACAUUAACACCAAAUCCAGCGAUGGACCCAGACAUUUUAUCAAGAAAGGUAUAUAUAUAAUAAAGUUGAAGCUUGACAAAAAAUUUAGGAAGAUUAAUGCCUCGCCACAACAAGGGGCAGCACAACAUCAAAGUAGAGAUGAAGCAAUAUUCUCAAAGCUAAAACUCUCAAAUCCACCCACCAGAAUUUCAUAUCUCCUCAACAAUUUUAAGAACUAAAGAUAAUUAGGAUCUAACAUUAGUUUUUUAUAUAUUAGUUUCAUAAUUUACAAAUCAAUGAAGAUGAAGAUUAUGCUAAUGAAUUCAAAUUAUACCAUACAUUCUCGAGAUGUUACCAAAAAUUUCUAAGUCAAUCCCACAUAUUUCAUAAUUUUAAGACUAGAAAAUUUCAUUAGUUAGAAGUUUCAUUACCUUCAAGUGGAAGAUGAAGAACAUUAUACAAUUGAUUCAGAUUAUAUCAUACACACUCCAAAUGCAACUAGAAAUUAACAAGUUCAUGCGCACAGAUUUCAUAACAUUAUGAAUGGAAAGUUUCACAAAGAGAAAUUCUAAAUUCAAUCUCUUGCAUCGAGGUAGUUUGAUUGAUUUGAGUUACUUUCUGAUCAAGCUAUUAAUAUAACAUUCAAGUCAGGGAGAAAGUAAAUUAAAACUGGGAAGAAAUAACAGUAAAAAUUUGUUGCUAAACAUGAUGUGUAUUUUUUUUUUAAGGCAAUUUGGAAACACAGUUGUUACUACAGAUAUUCUCCUCAACUUAGAGAUAAAUACAAAUAUUAAAAUGCAUAUGAUCGCACAUAGUACUUGGAGCUUAGUAAGAUUUCAUUAAGAGAAGCAAUCAAACCACUUAUCAAUUGUUGCAAUCGUUCUAUAAGCUAAAAUAGCAAUAUAAUACAAGAAAAAGAACAUAUAGAUACUUGGCAAGAGUUCAUUAAGAAGUCGCAUCACAUUCGGGUGAGGAGUUUGCUUCUGAUAUCUUGCUAGCUGGGGCUUUUUCUUGUCUUUCUACGUAUGCCGAGGGAAACCAACCAGCUUGGCCCUUGCAUUCACCUUCCGACCAUCCAAUAGGAGCCACCUUGAGAAGUUAUAACUAAAACGGUGAAUUAAACAAAAGUUGACCGUUCAAAGACCUAAGGGGAAAACUAAUUCUUUUACGUAGGAGGAGUGAAUUAGUUGUGAUCACUGAAAUAACAGCUUAACUAUGGAAGCAUAACAAGAUAUAAAUUCACACGUCUAUAAGGGUAAACUGGGUGGUUUAGAACUGAGCUAGCAACCCUACUAUAUUCUGAUUUGCACUUCAAUGUAAAAGGGAAUAUAUGGUAGGAAGAAAGAAAACCAACCAUCAUUUGUUAACUCAUUGCUUUUCAAUCAAAAUUUUAAGAACCAAAUGCCAUGUGCUUUGAACAUCAAAUAAGUAUAAGCAUUAGUUCUAAAUUCCACAUAUCAUAAGUUAGAAGGAUAAGUUAAUAGCAUAGUAGAAAAAUCUGUGUUGUUAUUUAGAGGGGAAAGUACCUGGCGAACCACAACAUAAUCAUCAAUUGAAAGACUUAGCUCUCCAUUUGCUUGUGCAUCAAAUGGAUGCAUAACCUGCAAGAUAAUGGGAUAAAUAGAACUUAAUCUUAAAAAAAGCAUAACAAAAGCAGCAACAGUACCAGCAACGUUCAUUGUAACCACUAUGAUCAUGGCCAACAAAGAUAUAUUAGAAACAAAAUUCCAUUUUUACUAUGAUAUCAUGACGAUUGGGUUACCAAGAGCUAUCAAAGUCCAAUAAGUUCUGUAUAACUUUAUGUAGUUAUUCAAAUUAUGUAUCAGAUUUUAAAUCUGAAAUUUUGACUGCUCUCCACAAAACAUGGCCUAUGCACAAGAAAUUCAUAGAUAAUGAGGAUUGCAAGUGUCUGACAUCUUUUGAGUGAUGGAUUUAACAUGAGAGCUUAUGGUCAGUCAAUUUCCUCUGCCUAGCAAUAUAAGCUUUCUCGGCCAAAUUUAUCAUCAAAUACAUAGAUUGCCCCAAGUCAAAUCCAUAUAAACAUAGUUUUUCUAGGUAAACCAAGCAAGGAGAAUCAUAAUUCAGACAUAAUCAUAAAAAGGCCCAUCUAACUUAAGAGAAAAUCUCAAAAAGAGGGAUGUUGAGCUAUCAGUCUUGUAUCCAUAAGGAAUGUCAAGACUUUACAUCACCUGCUACAUCGUGAGUGGCUACACAACUUUCAGUGGUUUGUCUUUCUUUGGCAUGCCUAACUCAGCUUUGAUGUUGCUGAGAUAUUGAUAGUAGAGACACAUGAGACUUCUAGCUCAUGCAUUCUAUCUAGCUCAUCCGACAGCUAUCUCUUUUUUAAUUCAUUAGUGUUUGCUAAGCCACAUGCUUAAAAGUCCUGUUGUUCUAAACAAAGUUUCCUAAGAAUGACUUCCUCAGCACCACAUUUGGACAUUUUUAGAGCAAUUUUAUUUGGGGGAAAAGAAUUUUCAAGGUGUUAACUAAUAAAUUUUAAAAAAUAAUUACAAUUUGUCCUACGAUUAUAUGACAAUUUAUCUGGGAUGAAAGGAUAUAGACAGACAUCUUCCACUUUCAAGACUAAUCACUACUUCCGUAGAUGUUUUGCAAUAAUACAAAUACUUGACCAGAUGGUAGUGAUGGUAGAAAAAAAUUUUAUUGCUCCAAAAUUAAAAUAAGAAUGCAAUGUGUUAAGCAAAAGACUAUGCAACAUCAAAUUAAUUGAUAAGUUUGUAAUUCAGUAAAUUAACAACUUUCAUGGUAAAAUACAACAAAUUUCUUUUCAAAAAAAAAAAAUCUUAAAAGACAGCAUUCAAUUUUGUGCGCAUCUUAUUUCUUAAGAUUUUCUAGGAGGGCAAUAGAGGGACUUUCACCUAUGCAAGAGAGCAGAAGCCUUACUUUCGCUAUAAAGUAGACGUCAUUCUGAUUAAUAUGCGUUUGCAAAUCAGCUCCAUUUGAAUCAGUAUUCUGAUAGACACAUGAGGCAUUUACAUCCAUUUCCAAAGUCACAUGUUGCGAGGAGGACUCAUUUGAUUGCUCCUCUAGGAUCAUCUAAUUCAAGUAGCAAGGGUUGGAAGAGAAUAAAAAGUCACAAUUAUUCUUUUGCAUAAGUGAGACGAAAAUGAUAUAUGCAAUAUUAUCAGCAGUAAACAAGAAGAGAACACUCCAAGGAAUAGAUAGAUGCGGACAAGCAAGUUAAAAUGCACAGUUCCAAACCUCCGCAUACAACUUCUCUGAAAUAGCAAUAACGUGUUGAUGAUAUGUUUUCUCGGCAUCUACCUGCAAAGGCCCGAGACCAGGAAAACAACAAUAAAACCACUAGCUAAAGGAGAAAGUAAAGAAAGAAAUACACUUGACAUAAAUCUUGACAAGAAGCACAAUUUAAGACAUAACAAACCCCAAUCAUAUUGUUUAGAACUACCAUUCGUUAUUUCGUUAUUGUAGCAUUUCGAACAAGUGUUGACUUAAUUCAACAUUGUUGGAAAGAUAGGCUUUUAGAAGCGGAAGAAAGCCACUCAAACCAAAGUGAUUCUUAGGAUGAGUUUUAAUCACUCCCCUGAUUUAUUUGGGUUGCAGUAAAACUAAGCGAGCAACUGUUUGACUUUCAAGCAACAUCUAAAUCAGCUAUUAAAAUUCAAAUAAAAUUAUAAUUGAAUAAUAACUGGCCAUCUUGCAUCAAAAAUUAAGUUUAAUUUGUGAUUUUUUUUCUAUAGACAUGUUAGUUCCUGCUAUUGAAAUGUUAAAAGCAUUGAAAAAUUAUUCAAUAAAUUAUGCAAACAUUAAAAUAGAGGACAUAUUAAAAAGUUUCUAAUUACAAUGUUAAGAUUUCCUAUAUUUUAGCAUUUGCAUAUUUUAAUUUAUUUAAAAGCUACGUCGAUCAACUUUGGGAGUGAAGAUUUUAGCUUCUACGAGACUUGAUUGGAAUAUGCAUAAGGAAGAGUGUUAAAAUAUGAUGCAUCCAACGAAAGACAAACCACGUGUAGUCUUUUAAUUAAGCCAAAGUAGCAGCUCAAACAAAUGACACUUGGACCAACAUGCAAUCAUGAAGUGGCCGGAAAAAGGACAAAUGCAACUUUGGCUUAAAUAAAAAAUAACAUGUGACUUGACUUUUGCCGGACAUGCAUCAUGUUAUUACAAGACAACAGAAAUCAGUAUGAUAGUACUAAAAGUUGACAAUAACAUGAAGAUAAGAGGCAGAAUGUCAACACAUGCAUAGGCACACACAAGAAAGUAUUAACUUAUAUACCAUAGCAAAAAGUCUUUGAUAUGCAUCUGUUGCUGCAGUGAUUCAACUGACAGCAUGGCAGCUGUUCCUUCUCUACCAAGAGCCAUUAUUGUAGAUUUAAGCUCGGUCAAUCUUGCUUCUGCAUUUCGAAGCUUCACAGCACUCUCUGCUGAUAUAUCAGAUUCCUUAAUCUUUGAUCGGCGCCUAAAUACUUCAGCUGCCUGGUGAAAAUAUUCAAUAUAAAUCUAACAUAAUUCUAAUCUUGCCUUAUACAUGCAUAUGUUAACUCAAAGCUUACCUGGGCUUCAACUUCAUGUCGAAGCUUGUCAUAACGAUGAGUCAGGUGUCGAGCAUCUUCCAAAGGUGCUCCGUUGAUUAACGCCCGUAGUGGCUCAGAUACCUACAUGUCCAAAAACCUGUAACAUAGUUAGAAAAAUGAAAAGAAAGAGCGAAACCUCAAUUAAAAAGUUCCUCCAACAUAAUCAUGGAAUUUGGGCCUACUUCAAGGAUAUAUAUAAGGAUAAUUUAUGCAAUUUUGGGUCUUAGGAUGAUUCAUAUUAGGUUAGUGUUCUUCUCUUCUGUAUUUAAGGUUAAAAUAGAAAUAAACCUAUGAAAAUAUCUAAAUUAGGGCUGUAAGACUUCCACAUGCAUCCUUCAGUCUCAUGGAUUUGAUUUUACUAUAGAUGCAAGUGUCUUUAUUGAAAAUGCUUGGAGUCAAUUGAGAGAACUCACGGCCAAUAACUUGUCACACGCUAGUCUUUGCUAGUGAUGUAAGAAGUCACAAGGUCUCUUCAGCAUUUGAACCAAUAAAAUUAUUAAGUCAUGGAUGUCACUAGCAAUGAUUUUAAUAUAAAACAUUAAAUAUUUCAGAGUUGUAACUUUAAAAUGGAUUCUUUUAUUCAAUAUCUUAGAACUAAGUUUCCUUAUGAGAAGAUAAUAGUUUCAGUAGUAAUUUACAUAUAAUUUUCUAUAUUUGAAUUAUUUUCUAGUUAGGGAUGAACUAACCUGAUCACGAAGAAUCCCAAGCAAAGUUUCCCUCUCAUUUUCCAUCAAAUCAUGUGAAGUGCCAAAUUGAAGAGCAGCUCUUGCAACGCAAGAAUUGUCACUUUGAUUCUCCGCUCCAUACUUGCAACAAUCUUCGGCCAACUUUCUCGCUACAAUAUUUGAAUACAAAAAUAUUGUACACAAGAACUAGUCAAGAAAAUUAAAAAAAAAAUCAAAUAUUAAAACGAGAGCAAGAGCAAACAAACAACCUAUUUCCAUUUGUUUCAAGUUUACUGCAACAAACACUUCAACGCCACGGACAACAUUCCAUUUGUUUUAUUCUUCUUAUACUUUACGCUUGCAUCAGCCUCAAUCACUUCUUAAUCGCUUGCUUUAACUGCAUCGCUCUCUCUGUGCUCUUCUAUAUAUGUAACGGUUAUGCGGUUGUAGUUCACGGCUGAGGCUACGUGUGGGUUUGACGUGGCAGUUACGUUACAAGGGGAUAAAUAAGAUUGGUUACAACAAACCCACUAAUUUUAUAAAAUUCGAGUAAUAUAGAAUAAAAUAAAAAAAUAAAUACAAAAUUGGCUUUUAUUUUGUAUGGUUGACUGUAUUUUGUGUUCUCUUCCGGCACUACUACAAUUGUUCCCUAUAUAUUAGUCACACCCAUAUAUCAUUAACACAAGAAAUGAAAUCUAAUGUCACCUACUUAGUUAAAGAAUCACUCAUGAAAAAUUUUUACCAUUUUGAUUUGAGGAUCCAUAUUUUGAACUGCAAGCUAAUGUUCAUCAAGAAUCACUGAUGUUCAUAAAAAUCAGAGUAUGGCCGUUGAGUAGAAAAAUUAUUUUUGGACAAAUUAUUUUUGUUGAUAGAAUCUGCCACUUUCUCAUGAAGAAAGGCAUGCGGAGCAUACCAUGGUACCAUACGGAGAAUGUUAGAACCACCCUAGAAUAUCUUUACCCUGAUGUUUCUAACAAAAAUCUGCAUGUGGCAGCAAUUACUAGAUCUACAAUUUCCCAAAUAAUAUUUUGUGUUUCUUAAAAAAAAUUGAAAUACAUAGUUGCAAUUGCACACCGUGAGACAGUGCUACAAUCUACUGAGAUCUAAAUUAUAUGAGACUUUAAGCUACUAAUGUUUGCAUAUUUCUACAUGUCAAAUUAACAUUACCAUCUAUAAUCCGAAACGACAGAUGAUAAACGGCUUUUGGCCACUUAUUACUAGCAUCCACAAUUAAUUUUUGUUCAGCAAUCAGCUUAUUUUAUAGAAAUUGAUUUAGUCAGCAACAAACACUAUAAUACUUGAAAUUAGUUCUUGUUCUUUGUAAUUUUCUAUGAUUUUUCAUAUAUCAAUUAAUCUGCAGUGCCAAGAUGAGGUUUAGUUUUCAAACUAAAUAAUCAAGUAAGCAAAAAUACAAAUUCAGAGAUUAGCGGGGUAAACUAGCUGGGUGGUUUAGAACUGGGCUAGCUACCUCCCUGUAUUCCUAUUUGUAAGGUGAAUUAAUUGAAUCAUGAGAAAACAAUGUGACCAUAGCUCAAUAUGAGAUGAUUUCGGAGAGGCAUAUUGUUUUCGAGUGAAUUUGAUCCAUUAAGAGAUGAAGUGGAUUGAAGUGGAAAGUUUAAAUAACAAAUCCUUGUUCUUGAGUUUUACGACGUCGUUACUCCUUCAGGUGGCAGAUUAUGCAAGUGAAUUCAAAAACACAAUGCAUCAAUCACGGGGACAAAAGACGGGAUCACAGUCUAUGCAUUGAACAGUUACAGUUGCUGCUACCAAUUGUUCGGCAAAGAUCAAGAAGACUGAACGGGAAGCUAAUGCCAUCAAUGUCGUCUUCACUAUAUCUGCUGGGAAUGUAGGUGAACUUUCCUCAUUUGCAGCUGUCUAUACAUAGGCUUUUCCCCAGCUUAAGUACAAAUAAAUGAAGCUGCCUUGAAGGCUUUAUUAUUGACCCCAAUAAGGAUUACUAAUUGAAGAAGACUAUACGGAGUUAAUCUCACAUUUUAGUUCUCUCAAUUUCUUUCAGAAGUGCCUCUGAAAAUAGCUGCCAAACCGUUAGUCAGCUUGUAUACUCUGUUUUCUGGAAACAGAGUAGCAUAUUUAAUCGUUUUAAUUGAAUUGUCUUCGUAGCGAUCAUCAACAAACUCAUCAUAAGAUUUUUGAAGCACCCAAGGACUAUCACUGGGUUUCUCUUCUGGUUGAUUUAUUAAUUAAUCAAAGAACGGUUGGAUGAAGUGCAAUGAUGGAGCAAAAUUUACAAUGUCUCCGGUUUCUCCUGACCAUCGGACUUUUGCAGUGAGAACAUAUAACAAAAAGACCUUCAUCAAAAUUUGUAGACUCCGGGUAUGGAUUGGAUCGAGUUUUUUGUUUGAUAUUGAAGAACCACUUUACUAUCGCGAUAUAGAUUAUGUGCAAGGGGUUGUCUACUGUUCUUUGCCUUGUGCUAUGAUCGGUGCUUUUGACGUUGCCCCGAAACAGUGGAAAAUACUUCGAUUUCCUCCGUUUGAUGAUGCAAAGAACUGGUUAAUGUACGAUUACCUAAUUGACUCAGGAUCAAGUAACAACAACAAUUUAUUAAUAGUAGUAUCACAAACGAAGAAGAUUUCGGAGAGGGUGAUGUAUGCCUAUACCGUUUACAGGUUUGAUCCACAGGGGAUGAAGUGGUCUCAAGUGGAAAGUGAUUUAUUAAACAACAAAUCAUUGUUCUUGGGUCAUACCUCAUGAUGUCAUCAAGUGGAAGAUGAAGAUUAUGCAAGACGAAGAUCGUUUGAUAUUGAAGAAUUUGAACAGAAAGCCCAUAGAAAGUACUUAAAUAAGCAUAUUCUUGUUGGGGUAGAAUAUUAAGAAAGGAGUUGUCUACUGUGUGUUGCGUGAUUAGGCUAUGAUCUGUGCUUUGAACAUUGCCCUCAAAACAGUGGAAAAUACUUCAUAUCCUCGACAUGAUGAUGAAAAAUUGGUUACCGAUUACCUAAUUGACUCAGUGACAACAAUCUAUUAAUAGCACAAUUUGGCGUGAUGCCGUUUAGGUAUAUGGUUUUCAAGUUUGAUUCAUCAGUGAUGAAGUGGACUAAAAUAAGAUGUUUAAAUGAUAAGUCAUUGUUCUUGGGCAUAUCGUCAUUACUACUUCUAGUGAUCAAAGAUGAAGAUGAAGAUGAAGAUGAAGAUGAAAAUUGUGCGAGUUCAAGAUUACCAUCAACUCAAUUUUAUGAUUGGAGUGUCUCACCGUGACUCAGACAAAUUCUGAUUCAACCUCCUUCACCAAUGGAUUUUGAUUAGUUAUUUUGUGAUCAAGCAACUUAAUUAAACUCACAGUUUGUUAGUCUAAUUUUAGUUUUACUGUGACCACUAUUCAAGGUAAGCGAAAGUUACAGAUGUGGCAAAAUCAAUAAUUAAAUUCAUAAAAUGUUAAAAAAUAAAACUUAUAAAUUUUGCAUGACUACUUACUAAUAAAUAAAUAAGUUAGAAUGUAGUUAGUUAAUUUUACACCAUAUUAUAUAUUAUUCGAUAAUAAUAUAAAAUAAAAAGAAUUAAAAAAUAAAUAAUUGAAUAAACAAAUAUGACUUUCUAAACAGUAAAAAUUCUAGAGUUAAAAUUUAUAUUAUUAUUUUAUUUUUUAAAAUUGACAUAUUUCUAUUAUCUUACAUGUACACAGAUUUUGAGAGUUGAGAAGAAUAUAUUUAAUGAAGCUUGCUAACAUUUGGUGGGAUAGCAAGUAAGGGUAAAUAAGAUUUUUUUGUUAUUUAUUUGAAUUAUAUCUAUUUUGUUCAAGUUAAAAUACUAAAUAUAAAUUGGAGGUAGACAUUUUAACAGAUCAUCUAAGCUCUCAAAUCUGAAAUUUUGUGUAGAUUUAAAUUCAUAAUUUUAGUUAAUUUUCAUACAUUCAUAUAAACAAAUUUAUGAGAUUUUUCUUUUCAGCAUGUUAUAUUUUGAAACUUUCAAUGUAUUAUUCUAGCUUUAUUUAAAUAAUUAAUUUAUUUAAAAUUUAUUUAAUUUUGAAUUUGAUCAAUAGUAAAAUUAUUUUUAUAUCAAAUUUUUUUAUUUAAAUAGUUCGUGGAUUGGACAAAAUUAAAAAUUUUUAAUCCACAAAAUGGUGGAUUAGAUAUGAAUUGGGUUAAAUACACAUUCGAUCCGCAGUCGUAUGAAUUUGAUUUGGAUUGAAUUUCAUCAAUCCAUGGAUUAGAUUGGAUUGAAAAAUUUAUUAUCCGCAAAAUCGUGGAUCGAAUAUGGACUGAUGUCCAAUCAGCAAAAUCCAAUCCCCGAACACUCCUCUAUCAAAAUUUUCAAGAAUAUUUUUUAUCUUACAAAUUUUUUUUAAAGUCAUAGUCUAAGGGCGGCCCAAUUUCUACUCCAUCCAUAUAAGCGGAGUUCAAAUCUCAUACCUCUUAUCUCCACACAAGAGAUUUAACCAAUUGAAAUAGCUAGCACCCACAAGUAUACUAGUACAGCAUCUCUUAACGUUUAACAUACGUAAAAUUAACGCCAUAGCUAUUGAUAAACACAUUGUUCAAUAUAUAUGAUCAAGAAUCUGAUCCUGCGAGCAACAGCAGUCAGAAGAACCAUUAUAAUGCCUAGCUCUUAUCCUGGUUAAUCCUCUGGCCCGAUGCUUCAUCAUAGUGAUUUAAAAAACCAACAACAGCUCUCUAAAAGAGAUGAAGAUAUCAUCUACGUAAAGAACAUGAGACGGAGAUUCACAACCCAUAAGAACUGAGAUAAAUUGGACCAGACCAGUAAUCUUGAGAUAAGUUAAACUGUGACUUAAGUUGAAAUCAGAGGACAGGAAUUUUAAAAUCUUUCGGCUAAGCCCCUGAGGAAUUUUCUAGAGUACGACUUCUGCUUACCUCUGUUUAAUUUCUCUUUAUAUUUUUCUUUCAUUUCAUUAAUAAAGUCAAAUAAUAAAUCAAAGAACGAGGGAAGAUUUUUCCAAGUCAUGCAUUAUUUGAUUACCAUCAAUCAAGAAACCGACCAAAUUAAUUUCUCUCCGUGAUUUUUAAAAAUUAAAAAAAAAAUAUUUGAGCAUAACAUCAUUAAUUAUAGAGUGGAUCAAACUGCGUUAAUCAUGAACUUUGUUGUGUUAAUUAUUUCAAUCCCCGAUUACGCAAUUUUUAAAUUAUAGCCUAACGGUGGUCUCAUCACCACGUGUGUGAUUUUCUUUUGCCAAUAGGAUCUGUAGAGAGCUUGAUCUCACCCAAUAGCAAAAUAAACUUCCUAAUAAGUGAAGGCAUAGUAUAAAUAAUUCACCCCCAUAUUAUUUAUUAGCAGCUUGAUUAUUUUAUAUGCAUCUUUGAUUUAAAUUUUUUUUUCCCAUAAUUGCUACUAUGUUCGAACUGGUCAUGAAUUAUCUAUAAGAUUUUUCAUGUUGCUUUUAGGUGCAUUGGAUUUUUUUUAGUUUAGUGCAAGAGUAGAGGAAGGCAAAUUAAGAAAAAGGAUAAAGAUCUAUGAUUAGCUAUUUUGGGAUGUCUCAUAACAUAUUGAUGGUAACAUUAUACAUAUGUAUAUCUAAAUAAUGGGGUUGGAUCAAGAGCCCAUUAAUAAUCAUAGAUUAGCUUAUAUAGCAAUUUCACAAGCACAUGUUAGCCUAUGUUGAGCUUUAUUAUCAAUAGUUCAUAGUUCAUCGGUGCACUGCAGGUUUACUAUUUGAAGUAAAUGUUAUGGUGCGUGCAUUUUUCAUAAGGCCAACCGCUGAAUUUAGCAUUGAAACUUACAAAAUGUAAUAGAGAGAGGUAGAUAACAGCCACAAAACACUAAGAUUGGAAAUCAGGGCUACUAAAUACUAUUACAAGCCCUUAGAAAAGACACUGAUCAUCCUGGAAUAUAUAUACUGAAAGUAAGAAAUAUUAAUCGCAAAGUUAUGUGCCAACAAAACUAUUGACCACUUGUCCCUAGCAGAAGGUAUAUAUUUUUAACUUCAGCUCUCUACUUUGUUCUAAGAACUAGGCAAAAGAAUGAAACUUCACUGUCUAAAGUUUGCCGCUUGGAAUAUUUCACUGUCUAAACAUUCACUCACCACUAAUUUCACAAAUGAAUUUUGUCUAACUAUAUGUUGAUAACGAUAUUAGAGGUAAUAUAAUGCAUUUAAGGCUUAACAUAUAUUUUUUAUUAGUAGAGUGUAGAAUUUUUAAGAAAUAAAUUAUUAAAUUACUAUAACUAACAUAUUAUUUUAAAGUUAUGUUAAGAAAAGAAUGAAACAAAAAAAAAAAAAAAAAUAAGGGUAUUCUAAAACUUUGAUCCUUUUAAAAGUAGUUUUUGACGUAAAUAAAAUAAUUUUUAUUUUUUUAAAUCACAUACUCUAGUUAAAAUCAAAUUUGUAUUUAUAAAGCUUGUAAAUUUUUUUUAGCAUUAAUAUUUGAAUACUUUCAAGAUAAGAAAUAGGGUACUAAUUAUGCUACAACAUUAUUAUAGCAUAUAAAAAGACAAUACCCUUUAUAUUAUUAUACUAUCGUUUUUGUUAUGAUAGUAUUUUGUUAGUGGUCAAAUAUUACUUUUUUAAGUAAAAAAGUAGACAAAUGUAAAUCAAUUUUUAAUCUCUCCUAAAAUUCUAAUUCCUAGUUACCAAACAAAAUUGUUUGAAAAUAAUUUGGCUAAGUGCAUGGGUUCUUAAAAGUUAAAACUAUAGGUGAUAGAAGUUACUAGCACAAGCAAUUUUGACGGUCCAUUUUAUAAAAAUUUUUAAUAAUUUUUUAUUUACCAUUUUACCACCUAUAUAAAGAGUGCCACAUCGACAUAUCAAUUCAUUUGCAAAUUAUAUUAAUUUUGUAAAAUUCAUUUGACUUGCUAAACCCUUCUUAUCCCCUUUCUCGACUGUCAUACCCUAACCUUAUUAAUCCAACUGGCAAGUGCUCACAAUGACCGACAGCCUCUCCAUCUCCAUUUCAAGCUUCCUCUUCAACUGGCUUCUGCUUCCGUCGUACGCUUCCUUGGAUUCGGAGUCCGUAUUCGCUCGACCGGUCCGGCACAGCUCCCUCUCACUCCAAUUGUCACCCAACAAGACCAAUUGCUUAACAUUGAUCGUAUGGCAAUUGUCCGUAUUUCUUGGAUUCAGAGUCCGUAUGGCACAGAACAAGAAGAGUAUGAGAGAGAGAUUUGGAAAUCGAAACGUACGCAUUGACCGUGCCUUUGAGGGCAAUUACUUUUCUUGAGAAUUGAAGUUUGGUAAUGUAAUUUGUUCUCUAUCUGUGUCCCCUUUGUAGUCAUUUCAUUUAUUUGUUUGUUUGCUUUUAUUUGCACUUACGAAGUCUCAGAUAUAUCUACGCAAGAAUGAUGCAGGAGAAAUUGAUCCUCGAGCUUACAAGAAAAGUAAAUUUCGAAAGCAUAAUUUGGCUCCGAUUGAGGUAAUAAUUGUCUUUAAACUCAUUUAGUUUUAUAUCAAACAAAAUCAAGGCUGCCUUUCUCUUCAAUAUUUUUUAUGAUAAUAUCUUUAGAAGCAUCUCAUUGACGGGUAAUCAUGGUAUCCCUUAAAGAGUCUAUAAACUCAAUGAUAUUUUCUUCUGCAAAUGGUUCAUUAAACUUCUUAGACGUAGUUAAAUGUACACUAAGAACAACGAGAAGCUAUGCCGCUGUAGCAUGUAGUGAGAUCUUGUUUGAAGUUGUUUUCUGAAAUGAACUGCCAAAUGGUAGUUUUUUUUUUCUUGGGUGCAUUUGAUGACUCUUUUCUCCUCAUUUUAAACAUGUACCUGCUUGGAAUGGGAAGGAAUAGGCUUCCGAGUUGUUAUAUAUGUUGACAUGCUCUGGUCAUUACACAAAAUGCUCAAAUUGGAAAUUAGAAUGAGAUAUUUGUCGAUGCUUUUUGAGAGAUCUGCAUUCUAUGCACCAUAACAUGAUUAAUGAAAACAGGUUUAAGGACUGGAAAGAUCUGUGGCGGCCCAAGCUUGCAGGAAGGAUUUCAAUGGUUAAUUCUCCCAGAGAGGUUAUUGGUACAAUUUUGAAGUAUCUGGGAGCAUCAUGCAAUUCAAACGACAUUGAUUAGCAACUUGCUGCUGGGAGGAUUGUUGUCAGCAGAAUCUGGCAUUACUGGGAAACCAGGUACUCUUAAAGAAAUGAUAUCUGGUCAAUGCAUAUUAUUGCCUGACAGCUGAUUUUGUUUGUAAAGUCUGCCUCUUCAUACAUAUGAAUGCAUAUGUUAGUGUUUUCUUCUCCUUUUAAUACACAUGAAUGCAUAUGUUAGUGUUGUCUUCUCCAUUCCAUAAAUAUGAAUGCAUAUGCUCUGGGUGUUGGUUACUACUUCAAGUGGAAGGUGAAGGUGAUGCAAGUGAUUUCAGGAGUACAUAUAUUCCAAGGAUGCCGGACUAUUAUUGCUUCCCCCCAUAUUUCAGAAUUUUUUGUCAACCUCCUCCACUAAGGGAUUCCAAUUGAGUUACAAAUAUAUUUUCUGUAGCUCUGUUUUAAAUUUUUGGUCUCAUGUUAAUUUUUCUAAUUACUAUUCUUCAACAAAUCUCUUUUACUUUAAAAAACUGCUACAGUUUGAUUUUACUGCCUUAUAUCAUUGAACAUUGAUACAUGGAAUUUGAAAUCAGACUUGUAACAACAGAUAAAUAGAUAUAGAACAUGCAUAUAAUCUCCAUUUCGAGCUCCCUCUCCAACUGGCUUCUGCUUCCGUCUUACUCUUUCUCGGAUUCGGAGUCCGUAUUUGCUCAGCCGGUCCUGCCCAGCUCCCUUUCACUCCAAUUGUCACCCAACAAGACCAAUUGCUUAAUCAAGGCACAGAACAAGAAGAGGAUGAGAAGUUGAAACAAGAAUUUGAGAAUUGGAAAUCGAAAAUGUAUGCAUUGACUGUGCCUCUAAGGGUUGUUUCUCUUCAGAAUUCAAUGCCUCAAUCUUGGGUUAAGGAUUUUAUGCGAAGUCAAGGAAAGAGAUUGAAGUUUCAGAUGAAUUUGUGUGCUAGCAUUGGUGGGAUCUUUAACAAUUUAUCUGUGCCCUUUAACAAAGUUAAGGGUAAGUCAGCUUCGUAUACGGCUGCUGAUUUGGUUAGUGUUGGUGAUUCAUGGCUCAGUUUUACAAUUAAAAAGAGAUUGAUUGAGCCAAUAGCUGAAGCUGAAGAUCAAGACUGGUUCAAAUGCUUAUGUCACAAAUGGAAGGUAACAUCAUUAUCUUUGACCCGAUAAUUUUUAUUGUCUUACAUUGAAAUUUGGUAAUGUAAUUUGUUCUCUAUUUGUGUUACCCUUUGUAGUCGUUUUAUUUAUUUGUUUAUUUGCUUUUAUUUGCACUAACGAAAUCUCAGGUAUAUCUAUGCAGGAAUGAUGCAGGAGAAAUUGAUCCUCGAGGUAAAAUAUGGGCGGCACCAUACAGGUGGGGCACAACGGUGAUAGCCUACAAGAAAAGUAAAUUUCGAAAGCAUAAUUUGGCUCCGAUUGAGGUAAUAAUUGUCUUUAAACUCAUUUAGUUUUAUAUCAAACAAAAUCAAGACUGCCUUUCUCUUCAAUAUUUUUGAUGAUAAUAUCUUUAGAAGCAUCUCAUUGACGGGUAACAAUGGUAUCCCUGAAAGUGUCUUUAAACUCAAUGAUAUUAUCUUCUACAAAUGGUUCAUUAAACUUUGUUGUUGUAGUCAAAUGUACACUCAGAGCAAUGAGAAGCUAUGGCACUGUAGCAUGUAGUGAUGGCACUUAAUAAGUGAGUUGCUAGGAUGUGAACUAGAAAAAUUAAAUAUUGUCUCCUUGGGUAUGCUAGCUUGUAAGUCAGGGUUAAUAUUAGAGCUUAAGUUACUAUAACCAUGAGACGCUAUUGACUGCCAAUUAAAAUAUCCAUUAAAUUGUCUAGGAAGUUAUGAAAGUGGAGGUAUCUUCCGAUUUCUAAGGCCAGAUAGUAGACAUCAUCCAGGAUCCUAGGAAAGUGCAGUUAACCUCCUGCUCGAUGCAAUUAAUAAAUUUGGUCAAUGCCACUGAAACCUGCUAACCGACGUCACAAUGCGAGAUGAGCACUUCAAAAUGGGACAGACGGUCAGUAGCACUAAAUUUUUCUUUCCUAAGAUUGAGCAAUUGGUCUAACUACUAACCCCUAUUGUAGGUUGAUCAUUAUUUUUCCAAUUAUGUUCAGUUUGACCCAAAAAGUUACAGAAUCUUGAGCUGAAUAUUGUCACUGAACACUGUCAAUGUCAUUUAGCAUACCCAACUAACUUGAGUUUGGUAAAACAAACACACUGUGCGUCUCAUCUCUCACAAUUCAAAUUAUCAUCUGUAAUGAUGGAGAAUUUUUCCAAUGUAUGAAGUAUGCUUUGAUAUGUGUACCUUGGAGAAGAUAUCUCCAAAUAAAGAAUAUGGAGAGAAAACGGUUCAGUAGUUUAUUAUUCUGUAGGCAAGUCUUGUCUCGAAAAUGGUCAAAAUUUAAAUGAAUAAGGACAGGGGAUCUUCAUUCUUUUUUCCCUUUUUUAUACCAAGAUAUCUCUCAACCUUUAUAUAAUCCCCACUGGAUAUCUGCUUCUAAUAAUUAAAAUAAAAAUUUCACUCACACAAAUAAAUACUGACCAAGCUCUAACAAUAUAAAGUAACAUCUUUACUCAAGUAAUUUACAGUUCCUCAUCAUCUUAGUGUGAGACUAUCAUUACGUUCCAAAAACAAAAUAAAACUGGUUUGAUCCUGUUUAUUGAUGUUUAAAUGUUGUUCAUUGUGACAUGUAGAAAUGAUGAAGCGAAGUUUAUUUGGUCAUCAAUUAGUAAGAUCUUGUUUGAAGUUGUUUUCUGAAAUGAACUGCCUUUUUUUUGGGCAUAUGAUGGCUCUUUUUUCCUCAUUUUCAACAUGUGCCUGCUUGGAAUGGGAUGGAUUUGGCUGCAGAGUUGUUAUAUAUUUUGAGAUGCUCUGGCUGUUGUGAAAAUUUUAAUAUACUCGCAAGCACACGAAUCUAGAAAUAGAAUAGUGAUAACGAGGUCGAACCCACAGGGAUUAUUGAAAAGUCUAAUUUAAAUCUAAAAUUAAUAUUAAUUCUAACCUAGUUGAGCAAAUUGAGUUUUAAGAGAAAUUAAACUAAUUAAACUAAGAAAAUAAUUAAAGUAAAGGAGAAUUCAAUAAGACAAAAAUUACCAAGGUUUCAGAAUCCACCACUAUUCAACUAGUAAUUAUCUAAUUAUUAAUUAAUCCCCAAUUUUAGAGUGACAACUCGAAAUCAAUCUAUGUCAUCUCAUGGAUAUAACAAUUAAGCCCAAGUAAUUAAAUCUAAUGUAGGUUCUUUUUCUACUUAAUAGUAUGAUAUCUAAGAAUCUCAUGUAAACAUAUUGAAUAACAAAGAGUCAAAGUUUUCUUAAGCACUCUAUGUAAACAAUUUAAUGAAAGACAUAAAAUCAAAGAUAAUCAUGCAUAAACUUUAUAGAUCCAAGCAUAGAUUUAAUCGAAUAUUAAUCCUAACAAUCAAUAAUGCAUAACAGAAUUGAUGAAAAGAUUUUAAUAACAUCCAACUAAUCAUGUGAAAUAAAAACCAUAAUCAUUAAAGAACAUAUAUAGGGAAUUAAAUAAAUAAAAAAAUAAUUAUUUCAUUGAAUAGGGUUUCAUCCUUAACCUCAGUAUAAGAAAAUUAGUUAGACAUACUUGAAUUGGGAAAAACAAAAGAGAUAAAACCGGCCAUGAGGAAUAUUGAACUGUUGGUGCCGAUUGCUCUUUUCCAGCCUUGCGUCUGCUUUCCUCUGGCGGCUACCUCCCCCCUUGCAAAAGCCAAAGUUCGGCUUUUAUAUUGUAACUCCCCCACAAAAUCCUCAAAUCAAAAGGUUUUAAAACAAGCCAAGCACAACCGACUUUGAGCCCAUGCAUGUGAAGCCCAAUUGGAAUUUUCAUUCCUUUUUUAAUGCCAUGCAAUUGCUUUCCCACGUGCUGGCCACUUUAGCUUUAAAUUUCUUCUUUGUUUGCACUAGCAUGGAGAAUUCAAUUUAUUGGCUUCGGCUUCUUCGGAUUGAAUUUCAUACACAUCUACUUAAUUGCUUCCACAAAUUGACUUGAUUUUUAAUGUUGUCCAAUUGUUAUUCUUUAUGUACUUUUCAUCCUUAAUCUCCAAUUAAUUCCCUAUUCAAUAAAAUUAACUUAGCAAUUAUAUAAUAAAGGGUAAAAUAUGUAUAUAAAUUAUGCUCAUCACUGGCCAUUGCACAAUUUGUUCACACUGGAAAUUUGAAUGAGAAAUUUGUUGAUGCUGUUUUGAGAGAUCUGCAUUCUAUGCACAAUAACAUGAUUAAUGAAAAUGGAUUGUAGGACUGGAAAGAUCUGUGGCAGCCUGAGCUCGCAGGAAGAAUUUCAAUGGUUAAUUCUCCCCGAGAGGUUAUUGGUUCAGUUUUGAAGUAUAUGGGAGCAUCAUACAAUUCAAACGAUAUUGAUUCGCAAGUUGCAGGUGGGAAGAUUGCUGUUCAGCAGAAUCUGGCAUUACUGGCAAACCAGGUACUCUUAAAGAAAUGAUAUCUGAUCAUUGCAUGUUAUUGCCUGACAACUGAUUUUGUUUGUAAAAGUCUGCUUCUUCAUACAUAUGAAUGCAUAUGUUAGUGUUCUCUUCUCCUUUUCAUACAUAUGAAUGCAUAUGUUGGUGUUGUCUUUUCCUUUUCAUACAUAUUAAUACAUAUAUUGGUGCUCUCUCCUGAGAUGGAUGCAAUAAAGGCUUUUGGUCCUAAAUUUAGGUGAAGAAAUGGCAAGGGAUGUGAGAUUCUGUCUCAUUAAAUUAACAAAAACCCAAAACAAUGAAAACCCAUAAUAAUGUGGUGGGGGUAAAUUGGCACCAUUUGGUUUGUUUACUUAAUGUGAAUACACGAGCAAUAGGGACUAACAAAAUGAAGUGACAACAACAAGUCAGUGUCCUUUGAUGGAUGCAUUUUAGGCAAAAAUAGGUUUGUAAUUGACCAAUUUCAAAAAAUUUAAAUUAUGUGGUUAUUAGCUGUAAUGAAGGGGAUAGGAGGUGCAAUCAGGUGGAUCCAGGAAAGUUCAACAAAGUUCUGGUAUGGCAUAGUGAAAUUGGUUUGUGCAACUCAAGAGUCUUUCAGGUGAACGAUGAUAUGUUUUGAUUUAUAAAUGUUAUAAAUCUACCGUCCAUAGUAUUCUAGUAGAAUCAUCUAUAAGUUCUAGUUAUUGAAAUUGUCUACUUUGUCCAGUUUGAGUUAAGGGCACAUGUAAUAGGAAAAAUAGUUGUCACAUCUUUUUGGUUACCUAACAUUUGAUCAAUCCUAUUAUGAGGGCUUCAAGAUGUCUAACAAUAUGUAGAAUGCCCAUGCUCCUCCCCAUUGUUUAUCUUAUACAAUAAUUUGUUUUAGAUGCUAAUAUAUUUGUCGAUACCGGUAACGAUAUUACAAUAUCUGCAUUUAUUGGGUUUUACAUAGGUUCGACUGUUUGACAGUACACACUAUCUGAAGGCAUUUGGAAUUGGAGAUGUAUGGGUUGCUGUUGGGUGGAGUAGUGAUGUUCUUCCUGCUGUCAAACGUAUGUCUAAUGUUGCAGUUGUUCCCAAGUCUGGUGCUAGCUUAUGGGCCGAUCUUUGGGUAUACCCAUGCCGGCCAUUCUACUUCGAUAUUCACGUUGUUAUCUCCUUCAUAUUAGCGAUCAUAAACUUGAUAAUGUGACUAAUAAGUUCGUAUUCUCUUUAUAGGCAAUCCCUGCUGCCUCAAGACUUGAAACAAAAGAAAUUGGAGGGCGAGUCUGAGGUCCAUCUCCAUUAAUCCAUCAAUGGAUAGAAUCCUGCUUGCAAACAGCGAGAACAUUGCCUUUCAAGCAAGAGGUUAUCCCGGGCGCAUCUCCCUCUGCCCUUGAAAGUACUCUGGUUAAGUUGCCUGAAGAACUUCUGAAGGGUAAACCAAGUCUGGAUACUAACUUAAUUGCUGGAGUACCCCCGGCUGAAAUUCUGGCCAGAUGUGAGUUUUUGGAGCCAUUGUCUGAAGCUACAUUGUCAUAUUAUGAGUGGCUGGUUGCUAAUCUGCAAAAACCUGCCCCCCUCUUGAUGAAUAGGCUGCAACAUUACUUGUCAUCAUUAAUCCAAAGCUUUCUAGCAAAAGCUACAUUGAAAAGUUAAUGGCACUGCAUGCCAGUCAUUGUAAUGCUGUCAGGGCUAUUGGGUCAGGGCUAUUGGGUCAGAGCAUAACUUCAUUAGGAAAAGAGGCUUCAGCUACGUUAAAUAUUACAGGAUGUACUGAGAUGGCUGAAGUUCUUGAGGUUUUACGAGAAACGAAAGAUGAGUGUUUGUUUGAACAAAGUUGUUGCCAUCUUGCAGAGUUUGAGAAGAAAGAUCACUGAGCGAAUGCCACCGAUUUCUUAAUCAUUGUAGCCUCCAUAGUUGAAGUUUCCUUAUUUGAAGCUGUUUAUGCGUACGCUUUUUCCCUGCUCAAGUACAGGAAAUUGAAGAAUUAACCAGAUGUGAUAUGCUGAAAGAGGGAAGUUUUCUUCCUUGAACGUGGCCUUGUGAUUUGUCUUGGAAGGAAUAGGAUGAUCACUGGCAAGAACCCUAUCAAGGUAGAUUUUAUGGUGCUAACGUAUUAUUAAGCAUUUUGUUACAUCAGCAAUGAUGCUUUCAUAGCAUGAAAGGGUUUAAAUUUAACUGAAUGAUUCUGAUUAAUCAAUUAUGAGUUUGAAUCGAGUAAAAACUAAAUACAAUCAUCGUUAACAAUACUGAAAAAAUUUAACUGAAUCAUCGUUAAUUGAGUAAAUAGGAUCUUGAUAUUGAAGAAUUUGAAAUCACAACGCACACAGGAAAUUGAAGAAUUUGAAAUACAAUCAUCGUUAACAAUAUAAGAUGAGUGUUUGUUUGAACAAAGUUGUUGCCAAUCUUGCCGAGUUCGAAAAAAAAGAUCACGGAGCAAAUGCCACUGAUUUCUUCAUCAUUGUAGCCUCCAUAGUUGAAGUUUCCUCAUGUGAAGCUGUACAUCAAGUACAGGAAAUUGAAGAAUUAACCAGAUGUGAUAUGCUGAAAGAGGGAAGUUUUCUCCCUUGAAUGUGGCCUUUGUGAUUUGUCUUGAAGGAAUAGGAUGAUCACCGGCAAGAACCCUAUCAAGGUAGAUUUUAUGAUGUUAACAUAUUAUUAAGCAUUUUGUUACAUCAGCAAUGAUGCUUUCAUAGCAUGAAAGUGUUUAAAUUUAACUGAAUGAUCUUGAUUAAUCAAUAAUGAGUUUUAAUCGAGUAAAAACUAAAUACAAUAAUUGUUAACAAAUACUGAAAUUGGGUAAAUAUGAUCUUGCUAUUGAAGAAUUUGAAAUCACAACCCACACAGGAAAUCACCCUUCGCGUGGAGAUGGAGAUGUUUACUGCAGCGAUAUUGAAUAUGUCCACUGCUCUUUGGGUUAUGGUGCGACUUGCGAUUUCAAGGUUGCCCUGAAACAAUGGAAAAGAAUUAACAUACCCUGCAAUGAAUGAAAGCGGCUGGACUAAUUCUGAUUACCUGAUUGACUCAGGAUCGGAUGGCAAUAAAGACAGUUUAUUAACAAUGCACAGUCCCGAGUACUUUUUCAGGAUCAGAUAUUACGUGGUCUAAUGUUGAUAAUAAUAGAUUAUCAAAUGAGAGAUGCUGAGAGAUGCUGGUCUAGUAUUGCAAGCCCCCAGAUUUAAGAAUCUUUUGAUGAUAAUUUACCACCUGUAACUGUGCCGGAAGAUUCACCUAGCAUUGAAAAAGAUGAUAAUUUAAUUGAUAUGGAUAGUUUUCAUAACACUUUUAAAUCAUCUUAUGUAAUUAUAAUGUUGAGAAGCAUUAGUGGUCUAUAUGUGAACUAUUAUUGACGCUAUUUUGUUGUAAACAAUCUUAUUCAAUUAAUGUAUAAUUUAAAAUCAUUAUGUAAAUCAAUCUAUUACUUUUCAUGAUAUUUAACUGAGUUAAAACUAAGUGCACCCAAUAAAUCUCUUUUCCUUUAAAAAACUGUUACGCUUUGAUUUUAGUGCUUAAUAUUUACGGAACUCCGGUACAGGGAAUUCGAAAUCAAACUCGUAACUACAGAUUAUCUAAUUGCAAGCUUUUGUCCAUAGUUGCUGAUUGUAGUGAUUAUCUAAUUGACUGAGGUGACAACAAUUUUUUUUUUUAAUUUUCAAUAGCAUAAUGUGGAAUUCAAUAAUUAAAUUCUCCUUUUUAAUUUGUUUCCAGUUAAAUUAUUAAUUACUUAAACUCUGUUUUAAGUCUUUAAUUUUAUGUCUUGGCGUAUAUGCAGGGUUGGAUUCUUGAGCGUGUUGGACACGACCAACAAUGAAAUUGACAGUAAACAAACAUUAUAACGCGUUGAGUGUCGACUCCGCUAGCUGCCCUACAAGUCUACAACUUUACAAACAAUAACUGAGUACACACAUUUGAUUCUCAGGGCCUUUCAAUGAAUUUCUAGGCCGGUUGACUCCACCGACAAAAGUUUUGGAAAAUAAAAAAGAAAAUUCAUAGAAUUCCACCAAAUGCAAAACGCGUGGAAUUUAAUUUUCGGCUGUGUGGACCAAAACAUAAUUUAAUGAAAAAAAAGAUAAGAUUUCUAGAAUGUGUGGAAGGUGAUCCAUAUUUUACUGAAACAACUUAUUAAAUUUUUCAAGGAUUUAGAAUAUUUGGUCAUAAAUUACGCUCAUGUUAAUUUUUCCACUGUUGACUAUCAUAUUCUAGACUCACUGGUACCUUUCUUGAUGAAGGGUACUUAGUCUCUCUUCUCCUCUUAUAAAAAUUAUAUUAAUUAAUUUCUUAUUAUAAUAAAUAGUCUUUAAGAACGUAUAGAUUUAUUGUUUUCGUGACCAAAUUAUGCCAGCUUAAGGUUGCGACUAUUAAUAAAAUUAAUAUUUAAUGUUUAUGUUAAAAGAUAUAAGAUUUUUUGCAUUCAUUAAUUGUCAUUAGCUAAAGGAUUAAUUAUUUUUUCAACCCAAUCAGUUGAUGCAUCUGCAAGAAUUUUUUCUUUUAUUGACCAUAAUUAUAUUCCGGGUACAAUAAAUUAUCUUUGGUGCUUGGAAAAUAUGACUUCUUACUUCAAGUUUGAUGUGUCUCUCUCCAUAAGCUUACUGGAAAUAUAUCCUCAUCUACUGUCAUUUAUCUAAUAUCAAUUGAAUAUCUGACUUUUUCAAACUAUCACUUCCAAGUCUCAUUGUCACUUGGCCAUUCUUGGACCAUUCAAAACCAAACAAGUGUUGAAAUAAUCAAAUAUAUGCAAAAUUAGAGUCACGACUUUUGGUCCUCCAAAUUCUAAUUAUAUUACUUCUAUAUAUCUCAUUGUCAGGUCACGAACUUGUUGGCACAUUUUCCAAAUUCCUCUUCCAUCAGCUCUUACACGUUAACUUAAGUGGAAAGUUUCCAAGUUGAUUGCUAGAAAGCAACGCAAAAUCAGACACGCUUGAUCUGUCCCCUAAUUCUCUUUUCUACGUUGAAAAAGAAAAAAAAUAAGAAAAAAGAAAAUAGAUCUAUGUAAAAAUAAAUAAUAAACUGAGUAAAAGUACAUUUGUUUAUUUAACAUCUGAUCGGGGCAUUUUUGGUGUAAUUUCGUGCUGUGUUUAACCCACAACUAAAAUCAAACAGCCCCUUAGAAUACUUCUUCCAUUUUGGGUGCGUUUGGGAUUGAGGUUGGGCAGCUGUAACUUAAAAACUACAGCACUAAAGUGUUUGAUAAACACUAACUGCUGUAGCUUUUAAGCUAUGUUGAUAUGGUUUUUCACUUGUAUAAUACAAAAUUUAUUAUAUCUUUAAUAAUUUUAUCAAAAUUAUUAUUUAAAAUUUAUAUUUACUAUAUAUUAUUAACUUUUGUUUCAUAAUUACAGCUUUUUUUUCACAGCAACUGUAGCUUAAAAGCUACAGCAUCUCAAUCCCAAACGCACCCUUUAUCUGCUACUUUUGUGGAUCUUAUAGGGUGGGCAUGUGAACAGAAUUUAAAAAUUUUAAUAGUCUCAAAGAAUAAGAUAUGCUAAAGCUAAAGUUGUUGCACCUUCUAAUUAAAUAAAGUUGUAUAAUUUCACCAACUUGGAAGAAUUGAUAUUAAUGGACGGUCCCCUCUCCAUAUAUGAAGCCUUCUUAAAAGUUAAUUUUUAUUUCAGAAAAAAAAAGUUUAAGUUACAUAUAUUAUAGUAAGAUUUUUUUAGACCAAUUCCCUUCUUGAAAUAAUAAUGGAAAAGCAUUAAUUUAAAAAUAAAAUGAAUAUGUAUUGAUUAUAUCCUGAUUUUCAUCGAUUAUAGUGAGAGUUUCUCCAAAUCAAUUCCCUUAUUCAAAUAAUACAGAAAAAAUAGUAAUUUAAUAGUAAAAUAAACAAGUGUUGAUUAUAUAUUCUAAGUUUCAUCGAUUAUGUGAUCAAAGUGGCAUUGUUGAUUUAUUUCUUGUUCAAUGUUAAUUUUUAGGUUAUAUAAAUUUCAAGGAUCUAAAAUCUUUGGUCAUGGAUUACACGCUUGUUAAUUUUUCUGCCAUUAACUGUCAUAUUCUAGACUUAAUGAUACCUUUCUUGAUCAAGCGUAAUUAUUCUCUCUUCUCCUCUUAUAAAUUCCUCUUCCAUUAACAUCACUAGGAGUAUGUUGAUCUCUCAGACGUUAACUUGAGUGGAGAGUUUCCAAAUUGAUUGUUACAAAACAACACAAAAACUAGACACACUUGAUCUGUCUAAUAAUUCUCUUUCGGUAAAAUUAAUUAAUUUUAGGGAAAUAUUCUGCCAACCUCUGUAAUUUCAAAGUGAUCAUUAAUUAAUUAAACGAUACAAAUAUCUAAAGUGAUUAGAUGUUUGCCGACAAUACAAGUUCAUGACUUGAAAUUUGAUCUCUAUCGAUUGGUUUACAAAUGGACGUACUUGUGCCUUUGUGGCGAUAAUCAAACAAGUUCCCAUGAUUAUUAUUUUUUCCAAAAACGUUUUUACAACAAAUUCAUCUCGCCAAAAAUUCUAUGUUGCUAACUAACAAUAAUUGAGCACUUGGCCGCAUUGACCCCACGUCUCCACCUCUUUCUAAAAACAUGGAAAAUGUAAUUUCCACAAAAUGCCAAACGUGUGGAAUUUAAUUUUUUUGCCUUGUGGAUCAAAAUACAAAUGAAAGAAACAGGAGAAAAAAAAGGCCCAAAGACUUCUAAAAGAUGAAGAAGUCUUUGGGCCUUUUUAUAAUGGUGAAUUUUUUAAAAGAAAAAAAAUAACAACAUUUUUAUGGUUUGUUUUGAUAAUCAUAUUUACAUAUACUCUCUAAUUUUCAAAAUGGACACAUAAAUCUUUUUUUUUACAAAAUAUAUAUUAUUCAUAUUUUUUAUUUUUUAUUAUCAUAUUUUUAUUUAUUAUAAAUGUUUAGAGUAAAUUUUUAGGUUGAAAUAUAAUAAAAAUGUAUAAUCGUUCUCUUAUUAAACACACAUACUUUUAUUAGUUUCUAUGCAUUUGUCAUCUCAAUCUCUCUCAAUUAUUCUUUAUUGCUAGCUCAAAACGCGUUGCUGUUGCAAAUUAUAGCAAAAUGACAAAUAUGGAAAAAAAGGGAAGAAAAUUAAUGCAUGAAAGACUUGGAGAAAACAACAAAAUAAGCCAACUAUGAGCUAGUUGGGUGUAUAAAUUGUUAGAUGUGUUAUAUACAAAUAGCAUAGAGCCCUCUAGUUAGUUCCAGAGACAGAAAGAGCGUGUGUGUUUUUUCACAGUUAGAGAUAUAGUUAGAAUGGGUGGUUCAAAAUCAAAAAUGAUGAUAAUGUUUAUUAUGUUAUUAAUAAUAUUUAAAAGUGGGUGGAGUGAGGGAUGUUUGGAUCACGAGAGAUUUGCUCUUUUGCGACUCAAACAUUUCUUCGAUGAUAGUUAUCUUUAUGACUGGGCCGAUGAUGAGGGAGCUACUGAUUGUUGUCAGUGGGAAAAUGUUGAGUGCAGCAACACCACAGGCCGAGUGAUAGCGCUAGACCUUUUUGACACGCAUGGGGGAGAGCACAGCUGGUAUAUGAAUGCUUCUUUGUUUACUCCCUUCCAACAACUUGAGUCACUUGAUUUAACUGACAACAAUAUAGCCGGUUGUGUUGAGAAUGAAGGUGCUUCGUUUAAUUUAAUUAAUUUACUUUCUCCCCCCAAAUUUAAGUUGAAUAUCAAGACCGAGCAAUUAUAUGCAUAUUCAUUUAGUCGACAAUUUUGACUUUUUUUUAAAUGAUUAAUUUUGAAAUUACACCAGUAUCUAUGAUCUUUUUUUAUUUUAUUUUAUUUGCAGGUAUAGAGAGGCUAUCAAGAUUGAACAACUUGAAGAUGCUUAAUUUAAGUCGAAACUCAUUCAAUAAUAGCAUUUUAUCAUCUCUAACUCAUCUUUCAUCAUUAAGAUCAUUAAAUUUACUUUGGAAUAGAUUGGAAGGAAGUAUUGACGUUAAAGGUACAUAAUUAAAACUUCAAGCUCUUUCAUUAACUUGCUAAAAUAAGAUUCAAGGCUUUGAAAGAAAAAGAGAGAAAAAAACAAGGCCCAAAGACUUCUAAAAGAUGUAAAAGUCUUUGGGCUUUUUUAUAAUGGUGGAUUUUUUAAAAGGAAAAAAUAACAACGCUUCUAUGGUUUGUUUUGAUAAUCACAUUUACAUAUACUCUCUAAAUUUCAAAAUGGACACAUAAAUCUUUUUUUUUUCUACAAAUGUAUAUUGUAUUUUUUAUUAUUUUUAAUAUCAUAUUGUUAUUUAUUAUAAAUAUUUAAAGUAAAUUUUUAAGUUGAAAUAUAAUAAAAGAGUAUAAUCGUUCUCUUCUUAAACACUCAUACUUUUAGUUUCUAUCCAUUUGUCAUCUCAAUCUCUCUCAAUUAUUCAUUAUUGCUAGCUCAAAACGCGUUGCUGUGGAAAAUUAUAGCAAAAAGACAAAUAUGGAAAAGAAAAAAGGGAAGAAAAUUAAUGCAUGAAAGACUUGGAGAAAACAACGAAGUAAGUCAACUAUAAUCUAGCUGGGUGUAUAAAUUGUUUGAUGCUUUAUAAGCAAAUAACAUACAGAGACAGACAAUGUGUGUUCGUUUUUUCAUAGUUAAAGAUAUAGUUAGAAUGGGUGGUUCAAAAUCAAAAAUGGUGAUAAUGUUUGUUAUGUUAUUAAUAAUAUUUAAAAGUGGGUGGAGUGAGGGAUGUUUGGAUCACGAGAGAUUUGCUCUUUUACGACUCAAACAUUUCUUCAAUGAUCCUCUUAAUUCUCUUUACGACUGGGUAGAUGGUGAGGGAGCUACUGAUUGUUGUCAGUGGGAAAGGGUUGAGUGCAGCAACACCACAGGCCAAGUGAUAGCGUUGCACCUUUCUAAUAUAUAUUUGGGAGAGUACAGCUGGUAUCUGAAUGCUUCUUUGUUUACUCCCUUCCAACAACUUGAGUCACUUGAUUUAAGUUUCAACAAAAUAGCCGGUUGUGAUGAGAAUGAAGGUGCUUCGUUUAAUUUAAUUAAUUUACUUUCUCUCUCCUAAUUUAAGUGGUAUAUUAAAAUUGAGCAACUAUAUGCAUAUACAUUAGUUGACAAUUUUGACAUAUUUUUUGAAGUGAUUAAUUAAUUUUGAAAUUACACCAAAUAUCUAUGAUCAUUUUUUUUUAUUUUACUUGAAGGUAUAAAGAGGUUAUCAAGAUUGAACAACUUGAAGAUGCUUAAUUUAAGUGCUAACUCGUUCAACAAUAGCAUUUUAUCAUCUCUAACUCAUCUUUCAUCAAUAAGAUCAUUAAAUUUAUAUGUGAAUGAAUUGGAAGGAAGUAUUGAUGCUAAAGGUACAUAUUUAAAACUUCUCUCUUCCCCAAGCUCUUUCAUUAACUUGCUAAAAUAAGAUUCAAGGCUUUGAAUUCAAUUUUUUUAUGAUUAAUAUUUAAAAAAAACAGUUUUAAGCAAUUUAUAAAUACAAGUUUUAAUGUUUCUUAUAAUUUCAUCUUGUACUUUCAUAUGUCUUGAAUUUAAGAUUAAAAAAAAAACUCUAAUAGCAAACCAAACACCUCCACAACUUAUUAUUAUUAUUAUUAUUAUUAUUAUUAUUAUUAUAUAUUUUUUAAUUUGUGGUGAGGUUUGAAACAUUCAACUCAAUUUGUACUUGUUACAGAAUUUGAUUCUUUGAGAGAUUUAGAGGAGCUAGACAUUGGCGGGAACAAGAUUGACAAAUUUGUGGUCUCAAAAGGUACUACAAAUACCAUAAAAAAAAUAUGCUAACUUUUACAAAUUAGUUAGAUUCUUUGCCAUUUGGUUUAUUAUUUUACAGGUUUGAGUAAGUUGAAGUCUCUUGGUUUAAGUGGUAUCAAACUCAAUCGUAGCAUCUUAUCUUCUCUUUCUUCGUUAAGAGAAUUAGAUAUAAGUCGUACGGGAUUCAAAGGAACAUUUGAUGUUCGAGGUAAGCCUAAACCUUGCUUUCUCAUUUUAUAUAUGCCAACUAGAUUUGUGUAUCAUCGACAUAAUUUAAUAUUUAAUUUGAUAAGUCUGAAGGAAUUACAUGCUAAUUUAAACACACUUUUAUUUACUUUGUCAAUUAAUCAAUUAAUUACUAUUUGGCUUGGUUUGGACGAAAUUCUCAUGAUGUUUUAAUUUCUUUAAAUUAAUUAAUUAAUUAACUCUGUUUUUAAGUCUUAAGUCUGGGCAUGUUUGCAGAAUUUGAUUCCUUCAAUAACUUAGAAGUGUUGGACAUGAGUUGGAACGAAAUCGACAAUCUUGUGGUUCCUCAAGGUAAACAAUUAAAAUAUUAUUCAAUUACAUUAUUUUAAUUCAUUUGAUUAGAGAAGGCCAAAAAGGUAAAAAAAAAAUUCAAUAAAGAAAUAGAGAAUUUGUAUUAUUUAAAAAACAGAAUGUAAUAAAGAUUUGAUUCUAGUUCUUUAAUCUUUAAAGCGAUUGAAAAACAAUGUUGGUCUUUUCGCAAAGCAUAAAAUACGAAUUGAAUGCCAAUUAACUUAAUCAUUCAUUUCGUUUAGCUCUAAAUUUAGACAAUGAAUUUUUAUAUUAUUUCAAAAACAGGACGUAAUAGAAUUUUUUUAAAAAUAGAUUGUAAUGAAGAUUUGAUUCCAAUUCUUUAAUCUUUACAGUGAUUGAAAAACGAUACUACUUCCCAAAGCAUAAAAUACGAAUUGACUCUCAAUUAAAUUAAUCAUUUAUUUCGUUCAUCUCUGAAUUUAAAUAAUGAAUUUUGAUCUUCAAUCUUUUCCUAAUUAUUAUUAAUAAACAGGUUACAGAGGUUUGAGGAAGUUGAAAAGCUUUGGUCUAUCGGGAGUUGGAAUUAGAGAUGGAAGCAAGUUGUUACAGUCAAUGAGAUCAUUCCCAUCCCUCAACACUCUUGACCUGACCGAUAAUAAUUUUACCAAUAUAGCGACCGCUACUCAAGGUAAGUAAAAGGUACAGAUGUGGCCAAAUUUAUAAAUAAAUUGUUUAUUAAUUAAUUUUUUCGUAUUAUUAAUUAAGCUAAAUUCGUUGCUCCUUCCUUCUAAAUCUAAACAGAGUUGCACAAUUUCACCAACUUGGAAUAUUUGACAUUGCACGGUUCCUCUCUCCAUAUAAGCCUUCUGCAAAGCAUUGCAUCAAUAUUCCCUUCGUUAAAAAAUCUGUCGAUGUCUUUUUGUGAAGUCAAUGGUGUUGUACGCGGUCAAGGUAAAAGAAAAGCGUUGAUUGUGAACUCACUCAAUGGUGUCCUACGUGUUCAACAUUUUUAUUUAUUAAUUUAUUUAUUGUUUAAUGUUUCUGCUAGGUUUUCCUCAUUUCAAGAGUUUGGAACAUUUUGACAUGAGCUCCACACGCAUUGCACUCAACACCAGCUUUCUUCAAAUCAUCGGUGAAUCGAUGCCUUCUCUUAAGUACUUAUCACUGUCAUAUUCUACUCUUGGCACUAACAGCAGCAGGAUUCUUGAUCAAGGUUAAUGAGAUGCUGCCACCCUCCCUUCUUAAUCUAUAAUAUUAAUUUUCGAUUAAAUAUUUAAUUACACAAACCAAUCACUUAUUAUAAAAGAAUAAUACGCAUUCAUUAAUUUUUAAAUUGUAUUAAUAAUUGAUGAAUUUAAUAAAUUUUCAGGCCUCUGUUCGUUGAUGCAUCUACAAGAGUUACACAUUGCUUAUAACGAUUUAAGAGGUAGCUUGCCUUGGUGCUUGGCAAAUAUGACAUCCCUCCGAAUAUUAGAUGUUUCUUCCAAUCAACUUACUGGAAGCAUCUCCUCAUCUCCCCUCGUUCAUUUGACAUCCAUUGAAGAGCUGAGGCUUUCAUACAACCACUUCCAGAUCCCAAUUUCACUUGAACCACUUUUCAAUCAUUCAAGACUCAAGAUUUUUUAUGCUGACAACAACGAACUAAAUGCAGAAAUAACUGAGUCACAUUCUUUGACCGCCCCAAACUUCCAAUUAUCACGUCUCUCAUUGUCUUCCAGUUACGGAGACAGUUUCAUAUUCCCCAAAUUCCUUUACCAUCAACAUGACCUGGAGUAUGUUGAUCUCUCACACAUAAAGAUGAAUGGAGAAUUUCCAACUUGGUUGUUGGAAAACAACACAAAAUUGAGACAACUUUCUCUCGUCAAUGAUUCUCUUGCAGGACAUUUCCGGUUGCCAAUUCAUUCACACAAGCGGUUAGGACUGUUGGAUAUAUCCAACAACAACUUCCGAGGCCACAUUCCAGUAAAAAUUGGAGAUGUUUUACCAAGUUUAUACGUUUUCAACAAUUCCAUGAAUGCUUUAGACGGUAGCAUUCCCUCUUCAUUUGGUAAUAUGAAAUUCCUCCAAAUUCUGGACUUAUCCAACAAUCACUUGACUGGUGAAAUCCCCGAGCACUUGGCCGUGGGUUGCGUCAACUUGCAGUCUCUUGCAUUAUCAAAUAACAACCUACAAGGUCAUUUGUUCUCUAGAAAUUUUAACUUGACAAACUUGCAAUGGUUACAAUUGGAGGGCAAUCGCUUCGUAGGUGAGAUCCCACAAAGUUUGUCUAAAUGCUCCUCACUAGAAGGAUUGUAUCUUAACAAUAAUAGUCUUUCGGGUAAGAUUCCACGAUGGUUGGGUAAUCUCACAUGGUUACAAUAUAUUAUACUGCCCAAUAAUCAUCUUGAAGGCCCUAUUCCAGUGGAGUUUUGUCAGCUUGAUUCGCUUCAGAUUUUGGACAUUUCAGACAACAACAUAUCUGGAAGUUUACCAUCUUGUUUCCAUCCUCUCUCUAUCAAACAAGUUCAUCUUUCAAAAAAUAUGUUACAUGGACAGCUAAAAAGAGGUACAUUCUUUAAUUGCUCUUCCCUUGUGACAUUAGAUCUUAGUUAUAACCGCUUGAAUGGCAGCAUUCCGGAUUGGGUUGAUGGGCUUUCUCGGUUAAGCCACCUUAUCUUAGGUCACAAUAAUCUUGAAGGUGAAGUGCCAGUUCAAUUGUGCAAAUUGAACCAACUACAAUUGUUAGAUCUUUCUAAUAAUAAUCUUCACGGUCUUAUUCCUCCUUGCUUUGAUAACACCACACUUCAUGAAAGUUACAGCAAUAGUUCUAGUCCUGAUGAGCAAUUUGAAAUAUUUUUUUCCAUCGAAGGCCCUCAGGGAGGUGUAGAAAAGCAAAUCCAUGAAAAUUUUGAGUUCACAACAAAGAACAAUGCAUACAUUUACCAAGGAAAAGUGCUUAGCCUCCUAUCAGGACUUGAUCUUUCUUGCAACAAGCUAAUCGGUCAUAUUCCUCCUCAAAUUGGAAAUUUGACAAGGAUUCAAACAUUGAAUCUAUCGCACAACAACUUGACAGGAUCGAUCCCAUCAACAUUUUCAAACUUGAAGUAUGUCGAAAGUUUGGAUCUUUCCAACAACAAAUUGAAUGGGAAAAUCCCUUAUCAACUAGUGGAGUUAAAGACAUUGGAGGUUUUCAGUGUGGCAUACAAUAACUUAUCAGGCGAAAUUCCAGAAUGGAAAGCACAAUUUGCAACCUUCAACGAGAGUAGCUAUGAGGGAAAUAUUUUUCUUUGUGGACUGCCAUUGCCUAUUUGCAUAUCACCAACAACUACGCAGGAGGCUUCAAUUGACAAUGAACGAGAUGAUAAUUUAAUUGACAUGGACAGUUUCUUUAUCACAUUUACAACAUCGUACGUAAUUGUGAUAUUCGGAAUUGUUAUUGUUUUAUAUGUAAAUUCUUAUUGGCGACGUAGAUGGUUUUACUUUGUUGAAAUGUGGAUAACUUCAUGUUAUUAUUUUAUUGUAGACAAUCUUAUUGCAACAAGAUAUUGUCAUUGAAAUUAAUUAGCAGUUUAAUUACCAUUCUUUAAGUUCUAAUCAAGUUUGCUUAGGAAAUAAAUUUAUUUUUAUUUUUUAUUAAAAUUGUAGUAGUAUUUAGCGCUAUAUAGCUUCCAACUUCCGAGCACUUCACAUUUGUCUCUACACUUCCAAACCCAUAUCUGUCCACCAUAACUUAUACUUCCUUAUACUGUGCAGCAUACUUAAAUAAGAGAACCAUCUCCAAUGUUAAAACCAACCACUCUAUAACAUUCAUUUAGAAACUAUAUUUAGAAUAUUUUUAUAAUCAUACACAAGAAAUGAAACACCUAGAUGCACUUGAUCGCCUUUUUUUACUUUAAAAAAUAAUGAUUAUGGUGCUAUCAUCAUCUUCUUCACUAGCGUCAUUAACACCAAAUCCAGCGACGGACCCAUACAUUUUAUCAAGAAAGGUAUAUAUAUAAUAAAGUUGAAGCUCGACAAAAAUUCAGGAAGAUUGAUGCCUCGCCACAACAAGGGGCACACCAACAUCAAAGUAGAGAUGAAGCAAUAUUCUCAAAGCUAAAACUCUCAAAUCCACCCACCAGAAUUUCAUAUCCCUCAACAAUUUUAAGAACUAAAGAUAAUUAGGAUCUAACAUUAGUUUUUUAUAUAUUAGUUUCAUAAUUUACAAAUCAAUGAAGAUGAAGAUUAUGCUAAUGAAUUCAAAUUAUACCAUACAUUCUCGAGAUGUUACCAAAAAUUUCUAAGUCAAUCCCACAUAUUUCAUAAUUUUAAGACUAGAAAAUUUCAUUAGUUAGAAGUUUAUUACCUUCAAGUGGAAGAUGAAGAACAUUAUACAACUGAUUCAGAUUAUAUCAUACAUACUCCAAAUGCAACUAGAAAUUAACAAGUUCAUGCGCACAGAUUUCAUAACAUUAUGAUUGGAAAGUUUCACAAAGAGAAAUUCUAAAUUCAAUCUAUUGCAUCAAGGUAGUUUGAUUGAUUUGAGUUACUUUCUGAUCAAGCUACUAAUAUAACAUUCAAGUCAGGGAGAAAGUAAAUUAAAUCUGAGAAGAAAUAACAAUAAAAAUUUGUUGCUAAACAUGAUGUGUAUUUUUUUUUCAAGGCAAUUUGGAAACACAGUUGUUACUACAGAUAUUCUCCUCAACUUAGAGAUAAAUACAAAUAUUAAAAUGCAUAUGAUCGCACAUAUUACUUGGAGCUUAGUAAGAUUUCAUAAAGAGAAGAAAUCAAACCACUUAUCAAUUGUUGCAAUCGUUCUAUAAGCUAAAAUAGCAAUAUAAUACAAGAAAAGGAACAUAUAGAUACUUGGCAAGAGUUCAUUAAGAAGUCGCAUCACAUUCGGGUGAGUUUGCUUCUGAUAUCUUGCUAGCGGGGGCUUUUUCUUGUCUUUCUACGUAUGCCGAGGGAAACUAACCAGCUUGGCCCUUGCAUUCACCUUCUGACCAUCCAGUAGGAGCCACCUUGAGAAGUUAUAACUAAAACAGUGAAUUAAACAAAAGUUGACCGUUCAAAGACCUAAGGGGAAAACUAAUUCUUUUACGUAGGAGGAGUGAAUUAGUUGUGAUCACUGAAAUAACAGCAUAACUAUGGAAGCAUAACAAGAUAUAAAUUCACACGUCUAUAAGGGUAAACUGGGUGGUUUAGAACUGAGCUAGCAACCCUACUAUAUUCUGAUUUGCACUUCAAUGUAAAAGGGAAUAUAUGGUAGGAAGAAAGAAAACCAACCAUCAUUUGUUAACUCAUUGCUUUUCAAUCAAAAUUUUAAGAACAAAAUGCCAUGUGCUUUGAACAUCAAAUAAGUAUAAGCAUUAGUUCUAAAUUCCACAUAUCAUAAGUUAGAAGGAUAAGUUAAUAGCAUAGUAGAAAAAUCUCUGUGUUGUUAUUUAGAGGGGAAAGUACCAGGCGAACCACAACAUAAUCAUCAAUUGAAAGACUUAGCUCUCCAUUUGCUUGAGCAUCAAAUGGAUGUAUAACCUGCAAGAUAAUGGGAUAAAUAGAACUUAAAUCUUAAAAAAAGCAUAACAAAAGCAGCAACAGUAGCAGCAGCGUUCAUUGUAACCACUAUGAUCAUGGCCAACAAAGAUAUAUUAGAAACAAAAUUCCAUUUUUACUACGACAUUAAUAUGUACUAUAUGAUAUCAUGACGAUAGGGUUACCAAGAGCUAUCAAAGUCCAAUAAAUUCUGUAUAACUUUAUGUAGUUAUUCAAAUUAUGGAUCAGAUUUUAAAUCUGAAAUUUUGACUGCUCUCCACAAAACAUGGCCUAUGCACAAGAAAGUCAUAGAUAAUGAGGAUUACAAGUGUCUGACAUCUUUUGAGUGAUGGAUUUAACAUGAGAGCUUAUGGUCAGUCAAUUUCCUCUGCCUAGCAAUAUAAGCUUUUUCGGCCAGAUUUAUCAUCAAAUACAUAGAUUGCCCCCAAGUCACAUCCAUAUAAACAUAGUUUUUCUAGGUAAACCAAGUAAGGAAAAUCAUAAUUCAGACAUAAUCAUAAAAAGACCCAUCUAACUUUCUUUGGCAUGCCUAACUCAGCUUUGAUGUUGCUGAGAUAUUGAUAGUAGAGACACAUGAUACUUCUAGCUCAUGCAUUCUAUCUAGCUCAUCUGACAGCUAUCUCUUUUUUAAUUCAUUAGUGUUUGCUAAACCUCAUGCUUAAGAGUCCUGUUCUCCUAAACAAAGUUUUCUAAGAAUGACUUCCUCAGCACCACAUUUGGACACUUUUAAAGCAAUUUUAUUUGGGGGAAAAGAAUUUUCAAGGUGUUAACUAAUAAAUUUUAAAAAAUAAUUACAAUUUGUCCUACGAUUAUAUGACAAUUUAUCUGGGAUGAACGGAUACAGACAAACAUCUUCCACUUUUAAGACUAAUCACUACUUCCGUAGAUGUUUUGCAAUAACACAAAUGCUUGACCAGAUGGUAGUGAUGGUAGAAAAAAAUUUUAUUGCUCUAAAAUUAAAAUAAGAAUGCAAUAUGUUAAGCAAAAGACUGUGCAACAUCAAAUUAAUUGAUAAGUUUGUAAUUCAGUAAAUUAACAACUUUCAUGGUAAAAUACAACAAAUUUCUUUUCAAAAAAAAAUCUUAAAAGACAGCAUUCAAUUUUGUGCGCAUCUUAUUUCUUAAGAUUUUCCAGGAGGGCAAUACAGGGACUUUCACCUACGCAAGAGAGCAAAAGCCUUACUUUCGCUAUAAAGUAGACGUCAUUCUGAUUAAUAUGCGUUUGCAAAUCAGCUCCAUUUGAAUCAGUAUUCUGAUAGACACAUGAGGCAUUUACAUCCAUUUCCAAAGUCACAUGUUGCGAGGAGGACUCAUUUGAUUGCUCCUCUAGGAUCAUCUAAUUCAAGUAGCAAGGGUUGGAAGAGAAUAAAAAGUCACAAUUAUUCUUUUGCAUAAGUGAGACGAAAAUGAUAAAUGCACUAUUAUCAGCAGUAAACAAGAAGAGAACACUCCAAGGAAUAGAUAGAUGCGGACAAGCAAGUUAAAAUGCAAAGUUCCAAACCUCCGCAUACAACUUCUCUAAAAUAGCAAUAAUGUGUUGAUGAUAUGUUUUCUCAGCAUCUACCUGCAAAGGCCCGAGACUAGGAAAACAACAAUAAAACCACUAGCUAAAGGAGAAAGUAAAUAAAGAAAUACACUUGACAUAAAUCUUGACAAGAAGCACAAUUUAAGACAUAACAAACCCCAAUCAUAUUGUUUAGAACUACCAUUCGUUAUUUCGUUAUUGUAGCAUUUCGAACAAGUGUUGACUUAAUUCAACAUUGUUGGAAAGAUAGGCUUUUAGAAGCGGAAGAAAGCCACUCAAACCAAAGUGAUUAUCCUUGUAUUGAUCAAGGGAUGUAAACAUAUUACAUUUGCAGGAUGAGUUUUAAUCACUCCCCUGAUUUAUUUGGGUUGCAGUAAAACUAAGCGAGCAACUGUUUGACUUUCAAGCAACAUCUAAAUCAGCUAUUAAAAUUCAAAUAAAAUCAUAAUAGAAUAAUAACAGGCCAUCUUGCAUCAAAAAUUAAGUUUAAUUUGUGAAUUUUUUUCUAUAGACAUGUUAGUUCCUGCUAUUGAAAUGUUAAAAGCAUUGAAAAAUUAUUCAAUAAAUUAUGCAAACAUUAAAAUAGAGGACAUAUUAAAAAGUUUCUAAUUACAAUGUUAUGAUUUCCUAUAUUUUAGCAUUUGCAUAUUUUAAUUUAUUUAAAAGCUACGUCGAUCAACUUUGGGCGUGAAGAUUUUAGCUUCUACGAGACUUGAUUGGAAUAUGCAUAAGGAAGAGUGUUAAAAUAUGAUGCAUCCAACGAAAGACAAACCACGUGUAGUCUUUUAAUUAAGCCAAGAGUAGUGCUAGAGAGAGAGAAGCACGAGAGAAGGACGAGAGAAUUUUGCCCCUUUCUCUCUACCCACUCAUUCUCUCUCUACCCCUUUUUUCAUUGUUUCUCUCGUCUUUCUCUCGUGUUUCUCUACACCAAGCAUUUUCCUUAAGCCAAAGUAGCAGCUCAAACAAAUGACACUUGGACCAACAUGCAAUCAUGAAGUGGCCGGAAAAAGGACAAAUGCAACUUUGGCUUAAAUAAAAAAUAACAUGUGACUUGACUUUUGCUGGACAUGCAUCAUGUUAUUACAAGACAACAGAAAUCAGUAUGAUAGUACUAAAAGUUGACAAUAACAUGAAGAUAAGAGGCAGAAUGUCAACAAAUGCAUAGGCACACACAAGAAAGUAUUAACUUAUAUACCAUAGCAAAAAGUCUUUGAUAUGUCAUCUGUUGCUGCUGUGAUUCAACUGACAGCAUGGCAGCUGUCGCUUCUCUACCAAGAGCCAUUAUUGUAGAUUUAAGCUCGGUCAAUCUUGCUUCUGCAUUUCGAAGCUUCACAGCACUCUCUGCUGAUAUAUCAGAUUCCCUAAUCUUUGAUCGGCGCCUAAAUACUUCAGCUGCCUGGUGAAAAUAUUCAAUAUAAAUCUAACAUAAUUCUAAUCUUGCCUUAUACAUGCAUAUGUUAACUCAAAGCUUACCUGCGCUUCAACUUCAUGUCGAAGUUUGUCAUAACGAUGAGUCAGGUGUCGAGCAUCUUCCAAAGGUGCUCCAUUGAUUAACGCCCGUAGUGGCUCAGAUACCGACAUGUCCAAAAACCUGUAACAUAGUUAGAAAAAUGAAAAGAAAGAGCAAAACCUCAAUUAAAAAGUUCCUCCAACAUAAUCAUGGAAUUUGGGCCUACUUCAAGGAUAUAUAUAAGGAUAAUUUAUGCAAUUUUGGGUCUAAGGAUGAUUCAUAUUAGGUUAGUGUUCUUCUCUUCUGUAUUUAAGGUUAAAAUAGAAAUAAACCUAUGAAAAUAUCUAAAUUAGGGCUGUAAGACUUCCACAUGCAUCCUUCAGUCUCAUGGAUUUGAUUUUACUAUAGAUGCAAGUGUCUUUAUCGAAAAUGCUUGGAGUCAAUUGAGAGAACUCACGGCCAAUAACUUGUCACACGCUAGUCUUUGCUAGUGAUGUAAGAAGUCACAAGGUCUCUUCAACAUUUGAACCAAUAAAAUUAUUAAGUCAUGGAUGUCACUAGCAAUGAUUUUAAUAUAAAACAUUACAUAUUUCAGAGUUGAAACUUUAAAAUGGAUUCUUUUAUUCAGUAUCUUAGAACUAAGUUUCCUUAUGAGAAGAUAAUAGUUUCAGUAGUAAUUUACAUAUAAUUUUCUAUAUUUGAAUUAUUUUCUAGUUAGGGAUGAACUAACCUGAUCACGAAGAAUCCCAAGCAAAGUUUCCCUCUCAUUUUCCAUCAAAUCAUGUGAAGUGCCAAAUUGAAGAGCAGCUCUUGCAACGCAAGAAUUGUCACUUUGAUUCUCCACUCCAUACUUGCAACAAUCUUCGGCCAACUUUCUCGCUACAAUAUUUGAAUACAAAAAUAUUGUACACGAGAACUAGUCAAGAAAAUUAAAAAAAAAAAAAAUCAAAUAUUAUAACGAGAGCAAGAGCAAACAAACAACCUAUUUCCAUUUGUUUCAAGCUUACUGCAACAAACCCUUCAACGCCACGGACAACAUUCCUCUGAAAAUGCUGCGCUACAGAGCAUAUAUUCCAAAUUAUUGUUCAGAUAAAACCAUACAAACCAUCAUAAUUAUUCAACAUACAUUAAGCUCCGUUUGGUAAAUACUUGCAACUUCAGUCCAGAAAAUACAGUUAAUUUUUAUUUAAAAAACAUCAUAAUUAUCAACAUACAUAUUUGACAAAAUUAUUAUUUAAAAAUCAUAACUAAUUACCAAAAGCCACAAUAAAUCAAUAUCAAACAGUCUUAUUAUUAGCUAAAGGAGGAUAGUACCUUAGCUGCCCUGGUGGAAUUGUAUAGAUUUUGAAGUUGUUGGUGACACUCAAUUUCAGAUUCAUCAACAUUUUCAAUACCAAGAUGGAGCAGAUGCUUCAAUACUGCCUGUACAAACCAUAAAAAACUAAUGAAAAAUAAAUAAAAUCGAGAAAUUUCACUAAAUAAAAGUCUAAAUAUAAUUUUUAAAAAAAGAAAAGAAACGGACUUGCUGCUGCUUGGCGACUUGUUCUCGGAGCUUGAUUGCCUGUUUCUUGAUAGCUUCCAUACUGUUUCUUUCAAAAAGCGACGACGGCUCAGCUCAUGGAGGUGGAAAAAAAAAAGUGUGAUGGAGAAAAAUAAAAAGGCAUGAAUAAUUUUUGACAAAAAGCGAAAAUCAAGGAAAGCCAGCUCUUUCCAGAAAAAUAAAAAAGAAAAAAGAAAAUUAUAAGUUUGAAAGGAGAAGAUGAUAGUGGAAGUGUGCGGUGUGGCUGCCAGCUACUUGGAUUUUACUGUUGGGUAAGGUAAUAGUAGAGAAUUUUUUUUUUUUUUUAAGAAAAAUAGUAGAGAAUUUUUUAAGAAGCUAGAACAGAGCAUGACAUUAGACUUUUGUGGACCAAAUUCAAAAGCCGAAUGGCACGGCCCAGAAGCUUUUGAAUAGAAAAACUUGCAUCAGCCUCAAUCACUUCUUAAUCGCUUGCUUUAACUGCAUCGCUCUCUCUGUGCUCUUCUAUAUAUGUAACGGUUAUGCGGUUGUAGUUCACGACUGAGGCUACGUGUUGGUUUGACGUGGCAGUUACGUUACUAGGGGAUAAAUAAGAUUGGUUUCAACAAACCCACUAAUUUUAUAAAAUUCGAGUAAUAUAGAAUAAAAUAAAAAAAAUAAAUACAAAAUUGGCUUUUAUUUUUUCUGGUUGACUGUAUUUUGUGUUCUCUUCCGGCACUACUACAAUUGUUCCCUAUAUAUUAGUCACACCCAUAUGUCAUUAACACAAGAAAUGAAAUCUAAUGUCACCUAUUUAGUUAAAGAAUCACUUAUGAAAAAAUUUUACCAUUUUGAUUUGAGGAUCCAUAUUUUGAACUGCAAACUAAUGUUCAUCAAGAACAGAGUAUGACUUAUGUGUAGAAAAUUUUAUGAUUUUGGCCCGAAAUAUAAGGAAAUUAAAUUAGAUGAGAAUCUGCCACUUUCUCAUGAAGAAAGGCAUGCGGAGCAUACCAUGGUACCAUACGGAGAAUAUUAGAACCUCCCUAGAAUAUCUUUACCCUGAUGUUUCUAACAAAAAUCUGCAUGUGGCAGCAAUUACUAGAUCUACAAUUUCCCAAAUAAUAUUUUGUGUUUCUUAAAAAAUUUGAAAUACAUAGUUGCACUUGCACACCGUGAGACAGUGCUACAAUCUACUGAGAUCUAAAUUAUAUGAGACUUUAAGCUACUAAUGUUUGCAUAUUUCUACAUGUCAAAUUAACAUUACCAUCUAUAAUCCUAAACGACAGAUGAUAAACGGCUUUUGGCCACUUAUUACUAGCAUCCACAAUUAAUUUUUGUUCAGCAAUCAGCUUAUUUUAUAGAAAUUGAUUUAGUCAGCAACAAACACUAUAAUACUUGAAAUUAGUUCUUGUUCUUUGUAAUUUUCUAUGAUUUUUCAUAUAUCAAUUAAUCUGCAGUGCCAAGAUGAGGUUUAGUUUUCAAACUAAAUAAUCAAGUAAGCAAAAAUACAAAUUCAGAGAUUAGCGGGGUAAACUAGCUGGGUGGUUUAGAACUGGGCUAGCUACCUCCCUGUAUUCCUAUUUGUAAGGUGAAUUAAUUGAAUCAUGAGAAAACAAUGUGACCAUAGCUCAAUAUGAGAUGAUUUCGGAGAGGCAUAUUGUUUUCGAGUGAAUUUGAUCCAUUAAGAGAUGAAGUGGAUUGAAGUGGAAAGUUUAAAUAACAAAUCCUUGUUCUUGAGUUUUACGACGUCGUUACUCCUUCAGGUGGCAGAUUAUGCAAGUGAAUUCAAAAACACAAUGCAUCAAUCACGGGGACAAAAGACGGGAUCACAGUCUAUGCAUUGAACAGUUACAGUUGCUGCUACCAAUUGUUCGGCAAAGAUCAAGAAGACUGAACGGGAAGCUAAUGCCAUCAAUGUCGUCUUCACUAUAUCUGCUGGGAAUGUAGGUGAACUUUCCUCAUUUGCAGCUGUCUAUACAUAGGCUUUUCCCCAGCUUAAGUACAAAUAAAUGAAGCUGCCUUGAAGGCUUUAUUAUUGACCCCAAUAAGGAUUACUAAUUGAAGAAGACUAUACGGAGUUAAUCUCACAUUUUAGUUCUCUCAAUUUCUUUCAGAAGUGCCUCUGAAAAUAGCUGCCAAACCGUUAGUCAGCUUGUAUACUCUGUUUUCUGGAAACAGAGUAGCAUAUUUAAUCGUUUUAAUUGAAUUGUCUUCGUAGCGAUCAUCAACAAACUCAUCAUAAGAUUUUUGAAGCACCCAAGGACUAUCACUGGGUUUCUCUUCUGGUUGAUUUAUUAAUUAAUCAAAGAACGGUUGGAUGAAGUGCAAUGAUGGAGCAAAAUUUACAAUGUCUCCGGUUUCUCCUGACCAUCGGACUUUUGCAGUGAGAACAUAUAACAAAAAGACCUUCAUCAAAAUUUGUAGACUCCGGGUAUGGAUUGGAUCGAGUUUUUUGUUUGAUAUUGAAGAACCACUUUACUAUCGCGAUAUAGAUUAUGUGCAAGGGGUUGUCUACUGUUCUUUGCCUUGUGCUAUGAUCGGUGCUUUUGACGUUGCCCCGAAACAGUGGAAAAUACUUCGAUUUCCUCCGUUUGAUGAUGCAAAGAACUGGUUAAUGUACGAUUACCUAAUUGACUCAGGAUCAAGUAACAACAACAAUUUAUUAAUAGUAGUAUCACAAACGAAGAAGAUUUCGGAGAGGGUGAUGUAUGCCUAUACCGUUUACAGGUUUGAUCCACAGGGGAUGAAGUGGUCUCAAGUGGAAAGUGAUUUAUUAAACAACAAAUCAUUGUUCUUGGGUCAUACCUCAUGAUGUCAUCAAGUGGAAGAUGAAGAUUAUGCAAGACGAAGAUCGUUUGAUAUUGAAGAAUUUGAACAGAAAGCCCAUAGAAAGUACUUAAAUAAGCAUAUUCUUGUUGGGGUAGAAUAUUAAGAAAGGAGUUGUCUACUGUGUGUUGCGUGAUUAGGCUAUGAUCUGUGCUUUGAACAUUGCCCUCAAAACAGUGGAAAAUACUUCAUAUCCUCGACAUGAUGAUGAAAAAUUGGUUACCGAUUACCUAAUUGACUCAGUGACAACAAUCUAUUAAUAGCACAAUUUGGCGUGAUGCCGUUUAGGUAUAUGGUUUUCAAGUUUGAUUCAUCAGUGAUGAAGUGGACUAAAAUAAGAUGUUUAAAUGAUAAGUCAUUGUUCUUGGGCAUAUCGUCAUUACUACUUCUAGUGAUCAAAGAUGAAGAUGAAGAUGAAGAUGAAGAUGAAAAUUGUGCGAGUUCAAGAUUACCAUCAACUCAAUUUUAUGAUUGGAGUGUCUCACCGUGACUCAGACAAAUUCUGAUUCAACCUCCUUCACCAAUGGAUUUUGAUUAGUUAUUUUGUGAUCAAGCAACUUAAUUAAACUCACAGUUUGUUAGUCUAAUUUUAGUUUUACUGUGACCACUAUUCAAGGUAAGCGAAAGUUACAGAUGUGGCAAAAUCAAUAAUUAAAUUCAUAAAAUGUUAAAAAAUAAAACUUAUAAAUUUUGCAUGACUACUUACUAAUAAAUAAAUAAGUUAGAAUGUAGUUAGUUAAUUUUACACCAUAUUAUAUAUUAUUCGAUAAUAAUAUAAAAUAAAAAGAAUUAAAAAAUAAAUAAUUGAAUAAACAAAUAUGACUUUCUAAACAGUAAAAAUUCUAGAGUUAAAAUUUAUAUUAUUAUUUUAUUUUUUAAAAUUGACAUAUUUCUAUUAUCUUACAUGUACACAGAUUUUGAGAGUUGAGAAGAAUAUAUUUAAUGAAGCUUGCUAACAUUUGGUGGGAUAGCAAGUAAGGGUAAAUAAGAUUUUUUUGUUAUUUAUUUGAAUUAUAUCUAUUUUGUUCAAGUUAAAAUACUAAAUAUAAAUUGGAGGUAGACAUUUUAACAGAUCAUCUAAGCUCUCAAAUCUGAAAUUUUGUGUAGAUUUAAAUUCAUAAUUUUAGUUAAUUUUCAUACAUUCAUAUAAACAAAUUUAUGAGAUUUUUCUUUUCAGCAUGUUAUAUUUUGAAACUUUCAAUGUAUUAUUCUAGCUUUAUUUAAAUAAUUAAUUUAUUUAAAAUUUAUUUAAUUUUGAAUUUGAUCAAUAGUAAAAUUAUUUUUAUAUCAAAUUUUUUUAUUUAAAUAGUUCGUGGAUUGGACAAAAUUAAAAAUUUUUAAUCCACAAAAUGGUGGAUUAGAUAUGAAUUGGGUUAAAUACACAUUCGAUCCGCAGUCGUAUGAAUUUGAUUUGGAUUGAAUUUCAUCAAUCCAUGGAUUAGAUUGGAUUGAAAAAUUUAUUAUCCGCAAAAUCGUGGAUCGAAUAUGGACUGAUGUCCAAUCAGCAAAAUCCAAUCCCCGAACACUCCUCUAUCAAAAUUUUCAAGAAUAUUUUUUAUCUUACAAAUUUUUUUUAAAGUCAUAGUCUAAGGGCGGCCCAAUUUCUACUCCAUCCAUAUAAGCGGAGUUCAAAUCUCAUACCUCUUAUCUCCACACAAGAGAUUUAACCAAUUGAAAUAGCUAGCACCCACAAGUAUACUAGUACAGCAUCUCUUAACGUUUAACAUACGUAAAAUUAACGCCAUAGCUAUUGAUAAACACAUUGUUCAAUAUAUAUGAUCAAGAAUCUGAUCCUGCGAGCAACAGCAGUCAGAAGAACCAUUAUAAUGCCUAGCUCUUAUCCUGGUUAAUCCUCUGGCCCGAUGCUUCAUCAUAGUGAUUUAAAAAACCAACAACAGCUCUCUAAAAGAGAUGAAGAUAUCAUCUACGUAAAGAACAUGAGACGGAGAUUCACAACCCAUAAGAACUGAGAUAAAUUGGACCAGACCAGUAAUCUUGAGAUAAGUUAAACUGUGACUUAAGUUGAAAUCAGAGGACAGGAAUUUUAAAAUCUUUCGGCUAAGCCCCUGAGGAAUUUUCUAGAGUACGACUUCUGCUUACCUCUGUUUAAUUUCUCUUUAUAUUUUUCUUUCAUUUCAUUAAUAAAGUCAAAUAAUAAAUCAAAGAACGAGGGAAGAUUUUUCCAAGUCAUGCAUUAUUUGAUUACCAUCAAUCAAGAAACCGACCAAAUUAAUUUCUCUCCGUGAUUUUUAAAAAUUAAAAAAAAAAUAUUUGAGCAUAACAUCAUUAAUUAUAGAGUGGAUCAAACUGCGUUAAUCAUGAACUUUGUUGUGUUAAUUAUUUCAAUCCCCGAUUACGCAAUUUUUAAAUUAUAGCCUAACGGUGGUCUCAUCACCACGUGUGUGAUUUUCUUUUGCCAAUAGGAUCUGUAGAGAGCUUGAUCUCACCCAAUAGCAAAAUAAACUUCCUAAUAAGUGAAGGCAUAGUAUAAAUAAUUCACCCCCAUAUUAUUUAUUAGCAGCUUGAUUAUUUUAUAUGCAUCUUUGAUUUAAAUUUUUUUUUCCCAUAAUUGCUACUAUGUUCGAACUGGUCAUGAAUUAUCUAUAAGAUUUUUCAUGUUGCUUUUAGGUGCAUUGGAUUUUUUUUAGUUUAGUGCAAGAGUAGAGGAAGGCAAAUUAAGAAAAAGGAUAAAGAUCUAUGAUUAGCUAUUUUGGGAUGUCUCAUAACAUAUUGAUGGUAACAUUAUACAUAUGUAUAUCUAAAAAAUGGGGUUGGAUCAAGAGCCCAUUAAUAAUCAUAGAUUAGCUUAUAUAGCAAUUUCACAAGCACAUGUUAGCCUAUGUUGAGCUUUAUUAUCAAUAGUUCAUAGUUCAUCGGUGCACUGCAGGUUUACUAUUUGAAGUAAAUAUUAUGGUGCGUGCAUUUUUUAUAAGGCCAACUGCUGAAUUUAGCAUUGAAACUUACAAAAUGUAAUAGAGAGAGGUAGAUAACAGCCACAAAACACUAAGAUUGGAAAUCAGGGCUACUAAAUACUAUUACAAGCCCUUAGAAAAGACACUGAUCAUCCUAGAAUGUAUAUACUGAAAGUAAGAAAUAUUAAUCGCAAAGUUAUGUGCCAACAAAACUAUUGACUACUUGUCUCUAGCAGAAGGUAUAUAUUUUUAACUUCAGCUCUCUACUUUGUUCUAAGAACUAGGCAAAAGAAUGAAACUUCGGUGUCUAAAGUUUGCCGCUUGAAAUAUUUCACUGUCUAAACAUUCACUCACCACUUAUUUCAUAAAUGAAUUUUGUCUAACUAUAUGUUGAUAAAGAUAUUAGAGGUAAUAUAAUGCAUUUAAGACUUAACGUAUAUUUUUUAUUAGUAGAGUGUAGAAUUUUUAAGAAAUAAAUUAUUAAAUUACUAUAACUAACAUAUUAUUUUAAAGUUAUGUUAAGAAAAGAAUGAAAAUAAAAAAUAAAAAAAUAAGGGUAUUCUAAAACUUUGAUCCUUUUAAAAGUAGUUUUUGACGUAAAUAAAAUAAUUUUUAUUUUUUUUAAAUCACAUACUCUAGUUAAAAUCAAAUUUGUAUUUAUAAAGAUUGUAAAAUUUUUUUUAGCAUUAAUAUUUGAAUACUUUCAAGAUAAGAAAUAGGGUACUAAUUAUGCUACAACAUUAUUAUAGCACAUAAAAAGACAAUACCCUUUAUAUUAUUAUACUAUCGUUUUUGUUAUGAUAGUAUUUUGUUAGUGGUCAAAUAUUACUUUUUUAAAUAAAAAAGUAGACAAAUGUAAAUCAAUUUUUAAUCUCUCCUAAAAUUCUAAUUCCUAGUUACCAAACAAAAUUGUUUGAAAAUAAUUUGGCUAAGUGCAUGGGUUCUUAAAACUAUAGGUGAUAGAAGUUACAAGCACAAGCAAAUUUGACGGUCCAUUUUAUAAAAUUUUUAAUAAUUUUUUAUUUACCAUUUUACCACCUAUAUAAUGAGUGCCACAUCGACAAAUCAAUUCAUUUGCAAAUUAUAUUAAUUUUGUAAAAUUCAUUUGACUUGCUAAACCCUUCUUAUCCCCUUUCUCGACUGUCAUACCCUAACCUUAUUUCCCGUGUCCACACUUGACCACGCUCAAUUCAGGCCAUCAGAUUAUCCUGGACCCACAUUAAUCCAACUGCUCACAAUGACCGACAGCCUCUCCAUCUCCAUUUCAAGCUUCCUCUUCAACUGGCUUCUGCUUCCGUCGUACUCUUUCUUGGAUUCGGAGUCCGUAUUUGCUCGGCCGGUCCCGCACAGCUCCCUCUCACUCCAAUUGUCACCCAACAAGACCAAUUGCUUAACAUUGACCGUAUGGCAAUUGUCCGUAUUUCUUGGAUUCGGAGUCCGUAUGGCACAGAACAAGAAGAGGAUGAGAAAUUGAAACAAGAAUUUGAGAAUUGGAAAUCGAAAACGUACGCAUUGACCGUGCCUUUGAGGGCAAUUACUUUUCUUGAGAAUUGAAGUUUGGUAAUGUAAUUUGUUCUCCAUCUGUGUUCCCUUUGUAGUCAUUUCAUUUAUUUGUUUGUUUGCUUUUAUUUGCACUUACGAAGUCUCAGAUAUAUCUACGCAGGAAUGAUGCAGGAGAAAUUGAUCCUCGAGCUUACAAGAAAAGUAAAUUUCGAAAGCAUAAUUUGGCUCCGAUUGAGGUAAUAAUUGUCUUUAAACUCAUUUAGUUUUAUAUCAAACAAAAUAAAGGCUGCCUUUCUCUUCAAUAUUUUUUAUGAUAAUAUCUUUAGAAGCAUCUCAUUGACGGGUAAUCAUGGUAUCCCUUAAAGAGUCUAUAAACUCAAUGAUAUUUUCUUCUGCAAAUGGUUCAUUAAACUUCUUAGACGUAGUUAAAUGUACACUAAGAACAACGAGAAGCUAUGCCGCUGUAGCAUGUAGUGAGAUCUUGUUUGAAGUUGUUUUCUGAAAUGAACUGCCAAAUGGUAGUUUUUUAUUUCUUGGGUGCAUUUGAUGACUCUUUUCUCCUCAUUUUAAGCAUGUACCUGCUUGGAAUGGGAAGGAAUAGGCUUCCGAGUUGUUAUAUAUGUUGACAUGCUCUGAUCAUUACACAAAAUGUUCAAAUUGGAAAUUAGAAUGAGAUAUUUGUCGAUGCUUUUUGAGAGAUCUGCAUUCUAUGCACCAUAACAUGAUUAAUGAAAACAGGUUUAAGGACUGGAAAGAUCUGUGGCGGCCCAAGCUUGCAGGAAGGAUUUCAAUGGUUAAUUCUCCCAGAGAGGUUAUUGGUACAGUUUUGAAGUAUAUGGGAGCAUCAUACAAUUCAAACGACAUUGAUUAGCAAGUUGCUGCUGGGAGGAUUGCUGUUCAGCAGAAUCUGGCAUUACUGGGAAACCAGGUACUCUUAAAGAAAUGAUAUCUGGUCAAUGCAUAUUACUGCCUGAGCUGAUUUUGUUUGUAAAGUCUGCCUCUUCAUACAUAUGAAUGCAUAUGUUAGUGUUUUCUUCUCCUUUUAAUACACAUGAAUGCAUAUGUUAGUGUUGUCUUCUCCUUUCCAUAAAUAUGAAUGCAUAUGCUCUGGGUGUUGGUUACUACUUCAAGUGGAAGGUGAAGGUGAUGCAAGUGAUUUCAGGAGUACAUAUAUUCCAAGGAUGCUGGACUAUUAUUGCUUCCCCCCAUAUUUCAGAAUUUUUUGUCAACCUCCUCCACUAAGGGAUUCCAAUUGAGUUACAAAUAUAUUUUCUGUAGCUAUGUUUUAAAGUUUUGGUCUCAUGUUAAUUUUUCUAAUUACUAUUCUUCAACAAAUCUCUUUUACUUUAAAAAACUGCUACAGUUUGAUUUUACUGCCUUAUAUCAUUGAACAUUGAUACAUGGAAUUUGAAAUCAGACUUGUAACAACAGAUAUAUAGAUAUAGAACAUGCAUAUAAUCUCCAUUUCGAGCUCCCUCUCCAACUGGCUUCUGCUUCCGUCGUACUCUUUCUGGGAUUCGGAGUCCGUAUUUGCUCGGCCGGUCCUGCACAGCUCCCUCUCACUCCAAUUGUCACCCAACAAGACCAAUUGCUUAAUCAAGGCACAGAACAAGAAGAGGAUGAGAAGUUGAAACAAGAAUUUGAGAAUUGGAAAUCGAAAACGUAUGCAUUGACUGUGCCUCUAAGGGUUGUUUCUCUUCAGAAUUCAGUGCCUCAAUCUUGGGUUAAGGAUUUUAUGCGAAGUCAAGGAAAGAGAUUGAAGUUUCAGAUGAAUUUGUGUGCUAGCAUUGGUGGGAUCUUUAACAAUUUAUCUGUGCCCUUUAACAAAGUUAAGGGUAAGUCAGCUUCGUAUACGGCUGCUGAUUUGGUUAGUGUUGGUGAUUCAUGGCUCAGUUUUGCGAUUAAAAAGAGAUUGAUUGAGCCAAUAGCUGAAGCUGAAGAUCAAGAUUGGUUCAAAUGCUUAUGUCACAAAUGGAAGGUAACAUACUAACAUCUUUAUCUUUGACCCGAUAAUUUUUAUUGUCUUACAUUGAAAUUUGGUAAUGUAAUUUGUUCUCUAUUUGUGUUACCCUUUGUAGUCGUUUUAUUUAUUUGUUUAUUUGCUUUUAUUUGCACUAAUGAAAUCUCAGGUAUAUCUACGCAGGAAUGAUUCAGGAGAAAUUGAUCCUCGAGGUAAAAUAUGGGCGGCACCAUACAGGUGGGGCACAACGGUGAUAGCCCACAAGAAAAGUAAAUUUCGAAAGCAUAAUUUGGCUCCGAUUGAGGUAAUAAUUGUCUUUAAACUCAUUUAUUUUUAUAUCAAACAAAAUCAAGACUGCCUUUCUCUUCAAUAUUUUUUAUGAUAAUAUCUUUAGAAGCAUCUCAUUGACGGGUAACAAUGGUAUCCCUGAAAGAGUCUUUAAACUCAAUGAUAUUAUCUUCUACAAAUGGUUCAUUAAACUUUGUCGUUGUAGUGAAAUGUACACUCAGAGCAAUGAGAAGCUAUGCCACUGUAGCAUGUAGUGAUGGCACUUAAUAAGUGAGUUGCUAGGAUGUGAACUAGAAAAAUUAAAUAUUGUCUCCUUGGGUAUGCUAGCUCAUAAGUCAGGGUUAAUAUUAGAGCUUAAGUUACUAUAACCAUGAGACGCUAUUGACUGCCAAUUAAAAUAUCCAUUAAAUUGUCUAGGAAGUUAUGAAAGUGGAGGUAUCUUCCGAUUUCUAAGGCCAGAUAGUAGACAUCAUCCAGGAUCCUAGGAAAGUGCAGUUAACCUCCUGCUCGAUGCAAUUAAUAAAUUUGGUCAAUGCCACUGAAACCUGCAAACCGACGUCACAAUGCAAGAUGAGCACUUCAAAAUGGGACAGACGGUCAGUAGCACUAAAUUUUUCUUUCCCAAGAUUGAGCAAUUGGUCUAACAACUAACCCCUAUUGUAGGUUGAUCAUUAUUUUUCCAAUUAUGUUCAGUUUGACCCAAAAAGUUACAGAAUCUUGAGCUGAAUAUUGUCACUGAACACUGUCAAUGUCGUUUAGCAUACCCAACUAACUUGAGUUUGGUAAAACAAACACACUGUGUGUCUCAUCUCUCACAAUUCAAAUUAUCAUCUGUAAUGAUGGAGAAUUUUUCCGAUGUAUGAAGUAUGCUUUGAUACGUGUACCUUGGAGAAGAUAUCUCCAAAUAAAGAAUAUGGAGAGAAAACGGUUCAGUAGUUUAUUAUUCUGUAGGCAAUUCUUGUCUCAAAAAUGGUCAAAAUUUAAAUGAAUAAGGACAGGGGAUCUUCAUUCUUUUUUCCCUUUUUUAUACCAAGAUAUCUCUCAACCUUUAUAUAAUCCCCACUGGAUAUCUGCUUCUAAUAAUUAAAAUAAAAAUUUCACCCGCACAAAUAAAUACUGACCAAGCUCUAACAAUAAAAAGUAACAUCUUUACUCAAGUAAUUUACAGUUCCUCAUCAUCUUAGUGUGAGACUAUCAUUACGUUCCAAAAACAUAAUAAAACUGGUUUGAUCCUGUUUAUUGAUGUUUAAAUGUUGUUCAUUGUGACAUGUAGAAAUGAUGAGGCGAAGUUUAUUUGGUCAUCAAUUAGUAAGAUCUUGUUUGAAGUUGUUUUCUGAAAUGAACUGCCAAAUGGUAGUUUUUUUGGGCAUAUGAUGGCUCUUUUUUCCUCAUUUUCAACAUGUGCCUGCUUGGAAUGGGAUGGAUUAGGCUGCAGAGUUGUUAUAUAUUUUGAGAUGCUCUGGCCAUUGCACAAUUUGUUCACACUGGAAAUUAGAAUGAGAAAUUUGUUGAUGCUGUUUUGAGAGAUCUGCAUUCUAUGCACAAUAACAUGAUUAAUGAAAAUGGAUUGUAGGACUGGAAAGAUCUGUGGCAGCCUGAGCUCGCAGGAAGAAUUUCAAUGGUUAAUUCUCCCCGAGAGGUUAUUGGUUCAGUUUUGAAGUAUAUGGGAGCAUCAUACAAUUCAAGCGAUAUUGAUUCGCAAGUUGCGGGUGGGAAGAUUGCUGUUCAGCAGAAUCUGGCAUUACUGGCAAACCAGGUACUCUUAAAGAAAUGAUAUCUGAUCAUGCAUGUUAUUGCCUGACAACUGAUUUUGUUUGUAAAAGUCUGCUUCUUCAUACAUAUGAAUGCAUAUGUUAGUGUUCUCUUCUCCUUUUCAUACAUAUGAAUGCAUAUGUUGGUGUUGUCUUUUCCUUUUCAUACAUAUUAAUACAUAUAUUGGUGCUCUCUCCUGAGAUGGAUGCAAUAAAGGCUUUUGGUCCUAAAUUUAGCUGAAGAAAUGGCAAGGGAUGUGAGAUUCUGUCUCAUUAAAUUAACAAAAACCCAAAACAAUGAAAACCGAUAAUAAUGUGGUGGGGGUAAAUUGGCACCAUUUGGUUUGUUUCCUUAAUGUGAAUACACGAGCAAUAGGGACUAACAAAAUGAAGUGACAACAACAAGUCAGUGUCCUUUGAUGGAUGCAUUUUAGGCAGAAAUAGGUUUGUAAUUGACCAAUUUCAAAAAAUUUAAAUUAUGUGGUUAUUAGCUGUAAUGAAGGGGAUAGUAGGUGCAAUCAGGUGGAUCCAGGAAAGUUCAACAAAGUUCUGGUAUGGCAUAGUGAAAUUGGUUUGUGCAACUCAAGAGUCUUUCAGGUGAACGAUGAUACGUUUUGAUUUAUAAAUGUUAUAAAUCUACCGUCCAUAGUAUUCUAGUAGAGUCAUCUAUAAGUUCUAGUUAUUGAAAUUGUCUACUUUGUCCAGUUUGAGUUAAGGGCACAUGUAAUAGGAAAAAUAGUAUUCACAUCUUUUUGGUUACCUAACAUUUGAUCGAUCCUAUUAUGAGGGCUUCAAGAUGCCUGACAAUAUGUAGAAUGCCCAUGCUCCUCCCCAUUGUUUAUCUUAUACAAUAAUUUGUUUUAGAUGCUAAUAUAUUUGUCGAUACCGGUAACGAUAUUACAAUAUCUGCGUUUAUUGGGUUUUACAUAGGUUCGACUGUUUGACAGUACACACUAUCUGAAGGCAUUUGGAAUUGGAGAUGUAUGGGUUGCUGUUGGGUGGAGUAGUGAUGUUCUUCCUGCUGUCAAACGUAUGUCUAAUGUUGCAGUUGUUGUUCCCAAGUCUGGUGCUAGCUUAUGGGCCGAUCUUUGGGUAUACCCAUGCCUGCCAUUCUACUUCGAUAUUCACAUUGUUAUCUCCUUCAUUUUAGCGAUCAUAAACUUGAUAAUGUGACUAAUAAGUUCGUAUUCUCUAUAUAGGCAAUCCCUGCUGCCUCAAGACUUGAAACAAAAGAAAUUGGAGGGCGAGUCAGAGGUCCAUCUCCAUUAAUCCAUCAAUGGAUAGAAUUCUGCUUGCAAACAGCGAGAACAUUGCCUUUCAAGCAAGAGGUUAUCCCGGGCGCAUCUCCCUCUGCCCUUGAAAGUACUCUGGUUAAGUUGCCUGAAGAACUUCUGAUGGGUAAACCAAGUCUGGAUACUAACUUAAUUGCUGGAGUACCCCCGGCUGAAAUUCUGGCCAGAUGUGAGUUUUUGGAGCCAUUGCCUGAAGCUACAUUGUCAGAUUAUGAGUGGCUGGUUGCUAAUCUGCAAAAACCUGCCCCCGUCUUGAUGAAAAGGCUGCAACAUUACUUGUCAUCAUUAAUCCAAAGCUUUCUAGCAAAAGCUACAUUGAAAAGUUAAUGGCACUGCAUGCCAGUCAUUGUAAUGCUGUCAGGGCUAUUGGGUCAGGGCAAUUAGGUAAGAGCAUAACUUCAUUAGGAAAAGAGGCUUCAGCUACGUUAAAUAUUGCAGGAUGUACUGAGAUGGUUGAAGUUCUUGAGGUUUUACGAGAAACGAAAGAUGAGUGUUUGUUUGAACAAAGUUGUUGCCAUCUUGCAAGAUCACUGAGCGAAUGCCACCGAUUUCUUAAUCAUUGUAGCCUCCAUAGUUGAAGUUUCCUUAUUUGAAGCUGUUUAUGCGUACGCUUUUUCCCUGCUCAAGUACAGGAAAUUGAAGAAUUAACCAGAUGUGAUAUGCUGAAAGAGGGAAGUUUUCUUCCUUGAACGUGGCCUUGUGAUUUGUCUUGAAGGAAUAGGAUGAUCACUGGCAAGAACCCUAUCAAGGUAGAUUUUAUGGUGCUAACGUAUUAUUAAGCAUUUUGUUACAUCAGCAAUGAUGCUUCCAUAGCAUGAAAGUGUUUAAAUUUAACUGAAUGAUCUUGAUUAAUCAAUUAUGAGUUUUAAUCGAGUAAAAACUAAAUACAAUCAUCGUUAGCAAAUACUGAAAUUGGGUAAAUAUGAUCUUGAUAUUGAAGAAUCUGAAAACACAACCCACACAGGGAAUCACCCUUCGCGUGGGGAUGGAGAUGUUUACUGCAGCGAUAUUGAAUAUGUCCACUGCUCUUUGGGUUAUGGUGCGACUUGCCCUGAAACAAUGGAAAAGAUUAACAUACCCUGCAAUGAAUGAAAGCGGCUGGACUAAUUCUGAUUACCUAAUUGACUCAGGAUCGGGUGGCAAUAAUGACAGUUUAUUAACAAUGCACAGUUCCGAGUACUUUUCCAGGAUCAGAUAUUACGUGGUCUAAUGUUGAUAAUAAUAGAUUAUCAAAUGAGAGAUGCUGAGAGAUGCUGGUCUACCUUUGCAAGCCCCCAGAUUUAAGAAUCUUUUGAUGAUAAUUUACCACCUGUACCUGUGCCGGAAGAUUCACCUAGCACUGAAAAAGAUGAUAAUUUAAUUGAUAUGGAUAGUUUUCAUAACACUUUUAAAUCAUCUAUAUGUGAACUAUUAUUGACGCUAUUUUGUUGUAAACAAUCUUAUUCAAUUAAUAUAUAAUUUAAAAUCAUUAUGUAAAUCAAUCUAUUACUUUUCAUGAUAUUUAAUUGAGUUAAAACUAAGUGCACCCAAUAAAUCUCUUUUCCUUUAAAAAACUGUUACGCUUUGAUUUUAGUGCUUAAUAUUUACGGAACUCCGGUACAGGGAAUUCGAAAUCAAACUCGUAACCACAGAUUAUCUAAUUGCAAGUUUUUGUCCAUAGUUGCUGAUUGUAGUGAUUAUCUAAUUGACUGAGGUGACAACAAUUUUUUUUUUUAAUUUUCAAUAGCAUAAUGUGGAAUUCAAUAAUUAAAUUCUCCUUUUUAAUUUGUUUCCAAUUAAAUUAUUAAUUACUUAAACUCUGUUUUAAGUCUUUAAUUUUAUGUCUUGGCGUAUAUGCAGGGUUGGAUUCUUGAGCGUGUUGGACACGACCAACAAUGAAAUUGACAGUAAACAAACAUUACAACGCGUUGAGUGUCGACUCCGCUAGCUGCCCUACAAGUCUACAACUUUACAAACAACAACUGAGUACACACAUUUGAUUCUUGGGACCCUUCAAUGAAUUUCUAGCCCGGUUGACUCCACCGACAAAAGUUUUGGAAAAUAAAAAAGAAAAUUCAUAGAAUUCCACCAAAUGCAAAACGCGUGGAAUUUAAUUUUCGGCCAUGUGGACCAAAACAUAAUUUAAUGAAAAAAAAAGAUAAGAUUUCUAAAAUGUGUGGAAGGUGAUCCAUAUUUUACUGAAAACAACUUGUUAAAUUUUUCAAAGAUUUAGAAUAUUUGGUCAUAAAUUACGCUCAUGUUAAUUUUUCCGCUAUUGACUAUCAUAUUCUAGACUCACUGGUACCUUUCUUGAUGAAGGGUACUUAGUCUCUCUUCUCCUCUUAUAAAAAUUAUAUUAAGUGAUUUCUUAUUAUAAUAAAUAGUCUUUAAGAACGUAUAGAUUUAUUGUUUUCGUGACCAAAUUAUGCCAGCUUAAGGUUGCGACUAUUAAUAAAAUUAAUAUUUAAUGUUUAUGUUAAAAGAUAUAAGAUUUUAUGCAUUCAUUAAUUGUUAUUAGCUAAAGGAUUAAUUAUUUUUUCAACCCAAUCAGUUGAUGCAUCUGCAAAAAAAAUUUCUUUUAUUGACCAUAAUUAUAUUCCGGGUACAAUAAAUUAUCUUUGGUGCUUGGAAAAUUUGACUUCUUACUUCAAGUUUGAUGUGUCUCUCUCCAUAAGCUUACUGGAAAUAUAUCCUUUUGUAUUAUUAAUAAAGUGAAAUUUGUUGCUCCUUCCUUCUAAAUCUAAACAGAGUUUCACAAUUUCACCAACUUGGAAUAUUUGACAUUGGACUUUUCCUCUCUCCAUAUAAGCCUUCUGCAAAGAAUUGCAUCGUUAUUCCCUUCAUUAAAAAAUCUGUCGAUGUCUGGUUGUGAAGUCAAUGGUGUCCUACGCGGUCAAGGUAAAAGAAAAGUGUUGAUUGUGAACUCACUCAAUGGUGUCCUACGUGUUCAACAUUUUUAUUUAUUAAUCUUUCUGCUAGAUUUUCCUCAUUUCAAGAGUUUGGAACAUUUUGACCAGCUUUCUUCAAAUCAUCGGUGAAUCAAUGCCUUCUCUUAAGUACUUAUCACUGUCAGAUUCUACUCUUGGCACUAACAGCAGCAGGAUUCUUGUUCGAGGUUAAUCAGAUGCUCCCACCCUCCCUUCUUAAUCUAUAAUAUUAAUUUUCAAUUAAAUAUUCAAUUACACAAACCAAUCACUUAUUAUAAAAGAACAAUACGCAUUCAUUAAUUUUUAUAUUGUAUUAAUAAUUGAUGAAUUUAAUAAAUUUUCAAAUAUUGUAUUAAUAUUUGACAUCCAUUGAAGAGCUGUAUCUUUCAAACAAUCACUUCCAGAUCCCAAUUUCACUUGAACCAUUUUUCAAUCACUCACGACUCAAGAGUUUCUAUGCUGACAACAAUGAAAUAAAUGCAGAAAUAAUUGAGUCGCAUUCUUUGACUGCCCCAAACUUCCAAUUAAAAUAUCUCUCAUUGUCUUCCGGUUACGGAGAUGGUGUCACAUUCCCCAAAUUCCUUUACCAUCAACAUGAUCUGGAGACUGUUGACCUCUCACAUAUAAAGAUGAGUGGAGAAUUUCCAAAUUGGUUGUUGGAAAACAACACAAACUUAGAAUAUCUUUUUUUGGUUAAUGAUUCUCUUGCAGGACCUUUUCGGUUGCCAAUUCAUUCACACAAGCGGUUAAGACUGUUGGAUAUAUCCAACAACAACAUCCGAGGCCACAUUCCAGUAGAAAUUGGAGAUGUUUUACCAAAUUUAUACGUUUUCAACAAUUCCAUGAAUGCUUUAGACGGUAGCAUUCCCUCUUCAUUUGGUAAUAUGAAAUUCCUCCAAAUUCUAGACUUAUCCAACAAUCACUUGACUGGUAAAAUCCCCGAGCACUUGGCCAUGGGUUGCGUCUACUUGAAUUUUCUUGUCUUGUCAAACAACAACCUACAAGGUCAUUUGUUCUCUAGAAAUUUUAACUUGACAAACUUGAAAUGGUUACAAUUGGAGGGCAAUCGCUUCGUAGGUGAGAUCCCAGAAAGUUUGUCUAAAUGCUCCUCACUAGAAGGAUUGUCUCUUAACAAUAAUAGUCUUUCGGGUAAGAUUCCACGAUGGUUGGGUAAUCUCACAUGGUUAGAAUAUAUUAUAAUGCCCAAUAAUCAUCUUGAAGGCCCUAUUCCAGUGGAGUUUUGUCAGCUUGAUUUGCUUCAGAUUUUGGGCAUUUCAGACAACAACAUAUCUGGAAGUUUACCAUCUUGUUUCCAUCCUCUCUCUAUCAAACAAGUUCAUCUUUCAAAAAAUAUGUUACAUGGACAGCUAAAAAGAGGUACAUUCUUUCAUUGCUCUUCCCUUGUGACAUUAGAUCUUAGCUAUAACCGCUUGAAUGGCAGCAUUCCGGAUUGGGUUGAUGGGCUUUCUCAGUUAAGCCACCUUAUCUUAGGUCACAAUAAUCUUGAAGGUGAAGUGCUAGUUCAAUUAUGCGAAUUGAACCAACUACAAUUGUUAGAUCUUUCUAAUAAUAAUCUUCACGGUCCUAUUCCUCCUUGCUUUGAUAACACCACACUUUAUGAAAGUUACAGCAAUAAUUCUAGUCUUGAUGAGCAAUUUGAAAUAUCUUGUUCCAUCGAAAGCCCUCAGGGAGAUGUAGAAAAGCAAAUCCGUGAAAAUUUUGAGUUCACAACAAAGAACAUUGCGUACAUUUACCAAGGAAAAGUGCUUAGCCUCCUAUCAGGACUUGAUCUUUCUUGCAACAAGCUAAUCGGUCCUAUUCCUCCUCAAAUUGGAAAUUUGACAAGGAUUCAAACAUUGAAUCUAUCACACAACGACUUGACAGGAUCGAUCCCAUCAACAUUUUCAAACUUGAAGCAUGUCGAAAGUUUGGAUCUUUCCAACAACAAAUUGAAUGGGAAAAUCCCUCAUCAACUAGUGGGGUUAAAGACAUUGGAGGUUUUCAGUGUGGCAUACAAUAACUUAUCAGGCGAAAUUCCAGAAUGGACUGCACAAUUUGCAACAUUCAAUGAGAGUAGCUAUGAGGGAAAUACUUUUCUUUGUGGAUUGCCAAUGCCCAUUUGCAGAUCACCAGAAACUAUAUCGGAGGCUUCAAUUGGCAAUGAACGAGAUGAUAAUUUAAUUGACAUGGACAGUUUCUUUAUCACAUUUACAACAUCGUACGUAAUUGUGAUAUUCGCAAUUAUUAUUAUUUUAUAUGUAAAUUCUUAUUGGCGACGUAGAUGGUUUUACUUUGUUGAAAUGUGGAUAACUUCAUCUUACUAUUUUGUUGUAGACAAUCUUAUUCCAACAUGAUUUUGUCAUUGAAAUUAAUUAGUAGCUUAAUUACGAUCCUUUAAGUACUAAUCAAGUUUGCUUAGGAAAUAUUUUUUUAUUAAAAUUGUAGUAGUAUUUAGCAUUAUAUAGCUUCCAACUUCCAAGCACUUCACAUUUGUCUCUACACUUAAAAAACUGAGUGAUCAUGUUUUGCAGAUCUGGAUUUGGAGCAGGAUGGAUCCAAACCCAUAUCUGUCCACCAUAACUUAUAGCUUCCCUAUACUGUGCAGCAUACUUAAAUAAGAGAACCAUCUCCAAUGUUAAAAGCAUUCACUCUAUAACAUUCAUUUAGAAACUAUAUUCAGAAUAAUUUUAUAAUUAAACACAAGAAAUGAAACACACAGAUACACUUGAUCGCCUAUUUUACUCUAAAAAAGAACGAUUACUGUGCUAUCAUCAUCUUCUUCACUAGCAACAUUAACACCAAAUCGAUAGACCCAUACAUUUCAUCAAGAAAGGUAUAUAUCCAAUAAAGUUGAAGCCUAACAAAAAAUUCAAGAAGAUUAAUGCCUCGCCACAACAAGGGGCACAACAACAUCAAAGUAGAGAUUAAGCAGUAUUCUCAAAGCUAAAACUCUCAAAUCCACCCACCAGAAUUUCAUAUCUCCUCAACAAUUUUAAGAAAUAAAGAUAAUUAGGAUUUAACAUUAGUUUUUUAUAUAUUAGUUUCAUAAUUUACAAAUCAAUGAAGAUGAAGAUUAUGCUAAUAAAUUCAAAUUAUACCAUACAUUCUCUAGAUGUUACCAAAAAUUUCUAAGUCAAUCCCACAUAUUUCAUAAUUUUAAGACUAGAAAAUUUCACUAGUUAGAAGUUUCAUUAACUUCAAGUGGAAGAUGAAGAACAUUAUACAAGUGAUUCAGAUUAUAUCAUACAUACUCCAAAUGCAACUAGAAAUUAACAAGUUCAUGCGCACAUAUUUCAUAACAUUAUGAUUGAAACGUUUCACAAAGAGAAAUUCUAAAUUCAAUCUCUUGCAUGAAGGCAGUUUGAUUGAUUUGAGUUACUUUCUUAUCAAGCUACUAAUAUAACAUUCAAGUCAGGGAGAAAAUAAAUUAAAACUGGGAAGAAAUAACAGUAAAAAUUUGUUGCUCAACAUGAUGUGUAUUUUUUUUCAAGGCAAUUUGGAAACACAAUUGUUACUACAGAUAUUCUUCUCAACUUGGAGAUAAAUACAAAUAUUAAAAUGCAUAUGAUCGCACAUAUUACUUCGAGUUUAGUAAGAUUUCAUUAAAAGAAGCAAUCAAACCACUUAUCAAUUGUCGCAGUCGUUCUAUAAACUAAAAUAGCAAUAUAAUACAAGAAAAAGAACAUAUAGAUACUUGGCAAGAGUUCAUUAAGAAGUCGCAUCACAUUCGGGUGAGGAGUUUGCUUCUGAUAUCUUGCUAGCUGGGGCUUUUUCUUGUCUUUCUACGUAUGCCGAGGGAAACCAACCAGCUUGGCCCUUGCAUUCACCUUCCGACCAUCCAAUAGGAGCCACCUUGAGAAGUUAUAACUAAAACGGUGAAUUAAACAAAAGUUGACCGUUCAAAGACCUAAGGGGAAAACUAAUUCUUUUACGUAGGAGGAGUGAAUUAGUUGUGAUCACUGAAAUAACAGCAUAACUAUGGAAGCAUAACAAGAUAUAAAUUCACACGUCUAUAAGGAUAAACUGGGUGGUUUAGAACUGAGCUAGCAACCCUACUAUAUUCUGAUUUGCACUUCAAUGUAAAAGGGAAUAUAUGGUAGGAAGAAAGAAAACCAACCAUCAUUUGUUAACUCAUUGCUUUUCAAUCAAAAUUUUAAGAACAAAAUGCCAUGUGCUUUGAACAUCAAAUAAGUAUAAGCAUUAGUUCUAAAUUCCACAUAUCAUAAGUUGUUAGAAGGAUAAGUUAAUAGCAGAGUAGAAAAAUCAAUGUGUUGGUAUUUAGAGGGGAAAGUACCUGGCGAACCACAACAUAAUCAUCAAUUGAAAGACUUAGCUCUCCAUUUGCUUGAGCAUCAAAUGGAUGUAUAACCUGCAAGAUAAUGGGAUAAAUGGAACUUAAAAAAAGCAUAACAAAAGCAGCAACAGUAGCAGCAACGUUCAUUGUAACCACUAUGAUCAUGGCCAACAAAGAUAUAUUAGAAACAAAAUUCCAUUUUUACUAUGACAUUAAUAUGUACUAUACGAUAUCAUGACGAUUGGGUUACUAAGAGCUAUCAAAGUCUAAUAAGUUCUGUAUAACUUUAUGUAGUUAUUUAAAUUAUGGAUCAGAUUUUAAAUUUGAAAUUUUGACUGCUCUCCACAAAACAUGGCCUAUGCACAAGAAAGUCAUAGAUAAUGAGGAUUACAAGUGUCCGACAUCUUUUGAGUGAUGGAUUUAACAUGAGAGCUUAUGGUCAGUCAAUUUCCUCUGCCUAGCAAUAUAAGCUUUCUCGGCCAGAUUUAUCAUCAAAUACAUAGAUUGCCCCCAAGUCACAUCCAUAUAAACAUAGUUUUUCUAGGUAAACCAAGUAAGGAGCAUCAUAAUUCAGACAUAAUCAUAAAAAGGCCCAUCUAAAUUAAGAGAAAAUCUCAAAAAGAGGGAUGCUGAGCUAUCAGUCUUGUAUCUAUAAGCAAUAUCAAGACUUUACAUCACCUGCUACAUCAUGAGUGGCUACACAACUUUCAGUGGUUUGUCUUUCUUUGGCACGCCUAACUCAGCUUUGAUGUUGCUGAGAUAUUGAUAGUAGAGACACAUGAUACUUCUAGCUCAUGCAUUCUAUCUAACUCAUCCAACAACUAUCUCUUUUUUAAUUCAUUAGUGUUUGCUAAACCUCAUGCUUAAAAGUCCUGUUCUCCUAAAUAAAGUUUCCUAAGAAUGACUUCCUUAGCACCACAGUUGGACACUUGUAGAGCAAUUUUAUUUGGGGGAAAAGAAUUUUCAAGGUGUUAACUAAUAAAUUUUAAAAAAUAAUUACAAUUUGUCCUACGAUCAUAUGACAAUUUAUCUGGGAUGAAAGGAUACAGAUAGACAUCUUCCACUUUCAAGACUAAUCACUACUUCCGUAGAUGUUGUGCAAUAAUACAAAUACUUGACCAGAUGGUAGUGAUGGUAGAAAAAAAAUUUAUUGCUCCAAAAUUAAAAUAAGAAUGCAAUAUGUUAAGCAAAAGGCUGUGCAACAUCAAAUUAAUUGAUAAGAUAGAUGCAGACAAGCAAGUUAAAAUGCAUAGUCCCAAACCUCCGCAUACAACUUCUCUAAAAUAGCAAUAACGUGUUGAUGCUAUGUUUUCUCAGCAUCUACCUGCAAAGGCCCGAGACCAGGAAAACAACAAUAAAACCACUAGCUGAAGGAGAAAGCAAAGAAAGAAAUACACUUGACAUAAAUCUUGACAAGAAGCACAAUUUAAGACAUAACAAACCCCAAUCAUAUUGUUUAGAACUACCAUUCGUUAUUUCGUUAUUGUAACAUUUCGAACAAGUGUUGACUUAAUUCAACAUUGUUGGAAAGAUAGGCUUUUAGAAGCAGAAGAAAGCCUCUCAAACCAAAGUGCUGGUCCUUGUAUUGAUCAAGGGAUGUAAACAUAUUACAUUUGCAGGAUGAGAUUUAAUCACUCCCCUGAUUUAUUUGGGUUGCAGUAAAACUAAGCGAGCAACUGUUUGACUUCCAAGCAACAGCUAAAUCAGCUAUUAAAAUUCAAAUAAAAUCAUAAUAGAAUAAUAACAGGCCCUCUUGCAUCAAAAAUUAAGUUUAAUUUGUGCAUUGUUUUCUAUAGACAUGUCAGUUUCUGCUAUUGAAAUGUUAAAAGCAUUGAAAAAUUAUUCAAUAAAUUAUGCAAGCAUUAAAAUAGAGGACAUAUUAAAAAGUUUCUAAUUACAAUGCUAAUAUUUCCUAUAUUUUAGCAUUUGCAUAUUUUAAUUUAUUUAAAAGCUACGUCGAUCAACUUUGGGCAUGAAGAUUUUAGCUUCUACGAGACUUGAUUGGAAUAUGCAUAAGGAAGAGUGUUAAAAUAUGAUGCAUCCAACGAAAGAAAACCACGUGUAGUCUUUUAAUUAAGCCAAAGUAGCAGCUCAAACAAAUGACACUUGGACCAACAUGCAAUCAUGAAGUGGCCGGAAAAAGGACAAAUGCUACUUUGGCUUAAAUAAAAAAUAACAUGUGACUUGACUUUUGCUGGACAUGCAUCAUGUUAUUACAAGACAACAGAAAUCAGUAUGAUAGUACUAAAAGUUGACAAUAACAUGAAGAUAAGAGGCAGAAUGUCAACACAUGCAUAGGCACACACAAGAAAGUAUUAACAUAUAUACCAUAGCAAAAACUCUUUUAUAUGUCAUCUGUUGCUGCUGUGAUUCAACUGACAGCAAGGCAGCUGUCGCUUCUCUACCAAGAGCCAUUAUUUUAGAUUUAAGCUCGGUCAAUCUUGCUUCUGCAUUUCGAAGCUUCACAGCACUCUCUGCUGAUAUAUCAGAUUCCCUAAUCUUUGAUCGGUGCCUAAAUACUUCAGCUGCCUGGUGAAAAUAUUCAAUAUAAAUCUAAUAUAAUUCUCAUCUUGCCUUAUACAUGCAUAUGUUACGUCAAAGCUUACCUGGGCUUCAACUUCAUGUCGAAGUUUGUCAUAACAAUGAGUCAGGUGUCGAGCAUCUUCCAAAGGUGCUCCGUUGAUUAACGCCCGUAGUGGCUCAGAUACCUACAUGUCCAAAAACCUGUAACAUAGUUAGAAAAAUGAAAAGAAAGAGCGAAACCUCAAUUAAAAAGUUCAUCCAACAUAAUCAUGGAAUUUGGGCCUACUUUAAGAAUAUAUAUAAGGAUAAUUUAUGCAAUUUUGGGUCUUAGGAUGAUUGGUAUUAGGUUAGUGUUCUUCUCUUCUGUAUUUAAGGUUAAAAUAGAAAUAAACCUAUGCAAGUAUCUAAAUUAGGCCUGUAAGACAUCCACAUGCAUCCUUCAGUCUCAUGGAUUUGAUUUUACUAUAGAUGCAAGUGUCUUUAUCGAAAAUGCUUGGAGUCAAUUGAGAGAACUCAUGGCCAAUAACUUGUCACACGCUAGUCUUUGCUAGUGAUCACAAGGUCUCUUCAACAUUUGAACCAAUAAAAUUAUUAAGUCAUGGAUGUCACUAGCAAUGAUUUUAAUAUAAAACAUUAAAUAUUUCAGAGUUGUAACUUUAAAAUGGAUUCUUUUAUUCAAUAUCAUAGAACUAAGUUUCCUUAUGAGAAGAUAAUAGUUUCGAUAAUAAUUUUACAUAUAAUUUUCUAUAUUUGAAUUAUUUUCUAGUUAGGGAUGAACUAACCUGAUCACGAAGAAUCCCGAGCAAAGUUUCCCUCUCAUUUUCCAUCAAAUCAUGUGAAGUGCCAAAUUGAAGAGCAGCUCUUGCAACGCAAGAAUUGUCACUUUGAUUCUCUACUCCAUACUUGCAACAAUCUUCAGCCAACUUUCUCGCUACAAUAUUUGAAUACAAAAAUAUUGUACACAAGAACUAUAAAAAAACUAAUGAAAAAUGCCAAGAUGGAGCAGAUGCUUCAAUACUGCCUAUACAAACCAUAAAAAACUAAUGAAAAAUAAAUAAAAUCGAGAAAUUUUACUAAUUAAAAGUCUAAAUAUAAUUUUGAAAAAAGAAAAGAAACGGACUUGCUGCUGCUUGGCGACUUGUUCUCGGAGCUUGAUUGCCUGUUUCUUGAUAGCUUCCAUACUGUUUCUUUCAAAAAGCGACGACGGCUCUGCUCAUGGAAGUGGAAAAAAAAGUGUGAUCGAGAAAAAUGAAAAGGCGUGAAUAAUUUUUGACAAAAAGCGAAAAUCAAGGAAAGCCGGCUCUUUCCAGAAAAUAAAAAAAAGAAAAAAAGAAAAAAGAAAAUCAUAAGUUUGAAAGGAGAAGAUGAUAUUGGAAGUAUGCAGUGUGGCUGCCAGGUACUUGGAUUGUAUUGUCGGGUAAGGUAAUAGUGGAGAAUUGUAAGUUUGAACGGAGCAUGUUGGACUUUUGUUGACCAAAUUCAAAAGCCAAAUGGCACGGCCCGGAAGCUUUUGAAUAGAAAAACUUGCUAGAAAGCAUCAGUUUAAAUCACUACUUAAACGCUUGCUUUAACUGCACCGCUUUGUACUGUUUUAUGUAUGUAGCGGUUGUGCGGUUGUAAUUCACGGCUGACGCUACGUGUUUGUUUGUACUGUUCUAUUCGGUGACAGAGUAUUAUUAGUUAGGCCAAAACUAUGUUGCAACAGUGGUACAGUAGCACUGUUGCUUUCAGUCAUUAGAUCUAUAGUUGUACAGUUGCAUUAACAAGAUCCAAUGACUGAAAGCAACAGUAGUACCGAACUACUGUUGCAACAUAGCUGGAGCCUAUUAGUUAUUUCAAAGGGAUAAAUAAGAUUGGUUACAACAAACCUACUAAUUUUAUAAAAUUCAAGUAACAUAGAAUAAAAUAAAAAAAUAAAUACAAAAUUGACUUUUAUUUUUUAUGGUUGACUAUAUUUUGUGUUCUCUUCGGGCACUGCUACAAUUGUUCCCUAUAUAUCAAUUACACCACAUACUAUCGACACAAGAAAUGAAAUCUAAUAUCACCUGUUUAGUUAAAAAAUCACUCAUGAAAAAAUUUUACCAUUUUGAUUUGAGGAUCCAUAUUUUAAACUACAAGCUAAUGUUCAUCAAGAAUUACUGAUGGACAAAUUAUUUUUUUUGAUAGAAGAAUUUCUUUAGGAACUACUAAAUUAUUAAUAAAAAUAUCGAACACACCCACAUAUCAUCGACACAAUUGAUUUUGAGGAUCCAUGCUUUGAACUACAGCCUAAUGUUCAUCAAGAAUAGAGUAUGGCUUAUGAGUAGAAAAUUUUCUUAUUUUGGCCCAAAAUAAAAAGAAAUUAAAUUGGAUGAGAAUCUGCCACUUUCUCAUGAAGAAAGGCAUACGGAGCAUACCAUGGUACCAUACAAUAUAAGAAGCCUCCGUUCUUUGGUUUUUCAAACUCUGAAGGGGCUAAUAUUGCCAAAUUCCCCCUUGAAAAUUCUGAUUACGACAUUAUUCAUCGCUUGAUGCAAUCAAAGUAGUGACAAAGUUAGGAAAAAUAUGAGUCCUAAGUAAUUGCUAGGCAGGGCUCCUGAGAGCAAAAUUGUCCUAAGCAUUAUAUGCAUACAUAGUGCAGUACAUAGAGCACGUUGAAUUCCCCACUAUAACACAAACCCAGAAAGACAAGUAAUAACUCAACUGAUAUAAAGACAAAAAGAAGAUAAAAUGAUAUAGAAAAAAGAAUUUCAAAGAGACAGCAACAUACAAUAGACUGAAGCCACUUGAUCUGCUCAUUGAUUGCAGCCUUAAACUUGCAAAUAGUUACUGUACGCUAGUGCUCUAAGAAGUGAAAAUGAUGCGAGCCCUGAUUCCCUUUUGACUUCCAUUUACUGUCAAACAUUCUAGUAAUACAAAAAAUUGUUUAGAUAUCUUGCUAUAAAUAUAGCCGUUUGACUGUCAUAAUAAAGUCACAAAUAACCAUUCAUAUUGAUCUACUGUCACACAGCAUGCUUUAUGCAUACAACAGCUGUAUGCAUACCAACUCCUAACCUUAUCAAUACAUUUGGCAAAAACUUAAGAAGAAAGCUAUUUCUCCAUCUCUUUUUUGAAAUUUCACAAUAACCAGCACAAUGUGAAAGCUAUGUUCUAACCUUAUGAUAAAUGCUCCAGACUCCAAAAGGGUUUUAUAUAUGAGAGUUUGUUGCAGCAGAUAUAUUGACUUAUCAAGUAUGAAUCAUUGUCUGGAUGAACUAUCUUUAGAUAAAAGAAUAUUAGAACCACUGUAGAAUAUCUUUACCCUGCUGGUUCUAACAGGAAUCUGCAUGUGGCAACAAUUGCUAGACCCACAAUUCCCCAACUUGAAAUACAUAGUUGCACACCAUGAGAUAGUGCUACAAUCUACUGAGAUCUAACUUAUAUGGUACUUUAAGCUACUAAUGUUUGCAUAUUUCUACAUGUUAAAUUAACACUAUCAUCUAUAAUCACUCCAAAACAACAAAUGAUAAGCAGCUUUUGGCCACUUAUUACUAGCAUACACAAUUAUAAAUAAGAGAUCAUGGGUUUACUUGUUGCACCUACUUAAUUAUCUGCAGUUGACAUCCUGACACAAGGUUUAAAUAGUGACUGCUUAGAACCCUUGUAGUUGGAUCUUGACCUCUCCCAUUGUAGCCAAGAUUGGUUACUCUGGUAAUGAAUCAACACUCUCCUGCUCAGGGCCAUGAAGAUCUGAAAGCUCAGCACUAGUGGAGAACUUCAUCAAUCUCUUCUUCUCAGCAUACUUGAGACAAGGCUGCAUUACGAGACCAAUCACCACAGCACCAACGCUUAAAACUGCAACUUUUAAAGAAGAAAGAGCCAACACAACACAACACAAAUCAAUAUGGUUGGAGGAAUACACAUGAUAAUGGCUCCAACAGUGCCAGUGGGUAUCUUGUAGGGAUGAGAUGCAGCAGGAUAUUGUAUCCUUAACCAUACAAAUGCUAUGAACUCCAUAAUCAUUCCAAAACAGUACAGGAAGUUCUCUGCAGCUACAAUAUCUCGAAAGCUCAGCCAUGAUAGCAAAACCACACCAGAAGCUGAGAAUAUGAUUCCAAUCAAAGGAGUCCCAUAACAAGACCUCUUAGCAAAAAACUGAGGUAGCAUUCCACGCUCAGCCAUCCCCAAAAGUUGGAAAGAGUCGCUGCUCAUCUCAGCCACAAACAUGCCCAUAUUGGACAUUGCUGCAGCCCCCUGGAUGCACCAUCUCAACCAAACUCCUCCAAGCACUUUAGCAAUAUCUGAAAAGUAACCAUCGGUCCACAAGUCGCGAUCUAAUGGAAUAGCUCCAGUUCAAACUAGAAGGGGAAAGAAAUACCC